Molecule: long non-coding RNA, 316352 nt
Filed under: Lactuca sativa (garden lettuce)
Lineage: Eukaryota; Viridiplantae; Streptophyta; Magnoliopsida; Asterales; Asteraceae
Source: RNAcentral
AUUGCUAAGCCUGAAACUAAGGUACUACUGUUUCCCAGAUUAAGUACUUCAGAGUUGCAAAAUCACUCUCUGUUUGUUCCAGAUGAAACAUAUAACUAUGUCAUGAUGAGAUGAUAAUUUUUUAUGUUUUCAGGAAAUUUCAAGCUUGAGUGUGGAGCCAUGUGAAGGUGAAUCACUUAUAGUUACUGUUUUCGAAAUCAAAAAGUCAGAGGUAUGUAUUGAAAUAUGUUCUAUCAUUUUUCUUUUGGAACAAGAAUCUAUGAACAAACUCACAAAUUAACCAAUAGAACUCACUCUUAUGGUAAUCAGAUUCCAUCCUUCAUUGAGAGGGAGCAUGAAUUCCGAUUUUUAGCUGUAAGUUACUAUGCAAUUUCUUUUCUUCAUAAGAAUCCAUCCCAAAUUCUCCAGAUUUGUGUUAUUAGUUCUAACAAUGAACGAAUAUGUUGGUUUCAUAGGUCCUCCCUGUAACACUAGAAGGUAGCCAGUAUACUACACCCGCUGUGAGUGACACCCUAUUAACAUAUCUACUAAAGAGUUAAAUGCACAUUUAUGCAACAAUUACUCACCUUUCAUCCAAUUUACACAACACUACCAAUUUAUUCCACAAUAUUUCACAUUUUUAUCGAUUUAUGCAACAAUGUUCUAUUUUUUUCACCAAAUUAUCUAAACCGACACAAAUUAUCAAAACACCUUCUUAUCUACUCAUUGCAUAUUUCAUCUAAAAACUAUUUUUUUUGCAUAAUUUGGGAAAAAAUAUAAACACAGUUCUACAAAUGCACAUUUAACCUUUUACUAAACGAGUAAAUAACAACUUCUUAAGGGAUUUACAUUUUGUUGAUUUUUGGUUAUGAAUGCCAGGUUCUGUGUGCACGUUAUAGCGAUGAGGAAUAUUUACAGAAUAGAUGCAAAGGUAUUUCAAGUAUUUAGUUGAAUCAAAAUAAUUAGAUAAUUAAAAUGUAUCCAACUUUUGUCCUUUUUUUUUCAGGAAGCCAAGAGGUGUACCAUGAGCGAUAUGGACGAUUUGGUAUUGAGAAGAUUUGGAGAGAUGAUGUGCUUCCUUGUCGUGUUUAUUGUCGGCAUUGGUAAGUUUUUGAAAAGUUAAUCACACAACAACAAAAAAUCAUUUAUCUAGAGAAAAAAAAGUUGAUAAAAUGGAUAAAAUCAUUUUGUGUAGCGUAUUGGCAGCAAAGAAUCUUGGGAAUGAAGCGUAUGAGAAUUUUUUAGAUCAUACGUAUCUUGCAGACCGUAUAACAACCCUUGGGAAAUACUUGGUGACAACGGGUUGUGGUAUCAUGGAAGAAGAACCACCCGAGGUUCUUAAGGUUCGAUAUGGUGGUUAGUCUUGAUUUUGCUAUUUUUAGCAGUAUGGUUCCUAAUUUAAAGGGUUUUAAAUUAGGAACCCGAUUGUAGGCCAACAUUUCAAUGUUGGCCAUAACAUUUGCGAGAUGAGAAUUUAUAAUGUCAAUGUGUAUUAGGCUGGGACUCGAGUGAUAUGUGAUUUCUUUUUAUCAUACCCAUGGUGGUGAUAGGACUCGCUUUAUUUUUUGUCUGUGCAAAAAAAGACGUAAAUGCCCUUGUCAUCCUCAUCAACAAAAAUAUCUAUAGAAACCUUGUCUAGUCUAGUUUUGUUGUGUGUAUCAAACACAAGGUAAAUGAGGUUUCAGCGAGACAUUGUGGUUUGGGAGUUGUUUCCGCUUGUGUUUUUGAUCCAUCAACAUAAAAACAACAGUUCUGAUUUUUAUACAUUUGUUUUGAUUCUCUCUAUUUUGAUUAAAAUGAGGGUUAUAAAAGUCAAAACAAAUGGAUGAGUCAAAAUCAUAAUUGGAAAGUGAUUUACCUCCAAAUGUAGUUUAUCUGGGGAAAAGAACAUUGGGAGUGCAACCGAGGGGAAUCUUUUGAAUUAUAAGCAAUGCAUUCACUAAGGGGCUAGGGACUGUUUGAUAGUUUCUGAUUGAGUCAAUGUUUGGCUGAGUAAGACGUAACCCCGAAUCUUACCUGUCCAAGUAAAAACAUUUCAGAUGAGUCAGGACCGAAUCCAUUAAAUCAAUUAGAGGUUUCUAAGCGUGAUAUCAAACAGUUUGAAUAUGACCGUCUAGUCAAAUUUAGUUUCUUAGUCGCUUACCAGACUCAGUAAGAGGUAUAUUAUAUCACAAAAUAACUACUUUCUAAGUAACUAUCACAAAACAACGGCAUAUAUUACAAAAUGAGUUUUACAUGUUUUUGGCUUAGUUAAAAUACUUUGUAAUGGUCUCAAAUACAAAAAAGUUUUGUUUUUUUAUUUAGUUUUAAAAAAUAAUAGGCAAAUUUGCUAAUAGCGAAUAAUUUACCAAUAUAUGUAAUGUCCCGAAAAUUUUGUACUAUAAUACAACAAAUGUGUUUGGGGAUUAUGUUUAAGAGGUUUGUACCAUUUUGUAUUACAAGUGAACUAGAUUAUAACCCGCGUUAAACGUGAGGGAACGCAUAAAAAAAGUACAAAUCGUUGAAGGACAUAUUUGUAGACAACUUUUUAUGUUAAAAAGAAUUGGAUGCAUUAAUGGGUUAAAAUGAAUUUAUUCAAUUCGUUAAUACAUAUAUUAAACAAAAUUAAUACCAUAAAACAAAAUAAGAGAUGAGUUGAUGAUUAAAAAAUUAACGCUACCUUUGAUAUCUUUUUCAUCAGCCACUGAUUACCACGGUGAUUCUUACUUACUUUUUUUGACCAGUCAUAACAAUAAAAAGAAUACUAGCCUUCGUCUAAAUCAAAACCGAUGACAGUAGCAAUGAUGGACAAACUAAUUUCCUAUUUCAUAAAUUUUUUUAAAAAUAUAUCAAAAAGUUUAAUAUAUAUAUAUAUAUAUAUANNNNNNNNNNNNNNNNNNNNNNNNNNNNNNNNNNNNNNNNNNNNNNNNNNNNNNNNNNNNNNNNNNNNNNNNNNNNNNNNNNNNNNNNNNNNNNNNNNNNNNNNNNNNNNNNNNNNNNNNNNNNNNNNNNNNNNNNNNNNNNNNNNNNNNNNNNNNNNNNNNNNNNNNNNNNNNNNNNNNNNNNNNNNNNNNNNNNNNNNNNNNNNNNNNNNNNNNNNNNNNNNNNNNNNNNNNNNNNNNNNNNNNNNNNNNNNNNNNNNNNNNNNNNNNNNNNNNNNNNNNNNNNNNNNNNNNNNNNNNNNNNNNNNNNNNNNNNNNNNNNNNNNNNNNNNNNNNNNNNNNNNNNNNNNNNNNNNNNNNNNNNNNNNNNNNNNNNNNNNNNNNNNNNNNNNNNNNNNNNNNNNNNNNNNNNNNNNNNNNNNNNNNNNNNNNNNNNNNNNNNNNNNNNNNNNNNNNNNNNNNNNNNNNNNNNNNNNNNNNNNNNNNNNNNNNNNNNNNNNNNNNNNNNNNNNNNNNNNNNNNNNNNNNNUAUAUAUAUUUCUUAUACUAUAAUAUUCGUAAGUAAUCAUAUAAAAAAAUUUAUUUUUAUUUAAUAAUAUAUAAACACAAUAAUACAAGUAUUUUAUUCGAUACAAAAUAAAAUAUAAAAAACCCAAAAAAUACUACAAAAUUUUAAAGCGUUUUUAUGUCUUCGUAUUCCAUAUUUUCUUUAGUUUAUCAUUUUUCAUCUCUUCAAUGUUUUUCACAAAUGCUUCCAAAUCUACAAGAAAAAAAUGAUUAAUGUAAGAAAACUCACAAAAAUACAUAUGUGCGCAUAUAGACGUAAUUUAUAUGUGGUUCACUUAUGAUUUAUAUGCGAAUCACAUGUAAUUCAUAUGAAAUUUACUUGUGAGUUACAUGUGGUUAACAUCCAAAUUAUAUGUGAAUCACAUGUAAUUCAUAUGUGAUUCACUUGUGAUAUAUUGCUAAAAUGAAACAAAUUAAAAUAAACGAUAUGGUUAGAAAAAAUAAAUAAUUAAGAUGAUUCACAUGUGAAUCACUUGUGAUCCACAUGUGAAUCACUCGUGAUCCACAUGCGAAUCACUUGUGAUCCACAAGUGAUCCACAUGUGAAUCACAAGUGAUUCAUAAAGCUCAAUAUAGAAGCAAUUAAAAAAAAUAUAUGGUUAGAAAAAACAAAUAAUUAACAUGAUUUACAUGUGAAUUACAUGUGAUUCACAUGUAAAUCACAAAUGAUUCACAUGUGUCACAAGUGAAUCACAAAUGAUUCACAUGUAAAUCUCUUUAUUCAUCAUCAUUUUUCUAUAUAAAUUUUUUGAUAUUAUAUGAUAAUUACCUAAAAUCCAAUGCAACACCAGUAGUUGAUGAAGGUUUGCUUAUAAAGCACUUGGAGGGUGGUAGAAAACCCUGAAAUGUAUUAUAACAAAGCAAGAACAAGAGAAUGGACUUGAGAGAGAGGUUGGGAGAUCAAAAUCGGCUAGCCACCACUAUAUUGUGAAUUAGUCUGAUUUUUGGGGUUAGGGACUUCUUUUAUAGCUUAGGAUUACAACCAUGCAAACCCUAAUGACUCUUUUUACUUCUUAGUCUUUUGGGAUAAACCUUCUUGGACUUUCACAUAGGUUUAGUCCAACUCUAAUCAACAUGAGUCAUGAGCCCAACUAGAAGUAUUACUGAUUUACUUAAUUAGUUCAUGUAUCCUUAAUUAGUUUCUUUUGAUCACUAAAUUAAUACCAAAUUAAUUCUUGAUAAAUACUAAUUAAAUAAUGUGAUUCCUCAAUUAAUAUAUUAUACUCAUACUAUAUUAAUAAACCACAAUAACCUCUUCUUCAAGUAUCCAUCCUAUCAAAUUGUUCCAGAGUGUUACAACCCAAAUGGACCAUGCUAUUAUCGGGUCAAGUACAUACUAAUUAUAGCUAUGGGCUUAGAAACCUAAUCCAACAGUCUCCCACUUGGAUAAGUCUAAUAACUAUAAUUUCCAAUGUUCUUCAAAACCCGAGUAGCAAUCGUAGCUCUCUAAAAGCCAAUGUCGAAUCCUGACGCGCCAUUUAGAUAAGGGAUCAUAUAAUCCUCUGUUCUUCAAGAUAUCAUGCAGACAAAUACAUGGAACAUAGUCAUACUUAUUGUCCAGUUGUUUGUUUCUCGAUUUAUGAUUUGUUUGACAUAGAAUUUAAUUGAACACAUCAAUUUAGGUCUGACUGGGCUCGACACAUAAGUCAAAACAAAAUCAUCGAGGGGCCCAUAUAUUGCUUUUAAUCCUCUUAGGAUAAAAGGAACAUAUAAACUUCAACUUAUAUGCUUGUACUAACUAUCGGUUAAAUCAUAAACAACAACAUUUUUUAUAACAUCGAGUUACUGAUGCGUUUUCGCACUAUCAAUGUAUAACCAACUGAUAAUUAUAUCUUUGUUUGAAGAUUAUAUGAUAUUAUCAUCUCACAAUCACUCAUGAUAAAUUCCAUCAAGUGAUUGAUGUAUGUGUGGGUUGAUCCAAUACUCAAAUCUUAUUUUAAGAUUACUCAUGAAUGUUGAAGCAAACUUUUGCAAUGUCUAACUCCUUAGACAAUCAUACAAAACACAUUCAUGACAGUCUACUUACAAAUCUACUUCGAAAGUAUGAUCCACUGUGGAUAGUUUAAAUAAUCUUAUUAUUCUGGAAGUCAAAAAAUACAAAAUGAAACAAUAGUAAAUAAAUGACACAAGAUAGUAACUUUACUUAUAAAUAAAAUUCCUUUUAUUCAGUCAUCAAAUGUCAAUUACAUUUUAGCUAUUACAAGUUUCUAAAUAUCUAUUUAAUCAUUAAAACUAAUAUCGUCCUUCAACCCAAUGCUCCUUGCAUGUAGCAAGUGCUUAUCCCUACUGAGUCCCUUUGUAAGGGGAUCUGCUGGAUUCUUCUCUGACGAUAUCCUCUUCACUACGAGUAGUCCUUCUUCUACUUGAUGUCUUAUAAAGUGAUAUUUUCUAUCAAUAUGCCUGGAUCUUCUAUGAUCCCUUGGUUCCUUGGCUAAGACAAUUGCACUUUCAUUGUCACAGAAAAUAUCCAUAGGCUCUUCUACAGUUGGUACAACUCCAAGGUAUCUAAUGAAGUUCUUCGGCCAUAUUGCCUCCUUUGCUGCUUUGCUUGCUGCUAUGUACUCUCAUUCACACGUUGAAUCAACCAUAGUUUCCUGUUUGGAACUUUUCCAUGUUAUUGCUCCUCCAUUAAGGGUAAAUACCCAGCUCAACUGAGAGCGGAAAUUAUCUCUGUCGGUCUGAAAGCUGGCGUCACUGUACCCUGUCACUCUCAAGUCAUCUCUCCCACCGAGGGUAAGGACCCAGUCCUCGGUCCUCCAGAGGUACUUAAGAAUGUUCUUUACCGCAGUCCAGUGAGCUUUACCAGGGUUCCCUUGAUAUCUGCUGACCAUGCUUAGAGCAAAGGCCACUUCAGGGCGAGUACAUGUCAUAUCAUACAUGAUCGAGCCAAUUGCGGAAGCAUAUGGUACUCGACUCAUCUCUGCUAUCUUAGCCUCUGUACUCGAACUCUGAGUCUUACUCAUUUUGGUAUUGUUUUAGAUUGGCAAGUCUCCUCUCUUGGAAUUCUCCAUGCAAAAACGCUUCAACACCUUGUCCAAGUAGGUACUUUGGCUAAUUCCUAUUGUCUUUUACUCUUGUCUCUCAAUAUCCUUAUCCCUAGAAUGUAAGCAGCUUCUCCGAGGUCCUUCAUAUAGAAACACUUCCCAAGCCAGGAAUUAACCUCCUGCAAAGUUGGAAUGUCGUAUCCUACGAGCAUUAUAUCAUCCACAUACAACAUGAGAAAGCUAACUAUACUCUCACUAGCUUUGACAUAUACGUAGGACUCAUCCUCGCUUCUAGAAAAUCCAAACUCUUUGACUUUCUCAUCGAAACAAAGAUUCCAUCUGUGAGAUGCUUGUUUCAAUCCAUAAAUGGAUUUCUCAAGCUUACACACCCUAUUAGGGCACUUUGCAUUAACAAAAUCCUCUGGCUGAUUCAUGAAACAUCUUUAGCCAACUUCCCAUUAAGGAAAACGGUUUUGACAUCCAUUUGCCAUAUUUCAUAAUCAUGAAAUGCAGCAAUGGCUAGCAUAACCCUUACAGAUUUAAUCUUAGCCACUGGUGAGAAGGUCUCAUCAUAUUCAACUCCAGGAGUUUGAGUAAAGCCCUUCACAACCAAUCGGGCCUUAUAAGUGUGUACUUUCCAAUCUAUGUCGGUCUUCUUCUUGAAGAUCCAUUUGCACCCGACUGUAUUACGGCCCAGUACAUUGUCAACCAAGUUCCAAAGUUGAUUGUCAUACAUUGAUUGAAUCUCGCGGUCCAUUGCCUCUUUCCAUUUAGCAGACUCAGGGCCUGCCAUGACUUCCUUGUAGCUGUUAGGCUCAUCCAAAUUUACCACUGUACUAUCAUUGAUAAAUGUGUCACCUUCAGUAGUAAUAUGGAAACCAUAAAACUCAGGUGCCUGUCUAACUCUACUGGAAUGCCUCAGAGGUAAGGAAUCGUCAAUCGGUUCAACUGGAGUUUCCUCCUCAGGUUGAGCGCUAGUGUUUGAGGUUCCUUUAUCACUUAACUCUUGAAGCUCUUCAAGGUCAAUUUGCCUCCCACUGUCCUCUUGGCAUAUGAGUUCUCUCUCUCUCUCUCUCUCAAGACUCCUCUCCUCGCAACAAAGACAACAUUGUCACUCGGUCUAUAGAAGAGAUAUCUAAAGGAUUUUUGUGGGUAGCCAACGAAAAUACAACGCUCACUAUGAGGUUCGAGCUUGUCGUGAUUUUCCUUUCUCACGGAAGCCUCGCAACCCCAAACCUUGAUAUGGUCUAAAGAGGGAACCUUCCUUAUCCACAACCCGUGAGGUCUUUUGGUAACCUUUUUAGUUGGGACUAGAUUAAGGAUAUGGGCGACAAUCUUUAAGGAAUACCCCCAGAAUGAGAUAGGUAACGAAGCUCGACUCAUCAUGGAAUGAACCAUGCCCAACAAGGUUCUAUUGCGCCUCUCAGCGACACCAUUAAGCUGUGGUGUCCUAGGUGGUGUCAAUUGUGAAACAAUUCCACAUUCCUUAAGAUAGUUGUGGAACUCGAUACUAAGAUACUCUCCUCCAUGAUCGGAUCGAAGCAUCUUUAUCUUCCUGCCUAAUUGAUUCUCCACUUCUUGCUUAAACUCUUUGAACUUUUCAAAGGUUUCUGACUUAUGCUUGAUUAAGUAGACAUACCCAUAUCUACUAUAAUCAUCAGUAAAAGUCACAUAGAAGCGGUUAACAUCCCUUGUGGCGGUUCUGAAGGGUCCACACACGUCGGUGUGUAUGAGAUCUAACAGACCCUUACUCCUUGCACAAGAACCAGUGAAGGGUGAUUUGGUCAUCUUUCCAAGCAGACAAGAUUUACAAGUGUCAUCUGACUUUAAGUCAAAUGACUCCAAAACUCCAUCCUUUUGGAGUUAGGGUAUAUGCUUCUUGUUGACAUGUCCAAGACAACAAUGCCAUAAGGAUGUUUUUUCCAAACCAUUGGAUGAAUCGAUAUGCAACACAUUAUUUCCUAAGUUAUCUACAACCAUCACAAUUUCAUAUAUACCAUUACAAGAAAAUGCUUCAAAAUAAAGUACAUCAUUAAAAUAAGCAUUAAAACCACCAAUUUUAUUAUUAAAAGAAAAGGUAAAACCUUGUUCAUACAAACUAUGAAAGGAAAUAAUAUUCCUAGCCAUAUCAGAUAAGUAGCAACAAUUAUUGAAGUCUAAUUUUAAACCAUUACUAAGCAAUAAAAAAUAAACUCCAAUCUUGGUGACAUACGACUUUUUCCUAUUCCACAUGAUCAAGUUCAUCUUCGCGUGCUCCACAUCCCUACUUUCUUUUAGACCCUACAAAUCAGAACAAAUGUGAAAACCACAUCAUGUAUCAAGGAUCCAAGAGUUAGCAUAUGAUGAGUUAUUAGACAUAAUAGUAUAAAUACCUGCAAAGGAGGGUUUGAUCUCCCCAUACUUUAUGUCCUGCAAGUAUUUGGGGUAGCUUCGCUUCCAAUGCGCUUUUUCAUGACAAUGGAAACACUCUGCUUCCUUUGGGUUUUAGUAGGUUGUAGCAGGACCACCUUUGGACCCACUAGAAUAGGAUCCAACAUUGGACUUUCCCUUGUGGCUCUUUGAGGAAGAUUUCUUCUUCUUUCCCUUCCCAUGUCCAAUUGCCAAGACAGGGGCAGUAGCAGUAGGAGUAGAAACAACAAAUUUUCCUUUAAGACUACUUUCGGCAGUCCUUAAAAAGCCUUAAAGCUUGCUUAGAGUGACCUACUCCUUGUUCAUGUGAUAGGUUAUACUAAACUGAUCAUAACAAGGACGUAAAGAGUGUAGAAUAAUAUCUAUGGUCAACUCUUCAUCGAAGUUGACAUUCAACUUCAGCAAGUGGUCCACAAACCUUUGCAUCUUUUGCAAGUGGGCCGUGAUGGACUCUCCAUCCUUCAUCUUGGUUGUAAUCAUGAAGGCUAUGAUUUCAUACCUUUACUGCCUUGCACUUUGAUGGUACCUUUCCAUCAAAUCUUGGCACAUUUCAUUAGGCCAGAAGUCCUUAUAGGACUUCUGAAGCUCAACAGUCAUGGUAGCAAUCAUAAUACACGACACUUUGGUCGCGUCCCUCUCAUGGGCCUUGUAUUUAACAAUCUAUUCGGGAGUAGCGGUAGAUUCAUCAAUAUCCUUAAGCUCUUUAUCUAGGAUAUAUUCUUUGUCCUCGUAGCGAAUGGACAUUCGGAUGUUUCGAAUCCAAUCAUUGAAUUUCGAUCCAUAAAAUAUGACCCUCCCACAUAGGUUCAUGAGGGAGAAAGAGCCUGAAGGGUUUGGGUUUGAAGUAGUGUUGGAAGACAUCUGAAAAGAAAGACAAAGUUCAAAUUAGAUAAUGAUCCUUAAUAUAGCACCCAAAUAAAAUAUUAAGGCUAGGAACCAACACAAUACUUUACAAUUUGGAGAGGGAUGCCGUAAUCCAAUUGUAAAAUAUUUGAAGGUAGGUAAAUGACGAUUUACCAAUUUCCACCAUGAAAAACAAAAUUGAUUAUUAAGUUUUAAUUGGAUUGAAAUUCCUAGAUUCUUUUGAGAUUCAUUGAAAUCUUCAAUGUCAUGUUUUAAUCUCUAUUAUGCCCUUCAAGUUUGUGAUUGGGAUGCCGAGGAUCAAGAACAAGGUGUGAAUAACCAUGCAAAUUAGCUUGGUACACCUAAUGUCACACCCCCAAACCAGAACGGCAGAAAUGUUCGAGGGUGGAGGAAGUCAUUUGUAGUAUCACAACAAUUGCAUCAUAGUAAUCGAAGUAAACAUAACCAUUACAUUAUAAUAUGAAUAUUUACAUUUGCUUGAAAACAUAGUUUGUAUACACCAAAAAUAUAACAAAAGAUAAAGACGAGACUCCAAAAAAAUGCCCCGUCUUCUCCAUAAGCUAACAAGAGUACCUGUCUACUAUUGUCCUGAGAAUACAAACGAUUUUGAAAACAUAUCAACAUAAAGCUGAUGAGUUCAUAAGCAUGUUUUUAUAAUGGAAACUAGUCACUGAAUUUGUAUAAAAAUUGUUUUCUAUUGUAUGUAAAGUAUGAUUCAUUUUGACAUCCCUGGUUACUACCAGUAUGUAGAAUACGUUCUUGUUUGAUGACACUGGUUACUACUAGUAUGUAAAGUACAAAAGUUCGACUGGGAAAAUCCCUUAUUUUCCCUUGUGAGUUGUUGCUUUAAUGGUUCCGAAACGGUGAGGCAUAAGUAUAUUCCAUAUUUAUGUGAUUAAAGCAAUUUUUCAUGAGCAAUGUAUUAUUACGUAAAAGUGUCUUACUAUUGACGAGUUUUAUGACCAUACUUAAACUUGAUAUGAUGUGAAACUGACGUCGAUAUCCUUUAUGACAUUUGUCACCCGUAGACCUGUCGGUCCGACUGUAGCUAGCAACAAGGUGCAGGAUAGUCAGUCCCAUAUAGAUCUAUACACAAAAGCCACACUUUCCCUCCAGGAAACUCAGGUUCAUAUGGGUAGUCCUCCACUUAUUUAAUGUUGUAAGCGGCCAAGGACUUGUCUCCCAAUUAUGUUAACGACUUUACAAGUAAUAAUAUAGAAAGCGUAAAGUUCUUUCAUACAUGAAUUCAAUGUAUGUUUUGUAGAGUAAAAAUAAUUAUACUUAAAUAAUUAUUAAUUGUUGUACUCUUGUAAUGUGUGUCAUAAACUAAAUCUGUCAUAGUUUAUUUGUUCAAUCGUGUAAGUAGUUUGCAUCUGUAAAACUGGUAAUGAAAUUUCCCAAACUAUACUUAUUAUAGUUUGACUGUUAUGUUCGUGAAACUAUUUUGAAAACUAUGCAAUUAAAUUUAGAAAACAUCCCUUAUGCUCUACAUAAUACAAAAGGGAUAAAGUAUCUAACUGUUUUAUGAAAACCAUUGAUUUGUAUAAAUUGCAUAAGUUUUGAUCCAUUGAAAACCUUUAAGUUUGGCUUGUGUCCCCCCUGAAAAACGUUUAAAAAACAUAAAUGCGUAGGGGUAUGAACUCACAGUUUGUUGUGAGAUUCGAAUGUAAGUUGAUAGGAAUUUUGAGUGUCAAAUGAAACCUCGGACACAAACGAAUCCUAUUUAACAUAUAGUAGUACAUAUAUGUAUUAGAUAAGGAUAUAACACCAUUAGUUAUGGAAGGAAACCACCUUAGGGACUAGGAAACACUUGAAACUAAGUGUUAGAAUCACACGUGAUUAAAAGAGGGGAGUUUGCGGUCACAACAAAGGGUGUACGAUCAUGGGUUUGCGGCCUAAUGAGGUUCUCGGACCAAGAGUUUGUGGCCAGGUGUUUGCGGUCCAUGGGUUUACGGCCCAUGAGUUUGUGGCCGUAAACACUCGAUGAAAGGUGCGAUUUGCGGUUUUUCAAGGUCCUUUCUAGCCUCAUGGAAGUGUUCUAGGUCACAUGCAUGGCUUAAGGAAGAUUUUAAGGCCAAUAAUCGACCAAAAACUAGGGUUUGCGGCUAAUGAGGGGUGUACGGCCGUAAACCCUCCAUGAUCAUGUCUUUUGGGUCGAUUUUAAGGUGAAUAACAAGCAUUUCUAGAAGAUAACAAGCAUAAGAAGCAGUUACUUACUAUAAGGAUGCUUGGAAUGAGGUUUUUAGCCACCAGGAACUAGUGUGUGUUCUUGGUGAGAGAGGAGAUCUAGACAAAGAUGAGUUAAAUGAGGUAGGAACAUGGAUUCAUCACUAGAUAAGAGAUUAAAACACAUUCAAGAUGGAGGAUCACUUACAUUUUUAGGAUCUUUGAGCAAAAUCGAUGGAUGUAGAGAGAGAGAUAGAGUAGAGAGAGAAAGACUUUGAAGUGAGUAAAGUGUGAAAUAAAGGCCAAGCAUCCCUUAUAUAGGGUUGAGUUUUCGGCCAAGGGGUGGGUGGGGGUAUACGGCCGUAAACUCGAGUUUGCGGCCGUACACUCCUCUCGAAGGGGUGUUCGGCCCGGAUGCUACGAUAUGACUUAGAAAAACUCGUUCUUAGACCCAAAUAUUGAUUGCAAUGAGCUUAGAAUAUUCAAUUAGACCCAAAAUAAUGCUAAUGAGAGCAGAAAUAAAUCUGAAUUGAUUGAUUUUUAAACGGUUCGAACAUAAAGAAGUUUCGGGUUGUAACACCUAAUGUUACAAAUCACACAAUCAAUGUGCCAGUUAACCACACAUGCUCCAUUGAUCAAUGAUUAACGUCAAGCUACCCUUUGCCACACAUUGUUAGUCCCAAAUUAGUGUGCCGGUUAACCACACACGCUCCACUAACGACUUAACAAGGUGCAAAGUGCAAUUUCAUGGAAUAACACCAUUUUCAAAUUUUUCCUAAAGUAACUAAGAUUGGGAAUUAGUGUCCUAUCCUACCCAUUCGGCUAAUGACCCUCCACCAGUCAAGGAAGCGAUGGGUGAGAGUGGACACCCAUUAAACCAACAUUUUAUAGGCAAUAACCUUUUACCCCCCUUAUAGAUUGACUUCAUGAAUGAGGCCUACUAACGGUAAGUCUUACUUGUCUUAUACAUAUAUAAGUAUUAAACUUUAAUAUUAUAAUAGUAUAAGGGUUGGAUUUUAAACUUUUAAAAUUCUAGGGUUUGGAAUUAAAGUUUCAUAAAUGCGACUCUUCAAGUUCCAAAACAUAAGGGCAAGUUUUGUAACUUGUCAAAACUUUUGAUUUCCAUAAAUCAUGGAUUUUAAAGUUCCAUGAAUGAGACCUUUCAAAUUCCAAACUUGAGGGCAAGUUAUGAAACCUUUCAUGAGUCUUGAAUUCUAUAACUUACAUGAGUUUAUAGUUUCAUAAAUUAUGACUUUUCAUUUUCCAUAACUUGAGGACAAGUUAUGAAACUUUUCAAGAACCACAUAAAGAUCAAAUGAACUAAUCCAAUUAUCAUAUAAUUAAUCAUUUACCAAUUUGACCUAAUUUUAUUCAUGCCACAUGAUAACUUCAAAUUUUACAAAUAACUAGUUUUUCACUAAAUCAAGUAAUUAUCUUAAAAUUGGACAAACUUCAUGUUUUGGAUGAGAAUAAAAAUUACCAUAUUAGUAAAAUUAAAUUUUAUCAACCAAAACAGUUUGUGGUAAUGAUCCUAAUCCAAAACAGGCCAAAAACUUGAAAAAUUUGCCACCAGAUGAGCCAACUCGUUGAGCCAAGCUUUGGACUUGUCGAGUUCAUGGGAAAACUCAUCCAACUCAUCGAGUCCAUAUAUGGACUCGUCGAGUCCUUCAGACAGUGGCCAGAAAAGUCAUUUUUCCAACUUUAAAAAUCACACAUUUGCAUCAAUAUAAUAGAAAGCACCCUUGGCUCUGAUACUUCUGAUGGGUUUUAUGUACUCUAACAUUCCUAUGGUGCACAUACAACCCUAAUGAUUUGGAUCAAAGUUUUCUCUAAUUAUACAUGCAACAUUGUUUUUCCGAAGCAUAAAGCCUAAACUAGCUUGCAAGGCAACAUUUGAAUCAUAAAAAUAGUUAGAAGAUUACCUUGUGUAGUAGCUUGCUUGUCUUUGACCUUUAGGAGCCUAGCACCUCAAGUGUGAUGCCUAAAAUGUGUUAUAAAAAACCAAGAACAAGAGAAUGGACUUGAGCGAGAGGUUGGGAGAUCAAAAUUGGCUAGUCACCACUAUAAUGUACAUUUGUCCGAUUUUAGGGGUUAGGGACUUCUUUUAUAGCUUAGGAUUACAACCAUGUAAACCCUAAUGACUCUUCAUAUUUCUUAGUCUUUUGGGCGGAAACUUCUUGGAGUUUCAUAUAGGUUUAGUCCAACUCUAAUCAACAUGAUUCAUGAGCCCAACUAGAAGUAUUACUGAUUUACUUAAUUAGUCCCUGUAUUUUUAAUUAGUUUCUUUUGAUCACUAAAUUAAUAUCAAAUUAAUUCUUGAUCAAUACUACUUAAAUAAUGUGAUUCCUCAAUUAAUAUAUUAUACUUAUAAUAUAUUAACAAACCACAAUAACAUCUUCUUUAAGUAUCCAUCCUAUCAAAUUGUUCCAGAGUGUUACAACCCAAAUGGACCAUGCUAUUAUCGGAUCAAGUACUUACCAAUUAUAGUUAUUGGCUUAGACACCUAAUCUAACACUUUACACGUCCAAAAGUUCUUAAUACAAGGUCUUAAUCCAUUAACACCCUUCUACCAAAUGCAUGGGACACUUCUAGCCAUUGGAACCUCAUUUUUUAUGAUUAAGGACCCCUGCAUGGGUCUGAAAGGAUGACUCAAAACAUUCAGAACAUGCCAUGCUCAGAUGGAGCAUUUGGGACCAAAAAGAAGCAUAAAAAGAACCCAACAAGAGAUCUAUCAAUGAAACCAUAAAGGUAUGGACUUUAUACCUUUAGAUGAUGGAGAAGGAAUCCAAACUCCCAGAUCCAAACCUUGCUUCAAGUUUCCAAGCUUCUUGAUGCACUUACUUUGCCUCUAAAUCACCAAGAAUUCACUUUAAGGCUCUCACUCUUGCACAAGGGGGACAAGGUUUUGCAAGAAUGAAUCAAGGACUUGGAGGCUGAAAGCAUAAGGGAAAAUGGUCAAUAAUGAUGUUUAAAUACUCCCCGAACACUAAACAUUAGGUUUCACCCGAACAUUAGUACGCCCAAUGUACAUAUGUGUACACCCAGCGUACUAGGGUGUGCCCUAGUAUGCUUAGUGUACUCACAUGUAUGCCCAACAUACUACUCCUGCUCCCAAAAUUACCAUAUUGCCACUACGACUCCCUAGGGCUACAUCUUUAUAAUCUAAGGACCCAAAAAUGAAAUACUUAAAACCAAAGGAAGGAUUUGAAAAUACUUGAAACCUGGGAUGUUACAAUUCUCCCCCACUUGAUCUAGACAUCGUCCUUGAAUUCUGUUGCAACAAAAAUUUUUGGGUAAUGCUCCCGCAUCCCAUACUCUAGCUCGCAGGUCCACCCGGAGCCCCUCCGAUGCUGCCAUUGUACCUUUACCAAAGGUACUUCCUUGUUACGCAAAACCUUAACCAUUCUCUCCAGAAUAGCUACUGGCCUCUCAACAUAGUUUAGGCGUUCAUCAACCUGAAUGUCAUCCAAGGAGACUACCACGUCCUCAUCUAAUAUGCACUUUUGUAACUACAAAACGUGGAAAGUGCUGUAAAUCCGACUGAGCUCCUCAGGAAGAUCCAAUCUGUAAGCAACCUUGCCAAUCCUAGCAAUAACCCGAAAAUGACCAAUAUAUCGGGGACCCAACUUCCCCCUCCUCCUGAAGAGGAUGUCAAUUUCAUCUAAGGAAUAACCCUAGGCCAUCAGGCAUCAUAUGGUCAAACAAAUCUAUCAUGCAGUUCCUGAAGAUCCCUAGCUUAUCAGUAGCAUGCUGUUCUUACAUAUCACAAAAUCAAAUAACAAAGUGGUAAUUUGGGGUGUACUUGUUGGCUCCGACUGAUCAUACAUAUCGUAUCCUCUUUAGUUUAAAAUCGACUUUGAAAGUUAUUUUUAAAACCUUUACUUUGAAAAUUAUUUUUUUAAAACCCCUUUUCCUUAGUUUGAGACAGGAUUCACACGAGUGUUCCUCCAAUUCACUCAAACCAAGGCUCUGAUACCAACUUGUAACGUCACAAAAAUUACAACAAAUUUAAACCUUUCAAAACAACCCGUUUGUUAAGCAAAGUGUUUACAAAAACAUUGUCUCCAAAACAUAAUUUAAAGUCAGAGUUUCCCGAGAUCCAAUCCGUCAUAUAACCGAGGAUGUGUACGGUCACGCCUUCGUCUUGCCACAAAUCAUCCGAAGAACCUGAAACCAUAAACAAACUGUAGGCAUGAAGCUUAGUCAGUUCUGUUGGAUUAGGUGUCUAAGCCCAUAACUAUAAUUGGUAUGUACUUGAAUUGAUAGUAGCAAUGUCCUUUUGGGUUGCCUUCAAACCUGACAAUUGAAUAGGAUAACUAUUGGAGAGAAAAGAAUGAUUUAUUAAUUUAUUACUUGGUUAAUAAAUUAAUUUGAAAUAAAGAUAAAUGAUUUAUUAAUGUAUUAUAGAUAUAAUAUAUUAAUUAGAAAUCAUAUUGUUUGAUUAAUAUUUAAUCAGAAAUGGAAUUAAUAUUGGGAUUAAAGGAAUUAAUAGAAACUAUAGGGACUAAAUGUGACAAUGCUCUAAAGUUGAGCAUUGAAGUAUUAUAGAACCUCCCUUAGAGGUGGGGAACGAAAUCUAGAGUGUCCUAGGGUUUCAUUGGGCUCUAAGGGUGCCUUGGAAGCCUUAGGGAGGAAGUUAAGGGAUUAGAGUUAUUUAAGAUACACCUGCCUUAUCCUAAACCUUCCUUAUCACCUAUAUAAACCCCUAUAGGGUUAGAUUUCGUCCCAUGCACUCUAAGAAAGGCUUAGAUCCGAAUUUUCACUUCCCUUAUCUCUCUCCGUAGUAAUCCUUGGUUUCUAGGUUUGUUUGUAAGCCAUUAGAGGCGCGACACUUGUGGCGCUUGCUACCAAAGUUCACGAUCUUCAAGGAUUUGAUUGUUAUUACAAUAUUAAAAUAAAGGUAUGUAUUCUAACCCUAACUAUAUGUUAAUUUUGAAAAUUACAUGUGCGUCUAAGGGUUUCUAGUUUUUGUGUUCAAUGCUUGUAUGUCUAAUAGUGAAAACAAAGAUCCUCAAAUUAGGGUUACAUGCACACAUAUGAUUGUUUGCUAUGUAUAAAACCCAUCAAUGGUAUUAGAGCUUUUAGUUGUUGUUUUCAAUUAGAUUUGAUACAAAAGUAUGAAUUUGAUAAAUUAGGGUUUAUGGAAAAUAAACCCUAGGGCUUGGAUUUUUGAAAUUAGGUUUUCAAAACCCUGGUUUUCGAAAUUUGUUCGGGUUUCUUGAAUCCUUUUCCUUUGGCCCCAUAUUUUCGAUUUUAGGGUUGGUAAACCCUAGGUUUUUCGAAAAUACCUUCCUCCCCAAGAUUAGAUUUCAAAAUUUUAGGGAUUAGGAUAAUAUUAUCUUUGGUAAUUAUCUUAUUAAUUGUUUAAAUGGAUAAUUAAAGAUUUUGAAAUAUCCCUUCCCAAAUUUUCCAAAUCCAGGGGAUAAAAGGAUUAGGUUAAAUUAAUUAUUUAAUUUAAUGGAUAAUCCUUUAAGAUUUAAUAAUAUAAAUUAAUUGUUUAAUUUCGGAUAAUUAUUAAAUCAAAGUUUUAAUAUUUAAGAUUUUAUAAUUAAAAGGUAUUAAUUUUUCGAAAAUUUUAAAUUUGAUUAAAAACCCUAGUAUUUUGAAAGUGUAAAAUACAUCCUUAUACUAUAUAAAAUCACNAAGAUUAAUCAAAUUAAAAAGUCUAAUUUAUUAAUAGUUUAAACCAAAUAGUAUUUUAAAAGUGUAAAAUACAUCCUUAUACUAUAAAAAUUAAAAGUCUAAUAUAUUAUAUAUGUAUACGUAAAGAGUCAGUCUUACCGUUAGUAGGCCUCAUUCACGAAGCUGGUCUAUAAGGGGUGUUUAAGGAAGCGGCCUGUAAAAUGACCGACAUUGGGUAUCCACUUUUACCCACCGCACUCUUGGCUAGUGGAGGGCCAUUAGCCGAACGGGUAGGAUAGGACACAACCUUCCAUUAUAAGUAUAAUUAAAUAAGAAGUAACUAAACACUUUUAAAAAUUCCCAAAUCUUAGUUACUUUAGGAAAAAUGUGGAAUUGGUGCUAAUCCAUGAAAUUGCACAUCGCACCUUGUUGGUCGAUAGUGGAGCGUGCGUGGUUAACCGGCACACUAAUAUGGGACCAAUGAAGGAUGGCAAUGGGUUUCUCGUAAAAUUAUCAUCGAUCAAUGGAGUAUGUAUGGUUAACUGGCACAUUGAUUGGGUGGUGAUCGACAUCGAGAGUACCAAGCUAAUUUGCAUGGUUAUCCACACCUUAUUUAUGAUCCUCGGCAUCCCAGUCACAAACUUGAAGGACAUAAUCGACAUUAAACAUGCCAUUGAAAUGUUCAAUGAAUCUUAAAAGAUCUAGGAGUUUCAAAACAUUUAAAACCCAAUUUUCUUUUCGUUUUUCAUGGUGGAAAUUGGUAAAUCGUCAUUUACCUACCUUCAAAUAUUUUGCAAUUGGGUUACAACAUCCCUCUUCCUAAUUGCUGAAUAUUGUGUUGGAUCCUAGCCUUGAUAUUUCAUUUGGGUGUUAUAUCAAGGAUUCUUAUCAACUAACUUGAAAUUUAUUCUGUUUUGUAGAUGUCAAAUGACUAUGGUCUUCCCGAAUCCUUUGGAAAAAGCUUUCCACUUGAAGGUGAUGUUCUACGAUUGGAUCGUGGAAAUGUAAAUCAUGCUUCACUUCCUACACCUCCUGCAAUAGUUCUCUCUGACCCACGUGUUCUAAGACUUGAAAAUUUCAAGGUCACUCAAGCCCUAUUGGCAAGUAAAGUCACACAUUGACAAGUUGGGAAUGUUGGGUGUCAUUGUCUCAAGGAAGUUGGCUGUUGACUUAGUUCCUCAAUCACUUCCCAAAUCAUAUAGUGAGUUCAUUAGAGAGUACUAUAUGAUGGACCAUUACGUGACCCUCAUUGAUCUUACCUAUUUGCUUAUUGCUGCUGAAUCAACAACGAUUUGGCACACUAGUCAAGCAAAUUUGUUGGGAAGAUCAACCUCCCAAACUUCAUGGACAUUGACAAUGGCAACAUUGGAAGUCAAGAAAAGUCUUCUCUUCCUAAUGGAAAGGGAUUGGAUAAGGUCAAACCGUUUAACCAAAUGGUAAAGAGAAAGGCUGAAUCUGAAAUUGUCCCAUGUGCUGUUCCAAAAGAGUCCGUUUGUUUCUACUGCCAAGAGAAGGGGCAUUGGAUGCGAAGAUGCCAUAUGUACCUGAAAGAUCGCAAGGAUGGGAGAGUCAAGAUGUAUGAGUCUGCUUCAGGUAAAUCCACUAUCUAACUCUAUUAUGGUCUUAUUUGUAGAUUCUUAAUAAAUGAUGUGAUAAGAUUACAUUUUGAUAUUUUGUAGGAUUGAAGAAAAGAAAGGAAGCUUAAAAAGGAUGAGUGAGCUGAGUCUGAUCACAAAGGAAUGGAUUUCGAUCGCAUGGUUCGAAGAUCGGAUUUUUGAGCUGCUACUUAGAAGAGUUAGGAUAGAUUGCUUAGGAAUAUUUACAUAGUUUUCAUUUGUAAUUACGAUUGUAAGGACAAGUUUUUCUGCUUUUUUAUAAAGAAAAUAAAUUUUGAUUUUUGUCUUAUCCUUUCAAUGACUUUUGUGAAAAUUGAUGUUUGUACGUUUCUAUUGUUAGCAAUAUUGAAAAUGGAUGUGAUUCUUAGUUAUGUUAUUCAUGGAAGCGUCAAAGAUUUACCAAAUAGAGAAUGAUUCUUAUCACCCAAGUUUCAACUGGACAAAAACUUGGAAUUGCGCGACUUGUGUUGUGUGAUGAAUGAGAACCUUCGUAUUUGGGAAAUUGAGACUAAUUCCUUGUUCACACAAGUAUGUGAGUAAAGUGAAGGACUAGGGGAUCUAGUAUACAUUUUUGUGCACUAGGUCAAGUCCGCCACAAAGAAUGAUAAUAAUAUUUGUCAUGAUUUGCUAAAGGUUUAGUAAAUAUGGUUAUGCUUACAAGAUUAAGUGUAAUUCUGAAUCGUUAAAAAGGUAUCAAUGUAAAGCAGAACAAAUAGGAAGAAUCAAUUAGGAAGAAAGAUAAAAGUUUCUCCAAUCUAAAAAGAAGGGAGAGUACUUAAUUAUCGUGUUCUAUGAUUAACCAAGUGAUUAUGAAACCGUGUCGCAAUUGAUCCUCUAAGGACACCUUAGUGCAUUUGUAUGGCUAAGAAGAGAAAUCGACAAUUUUUGAAAUGGUUAAAUCGAUUAAGGAGAAUCAUACUUCGUUCCAAAAACAAGCCUUAGAGUCGUACUCCAAGAUUGUGUACUGAGUGAUAUGUUGUAAGUAGGUUUAUAACACAUCAUCAAAUGCGGAGCAGAAAUGUUUCUCACUCCUGCACGUUUGAAAUUGGUAAGUUGUGAUGUCUUGGAUAAGACAAAGACCAACUAAGACCAAUCGUGUGUUGUGGUUUUGUCUUGAUAGGAACCCGCACUAACUCGUGAGUAUUUGUUUGUCAAGGAAUGUUUUUUGACAAGAGAAUCUUAUAUGUCAAGAGGUCAGUGGGAGUCUUAAUGAUCUUGAAAAGUUUCAAGAAAAAAUAAAGAAUAAACCUAGUUGUUCAUCACUAGCACACGACUUGAGGUUUAUAACCUAUCGUGUUGACAUAGUUUUGUUUCUGUGCCAUUCCAAUAAAGUUGACUAUGCAUGUGAGUUCUAAGAGUUCUCAAUUGAUUGCAUAAACCAAAACACCUUGAUUGCUGAAAGUUCAUUGAUCUGUAUGGGUGAGCUGCUUGACUACUUGGUAGACAUGGUAGGCCCUUGUGCUGCCAGGUGGCAAGAAAUAAAGAUUGAACAUGUUCAGUCCAUAUGAGUUUAGAUUUGUCACAAACCUUGUCUUAAGAUUAUGGUUAUGAAAAAUUCACAUGGAUAGAAACACAUACACCAUAAAAUCUAAGUGACAAGGUUUCUCUCCAUUUCAUGAAAAUGAUUGUGAGGAAACGCUUUCACUAGGAAGAUUUUAAGGAGAUAGGGAUUGUGAAAAUUGCGGUCUCAAACCCAAUCAUGAUUACGACAUCCCUCUUCAUGGUUCGAAUUGUGAGAUUUGGAAAUUAGUCUGAACAUUUGGAACUUAUUAAUAUAAGUUCUGAAAUAGUUUAGACAUACCUAUGGGAUUUUUAAUAAAAGGGGUAUGAAAUUAGAUAAAGUCUUAUUAAAGCAUCAUGUAUCAGAAAUAUGAACUUUGAUAAGAAAGUCAAUAAGUAUUGAUUUCUAGAAGUCCAGCUGUUUUCUGAAUACAUGUCAAAGCUAGUGGGAGCAUAAGUGUUAUGCAGGUAAAGAUAUAAUUAUCAUGUUAGUGGGAGCAUGAUUAUUAUGUUGCAAGUUAGCAAUAUUAAUUAUAACAAAAGUUUCAAUUCGCAAAGUUGCAAAAGUUGAAAAGUCGUUUUGCUAUAAUUAAGGGAGAGGAACUUAUACUUCAUUUCAAAUCUAAAAGCUUAGAUCAAGAAAUUUUAAUCAAUUUAGUCAAAGGACAUAUAUGAAUGUUAUGUUGAAAAGAUUCAACAUAUUGGAAUUCUAUAUAUAACAAUAUUGUAGCAGGAGUCUGGUAAAAUAUAACUUCUUUAUGCAAGACAUUAUGUAUCGUAUCCCAUACGCUUUGGGUAUAGUAUCGAUUGCAUAUGCUGUAAUAUUCAACUGUUCUAAUUUUCCAAAUGUCUAGGGCAUUAAGAGGGAAAAGGACAAGAAUCAGAUAUGACUAAAGUAAGUUAAAAAUCUGUCAAGUACAAUCUAAGGUUCGCCAAGGAUUCUUCACUUGUGGGCAGUUGGAAGUAUAGAAAUGGAUGGACCAAAUUGACAUUAUCAUGAAAAGAUAGGAUUCUAUUUAGAAUGUGUUGUCAUAUGGAAAAUAUGGAAAAUUUUCGAUAAUGGGAGUUGGAUAUUAAGAAUUUAUGUAGAUUAGAAACUUUUAUGCAAGAAGGAUGUGAAGGGUUUUGAGCAUUCUAACACUCCUAAGGUGUACAUGCAACCCUAAAUACCUUGGAUCUAUGUUUUAUCUAUUAUACAUGCAAAUAUCAAUUUUCCAAGGUAUUAUCCUAACUAUCAUAUUAUGAAGUACAAGUAAUAUAAAAUCUAGUAGAAUAACAUACCUCUUUGUUGUAGUUUGAUUCCAUGUAGCUUAAGAGCCUAGUGCCUCAAGUGUGAAAUGGUUCACACAACAUACGAUCCAUAGACCUCUUUAUAUAGUGUGGAGGAUUAGGGUUAUAUUCAUGUAAACCCUAAUACCCAUGACCUUUCAUUUCCAUAGGAUCCAUGGUUUAAACACUCCAUGGACUAUCCAUGAAAGAUUAGCCCAAUCUAAAUGAACUUGGCCCACAACAUAUAUAUAAGAGUCCAUAUUUAACUAGUUCCUUUUGAUAACUAAAUUAAUUCUAAAUUAAUUAUUGAUCAAUACUAAUUAAAUAAUAUGGUUUCAUAUUAAUAUAUUAGAACUUAUAAUAUAUUAAUAUAAAUCACUAGUAUCCUUUUUUUUUCUCAUUUUGUCUAUCCAAUUGUUCCGAUGCCAUGCAACCCAAAUGGACCAUGCCAAGUCGGGUCGAAUACAUAUCGAUAAUAAUUUGGGCUUAGACAUCUAACCCAACAGGAUGUUCAAAGGAAUGCACUUUGAAUGUGAGACUUCAUAUCUGUGGAGUUAUCUUGUAACAAUCUCUAAUAAAGCACUUUGUAAUUUCAUUAGCAAAGUCUUUGUGACUUUGGUGCUAUGUCAUUAUAAAAGGAUCAUUGCAUAAAAAGUUAGAAGCUAACACAUAGCAAGAAUUUGGUAUUCUUACACUUGUGAUAAGGAUUGGGAAUUGUGAAAUGAGAAUCAUUGGAAAUGUGUUCAAUUGAUCUAUUUCACAAAGUAAGGACCAUAGGUAAACAUAGUAUGCAUGCUUGGAUUCGAUUAUUCUUGUGUUUCACUUCGCAUGUUUUGACUUCACGAAUAACUAGGUUAUUCAAACAUCCACAGUCAAUCAUACUUUGGAAGUAGGUAAUGAGGUAAAACUGUAAUGAAUCCGACUGUAGAUUGUCUGAAGUGUUUAGACAUAGCAAAAGUCUGUUGCAGUGUUCAUGAGUGCUCCUGAAAUAAGAUUUGAGUAUUGGAAUAACCCACGCUCACGUGAAUCACUUCAUGGAUUUUAUCACGAGUGGUUGUGAGACGAAAAUAUAUUAUAUUCUUGAAACGAAGAGAUAUAGUUGCAGUUUACAAGUCGGUUGCUCAUUGGCAAUAUGUAAACGCACUAGUAACUUGGUGUUAUAAAACAUAUUGUUGUGUGUGAUUUGAUGAGUAAAUAGGGCAAGCAUAUGAGUCGAUGUUUAUCCGUUCCUUUUAUCCAAAGUGGGAUAAAAGCGAUAUCUGUGGGCCCCUCGAUGAUUUAGUGAUGACACCCUAAGCGCUUGGCAAUGCUUGGGCUAAGUUGAUGUGUUCAACUAAAGUCUAUUGUCAGCCGUCUUAAAUCGGAAAUCGGGAAACAACUAUUGGACAAAGAUAAAUUAUAAUACAUGUCUCAUGUCCAUACUAUAUCUUGUAGAACGGAGUAAUAUUUGAUCUUUUAUCUAAGGACACGUCACUGACUAGGUCAGAGUUCGACAACGACUUUUGGUAGCUAAAACUUGCUAGUCAAUUUUUGAAGUUAUACUUGAACCUAUAGUUAUUAGACUUAUCCAAGUAGGAGAAUGUUGGAUUAGGUGUCUAAGCCUAUAACUAUAAUUGGUAUGUACUUGAAUUGAUAGUAACAAUGUCCUGUUGGGUUGCCUUCAAACCUGGCAAUUGAAUAGGAUAACUGUUGGAGAGAGAAGAAUGAUUUAUUAAUUUAUUACUUGGUUAAUAAAUUAAUUUGAAAUAAAGAUAAAUAAUUUAUUAAUGUAUUAUGGAUAUAAUAUAUUAAUUAGAAAUCAUAUGGUUUGAUUAAUAUUUAAUCAUAAAUUAAUUUGGAAUUAAUAUUGGGAUUAAAUGAAUUAAUUGAAACCGCAGGGACUAAAGGUGAAAAUGUUCAAAAUUUGAGCAUUGAAGUAUUAUAGAACCUCCCUUAGAGGUGUGGAAUGAAAACUAGAGUGUCCUAGGGUUUUCUUGGGCUCUAAGGGUGCCUUGGAAGCCUUAGGGAGGAAGUUAAGGGAUUAGGGUUAUUUAAGACACACCUGCCUUAUCCUAAACCUUCCUUAUCAUUUAUAUAAACCCCUAUAGGGUUGGAUUUCGUCCCAUGCACUCUAAGAAAGGCUUAGAGCCGAAUUUUCACUUCCCUUAUCUCUCUCCAUAGUAAUCCUUGGUUUCUAGGUUUGUUUGUAAGCUAUUAGAGGCGCGACACUUGUGGUGCUUGCUACCAAAGUUCAAGAUCUUCAAGGAUUUGAUUGUUAUUACAAUAUUACAAUAAAUGUAUGUAUCCUAAACCUAAUCAUAUGUUAAUUUCGAAAAUUACAUGUGCCUUCUAGGGUUUCUAGUUUUUGUGUUCAAUGCUUGUAUAUCUAAUAGUGAAAACAUAGAUCCUCAAAUUAGGGUUGAAUGCACACAUAAGAUUGUUUGCUAUGUAUAAAACCCAUCAGUGGUAUCAGAGUUUUUGGUUGUUUCUUUCAAUUAGAUUUGAUACAAAAGUAUGAAUUUGAAAAAUUAGGGUUUAUGGAAAAUAAACCCUAGGGCUUGGAUUUUUGAAAUUAGGGUUUCAAAACCCUAGUUUUCAAAAUUUGUUAGGGUUUCUUGAACCCUUUUCCUUUGGCCCCAUAUUUUCGAUUUUAGGGUUGGUAAACCCUAGGUUUUUCGAAAAUACCUUCUUCCCUAAGAUUAGAUUUCAAAAUUUUAUGGAUCAGGAUAAUAUUAUCUUUGGUAAUUAUCUUAUUAAUUGUUCAAAUGGAUAAUCAAAGAUUUUGAAAUAUCCCUUCCCAGAUUUUUGAAAUCUGACCUGAAGCGAUCUCGGCUCAAAAAGGACAAUCUCCUCCUCCAUAAUCUCCAUGAUCCCCUCCUUGAUGGUACUGAAAAUCACCGGGGGUAGCGUCAAGGAUGCCUCGAGUUACCUCGACUGCGAUAAGCUCACGCAACCUCUCAUCAAUCGGCUCUGCCCUGGAUCCUGAACCCGAACCCGAUCCCGAACCUGAACCUCCUUGAGUAGCCAUCAACAUACUUAACUGAAAAUACAACAUAGAAAGCAAUUGAUAAGGAAGUUCAAAGGUAUUUCUCCCCACCAGACUCUUUAGAGCUUCCAGGUUUGUCCUCGUCUUGGGUACAGGUCCUGUGCUUUUAGUUGUACGGGCCCAAUACUACCUUCCACACCUACCUGUACCUUCCCCCAACGCCAUACCUGAUACCUCUAAUUUACCAAACCAUAGAUAAAACAUGACCUACGAAACACAACACAUAUGCAUAUCCUAGAAUCUUCAGGGAUUUAUCAAUCCUCAUAGAACCAGAAACCUCAAUCAAAACCGCAAGUUGCCUUAUGCAUGCAAGUUAUACAUAAAUAGAAUCACAUAGACUGUCAAAUAAAGUUUCUACCCUAAGACCACAAUGAAACAAGGAACAAGAAGUAAGGUAGAAUCCAUCAUUCUAGGGCUAUGCAAUCCUAAACCAUAUACAACUUUGAAAGCAUACACUUAGCAAAUAACAAAGUCAACAUCGAUUCCAAGCAUUAUAUUCAUAGCAUUGAAUUCUCCUAGGCUAUAAGGCAUCACACAAAUCAGACAAUUCUCAUAAAUCCUGAAGGUAUCCUUAGCCCUAUUCUAGCAUGCAUUUUACAUAUUAACAUACUAGUUGCAAUUCAUAAGCAUGGUUAAAUUUUUGGAAUCACUUACUUGAGCUUGGCCAAUUACGCGCAUUGAACUCUCCCUUUUUAUUUAAGAAAACGAUUUCAGAAAAACUUGACUUUUGUUUCUUUUUUAAAAAGGGUUACCAUUUCCUAUAAUGACCUAAAAAUACAAGGUAAAAAUUUCAUUUUUAAUUUAGUAAAAAACACUUUAAUAACUUUGUUCCAGACAUUGAAAGCAUUUCAAACAAACAAUUAUCAGAGUCUAAUCCUAAAGAUCACAUUCUGCGGAAAUCAUGGGUGUAUGCGCUGUGAUCGUCUUGGGCCCCCUUUUAUUUGAAACCUGCAGUACCUGAAACAAAAAUGAAAACCGUAAGCACAAAGCUUAGCAAGUUCCCCAAAUACCGCAUACCAUAUAAUAAACAUAUUGCCAAACAUAUCUGGGUGCUGGCCUCCCAUUCGGUCUAUUCCAACUGGAGCCAAGCAUGUCUGGGUGCUGCCCCCCNAUACCACCGAGCAUAUAUGGGUGCCGGCCUCCCCUUCGGUCUAUUCCAACCGGAUACCGGGUCUAUUUCACUCUCUACCACUACCAUAUAAUAACAUAAGCACAUAAUCACAGAAACAUCAACAAAUACUGGCAACCCAGACAAUUAUCACAUAGACAAUCAUCUUACUAUAAACAUCAACUAGUGGACCGACAUUGGUGCCUUUGACCCACGAAUUCUACGAUGGGAGACUCACCUCGAAUGCAGAAGCUCACAUAACUAGAUCCUUAGCUGCUGCCCUGAAGACUUCCCGAGCUCCAAUAGAUUGCAAAAGAUGUGAACUUUUUGGAUCUACAAGCUCCCUACAGGAAAUGAGUCAUCAAAUUUCUUCUUCUCUUACACAAAUCACCAUAAACACUCUUCUCCAAGCUCCAAAAGCUCAAUCAAGGCACUCUAGGCUUUCUAUGAUGUUAAAAGGGGUGGAGGUUGACCUAAAAUGACCCAAGGAAGGAUAUAAUGUUGCUUAUAUAGGGUGUAAGUCGAGAAAUUAGGGUUUGGUGCUGAAAGGAGUACGCCCCACGUACGCCUUUGUACGCCUGGCGUACUCAAGAAACACUCGUGAUCUUCUCACACUGUACGCUCUGCGUACUCGAUGCCUCUCAAAAUCCUAGAAUUUCUUGCAGCCAUAACUCCUUCGUUCUAGGUCCGUUUCCGACAAAAUUUUUAUCUACAAGAAGGCGACGAGAAGCCCUACGCUUCUAACAUCUAAGCAUAAAAAAAACCACCCGAAAAAAAUCCAAAAUGCAUAAAAUAUCAAAAUAUCAAAUUACGAUUAUACCCUUGGCCUCUGAGGACACAAUCGAACACUUGGAUCACUUAUACCAUGACACCCGCAUCUGAAAUGGGCCAAAUCCUUCCCUUCCCAAGGCCAUAAGCCUCAUGACCACUGAAGAUUGGGCCACGGUCCCUAACAAAGAAGAAAAUCCAAAAUCAAGUGUUACAACUGUCCCCCACUUGAAUUAGAUUUGGUCCUCGAAAUCACUCCUUACUAACACUCCUAACAAAACAACCAUCCUGAGGUAUGUAAUCAAAAAAUUAUGCGCAUAAGACAACCUUCCAAAGACAACCGAAACCCAAACCCAAACUUCCAUCCUGAAGAAAAACAAACCCUAUGCCCCCAAAGGAAACCACUUUUACUUCUUUGAAGCCUGAAAUCCGCAUUGGUCUGACUACCCGGCAGACCGCCCAUGCUGUAACAUUACCAAACCAAGCCUUUAUUAAAUAACAGACCAAACAUAAACUUCUAACCCUGAUCAUCUUGAUGCUACCGAUAGAACAAAGUCGCUAACCCUAAAUAGUUGCGGUGCACUUACACUUGACGGAAGGCUCAUAUAAUCCUUCGAGUAAAAGAUUCAUCCUUGCAACGGUUAGACUCAAAUGAGAGCUACGCAAUAAGGUCAAAUCAAUUACCCCAAGAUUAUUUAAUCCCGCUAUAAGUAACUUAGUACUUUUGAUCAACAAGCUACCCCAGACACAUGAAUCCCCAACUCUCCACUUUUUCUCGAGGCUUCACGCUGCCUUCUAUCUGCUUUCCAAAAGUAAUUGAGACCUCCUGGGUCCCAACUUAUCUGCCAAUUAUCUGUAAUACAAGAUUCCCGUCCGGUUUCUGAGCCAACAAACAAUCACACAGUUGCCCCACGCGACUUCCGAAAGAAAACUUCGACCGACAAUAACUACCCGAACCAUCUCGACACCAAACCCGAUGCUAAGCUGAAUGCUACAGGACCAAAUGUAGUCUUACUUCAUAUCUGGUCUCCCCCGACCUACCAAUUUCUUGAUUCCAAACAUGUUGUGGCCUUCCUACAACCUUGCGAACAGACCCACUUUGGACUAAACCAUCUGGAGAUAUCCGUGAGCAAUCACAGAUUGUCACAAUCUCCCUAAUGAACAGGGACGACUGAUAAAUGUUACGGGAUACCCCGUGGUCUUACAAUACUCCCCACUAACUACUAGUGAAUGCUAUGUGUCACCCCACAGUCUUACAACACUUCCACGCUACCUCAACCACCGCUAAAUGCCUUACCGCUAAUCUGUCUAUCCGGACACCAUCCAGAGUCGAGCAUGCAGUCGACCAAACACCCAAGCCAAACUCGGGUUACGACUGGAACCUCAACCUAGGUCCUCUAAAGCCCGCUAUCUGCCCCACAAGAUACGGACCCAAUGUUGGGAGGUUUCCCGAACUCCCAACUCACCCAAUCCUCAAUCCAGACAGCCACUUGGACCGCUUUCCUCCCCAACGGGGAUGCAAAACUUGUCCUAGCUUCACAACUGUUCUUGUUCCUGAAUACCUGAAUGAUUCUCCCCCACUUUGGUUCGACUAAGUCUUCACGGAACUUGAGAAUUGAAGGAUUCCUAAUCCUUGUUACCCUUUAUUAAUCAAACUACUGACAACCUGUGCUUACCAGUGCUAGUACUUAAUCACUAGCCAAACACAAAGACCACACAACCUCUAAAGACCAGAUGAACACUUCCCGAAUCUUAUCAAAACUGACAACUCCAGAUGCCUUUAAAUGAUACCACACUCAACUUGCGAAGUCCAAAUAACAGAUGCUCAGACCAAAAGCUCGAUGAUAGACCAUUUCCCUUGGCGCUUCCAAAAGCAAAUCCAAGCACAAUGGCUGAAAUCAUUGAAUCUUAACGAUGCUGGAUAACACUAGUGUUCCAUUGCUAGCCAAGCUCAAUGAUCACCCCAAUUCUCGAAAUUAUGAAGGAUGCUCUUGAACUCUUAACCAAUUAGAUAGUCCAAACCACCUCCCAUAUUACCAUACUAAUUCCUAGAGUUCUUAUGUUGGCGAUGAAAAACCAUAACACUUGCCCCGACUGACGAAUCUUCAUCCCAACACCCAUUCUUGAAGAAUCCCUGAAUCCUAAUCGACUGCAACCUAAGAAAAUAUGAAAAUACUCUGACGUUUCUGAUGACCAAAUCAACUCAUGCAACUGUCACUACCAUCUUCCCGCUACCCCUCUCCUUCUACCAAUCCGCAAAACUUGAACCCACGGUUCUCUUAGAGGCACCUGCCGCUCUUACCGGAACCAUUAUUUAAACAGUUGAACCCUAAUGAUUACUAGAGAACCAACUUGCCGAAUCUUGAACAUAGACCUUCAACACAGUGCCCCUGAACCGAUCUCGACCAUAAACCAAGAUAACACUGAACACUCCAAACCCGCUAAAAGGGAAACAACCUUUCACUAACCACUGCUAAUUCAUGGCAUGCAAUUGGCAUAUAACAUUUCUUGAAGAUAUAACCCAAACAUAAGCAUAUCAUUAAACCCAAAGAUACACUUACCCAAACUGAUGCAAGAUUCCAACAACAAAUACAUAUAAAACCGAAAAGAAAGCAAAAGAUAAUAUACCCGCAACCUCGUCUGAAGAAACCUCGAAUCCCCCUUCUUGCCAAAGUACCUACGAUAAAAACUGAGUUGCCCCAACCACUGAGCAGGGGCAAUUCGCCCUUAUAUGACUAGGCUGAUGACAAUGAUUCCAUAAAUCUACUUCCAAUGUGAAUUCUUGGCGAUUGUGACCCUUCCAUCCGCACCUACCGCACUUAGACCUACUGCACACAUCCUCCCAUGUCCCCUCAUCCUGCAUGCACUCAUCUCGACCCCUCGGGUAUCUAACACCAGCUAUAGCAGCGUCCAACUGCCCUGAUCGUCCAACCAUGCCAGGAGUCUGUUUCCUCUUCCUUAGCUGACUAUCUAAACUAAUCUCCUGCUCCUGGGUUAACCCGACCACCUCAUCGACUGCCUGAAUAGCUGAGGCCUGACCCUAGAUCCCGAUGGCCAAUCUAUUAGUGACAUGCCAAAAGAUGUCAGGUAACUCCUCGUGGAGAGCUCACAAAACCGCUGCGGCAAUCCAAUCUUGUGGUUGAAUCUCCUAAAGACAUGGUGCACAACUCACCUCCGAUCCCAAACGACAAAAACUAACAAUAUGAUCCUCCUUUAUGAAGGGUCUUGGGGAUCCACAAGCUUCGGGCUCCAGAUGAGCUCCCAACUGCCCUGCUGUAAUCUCAGCCUGAGAGGUCCCAAGUUGACUGUCCAAUACCUCCAAAAUCCCAUCCUUGACUGAACCAAAGAUCACAAAAUUCUGCUCCAACAUACCGCAUGUAAUCCCCGAUGAGAUGAACUCCUGCAUCUGCUCGCUAAUCGGCUCAGCACCUGCACCUGAGCCGGAACCCAAACCAAAACCAGAACUAGAACUUAAUCCACCUCCUUGAGUGCUCAUCUCCAAAGUGAAAUACAUCAUGCCAAAUAUCGAAACAUCCUUAAGAACUCUCAUCCCAUAAGCUUCUUAGAUUCUCCAAGACUCUCACUAAUUCGAGUAUGGAUCCCGUGCUUCCAGUAGUACGGGUCCAAUACUACCUUCCACACCUAUCCAUACUUUCCUCAGCAAUCAUCCCGAAUCCCUUAAUUCACUUUCUCAACAAAAGCACCAAAACUCACUAAACCGCACCACUAAACUUACUGAUGUAUAUCCUAGGCUCUCCUAGGUUCCCGACCCCACCCAGUCCUCAGCUACUGAAGGACUCCCACCAAAGUCAAUCAAUUUCCUCAUGAAUACAGUCACAUGCAACAAAGAUCAGAUAAUCCUUCGAGUAAAAGACUCAACCCUAGAAUGGUUGGACUCAAACGAGAGCUAUGCAAUAAGGUCAAAUCCAUCACUCUAAGAUUAUUUAACUUGUGGUACAUGUAACUUAGCAUAUUUACUUAGCAGUCAAUUCACAUUACUAAGAGUCCUACAAAGCACAAAGCAAGCAACAUUUAGACAAUGGAAAAAUCUAACCAACAUACUCUAAUCAAGCCAUUCUAUCCACUUAUCCGGAAACAAUUCUAGCAUGAAAUUCUAAAGCUCAUACAAUCAGGCAUAUAAAGGCAUCUCUCCUAUCACAUAAUACUGAGCAGAUCCUUAUCCCUAAUCUAGCAUGCAAUUCUCAUAAUCAUAGCAUAUAUAAUAAUAAACACGUAUUGGUAUUUUGGGAACCACUUACUUGAGCUCGACCGAUUGCACGCAUCACACCCCUUUCUUGUUUAAAAAUUCCCUUUUUAAUUAGAUGUUCCUUUUAUAAAUUAUUUCACCAAACCCUCAGUUUGAGUUCAAGCACAUCCGAGAGUAUGCUUGAAUCCAUUAAACCAAAGCUCUAAUACCAACUUCUAACGACCCAAAAAUCAUAGGUAAAAAUUUCAUUUUAAUAUAGUAAAAACACUUUAAUAACUUUGUUCCAGACAUUGAAAGCAUUCCAAAGAAACAAUUAUCAGAGUCUAAUCCCAAAGAUCACAUUCUGUGGAAAUCACGGGUGUAUGCGCUGCGAUCGCCCCGAGCCCCAUUUUAUUUGAAAACUAGAGUACCUGAAACAAUACUGAAAACAUAAGCACAAAGCUUAGUGAGUUCCCCAAAUACCGCAUACCAUUCAACAAAACUAUUGCCAAACAUAUCUGGGUGCUGGCCUCCCCUUCAGUCUAUUUCAACCGGAUACCGCCGGGCAUAUCUGGGUGCUAGCCUCCCCUUCGGUCUAUUCCAACCGGAUACUGCCGAACAUAUCUGGGUGUUGGCCUCCCCUUCGGUCUAGUCCAACCGAAUAUCGCCGAGCAUAUUUGGGUGCUGGCCUCCCCUUCGGUUUAUUCCAACCGAAUACUAGGUCUAUUUCACCCCUAUCAGUACCACAACAUUACAUAAAAAUAUAAUCAGGGAGACAUCAACAAAUACUGGCAAACCAGACAAUUAUCAUAAAGAUAAUCAUCUUACUAUAAACAUCAACUAGUGGGCUGACAUUAGUGCUUUCAACCCACGAAUUCUGCGAAGGGAGACUCACAUCGAAUGUAGAAGCUUACAUAACGUAGAAGCUAAGAUAACUAGAUCCUUAACUGCUGUCCUGACGACUUUCCGAGCUCCAAUAAAUUUCAAAAGAUGUGAAAUUUCUGGAUCUACAAGCUUCCUCCAGGAAAUGAGUCAUCAACUUUCUUCUUCUCUUACAAAAACAACCAUAAACACUCUUCUCCAAGCUCCAAAUGCUCACUCAAGGCACUCUGGGGUUUCUAUGAUGUUAAAAGGGGUGGAGGCUGACCUAAAAUGGCCUCAGGAAGGAUAUAAUGUUGCUUAUAUAGGGUAUAAGUCGAGAAAUUAGGGUUUGGUGCUGAAAGGAGUACGCCCCGCGUACCCCUUUGUAUGCCCUGAGUACUCAAGAAACACCCGCGAUCUUCUCGCCUUGUACGCCCUGCGUACAUGACCGGUACGUCCUGCAUACUCGAUGCCUCAUAAAACCCUAGAAUUUCUUCCGGCCAUAACUCCUUCGUUCUAAGCCUGUUUCCAACGAACUUUAUAUCCACAAAAAGGUGGCGAUAAGCCUUAUGCUUCUAACAACAUGCCUAAGCCUAAGAAAAACCUCCCGAACAAAAUCCAAAAUCCAUUAAAGAUCGAGAUAUCAAAUUACGAUUAUACCCUUGGCCUUCGAAGACACAAUCGAACACUUGGAUCACUUAUACCAUGAUACCCGCAUCCAAAAUGGGCUGCAUCCUUCCCUUCCUAAGGCCCUAAGCCUCCUGAUCACUGAAGAUUGGGCUGUAGUCCCGAACAAAGAAGCAAAUCUGAAACCGAGUGUUACAUUUCCUCAGCUUGAGUUCUGAAACACCUGAGAGUGUGCCCGAAUCCCUUAAACCAAGACUCUGAUACCAACUUGUAACAGCCCAAAAAUACAGAUAAAAAUUUGCUUUUUUUUUUUUUUAAAAUAGAAAGUAUAAUCAUAAUUUGUUUCUAAAAAUCCAUUACGUCAUUUAAUUUCCAAAUAUCAGAGUAUCAAUAUCGAUAAAUGAGGAAAUUGAUGGGAGUGAAUAUUUCGCCAUCAAGCCAGGCCCUUCCCCUCAGUACCGGAAGUAAUUGAAAACACCCAAAUAAUCUGUAAGCAAAAGCUUAGUGAGUUCCCAAAAUACGACAUAACAUAUAACCACAGAAUACCACACCACAUACAUAAGAUUGCCAUGGGCUACCCCCAUGGUCUGAUAUCCAAGUGCCAUGUGCUACCCCCAUGGUCUUUCCCGGGAAUGCCAUGGGCUAGCCCCAUGGUCUAAUAUCCAAGUGCCAUGGGUUACCCCAUGGUCUUCACACAAGUGCCACGGGCUACUCCCGAGGUGUUCAGAUAAUGAAUUGCAUAACAAUUGUCAAUCCACAUGUCAUAUAAUGGGCCGACAUUGGUACCUUCGACCCAUUGAUAUAGUAAGAAGACUCACCUCAAACUGCUGAUAAAAAUAGUGCUCGGCUAUCGGUCCAUAUAUCUCACACUGAAUAUACACAUGUUAACCUAAUAAGAAUUAAGCCACAAACUCAAGGCAUAGGCCAAAACCCUAAGUCCAAACUCCUCUAUUAAGGCCCAAAAGUCUUUCUCUAUUAAUGGGCCUAACAUCCAAGAUCAAAAAAAAAUUUAUGGGCUACAAUGCCUAAAAGGCCCAACCAUGCCACCUAUGGUCCAACAAUAAGUUCAAAGGCCCAAAUUGUAACAUCCUGGAUAGUGUGACAUCCCCAAAAUCACGGCCAGAAAAGACCGGUUUAAUUUAUGCUUUAAAAAUAAUUUCAGAGUAAUACUUUGAUUAAAAGAGUAGCAGAAUUUGUUCCCAAAACACAAUAUGAUAAAAUAAAGUUUAUCAAAUCAUUUCUUAAAGAAAUAUAUUUUCAUUAUAUAACAAAAGUCGGGAUUUCAUGUUUCGAUACAUACCAAAAGCAUAAACAGUACGACAUAGACCUUAAAACAGUUAUUUACAACUACUGGUCUAUAAACAAAAAUAUCUUCACAAGUUGUCCAACUUAUGCUCUCGCGUCACUACCUAUAAUAUAAAGAAACCGAGUGGGUCAGGCCUGGGAGCCUGGUGAGCAUAUUGGGUUUUCAACCCAUAAUAAAUAAUUAUAUUUAACUUCACCAACCAACAAUAGCCCGAUUACCCAUUCCAGUUAUCCUCACUUUACGCCCCUAAAACAACUAUUACAAGGGACCUAAUCUAGGUUUUUUCAUCGGGAUGGGCAUUACUGCAAAGGGGCUUCCUCAAAAAUAAAUGUCCUAAAGGCAACCAUGAGGGGGAUAGAGUACAUCGGUGAACACAUCGUUCACAACACCUACAGGUUAUGAACUUGCCAGCGUUCCACUGGACUGUCUAGAAAGAGUCCGUGGUCAUCAUCGAUACUCUGCUAGAUGACUAGAUUAACAACAAAAUCGAGACCUCUCAUCAUUUUAUUUCUUCACACAUCCACUAUCUACCUAUGUUCUACCCAACAUAUUUGUAGAUAAAAAUGUGUGUGUGUGUGUGUGUGUGUAUAUAUAUAUAUACACACACACAACAUAAAACAUGUAUAAAACAUUCAAUCAAUACUCAUUUCAAAUAACACAUAACAUAUAAACACAUAGCACAUAUUUUAUGGAAACACUUCGUAUUUAUUUGUUAGAAGAAAGUAACUACACACUCACUUGAUAAGAUGAUUAUCGGACAUCAUUACAGAUCUACAAGUAGCAAUUCUUCAAUGAAACCAGGAGAUCUUCACAAACACUGGGCUUCUUGCGGGCAGAGCUUCUGCUCGAAACUAUUUUCUUCUCAGGAUCUUUAGAGCAUCGGGACUUGCUUCGGGUGUCGGGAUGAUACCGGGGCUUCGAGGGCAUAACUUGCACGUAAAAUGAGGUAAUAUGGGUGAGAGAGAAGAAAUUUGGCAACCAAACUCGGCUGCCUUCAUGUUCUAUUUAUAGGGUGCUGAACCCCUGAUUAUGCUGGGCGGAACCCCAAAGUACGCUGGGCGUACUCUCCUAUCGACAUGUACGCUAGGCGUAUUCCUCGUAUGCUGGGCGUACUGUGUGGAUAAGAUCGGAGGCUUUCGAGGCUGCGAUGUGGCUCAUCCGUGGCCAAGAACACGAGUAUGCUGGGCGUACUCCCUUACACUGGGCGUACUCCGCAUUUUCAAACUUCAAAAAUUUGUAACUUUCGCAUACGAGCUCCAUUUUUGAUGAUCUUUAUAUCCACGUGUAGGUGAGACUAUGCUUUACAAAUGCAUUUAGACUCCGUCGGCUAAUUUUGACUUUAUUUUUAUUAUAUUAUUUUUAGUAGGCCGGGACAGGAAUACUCCGUUAGAAAUUCAUAACUUCUUCAUCUGACGUCCAUUUUCAUUUGUCUUUCUUCCGUUACACUACUAUUGACGAUAUCUUCGAUUCUCGUUUAGAUUGUUUCGGCUAGAAAUCACUCGAUCUCAAAUCCGAACUUCGGAUUGCAUACUGUUAAGCUGAAACUUAGAAAAAUCAUAACUUCCUCAUACGAAGUCAGAUUUGGACGUUCUUUUUAUGCACGCUCUCAGUUUAACGAACUCUACGACUUUUAUUUAGAUCACUAAGGCCAAAUAUCGCUCUAUCGUAAAUUCACUAUUUACUUCAUGCAGUGUCGUACCGGUUUUGUCGCGAAACUUUGACAGGUCAUAACUUCUUCGUUAUAACUCGGAUUUCAGCAUUCUUUAUACAUUCGGAAACCUUGUCACGACUACUGCAACUUCCUUCAUAGCUAUUGGGUUUAUCUAACAUUUUAUUUUAUCGCUUAUUUUUAUCCUUAAUUCAUUUAAGUCACACAAUUAAGCAUAAAACACAUAAUACUCAAAUCAUAUAUUUUUAUUAUUAUUUCAAAAUGGGUUACGAAGGUUAACCUAGACUAUUACAUCAACAUUAAUGCCUAGCCUAGAAACACGGGCGUUACAGAUAGUUUUGUGAUUUAAGGCCAGUGGGCCUUAAUCCGAGUAUGAGAAGGUUUUGAGGCUUUGAAAGAGAAAGGUUUAGACCCUUUUGGGAUGUGGGUAAGGUAGGUUGUGUGAUAAAAGAGGUUGGUUUGUGCUUUAGAGCCCAAAUGUAUUGCUAAAGGUGUUGGUUCGGGCUUUUCAUGAAUUUUGGAUCUGAGUUUAAGUGGGCUUCAGGAGGAAUAAAGUUGAUAGAAGUGUAGGGCUUCUUGUUACCUUUUCUUGGAUAUAAGGAUCGUCAAAAACAGAUUUAUAAAGAAGAAGUUAUGGCCUUCAGAAGUUUUGUGGUUUCAGGCUUAGCCGAGUACGCUGGGCGUACACAAAGCAUACACUGGGCGUACUAGUGAAAAAGGAAGUACGCUGGGCGUACUGACCAAGGGUGGUCGUGAAUGUUCUUUGGAGUAUGCUGGGCGUUUAGUGAUUGAUAUCUUAGAGGAGCUGGUAAAGUAAAGACAGAUCAGACCUGAACCGUAUUUUAGGGUCUUGGACCCUGUUUAAGCUCCUUAUCUCAUAACCUAACCCUAAUACCUUCAGCCUCCAUCCCUCUAAACCCUUGAAAUCGAUCCUAAGCCUCCAUUUGAGUGAUUCUUGAGAAUUUUGAUGAUUUAGUGAGUUUUUGGUGCAUAUUGUGGAAGAAGGAGUUCCUCGAGGAAGCAUUGCUUGGCUUGGAGCUUGUGGAUCCAAGCCCUAAUCAGGUUGAUCUAGCUCUAGAAAGCAUAAAGUUUGAAUCUUGGUGGCUUUCUCAUGCGGAUCUAGUGGGGUGAUGAAUUGUUAUGUUUGGCUUUGGAAAAAGAAGGAGCUUUGAAAGAGAAUAGCUUGAGCAUUUUGCUUUUGGAUCUAUGCUCUUCUCUUGUUGGUCCAUCCAGAGGUAUCAAGCUCUAAACUUGCUUAUUGUUGUGCUAUUUUUUGUUUUGGGUCCAUUUUAGGGUUUUUGGUCUCAAAGCUUGAAGCUUUAUGAGUUGUUGAACUCCAGAACCUAAUAUAUGUCCCUUUAAGUGUUUUUAUUGAAGAGGAUUCAUAAAAAUGAGGCCUUGGACGUUAGAACCACCUCAUGCAUAAGAUAUGAGCAUUUUUCGAAGUAAAGAGUAAGAGUUUUUGUGUUUGGGACUUCAUCUGCCAUGCAAAUGCUUAAAGUCACGAGUUUUAUUGUGUAUGAGCCUUUAUGGAGACCAGAUCUAGAGUAUAGCCAUGGUCUUAACAGAUUAAGACCAAGGGAGUGGAGAUAGCAAUCCUGGACGUACGCUGAGCGUAAUUCUAGUACACCCCAUGUACUGACGAAGUGUCCUCGAUGGCCAAUCUGAAUUCAUGAGUACACUGAGCGUACCCAGGGAGGUAUGCCCCGCGUAACCUCACUGUGGACUUUUGGGCUAAGUCUCAUUUUGGGCCUUGAGUGUUGGGCCUGGAGUUUGGGACUGGUUGCAAUAGAGUUUUAGACCAGAGGAAUAUGUAUAUAUAUAUANNNNNNNNNNNNNNNNNNNNNNNNNNNNNNNNNNNNNNNNNNNNNNNNNNNNNNNNNNNNNNNNNNNNNNNNNNNNNNNNNNNNNNNNNNNNNNNNNNNNNNNNNNNNNNNNNNNNNNNNNNNNNNNNNNNNNNNNNNNNNNNNNNNNNNNNNNNNNNNNNNNNNNNNNNNNNNNNNNNNNNNNNNNNNNNNNNNNNNNNNNNNNNNNNNNNNNNNNNNNNNNNNNNNNNNNNGCUGGUGCGCAACAACAACAUUUUUAGGGGUUGUUCAUCAUCCGAGGUGAGUCUUCUCACUAUACUUUACCAAGAGUGGUAAUUAUGUGUGACCAGAGGGUCUUAUGUGCUUGCUUGAGUUAUGAGAUACAUAGAACGAAUUGGAGGGUCCAACGAACUAUGAGACUGGAUGGUCCUCACUUAGACCGCACCGGAGGGUCCAACGAGCAGUGAGACCCGAGGGUCCUCACUGAGACCAGACCAUAGGGUCCAACGAGUUGUGGGACUAGAGGGUCCCACUGAGACACAUUGACCGUAGGGUCUUACCGACCUAUAGCCUCGAGUGGCUAAUUAUUUGUGCGUGAUAUUUUGGGGAACUCACUAAGCUUCGUGCUUAGCGUGUUAUGUGAUAUGCGUUUCAGGAUUUUUCAGGAUCGUGGGAAGGCACCGACUUGAUUGUACACACCAGAGUAGGAGUUAUAUUUUUAGUAUCCUGGAGUACGAAUCAAACAAUUAUGGAGUUAUGUUUUGUAAAUUAAAUCAAUGAGAUUUUUGUGAAAUGUGUUACGAGAAUUAUAUGAUUUUAAAAUGAAAAUUUUGUUUGAAAAUUUACGCUGUUACACAAAUACUCUAAUAUAUCCAGGCCCUAGGCUAAGUAGGGCCCAAAUGGAUCAAAGGCCUAAUGAAAGCCCAAAACUCACUGAAAGUGUACGCCCAACAUACAUCAUCAAUACACUUAACGUACUGAGUUCUUUGGAGGUACGCACAAUGUAUAAACUAGUACGCUUAACGUAUAAGCUACUUUGCACAAAAAGCCAUUAAGUUCUUAAUUCAUGAAGCCACUUCGUCUGAUUCCAGAUCUUGGUCAUCUUAAAGGUCCUAGGGCAUAAAGUUGGUAACUUUAUGCCUUUGCAUGCCAUAUGGGAACCCAACACCUCAUUUUAUCCAUUAAGACUCCCUUUAAGAUCUUAAACUCAUGCAUGGUGCCAUAACAACCAUCAAGUUAGAAUUUUUAUGCUUUUACCAUGCCAAAGGAACUUAGAUCUAACAUUUCUAACCUCUGGAGUUGCUCAAACUCACAAAAAUGAUCCAUGGACCAAAAAUGGACUUAUUACCAAACCCUAACUCAAACUAGCAAAAGGACAAGCAAGGUCUGGACUUUUUACCUCCAAAAGUUCCGCAAGAUGAAGUAGAUGCAGGAUCUAGAAGCUCAACCAUGUCCAAGACUUGAUCACCACCUUCUCCUUCUUGCAAACACACUAAAAUGGCCACCAAAAUCACUUUUAAGCUCAAGAAUCACACUCACUUGCAAACUAGGGUUUAGGUACGAUAAGAGGCAAUAAAAGCUGUUUAGGUUAGGUCCAAAUGGCAUAAGAGUGUUAAAAUAGGGUUCAUGUGUGACAUCCCCUAAUUUCUCGGCCAGAAAAGACCGAUUUAAUUUAUGCUUUUUAAAAUAAAAUCAGAGAAAUCUUUUUAAAAGAUGUUGCGGAAUUUGUUCCCAAAACAAAACAUGAUAAAAAUCUAUCAAACCUUCUUUAAGAAAUGUAUCGUUUCAUUUCAUAUCAAAACCUCGGGAUGUCAUGUUCCGAUACAGAUCAAAAGCAUAAACAAGACAUUAUAAGCCUUUCAACACUUAUUUAUAACUACUGACCUAUAAUCCAAAAAUCCCUCAUCGUCCUCCGACUAUGCUCGGGGUCCACUACCUGUAACAUAAAAAGCUGAGUGGGUUAGGCUUGGGAGCUUGGUGAGCAUAUAGGGUUUUCAACCCACAAUAAUAAUAAACUUACUAAGUUCAUCAAUCAACAAUAACCCUGAUUACCCGUUCCUGUUAUCCUUACUUUACGUCCCUAAACACUUAUCACAAGGGACCUUGCCUAAAGAAUAUUAUCGGGAUGGACACUACUACUAAGGGGUUUCCUCAGCCAUACAUGUCCUAAAGGCAACUAUGAGGGGGAUGGAGUACAACGAAUGAACACUCUUAGUUCAUUAACACCUACAGGUUGCGGGCCUGCUAAUGUUUCCCACUCGACUGUCUAGAAAGUCCGUGGUUGUCAUCCAAACUCCGCUAGAUGACUGGAUCUCAAAACACAUCGAGGCCUCUCAUCAAUUUUAUUUUAUCACACAUCACAAUCUACCCAUGUUCUACCCAACAUAUUUGUAGAUAAAAAUACUUAUACAGUUUAAAACUUGUAUAAAACAUCAACACAACAAUCACCUCAAAUAAAUAAUUAAUAUAUUUACACAUAGCACGUAUUAUAAGGUAAAUACUUCAUAUCUAUGUGUAAAAUGAAAGUGACUAUACACUCACAUGAUUUGNUGAUUUGAUGAUAAUCGAGCAACAAUUCGUUGCUUAAAACGAUCGUUUCUAAUAAAACCGAGAGUUUUAUUGAGAAACCGGGCUCUACAAUGGUCGGGCUUCGAAACCGACAAGAUAAAUUUUCCGGGCUUCUCGGGCACUUCGUGGAGUAUUCCGGGCUUUGGAAUAAGUACCGGGGCUUCAUGGGAUUCUAAGAUGAAGAAAAUAAGAAGAAAGGGGUGAAAGAUGGCAAAAUCUCAAAAGUAUCCGAAAAGGCUCGCAGGAGGCUUCUAUUUAUAGGAGUCUGAAGUCGGCUCCGGGGGUGGGGUCCGCAGGCGAAGGUGCGCAGAUGGCAGCACGUGCGAGGGCCUCGGUGGCGGUUGCUGAUUGGACCACGCUUCUGAUGCGAGGGGUUGCGACAAGAGGCGGAUUCAGAAGCGAGGCGCGUCAGAUAACUAUUGGAACUCAGCUUCGGUUGAAUCAGAAGAGCACACGGAGCAACACGGGGCAGUCUCGCAUGCGAGGUGACUCAUCAAAAUUUCGGACACGUGGCACAUGCGAGGCGAGGACACGUGGAAAAAGUGUGACUAUGCGAAUUUUCUCGAUUUUUGUGCAAAAACUUCUAAAAUCCAUAACUUUCGCAUAUGAGCUCCAUUUUUGACGUUCUUUAUAUGCACGCGUAGGUAAAAUUACGCUCUACAAUUUUUGUUUAGACUUGGUCGACUAAUUUUGACUUUAAUUUUUAUAUUAUUAUUUUUAACAGACCAGGACAGGAAAUCCGUUAAAAAUUGAUAACUUCUUCAUCCGUCGUCCAUUUUCGUCAGACUUUUUACCGUUGUGCUACUAAUGAAGAGACCUUCAAUUCUCGUUUAGGUUGUGUCGGCUAAAAAUAAUUCGAUCUAAAAUUCGAGUUUUUAGCUGUCUACUGCUAAGCUGAAACUUCGAAAGAUCAUAACUUCCUCAUACGAAGUCAGAGUUGGGCGUUCUUUUUAUCGAACUUCUCGGUUUAACGAAUACUAUGACUUUCGUUUAGAUCACUAAGGCUAAAAAGUAGUUUAUCAAAAACUCACUUUUUAGGACAUUCAGCAAUGUGCCGGUUUUGUCGCGAAACUUCGACAUGCCAUAACUUCUUCGUUACAACUCGGAUUUUGGUAUUCUUUAUAUCCCCAAAAUCCUUGUUUCGACCACUACAACUUUAUGUAAAGAUAUCGAGCUUAUCUCACACUUUAAUUUUGACGCUUAUUUUUAUUCUUAAUUAAUUAAACCCUAAUAAUUAAGCAUAAAACACAUAAUUCACAUAAUAUUCACAUAAUUCCUUUUCAUUUCUUCGAAAUGAGUUAGAAAGGUUAACCUAGACUAUCACCUAAAUAUAAAUUCCUAGGCUAGAAACACGAGUGUUACAAUUCUCUCCCCUUAGGAUGAUUCCGUCCCCGAAAUCAUAUAUCACCAAACAAAUGCGGGUAGCGACUCAUCAUGUCACUCUUCGUUUCCCAAGUGAGAUUUGGCCCACUCGUAUGUUUCCAACGCACAAGCACUAAAUCGACCAUCUUGCGUCGCAACUUCUUAGUCUUACGGUCAACGAUUACCUCAGGUUCUUCAAUCAACCUCUUGUUUUCAUCCAACCUUAACUCAGAAAUCGGAAUUAUGUCGGGCACAUCUCCCGUGAACUUUCUUAAAUAACACACAUGAAAGGUCUUAUGAAUACCCUCCAGUUCUUCCGGUAAUUCUAGCUUGUAAGCUUGAUUCCUGAUCCUCUAAAGAACUUUAAAUGGUCCAAUAAACCUUGGACUCAAUUUUCCCCUUUUACCAAAUCUUAUAAGUCCCUUCCACGGCGAGACUUUAAGAAAAACCGAAUCUCCAACUUCAAAGGUUAUCGAUUGUCUUUUCUUGUUAGCAUAACUCUUUGUCGAUCUUGAGUAGCUAACAUUCUUUCCCUUAUCACUUUCAACUUUUCAGCAGUCUGAUGGACUAUUUCAGGUCCCAUAAACUGCUUUUCCCCAGCUUCCAGCCAACAUGAUGGCGUUCGACACUUUUCCCCAUACAAAGCGUGAUAAGAUGUCAUCUUAAUGCUUGAGUGGAAACUAUUAUUAUAGGAUAAUUCUACUAGAGGUAAGUGUUCAUCCUAGUUACAUUGGAAUUCUAGGGUACAUGCUCUCAACAUAUCCUCCAAUGUUUGAAUCGUUUGUUCGCUCUGACCAUCUGUUUGUGGAUGGUAAGCUGUACUCAAACACAACUUGGUACCCAAUUACUCUUGUAGACUCCUCCAAAAUCUUGAGGUAAAACGGCUGUCACGAUCAGAUACAAUCGUUAAUGGAACACCAUGAAGCCUCACAAUUUCCUUCAUGUAAGAAUUCGCAAGUUUAUCCAUAGACCAUUUCUCGUUGGCUGCUAUGAAAUGUGCACUCUUAGUGAAGCGAUCAACGACCACCCAAAUCAUGUCGUGACCGUUCCUUGUUUUGGACAGUUUAGUCACAAAAUCUAUGGUGAUGUCUUCCCAUUUACCCAUGGGUACGGGUAAAGGUUCUAAACUCCCAUACAGUUUCUGAUGUUGUGCCUUAACCCUAGCACAAGUUACACACUCGGCUACAUACUUAGCAACAUCGAGCUUCAUCAUCGGCCACCAAUAAUAGGGCUUUAGAUCCCUAUACAUUUUUGUACUGCUGGGAUGAAUCGAGUAUAUAGUCUUGUGAGCUUCUUCCAUCAGAAGAUCUCUUACUCCACUCGUCUUAGGUACCCAAAUCCUAUCUUGGAAUACCUUCAACCCUUGGUUGUUUGUACCGAAUGCUAACGUUUUGCCCAAAUGUUCUUCCUUCCGGUCAUUUUUCUCUGAAGCUUCCUCUUGAGAUUUCUUUAUACUUUCCACAAUUGUCGAGACAAAUUCAAUUUUCAACACUCGUGGCCUUUUGUUUUCAAGGUUUACCUUCCGACUGAGAGCAUCAGCAACAACAUUUGCUUUACCAGGGUGGUAAAGUAUCUCACAGUCAUAGUCCUUGAGUAACUCUAGCUAGUGUCGUUGCCUCAUGUUUAAUUCCUUCUGAUUAAAGAGAUAUUGAAGACUCUUAUGAUCAGUGAAAAGUUUACACUUAGUACCAUAAAGAUGAUGCCUUCAUAUAUUUAAGGCGAAUACUACAGCUGCCAACUCCAGAUCAUGAGUGGGGUAGUUCUUUUCAUGCUCUUUCAAUUGCCUCAAUGCACACACUAUCACUUUAUCUCUUUGGGUCAGAACAAAACCUAACCCAACUCCAGAGGCAUCACUUUAAACUGUGAAGUCAUCAACCCCGUCAGGUGACAAAAGAGUCGGUGCUUCACACGACGUCUUCUUUAACUUCUCAAAGCUUCCUAUGUUUCUCAUUCAAAGUAUAGACAACUCCUUUGUGGGUCAAAGCUGUCAAUGGAGUCGCGAUUGAAGAAAAGCCUUGGAUAAAUCAGCGAUAAUAUCUAGCUAAUCCUAAAAAGCUUCAUAUCUUCAUAGGACCUUCAAUUGUAACCUUCGAGUUACAAAAUAAAUCCUUAUUGAGGACUCCUUCUUCUUCUUGGAAUAAGUACUUUCCUUCAUUUAUUGUAAUAGACCGAUGGGUCAUGUUCUAAUGAUCUCUCAUUGCAUACUGCACUAAUUAGACUCAGAUCUCCUAGGGACAAAUUUCAAAACAAAUUAUACCUUCCUUCAUGUUCUAAUGUGAUACAAUCACAGUUCGACAUAUAGCAUUUCUAACUACCAACUUCUUUAACAAUGAGUGCGAUACUUCUAUUGAUCACUUUGAUCAUCUUUCACUUCAAUCUUCUAGCUUAAGUCAAAUGUUACAUCAAAAUUGGUUCUCUAAACCACAUAAUAAACUCAUCGUAGUCGGACUCGAUUCGAUAUGACCUCUAAGGUCGGAAUAACAAUCAUCUUCUUAGUCAUUACCGAAAUGAUGGUAACGACAGACUAGAACAAGACGGAAUCAAAUAAUAGCUCCUUGGUAACCUUGUGACUUUCCCUGAUCCAAGCGUGAGUCCUAUGCUUCCAGUAGUAUAGAUCUCUACUACUAUUCACACCUACUCAUACUCGUCCCAAGUACUGUCUUGCAGUCCCCAAGUCCUAAAAGCACAAAACAAUUUAACACAUACGAAUGUGUCCAAUUAAUCAUAAAAUUUUCCUAGACUCUACUAGGACUUCUUCCAUGCAUAUCUUCAAUGAUCAACUCUACUUCAACUUGGUUGGUGAUGGAAAUUCCGGACGAUGGGACAACUUUAAGAAUUACACCAAUCGUUCCAUUCAUCAAAUGACAAAACAAGGGUUUAUUUUAUUUCCUUGAAAUGAUUACACAAAGGUUCAAGUUUACCCUAUACUAUGCCUCUCAUAGGCUAAACCACUUGUUACUAUUCACAUUACUACUUCGUAACUUGAUCUUCGGGUAUCAAGUCUUUACUUCUACUUCCUAGCGUUAAUAAUCGCUUCGUCAAGGAUAUCCUGAAAUUCCUUUGGCGUUGGUGGUGCACCUGGCCUUGUUACUUCAUUGUUCUUCGGAUAGUUCUUAGAAAUAUGGCCUUCUUCUUUACAUACAUAAUACACCUCCUUGGGAAUCAUACACUUAUUAGCGUAAUGCCCUAUUUCUCCACACCUAAAGCACUUCACCUUCCAGUCACAAUUCCCAGAGUAUUUAUUUUUGCACUUUUCGCACCAUUUUCCUUUACCUUUUCUUUUGCUAGACUUUGAGGAUAUGUUGCUCUUGUUGGGCCUUGAAGACCCCUCAAAUUUCCUCUUCUUGCCAACUUCAACUUUGUUGGCGGUUCUGUCAUUGAUCAUUUCUUCAAUAGACUUAGCAACCCUAAUAGUUGCCUCAAGAACAGAUGCCUGACAUACUGGCACAGUAAGUUCAUCCUUACUUUGUUGAAGUAAACGUUUUGUUUCUUCCAUUUGUUCACCUAACAUCUUACGCACCAUUGCCUGCACCCCAGUCAUUGCGAUUGGCUCAGGCUGUGGAUUAUCACUUUCGAACCCACUUUGAGUACUCGCCAUUUCGAUCUAUACACCAAUCGUAGGUGAAUUUAGAUCUUCACUUUCGUUAGACGUUAAGUCUUUGUUAUCACUCCGAAACGUUUAUAUGUUAGUUCCAAUAUCGUAGUCAUACAUUUAGAAUCCUACACACAUAAGGUUUCCAGAUCCAGUCGGCAACAGACCAUAGAUCCGAACAAAUAAUAGCAUCAUUAUAGCUAUAACACAAAACAUUUAGCACAUAAAAGCAUUUUAGGCAUCCUUCCUAAAAUAAACUAGUGCUAGUGUCUAAAUUAUGGCCGGGAAAUUAGGGGAUGGACACUACUGCUAAGGGGUUUCCUCAGCCAUACAUGUCCUAAAGGCAACCAUGAGGGGGAUGGAGUAUAGUGAAUGAACACUCUUAGUUCAUUAACACCUACAGGUUGCGGGCUGCUAAUGUUUCCCACUGGACUGUCUAGAAAGUCCGUGGUUGUCAUCCAAACUCCGCUAGAUUACUGGAUCUCAAAACACAUCGAGGCCUCUCAUCACUUUUAUUUUAUCACACAUCACUAUCUACCCAUGUUUUACCCAACAUAUUUGUAGAUAAAAAUACAUAUACAGUUUAAAACUUGUAUAAAACGUCAAUUCAACAGUCACCUAAGUUAAACAAUUAAUAUAAUUACACGUAGCACGUAUAUCAUGUAAAAUACUUCAUAUCUAGGUGUAAGAUGAAGGUGACUAUACACUCACAUGAUUUGAUGAUAAUCGGGAAACAAUUCGUUGAUUAAAACGACCGUUUCUAAUAAAACCGAGAGUUUUAUUGAGAAACCGGGCUCUGCAAAGGUCGAGCUUCGAAACCAGAAAGAUAAAUUUUCCGGGCUUCUCGGGCACUUCAUGGAGUAUUCCGGUCUUUGGAAUAAGUACCGGGGCUUCGGGGGAUUCUAAGAUGAAGAAAAUAUGAAGAAAGGGGUGAAAGAUGGCAAAAUCUCAAAAGUAUCCGAGAAGGCUCGCAUGAGGCUUCUAUUUAUAGGAGUCUGAAGUCAGCUACGGUGGUGGGGUCCACAGGCGAAGGUGCGAAGAUGGCAGCAUGUGCGAGGGCCUCGGUGGCGGUUGCUAAUUGGACCGUGCUUCUGAUGCGAGGGGUUGUGACAAGAGGCAAAUUCAGAAUCGAGGCGCGUCAGAUAGCUAUUGGACCUCAACUUCGGUCGAAUCAGAAGAGGACAUGGAGCGACACGGGGCAGUCUCACAUGCGAGGUGACUCAUCAGAAUUUCGGACACGUGGCACAUGCGAGGCGAGGACACGUGGCAAAAGCGUGACUAUGCGAAUUUUCUCGAUUUUUGGCAAAAACUUCUAAAAUCCAUAACUUUCGCAUACGAGCUCCAUUUUUGACAUUCUUUAUAUGCACGCGUAGGUAAAAUUACACUCUACAAUUUUCGUUUAGACUUCGUCGGCUAAUUUUGACUUUAAUUUUUAUAUUAUUAUUUUUAAUAGACCGGGACAGGAAAUCCGUUAAAAAUUCAUAACUUCUUCAUCCGACGUUCGUUUUCAUCAGACUUUUUACCGUUGUGCUACUAAUGACGAGACCUUCAAUUCUCGUUUAGGUUGUGUCGGCUAAAAAUAAAUCGAUCUAAAAUUCGAGUUUUUAGCUGUCUACUGCUAAGCUGAAACUUCGAAAGAUAAUAACUUCCUCAUACGAAGUCAGAUUUGGGCGUUCUUUUUAUCGAACUUGUCGGUUUAACGAAUACUAUGACUUUCGUUUAGAUCACUAAGGCUAAAAAGUAGUUUAUCAAAAACUCACUUUUUACGACAUUCAGCACCGUGCCUGUUUUGUCGCGAAACUUCCACAUGUCAUAACUUCUUCGUUAUAACUUCGAUUUUGGUAUUCUUUAUAUCCCCGAAAUCCUUGUUUCGACCACUACAACUUUAUGUAAAGCUAUCGGGCUUAUCUCACACUUUAAUUUUGACACUUAUUUUUAUUCAUAAUUAAUUAAACCCUAAUAAUUAAGAAUAAAACACAUAAUUCACAUAAUAUUCACAUAAUUCCUUUUCAUUUCUUCAAAAUGAGUUACAAAGGUUAACCCAUACUAUCACCUAAAUAUAAAUGCCUAGGCUAGAAACACGAGUGUUACAUCAUGCCCUAAAGUUAGGGUUUUUGUCUUAGGCCACGUAUGCCCUGUGAUCGCCUUAGUACGCCCCGCGUACAUGGUGCAUGUCCGUGUCCAAACCACCCUAGUAUGCUAAGCGUACACAAUUGUACGCUUAACAUACGUAUGGACCUCCUUUGUAAAUAAGUUUCUGAUGAGAUUAAAACUUUUAAAUCUAAGAAGAUCGAUUAGAUCUCAAACAGGCAAAUAAUAUAAAACUGUAAGAACACGAAAAUAUAAACGAGACAAGUGUGAAUCAAACGAGUCGAAUGAUUAAAACAAAAUCCUCAGAAGAGCUCGAUUAAGAACAUCAACUGUAGAGGAUUGGAAGGUUACAAGAACGAUUAAAGAAACCUGUAAUGCUAUCGUUAAGCUCUAGAAUAAUUGCUAAAAUCGUUAUCAAUCCUUAACCUAAUAUGCAUGCAAGCAUAUACUUAUAUAUAAAACAUAAAAGGCUCUCGGUUGGACAGGCCCAAACCAGAGUACAAAAUAACUAUACUAUCGAGCCCAAAAGACGCAAUCUUCAAAAUAAUCUUCAGCCCAACAAUCUCCCCCUUUGCGUCAAUUUGGAGCGAGACCUUCACUUGUUACUUGGGCCAGCAGCUGAAGCAGGUACCUUCUUCUUCACGAUGCUAAACAUACAUUUGGUGAUGGAGAGAAUGGUCUGUCAAAACCGGAUGUACCAAUUGAUCAUGUCGUUGAAGUACUUGAUGUCAUCAGCCGAGUUCUCUUUACACCGUUUGAUAAUCGAUAACACAUGCUCCAAACAAGCUGUGGUGUAAAGGUGUUUGUCAGCUAAAGCGAAGAGACAUUUCUGUCCUUCCGCUCUAGUGAACAUAACCGAGUUGCGUCUCGGGUCGAUCUUGCCCAUUUGCAUUUUGUUGAGAUCACUGGCCGAUCCCACAGGAGCUAUCUUCGGUUUCUUCUUGAAGACUGUGGCGACCUCCUGAUCCAUUAGGGCAACCUCCAUGAUGUAGCAGGCUAACAUCCUUUUGACAUGGUCUAUAAUGGGACCAUAUUUGGCUUCAUCAGUCAAAAGGAUAUUAUACAGGACACUCCAAUCAUGAGGAUUUAAAUUCGGUAGAUCUGCCAGGGAGAUAAGAUGAGCAGUUCUUGCAGAUCCCCGAAUAAGCUUGAACCGAACGUUUGUGAACCUCCCUUUGGCGUAAGCCUUUAGCACCCGGACGUUCACAAUCUUCUGGGCGCUCCAAGUAAGGUAUUAAGGACGAGCAACCGCCAGAUAGAAGUCAAUGAGCUCCCUGUCAAGCUCAGCAUUCGGAUGAGGGACUUCAAAGAUGUUAGAGAAGGCGUGGAAGAUGAACGCCUUUCGAGUCAACGGCAUGUCGAACUGCGAGUCGACAGUAUUGUUGCAGUCGAACAAGAUAACCGGCUCGAGCCAUAAUAUGAUGGGAGUUUCUAUGGCCUCUUUAAUCAUACGCUCCCUGGUCCAGGCAGGGAAGAGAGUCUUCCGGCUCUCAAGGAGAUCGUGGGCUUCCUUUUGCUUGCGUUCGGCUUCUUCAGCCUCUCGCGCCACACGACUGGCAUCAUCGUCAGCAUUGCGACUGUUCUUUCGUUUUAACAUGUCAGCAAUGGUCUCCCUGUCUUCAUCUUCAUCUUCAUCUUCUUCCUCAACUAUGUUUUUGCCUUUGUUCUUCACACCCGAACCCGAAGCUUGACCAGUCUGAGGUGGUUCGGUUGUGUGAGUAGCUUUGGAGGAAGGAGGUGGUUUCGAUCCUUUCUUCUCAUCUCCCCCUUGUUUCGGAAUGGACANNNNNNNNNNNNNNNNNNNNNNNNNNNNNNNNNNNNNNNNNNNNNNNNNNNNNNNNNNNNNNNNNNNNNNNNNNNNNNNNNNNNNNNNNNNNNNNNNNNNNNNNNNNNNNNNNNNNNNNNNNNNNNNNNNNNNNNNNNNNNNNNNNNNNNNNNNNNNNNNNNNNNNNNNNNNNNNNNNNNNNNNNNNNNNNNNNNNNNNNNNNNNNNNNNNNNNNNNNNNNNNNNNNNNNNNNNNNNNNNNNNNNNNNNNNNNNNNNNNNNNNNNNNNNNNNNNNNNNNNNNNNNNNNNNNNNNNNNNNNNNNNNNNNNNNNNNNNNNNNNNNNNNNNNNNNNNNNNNNNNNNNNNNNNNNNNNNNNNNNNNNNNNNNNNNNNNNNNNNNNNNNNNNNNNNNNNNNNNNNNNNNNNNNNNNNNNNNNNNNNNNNNNNNNNNNNNNNNNNNNNNNNNNNNNNNNNNNNNNNNNNNNNNNNNNNNNNNNNNNNNNNNNNNNNNNNNNNNNNNNNNNNNNNNNNNNNNNNNNNNAGCUCCUCUCUUUGCCGUUGCUACAGCCGCUGUAACUGUCGCGGCAGCCGUCUCUGCGAGAGCCGCAUAUCGCUCAUCAAAAUACUCAACCAUGGCGGUCCUGAUCGACCCAAACAAUUCUGGCGACUCAGCCCGUAACAAUGCAGCAACCUCAUCGGCGUCGAGUCCAGUCGCGAGAAGUAGAUCAACCUUCUCAUGAAGCUCUUUGAGAUUCUUCUUUGUCACUGGAGCAUCAUCCUCCUCGUCACUCUGAACUUGAAACGGACUAUAGUAGACCGAAUCAAAGUUCAUGUGUUCACCACCAAGGUAAGGGUUUUCGCCAUCGGAGGCAUUUUCUGGAGAUGGAGGGGGUGGUGAAGCUGGGGGUGUUGUGGUUGGGGUAUGGUUAGGUUGAGUAUUGGGUGGUGGUUGAGUGUGGGUAGGUUCGAAAAUUUCGAUGCAUCGGAGACGAUGAUCUUCUUGGUAUGAAACGUACCAACAGAAGACAUCGAUGCACCGUCGGCAGUGGGGAUGUCGAACUUGUCCAUCGCCCAUUUUGUAAUUAAGAUCCAGAACCGGGCCAACGACACCUCAGAGUGUCGGGAUGAUGAAGAAAGGCUCUGGAUGAGCUGUUGCCAUAGGACCAACCCAUAGUCCAGGUUAAUCCCGUUGUAGACCCCGUACAUUAUUGACAGGAAGAGACGACUNUAAGCCGUUCCACUGAGGCGGCAGGCAGGACUUUUUGAAUUUAGCGACAGAGGUGAGGACCUCUGUGUACCCCAUGUUGUAAAACAUGCUAAAUAGAUGCCCAACCGGAAUCGUCUCCGGAUUUAUUCUCGAUGGGUCAACAGCCAACCCAAGCAUGGUGCAGAAACGCUGUCGAGAAACAGAUAUCUUGUGUUCAGCAAUCUCGAAGAACACCCGGUCAACUGCCUUGUCAAAAUAAGCAGUCGCGUAAACCUGCGAUAGGGCCACCAUGGGCACAGACUCGAUCCUGGAGAGAGCGGUGGCGAUUUGGGAGUACUUCAGGCACUCGAUGAUCGGCGACAUGUAGGAGUCGUACGCCAGAGGAUUGAGAUCGAUCACCAGGCAUUGUUGCGGACGAAUGGGAAGGAUUUGUGAUGUAGCAUGGACGGAAGAAGAUUCUGCCAUUGUUGAAGGUAGUCGAAGAAGAAGAUGAACAGUGAAGCUUUUGGGAGGUUUUUGCUCUCUAGAAAAUCCGGAAGCAGUAAAAAGGUAAAUGGUGUUGUAGACUGCCUUUUAUAGUGAGGGAUUGGAGAGAGAAAAAUCGUUUCAUAUCUUCUAUGCGAUGAUCACGUAGGAGAGAUAGUGUCAGAUUCCUAGGAUCACGCUACCCAACAAGCGCCGUUUCAGAAGAAAAACGGUUCAAAUCCACACGCGCCUUUAAAUGCCAGAAGGAUGUCGCUUGGAAUUCGCACACGCGUCCUUAAUGUCAGUAAAAGUAAGGCCGUUUCAAAUUCACACUCGCCCACUUUUUACCGUCGUUUGAAUUUUAAUCCUUUUAACUCCCGCCGAGUCAGCAACCUUUUUGUCUUAUCUUUUUAAAUGACAACUUUUGAAUUAAAUACCCACGUGGAUUGUUUUUGACCACAACUUUAUAAUUAACCACCAAGUAAUCAUACAGCCUGUAAAAAUUAGUAACGGAUGUUCGGAAAAUCAAGGAUUUUCAUGCAAAGAGUGUAAAAGAAAAAGAAAUAAAGCAACUCUUUUAAGGAUUUUCUGUGAUGUCAAUAAUGACACGAAACUGAUGAUCCCGGGCACGAGUCUCUUCCUUCAAGGUCAAAAGAGACCUUAAAGUGUUAGUGUGGAAUCCCGUUGAAUUACGAUCAAACAUUUAUUAAGAAAUGUUGAAAGGCUUCUUUUAAUUAUGUUAAAUAAGGGUGGCUUUCGCUUUGAUUCAUCAAUUCUAUUCUUGAAAUAAGAAAGAAAGUGAACAAAGUACUUGUGAGACCGGUGUAGCCUGUUGAACAAGUAGGUAGGAAUUUAUUUUAAAUUGGCUUGGAAAAAUAUAAAAUCUCAAAAAAAAAAAAAUGAAAACCUGGAUCCCAAGGGAAGAAAUGUUAUGGUGUUUUAACAAUUUCAUAGGAAUCACACAAAAGAAAAAUUGAGAUUUCAUGAGGGUACAUUCGUCAAUACUUUGGUGAAAACUUGAGCAAAUUAAUUGUUCACCGUCAAUUCAUUAGGUGUUGAAUUUUGGGUUUCACUCAGCUCGUAGUGACAUGAAACUAAGAUCAUAAACACAGAUGUUGUGUAACCAUAAACCUCAGUGGUAAUUUCUGAGAGUCUCAAGGGUUACGUUGAUGAAACGAAUGUAAUGGAGAAAUGUAAUGGAGAUGGUGUAAGAAAUUAAAGUACCUCUGCUGCGAAAAUAAGGACCAAGCAGAAAACUCUUAUCUCAUGUGAGAAGAGAGUGAGGUAGCUCACGAUUAGAAUAAAUGUGAUAGCCUAAUUGGGAAGACAAGGUUUGUUUAUACCAAGUCAUUAAGGCUAUUAUUCAGAAUCUUAUGAGGCUUGGGACACAUACAGCAGCAUGCUUCUAGGGACACUUAAGUAAUCCAACAAUUAUAUCCCCAUAAACGAACGAACACAUAAAUAAAAUAAGAAAAUAUUUUUGGAGUUUUUGAUAUAUAUAAAAAAAUUAAAAGAAAAGAAAAUAAUAAAAAAAAAAUUAAGCAAGAGAAAAAAUAAGACUUAGAAAGAGUAAAAAAAAACUUUGGAAAAAUUUGGUAACCGAACCCGAACGUUCGGUUGGUUUCGGUUGAGAAAAAUUUGAAAAACCGAACCCGAGCGUUCGGUUGGUUUCGGUUCGGGAAAAUUUUGAAAAACCGAACCCGAGCGUUCGGUUGGUUUCGGUUCAAGAAAAUUUUGAAAAACCGAACCCGAGCGUUCGGUUGGUUUCGGUUCAAGAAAAUUUUGAAAAACCGAACCCGAGCGUUCGGUUGGUUUCGGUUCCAGAAAAUUUUGAAAAACCGAACCCGAGCGUUCGGUUGGUUUCGGUUCAGGAAAAUUUUGAAAAACCGAACCCGAGCGUUCGGUUGGUUUCGGUUCAAGAAAAUUUUGAAAAACCGAACCCGAGCGUUCGGUUGGUUUCGGUUCAAGAAAAUUUUGAAAAACCGAACCCGAGCGUUCGGUUGGUUUCGGUUCAAGAAAAUUUUGAAAAACCGAACCCGAGCGUUCGGUUGGUUUCGGUUCAAGAAAAUUUUGAAAAACCGAACCCGAGCGUUCGGUUGGUUUCGGUUCAAGAAAAUUUUGAAAAACCGAACCCGAACCUUCGGUAGGUUUCGGUUUUGGAAAAUUUUGAGAAACCGAACCCGAACCUUCGGUAGGUUUCGGUUUUGGAAAAUUUUAAGAAACCAAGGAUUUUAGACAUGCAAUUGGAAAAUAUUUUCAACACUAAGAAAAACAAUUUUGUACAAGAAAUAUACAACCAAGAAAAACUACCUUUGAAGUGAUGAGCGAGUCAGAUGGUUUAACCGAACCCGAACGUUCGGUUAGUUUCGCUUCUUACGUUUGAGGUUGAGAGGUAGUGUGAGGUACUGACUCUGAUUCCAUCAUACCUAGCCCUUGCAAUAUUCUGUUGAAUGAUGCUUCAGGAAGAGCUUUGGUAAAGACGUCAGCCAGUUGAUCAGUGGUUCUUACGAAGUGAACUUCGACGUUUCCAUCUUCCACGUGAUCUUUGAUGAAGUGAUACCUCAGUGCUAUGUGUUUGGUUUUAGAGUGUUGCACUGGGUUAUGACAGAUCCUAAUUGCACUUUCAGAGUCACAAUAUAGUGGGAUCUUCUUCAUAUUGAGUCCAUAGUCUCGAAGUUGACUCUGGAUCCAAAUCACUUGAGAGGUGCAGGAUGCAGCGGCUAUGUAUUCCGCUUCGGCAGUAGACAACGACACGCACGUUUGUUUCUUGGAUUGCCAGCUGACCAACUUCCCGUCAAGGAAUUGACAGCCACCAGUGGUGCUUUUUCUGUCGAGUCCACAUCCUCCAAGGUCAGCAUCUGAAUAGGCUUGAACGAAGAAGCCUGAGUUGGAAGGAUACCAUAGACCUAAGGAGGUGGUUCGCUUGAGAUAGCGUAAAAUGUUCUUCACUGCAAGCAUGUGAGGUUCGCGUGGGUUUGCCUGAAAUCGAGCACAAUAACACACAGAAAACAUGAUGUCAGGCCUGCUAGCAGUAAGAUACAUUAGUGAGCCUAUCAUUUGACGAUAGAGCGUGAUAUCAACAGCCGGUUUGUCUAGGGAUGGAGUUAGCUUGGUGCCGAAUGCCAUUGGGACUUUGACUUUGGAGUCUCCCAUCAUACCAAACUUUGCUAGGAGAGUCUUCGUGUAAGCUUCCUGAUUGAUAAAGAUGCCUUCGGGUCCCUGUCUAAUAUUUAAACCAAGGAAAAAGUUAAUAGGACCCAUUGAGCUCAUUUCAAAUUUAGUCUCCAUCAACUUUCUGAAUUCAGCUGUUAAGCUGGGAUUCGUAGAGCCAAAGAUGAUGUCAUCGACAUAAAUUUGAACUAUCAUAAGGUGGUUACCUUCCUUUUUGCGAAAGAAGGUUGGGUCAACCGAACCUUGUUUGAAUUUAGACAUCUUUAAGAAUUUAGUUAGCGUUUCAUACCAGGCUCUCGGAGCUUGUUUAAGGCCAUACACAGCUUUAUCCAGAAUAUAGCAAUGAUUUGGAUACUUUUCGUUCACGAACCCAGGAGGUUGCUCCACAUACACGGUUUCUUCGAGUUCUCCAUUAAGAAAUGCACACUUGACGUCCAUUUGGAAAACUUCAAAGUUUUUGUGGGCAGCAUAAGCAAGAAAUAUUCUUACAGAUUCCAGCCUAGCUACAGGAGCGAAAGUCUCUUCAUAAUCAAUCCCUUCCUCCUGACAGUAUCCCUUUACUACCAGACGAGCUUUGUUCCUUAUAACAUUCCCUUCCUUGUCCAUUUUGUUCCUAAAGACCCAUUUGAGACCAACAACCGAAGCAUCUGGAGGAGUUGGAAUGAGGCGCCAGACUUUGUUCCUUUCAAAUUCGUUCAGUUCGUCUUGCAUUGCUUGAACCCAAUCAGAGUGAUCGAGGGCAGUGUUAACUGUCUUCGGUUCAACUUUUGAUACGAAUGAGUUAAACAUACAAAACUCAACCUUUGAAAAUAAGGAUGUCUGUUUUGCCUUCAGUUGUGAUCGGGUCAGAACCUUUUCAGAGACAUCACCAACCACUUGAGAGAUAGGAUGAUCUCUGGUCCAUUUGGUAAGAGGAGGAUAAUUUGGAUCAAAGGUUGGGUCUAGUUCAGCAUUGAUCAUUUCUUCUGGCUCAGAUUGGCUAUCGUAAUCAAGCGUCAUAUCAUCAUGCUCCCCCUCGAUUGAUGAGCUUUGAGAAACUUGAGGUUCAGAGGUUUCUUGUGGUGCUGGACUUUCAGGCGUUGAAGCACCUUCGGUUGGAGAAGCACUUUCGGUUGCAGUUGUAGAGCUUGGCUCCCCCUCGACAUGUGAGCUUGGCUCCCCCUCGACUGAAGCAUCGUUGGAUGGAGGUUCAUCAGAAGUCGAUCCUCCUUCAUUCAUUCUCCUUGCAGCUUCUUCGACAAUCUGCUUCAUGUGGUCAACCUUGUUGUCUGCUGCACCUGCUUCUGAGAGAGAAGCUUUCUCUGGUUCGUCAAAGAGCUCCAGAAAUUUCUCGAAUAGAUUAGCGAUCGAGACUGUGACUUGGCCAGUUUGAGGAAAGAUUUCCCCAGCGGUGUCUUCUUUGGCCUGUAGCUUUUUGACAUAGCUAUCGUCAAAAGUCACGUAAUAGGUCUCUUCGAUUUUUCUCGAACGCUUGUUUAGGACUCUGUAUGCUUUGGAUGUGAGAGAGUAGCCCAGAAAGAUUCCCUCGUCGGCUUUGACAUCAAACUUGUUGCGGUGUUCUUUAGAGUUAAAGAUGAAACACCGUGAGCCGAACACGUGGAAAAAUUUCACAUUGGGCUUUCUGUUGUUUAGUAUCUCAUAAGGUGUGAGCGUGAAUCGCUUGUUGAGAUAAGACCUGUUCUGUGUAAAACAAGCAGCAGAAAUAGCGUCAGCCCAAAAAUAAAGAGGUAAGGAAGCGAAACUUAGCAUAGUUCGGGCAGCUUCACACAAAGAUCGGUUUCGUCUUUCGACUAUUCCGUUCUGUUGUGGUGUGUAGGGAGCUGAGAAAUUGUGACUAAUUCCCUUUUCUGCAAGAAACUCUUCAAACUCCCUGUUCUUGAAUUCAAGACCAUUGUCGCUUCUGAUGUUGCGAACGACCUUCUUGAUCUGCACUUCAAUCUGCUUAAUGAAUAAUUUCAGCUUAUGAGUCGCUUCAGAUUUAAGCUUUAGAAAGAACACCCAUGUAAAUCGUGAAAAGUCAUCAAUAAUAACAAGAAUAAACUUGCUACCACCGAUGCUUUCAACAGAUGAAGGACCACACAAAUCGAUAUGAAGUAAUUCGAGUGGUUCAACAACUUUUGUGUUGAUUACAGAUGGGUGACUUUGACGACUCUGCUUCCCCAUUUCGCAUGCAGCACACAAAUGCUCUCUGUCGAACUUGAGCAAUGGAAGACCCCUAACAUGACCUCCAGUGACAAGUCGGUUGAUAUCUUUAAAGUUGAGAUGAGAGAGUCUUCGGUGCCACAACCAGCUUUCGUCGGAUUGAGCUUUUGAUAACAGGCAUAUGGCUGGGUUUCCUUUGAUGGGUUUCAUGUUUAGAGGAAACAUUUCACCCUUUCGCUCUGACUUGAGAAUCACUUUCUUUGUCUUUUUCUCUAUGAUUUCAGAACCUUCAUCAUCGAAUGAGACUUUGAGACCUGUACCUCCAACAAGCUGAGAUACACUGAUGAGGUUGUGUUGGAGUCCUUCCACAUAAGCUACCUUCCUUAUAGUAAAGUCCCCAUUUGUUAUCAUCCCGUAUCCCUUUAUGGUGCCGAAAGAAUUAUUUCCAAACUUGACAUUGCCACCAUUUGCAAGAGAUCUGUAUUCCCUGAGCUCCUCUUUGCUCCCUGUCAUGUGACGUGAGCAGCCACUAUCGAUGUACCAUUCUUCGUCAAACUGCUCGUCACUUAUAACCUGCAAAAAUUAAGCAGAUUUAGGAACCCAAAGUUUCUUGGGUCCAUGUGAGCUUUUCAUGGGAACAGGAAUAGUAAGAGAGAUGUCAACUAGAUAUGUUCGUUUUAUUAGAGUUGUUUCAUCUUUCUUUUUAAUGGUAAAAACUUUUAUCUUAUUAGGAUUGGGUGCGUUCGGUUUGGACUCUGGUUUGGAUUCAUUGACCUUCUGUUUGCCCUUUUGUUCAGCUGACGAAUAAGACUUUUGAGAGCGAACAGAAUUAGCUUUAGAGCAAGAUGGAAAUGAAUUGGUGGAAGUAGAAGAAUUAGAAGAACUAGAAGAGGUGGGUUUGGAAUGAGAGGACUUCCUGGCUGGAGACUCUAGGUGACCCUUUUGCUUUUGAUCAUUGGAGGGACUUACCUUAGAGUUUUGUUCUCUUUUGACUUCAGAACCGAACCUUUGCUUUCGGUUGGAAUCGUUCUUUGAACCGAACCUUUGCUUUCGGUUGAAGUCAUUCUCAGAACCGAACCUUUGCUUUCGGUUGGUAUUCUCUUGUGAACCGAACCUUGGCUUUCGGUUGUUGUGGCUCUCAGGCUUUCCGACAGGAUUGUUUUCAUACUUCAGAUUCUUGUCUUGAUGUGAGAAGUAUGCAUUCUGGGAUUGCCAGAAUUGCCUCCUUUCAGAGAGAUUCUUCCUGUAUCUUUGGUUCCUUUCACGUUUCUUAUUCCUCAUCUGCUUCGGUUGAUGAUGAAUAUUAGCUUUCAUUUUCGGUUUCUCCUUGGCUGGUUCAUUUUGAACUGUAGGAGUUUCACUUUGAACUGAGGAAGUAGAGGGAACGUCUUCUUUUGCCGAACUUUCAUCCUCCUGAGGAAUGUCUUUCGUACCACUGGUGCUUGGCUCAUCGAAAUUAUCUGGCUUAUUCAAGGGUUCAGGUAUGUAUCUACCUUUACUCAUCCAGGAGGUUCUUUCAGAUAAGCCUACCGUUUCGUUUGCAUUAUCUAUUGGAGCUGACCAGAAGUACUCAUCACAGCCAUCAGCAUUGUCUUCGUUUACAAUAGCUGUGAGUUCAGCCGUCUGAUGUUCGGUUACUCCAGUGACCUUGUAUACUUGAUUUGGAGUGGUCCUGACCUUUUGAUACACAACUGCUUUCUCUGCUAAGAUCGGGGACUUUUGUUGGGACAAUCGAGCGAACUCCACUGAAUUUUCAGAAAUAAGAUUCUUGUGGUUUUCAGGUUCGCUUUUAACAAAUUCUGAGCAGUCAACCGUGUCCUCUACAGAAAUUUCACUCAUGUUGUCGUCCUCGUUAAGCUCAGAUGCAUUUUCAACAUCAAUUUUGUUUUCUGAGCUUACGUUGGCGUUUAAAGAGUCAAAUUUUUGUAUGGUUUCGGUUCUCAGUUUAAGUCUAUCAUUUUCAUCCAAAAGAUUUUUAAGCAUGUCCUUGUGGUCCUUGGAUUUAAUGAAGGACUCAAUUUUGUCCAGUCCAUACAUGUAGGUCGGAUUGACAUCAUCAGACGAUAUCACACUCUCACAAUUAUAGGCUUCAGCAUCGAUUUCAUCCUCCUUAAACUCAAGGAAGGGCAAAAUCAUGCGAUGGAUCUUUUGGCCUAUUUCACAGUCCAAGUGAAGCUGAGUAAUAUUAGAAUAUAAACGUUUUGCAAUUAAACAAAAAACAUUCCGCUGUUUUAACAAUUUUAAAUUGUCUCUUUGCAAAUAAAUGUUUUCGUCUUUAACUUUAACUAAUUCCGACUCCUUUAACUCGAUCCACAUUCGCCGCUCCUCACUCUUCGACGCCACCCUGCUUAAUUGAUCAGUUAGGUUAGAAUUGGUGACUCGAGUUUGAGUUAAGCUACUAUCUAGAUGAGAAAUUCUUGUAUUAACAUUUUUUAGUUCUUUCUCAUAUGAGGAUUGUGGUACUUUAAAUGAAAUGAAAACCGAUUGUACCUUCUUUAUCAGUUCAUCAAGCUCAUUGAACUGCUGGCUGAGUGGUUUGGCCGUAAAGCACAUGUCCUCCUGCCCCUUCGGUUCAUCGCUUCCACCAUCAGUGUUGUAUCCCCUCAUCUGAGAUACAUCAGACACCAUGAAGCAUCUUCCUCCACUGCUCUCCUCCUUUGCCACAUAAGCCUUUCCAUGGGUAGGCUUCCUUACUUCAUCGUCUUCUGAGUCGGUAGACCAAACUUCCGUGCUACCGAACUCGUCAUCAUUAACCGAACCCUGCACAAUAAGAGCAUUAAUAGAAGGGUUAGCGGUAGACUUCUUCUUUCUCAAUUCAUCCAGCCUUUUCUGCAACACAGCUUCCUCAUCCUUUUCAUCAUCCUUUUCAGCCAUCUUCUUAAGCACACAGUCUUUAGCAUAGUGGUUUUUCCCACCACAGUAGUAACAGCUUACUCCGGAAUCGCCAUCCACCUUCGGUUCCUUCUUGGGCUCCUCAACCUUCGGUUCAUUGUUCACCUUUUCUGAGCUGUAACUCCCCUGCCAGUUUCGGUUUUUAUUGCUGGGGAAUCUCUUCUUUAUGAACCUCUUGGGAUUGGACACCAUCAUGGCAUAAUCCUCAGACGUGAGGUCAUACUCCUCCAAGUUGAGGUCUUCAUCCUCCAUCACAGCUUUACUUUUUGAUAGGAGGGCCAACGAACCAAGGCUUGAAACGACGUUCUUCUCUUGCAGCACAAUCUUCUCUUGGGACUUGAGAAUGCCCACUAGUUUCGCCAGAGAAUAUGAUUUAAACUGUUCAUGUGCUUUGACUGUAGAAACCACUGCUCUUCAUUCGGACCUUAGUCCAUUUAAGAAAGUAACCUUCUGCUCGAUAAGAUUCCUUUCAAUAUCGUGUUUGAUCAUCUUGCUGAGAAGAUGAUUGAAGCGAUCGAACGUCUGGGUCACUGUUUCUUCGGCUCCUUGCCUGAAUUCUCCAAACUCAGAUAGAAGCAAGGUUUGGAUAGAAUGUUCAAGAUCCUCGUCUGUAGAGUACAGUUCGCGAAGUCUAUCCCAAACUUCCUUUGCCGUCGUGCAUGAGCUGACCAACCUGAAUGUGUCGGACUGAAGGGCGAAUCUGAUCAACCUUAACGCCUUGAUAUUGCACUGGAAUUUGUCCUUUUCAUCUUGUGCAAUAUAUUUCACAUCCUUCAGCAGAUCGUUGUACUCCUUUUGAGUUUUAACUAUUCUGGACGUUGCAGAAUGAGAAAAUGGUCCAUUGAUGAUAGCUUCCCAUAUGAGGUACCCAUUAUCCUCAGAUCCAAUCACGUAGUCUUCGAAGUGAUGCACCCAUACUUCAUAGUCAUGGGUGUAUAAGAUUGGAAUUUUUGUCGUCGAACCGAUGCUGUUGGAAAUAUUAAUAGGGUUCGAUUGCGUCUCGUCCAUUAUGAUCGAAAAAACCUGUUAAAAGAUCAGACUUGUAAUAACUCAGAUUAGGGCAAAACAAUAAAUAUCAAAAUACGUCAAUAAUGAGAUGACGGCUCAAUAAAUAUCAGUAAUUGCGGAAAAACCCUAAUUGAAACCUUUUCACAGAAAAGAUGUGUAUCGAUUACACAGCCUCCCGCUCUGAUACCAAUUGAUGAGAUUAAAACUUUUAAAUCUAAGAAGAUCGAUUAGAUCUCAAACAGGCAAAUAAUAUAAAACUGUAAGAACACAAAAAUAUAAACGAGACAAGUGUGAAUCAAACGAUUCGAAUGAUUAAAACAAAAUCCUCAUAAGAGCUCGAUUAAGAACAUCAACUGUAGAGGAUUGGAAGGUUACAAGAACGAUUAAAGAAAUCUGUAAUGCUAUCGUUAAGCUCUAGAAUAAUUGCUAAUAUCGUUAUCAAUCCUUAACCUAAUAUGCAUGCAAGCAUAUUCUUAUAUAUAAAACAUAAAAGGCUCUCGGUUGGACAGGCCCAAACCGGAGUACAAAAUAACUAUACUAUCGAGCCCAAAAGACGCAAUCUUCAAAAUAAUCUUCAGCCCAACAGUUUCAUUACAAGGGUUAAAAGGGUAAAUACGCGCAUUCCGAAUGUUAUAUACAGACAGUCAACUACUUGAUUAUACCAUAAGCCCUUCAUCAAAUAAGAACAUGAAAUAAUGCUCAACCAAAAAUAUUUAGGCUAUAGAAUCUUAGUUAUGUACAACUAUGAUGCAUACACUAAGAAACUACAAUAAUGAUGUCAAAUCUGUAUAAGAAGUAAUCCUAGGGUAUCAAGCAUCAUAUAUCAGAGAAUCCCAUCACAUAAUUCCUGAAGAUACCUAGCCUACCACUAGCAUGCUGUUCUAUCAUGAAAAACAUAUCAAAUAACAGUGUGCAUAACUUGGUGUAUACUUUCUAGCUUCGGCUGAUCGUACACAUCACAUCAUUCCAUGGUUACUUUUGAAAACAUUUUUUGAAAACCAUUAAAAAAAACUUUUACAGCUCCCUAUAUUGAGUUUAGAUUCACACGAAUGUUCAUCCAGUUCUCUCAAACCAUGGCUCUGAUACCAACUUGUAACACUCUAUAUAUCAUAGAAAAUUAAAAAAAUUAAAUUUCAACCAUUAACCAACAUUGUUUACAAAAAGAGUCAUUGCUUCAAAAGUAUUAUUCAAAAUCAUAGUUUUUCCCAAGACCCACUAACACAAAACAUGAAUAUGUGCACGAUCACACCUUCUCCUUCCCGCGAUCAUUAGAAGUACCUGAAACAAUAAACUGAAACUAUAACCCAAAGCUUAUCGAGUUCCCCCAAAGUACCAUCAUGCAACAUAUAAAAUACAUAGAUUAACAUGCUGGGUCCACAACCUCCCGGUUGGAUUACCUUCGUCCACACCCUCCCUGUUGGAUUGCCCUGUAUACCAUAUACUAGGUCCAAAACCUCCCGACUGGGUUGACUUGGCUAGUUUGUGGAUUUUGACCUAUUUUGACCCAAGGAUAUCUUGGAUAAAUUGGUAGUAAUUUAAGUCGGGCAAUAUUUUGGGAUAAUAGCUGUCGACUAGAGCCGGUUUUUGGGGAAGGGAUUUAUUCAGCUUGUGUUCAGACUUUCCUCACUGAACUUACGAGUCGAAGGCACCAAGUCCGACCCAAUGGAUUGAUAUCCUGUUAGAUACUGAUUGAAGAUAUGUUGAGUAUGUGAUAGAUCUGUAUGAUUAUAUGAUAGUUAUUGAUAUAGGUUAAACUGGUAGAUCUGUAGGACUACAUGUGAUUAUUAGCUGUAUAAUCACAUAUCUCCUGUAUGUAUAUUAUAUGAUAUAUGUUGACAUGUUAUGUUAGGGUUGAGAUUACUGCUUUGUGCUAUCAGUCAACAGACCGUGACAAUCCAACCGGGAUGUUGUGGGCUAGGGUAAUCCAACCGGGAGGUUGUGGACACAACAUGCUAAUCUAUGUAUUUUAUAUGUUGCAUGAUGGUACUUUGGGGGAACUCACUAAGCUUUGACUUACAGUUUCAGUUUAUUGUUUUAGGUACAUUUGAUGAUCACGGUACGACGAAGGUGUGAUCAUGCACAUCUUCUUGUUUUUUGUUACUGGGUCUUGGGAAAAACUCUGAUUUUGAAUAAUACUUUUGAAGGAAUGUCUCUUUUUUUAAAUAAUGUUGGUUAAUGUUUGAAAUUUAAUUUUUGUAAAUUUCUAUGAUUUUUGGAGUCUUAUAUUGGUUUUGGCUUAUAACCGAUCCAAGCCCCCACACACCCUUGUUAAUCAUCAAAGAAGAAUCCAAUCAGAACUAACUAUGUUCAACAAUAACAACCAUAGGGUGUUAUAAAUCCAUUACCUCAAAUGUAGGGAUCUUUUGAUGUCGAAGAACAUUAAUCAAGAUAAACUAAUAAUGAUAUUCAAUUAAACCAAAGGUCUUUUGGCCUAGCACUAUCAUAUGUUGGAAAAGUGACCCUUCCUAAUGUUAGAAAAACGGGUUAUUUCGAUUGCUUGGAUUCCACUAAAAGUCAUGAUACACUUUCAAAUUGAAUUAUUUCGAUGGUACAAUCAAAAUCUCAAAUGGAUAAAAUUCAAUGACAACAACAAAGAAUGAAAAGGUUAUGAUUCUUGUGUGUACAUGAUUUAAAUAACCAGAAAGGUAUAUAACUCCUUCUCCGAAAACUAUCAUAUUGGCAUUUACAAACUGCUACAAAACUGUCACUAAACUGACUUAGUCAGCUUGACAAACAAGAACUACAUAUUUAACAUACAAAGCGAAGCUAAAAAGUUUCCUGAUACUUGUAAAAAUCAAACGAUGUCAAAAAAUUAGAUGUUACAAAAUCUAGUAUUAACUUAGAUUUAAUAAAACUUAUAGAUUACCUGUUUAUAUAUCAUGAAAAUUUAUUCCCAAGGUCAUCCUUAACUCACUAACAGAUUUUAGGAGUAAUGAUAUAACGAUAUCUAUUCGUUACUCCUCUGAUAAAAUUUUGGAUUCUGUGUAGUCGAUAGGUCGUAUUUUUGGAUUGCUAACAGGAGUAGAAAAGCUAAAAUCAUUUGGGUCGAUGGGCUUCGUAAGCCUACUUUAGCUUGCAGUCCUAUGUAAUGUUUUUUUUCCUUGCUUCCUGCUAGUUUUUAUAAAAUUUUAUGCUGUUCCAAAAAAAAUUUUCUUUGAUAUAUUGGUCGGUCGACUUUGAGAUACAAUUAAGAAGGUUCUCUAGCCACAUCACACAUCAUCCUCCCCCAAUGACCACCACACAAUAAUAUCGAUUUGGUAUAGACCAACAACUCUCUUUCCCCAUCUCAUUCUGUCUUCACUUCCUUACUUUUCAGUUUGCUUUAUAAUAUUCAUACAUAGAAACUCAUUUUGAAGCAGUUAACACACAUAAAUGUCCUUAAUAUUGGAAUCCCCAACGAAGUAGCGUCGUUAAGUAAAGAAUGCAAGUGACAAUCUAAGUUCCUCUUAAUAUACAUAUCUUUUAUUAGAGACCGACCGCUGUCAUCCUCAAUAUAAUUCAUGUGUCCCUAAGUCCAUUUUCCAAUUCUUUUUGGAUUUGAUAAACUUGUAUAUACAAUUUCCUCUCUUUAUAGUGUUCAAUCUUCUACACAUCUUUUCAUAUGUCAUAAGCUUUGCUUUAGUUAUUGCUUUCUUCUUCCAACUUCUAUUGUAUAUAUUUCUUUCACCUCUCUUCUUUAUUUUGACCUUGAAUCUUCUUUCUCCACCAUUCCGAUUAUUAGCUUAGCAUUUCCUGCUAGACGGAUAUGACCUCCUGCUAGAAUUACCAUGUAGACCGAGACCCCCUACUUGUAACUAACCUAUUCGGUCCUAAUAGAUACACAUGUAAAAAGCUAAUAACUACUAACUAAGUGUUAAUUAUUUAAUAUAAAAUAGAGAUAGAACAUCAAUGAUAAAUAUUAAAAAUGCACAAAAAGUCAACGUGAGAAAUUAUAUUGCAAUAAAUUUGUUGUCAAUACAAUGCGUAAAUGAUUUACAAAAUCGAAAGUUCCGGACACAAGUUAAAACUUAAAACCCUAAAAGAGCCUACAAAUUUCAAUCGUCGACAUACCCCACCACAAAGGCACAAAUAAUCAAAGAAACAAGUGUAGAUGUAGAGGCCUUUUUCACCACAAUCACCCUUCAUCGGCCAUUUCGAAGGCCACGUGAAAUGUCACUAACGUGGCCCUAUAAAUAUCCACUCCUUUGUCUUUAACCCCUCCCCCUCCCAUAUAAAACCCUCCAUCCUCCUCCUUAACCACCAUCAACAACUACCUUCUCUCCUCCCUCAAAAGUACCACCAUCUUUUCCGACAUGGCAGCUUCUUCAAUCUUCAUGGCAACUCCCAUCACACUCCUCAAAAAAACUCCCACCUUCUCCGUCAAAUGCAUGUCACAAACACCUCAAAGCGGUGAACCGGAGAUUUCAAAACCAGCAACCACCCCAACACCACCAAAGAUCAACAUUCCUCCUCCUCCGCCACCUGCUCCAAAGGUCAGCACGAAGUUCUCUGACGUGUUGGCGUUUAGUGGACCUGCACCGGAGAGGAUCAACGGAAGGUUAGCCAUGAUAGGGUUUGUGUCGGCGAUGGCUGUGGAACUGAGCAGCGGUCAAGACGUGUUCACCCAGAUCGGCAACGGCGGUGUUGCGGUAUUUGUCGGGACAAGUGUGGUGUUGACGUUAGCGUCGUUGGUGCCGUUGUUUAAAGGAGUGAGUGUGCAGUCGAAGUCGAGUGGACUGAUGACAUCAGAUGCAGAGCUUUGGAAUGGGCGGGUUGCGAUGUUGGGUCUGGUGGCUUUGGCUUUUACUGAAUAUGUUAAAGGCAGUGCCCUUGUCUAGAUAAUGUAUCAUAGACUUUUCUAUUACAGAAUUACAUCUAAGAUAGGCAAAUGUAUAUUCUUUUGAAUAUUUAUGUGUAUCGAUUUACCAUACAUAGUUCAAAUCAUGAAAAUCAAUUAAUCAUGUUUUUUUGAUAAUAUAGUAUAAAACAAAUAUGAUCAAUCAAAUUGAACGAUUGUGGUAUCUUUCAAUAUAAAAUUCUUUUUAUAAAAUUAAACAAACAACAUACUAAGAUAAAUUUUAGAGGCAUGAACCUAGAUUAGCAAUAUAAGAGUCAAAGUCUACAAAGAUAUUGAAAUCCUAGUUUCACAACUUCCUCUUUGAAUGUUGAACUGAGGUGAUCUUCAUUAAUUCAGACCAAAUAUGUGCAUAAGUCCAGCCUAGUCAAUUAGCCAAUUUAAGAUGACAAGUAUCCAAAAUUCAAAUACAUUACAUACCUCAAUUUCAAACAAAACUGAAAAAUAUAAUGACUAAUGCUCACAAAAUGAUCACUUUCGGGGAGUGGUCACAGUUAAACUACCGGAAAAGCGCUGCAAACUCAACGUUACAUCUGCUCCAUCACCAAUUCCCUAAACAUUGGAAAUAGUUACCACUCUAUAUCAUUUAUAUUUAUAUUUUAUUUAUUUUUUAAAAUUAGAUUAAAUAAAAAACAUAAUUAUAAACUUAAGUAAUCAUUUUACUAAUUAAAAAAUCAACUAAACAUAUUAUUAAUUUUUAAAAUUAUUAAACAUAUCUAGUUAUAUAUAGUUGAGGGUUUAACUUAAUUCAAAGAAAAAUAAAAGGGUAUAAUAAGAUUAAAAGACACAAUUUUAGAGACCAAAUUUGUAACUUCAAUUAAAGCAAAUUUGAAUCGUCUUCUUCACCUGUCUUCUUCAACCUUUUUCUGAAAAACGGGUCAUUGCUCAAUACCAUUUUUUUUUCUUUUACUUUGAUGGAUACAAAAGAAAAGGAAAAAAGGGUUAAAUACGUGACCUUUGUUGUUGCUACUUUCUUAUUCGUUGUCUUCAUCCGUCUUUGCACCCACGUUACACCCAAACCACUGGCCUUAGGGGCGGUGUGGACAUAUCCUUAGGCCGGACACAUCAGCAAGAUGCGUGGGUUAGUCCUCCCACUCCGGUUAGCCUUAAACACUUAUUAAAAGCUAGUGGACGUCUUUGCACCCACGUUACACUCAAACCACCGGCCUUAGGGGCGGUGUGGACGUAUCCUUAGGCCGAACACAUCAGCAAGAUGCGUGGGUUAGUCCUCCCACUCCAGUUAGCCUUAAACACUUAUUAAAAGCUAGUUUAUUUCUUGUUAGUUUGAAAUCUAAUGUUAUCAUCAAAUCUAUACAAGAUUGAGAUUGAUAUCAGAGUAACAAUCUCCAAAAGAAAAAUAUUUUACUCAAAAGAAUAUAUAUAUAUAUAUAUAAUGAAUUAUAUCCUAAGAAGUACUAUGCAUGAGUAUAAGAUUACUAUUAUCUUGGGAUCUAUUAAUUGGUAACUAAGCAUACUUCCAAGUUACUAUAUGAAAUUUAGUUAAGGAUUAAUGUCAAGUUGGGUGCAUGCACCUCACUCAAAGGCCUUGUAUUUUUAUCGGUCCCAAGUGACAUCUUACAAGGGCCGUUUUGGAGUUUUUUCUUUCCCCAAUGUAUUAACAUUUAUUUUUUUUUGAUAUUUUUGAACUUUUUAUUUUCUUAGAAAAGUAUACAAAAUAAAAUAUAUACAAGUUUACUUGAAGAUAUGAGUGUUUAUCAGGUUAUUCUCUUGAACUAUCUAUUCUUAGAUAUGAAUAAAUGUGUUUGUCUUUAUCAUUUUUCCCCUUUGUCAAUUCUUGACUAAUAAGGUAAUAGUCGUUCUUGGUGAGGGAUUCACCUCUCUAUUGAUUCUUCAUUCUAAUUAAAUGUUUGGAUUCAACAAUGUCCGAUUGAGUAGUUCUUUAAAACCGCAUUCUACCAUUUGCAUCUUUAUAUUAAUCCCAUGAAUUGGGGAUUCCAUAAACUGAAACUCUUGGAGCUCAAUAGUGUAGUUGAAAAACAUUUGUCGAGCCUACCACUUCCAUGAAAUAGGAGAAUUUUUUCAAUAAACUAAGUAGUUCCUUCUUUAUGGAUCAUCUUUUCGUUACUCGACCCCUGCUUACAUGCGAUUCCUACUAGAAAAUAGAAUUGCAGACUAACUGCAGCUGCAGACAACCCUUCGUUUGGCCAGAAGGGGUUUGAUAUUCCUUGGAGAAAAAUCUCAUCCUGAAAAUAACAAUAUCCAUGAACACAAUGGCUACGAAAUACUGAUUUUCUUAACCGACGAACCGAAAUGUUACAGCCAUAAUGCUGAAACCUCAUUACUUGCCCGCCCUUUAAACAGGUAGAACCAUCCCUGAGCAUAGAAACAUAAACUAAAUCCUGAACCCUCCAGCUGAGGUCUUUGAUAUCCAAUUUUCUUGAUCCACAUCUUUCUGAGUAUAGAUGUUGCACUAAUACACUCGCGAUUCCCAAUGCGAGCUUUCACCAAAAACCCACUCGAAUAUGGCCACUCAUAUUCUUCUCGAAGACCCUUCCCUACAUCUAAUGAGCGUCCAAUUAUGAAUCUGCCCGCAAUUCCUGACUGGAGACACUAACAGAAACAUGCAUAACUGAUCCUCGAAACAUACCGACCACGAUCUUCACCCAAAACCAAACCAUAUGAUGUACCAAAACCUUAUUAACCCUUGAUCCUCUUCUAUUCCAUUACUGACCACUGCUUCGCCGAGCAAGAGAUAAAUCCAAGAAUUUCUGCUUUACAUCCAACCCCUUAUAGAAUCAGGUGUACCCCCACCUGGACAACCACUUGAGACAAUCAUAAAGAACUUUAUGACUUGCGACUUUCCAACCAAUCCCAACUUGAAAACCACAACAAUAGCAACAACUUGCGAACAACCAAAAAUAUAAUGUAUACAUCCCAUAAGGACUUUCUGAUUCCUGACAGAUACUCCCAACAACCUUUACUACUUCCUUUAUCCAACCAAUAGAUUUACGACUCGCUCGUCUCCCAUCAGUGUAUCGAUACCGAAAGCACCACAAGCAGAAUAAAUGAACAACCAUGUUCACUAGGCCCUCAAAGUAUGACUGGAAUACCCCUUAUAAUGUCCUCUGAAUAUGUUUGGAUUGCCUCUGAGCCCACAACAUGAAUCUGGAAUGCCCUCCCUGGCCUUCAGCCCAUGUCUGGAAUGCUCUCGAUAUCACAACGACCUUGACGCCAUCGCAUCGCUCGCCCAUCACUCCAGGCCCACAGAUACUCACCUCAUUCCAUUCCCUUGAAGGGACUUAAUCAAUUCCCUCACCACGCCAAUUGUGCAUCACAAAGAUGCCACCAAAGCAAACCUUACAAAACAUGGACGUACGCGACCCGUGAAUAGGAAAAUAGAUGCACCAUUGGCCCGAUUCGAAGGCUAAAAUCCAAAAGAACCAUGCACAUGAUUCGAACCAAGUGCUCCAAUGCUAUCUUUACCAGAUUACAUGAACUACCCCCAUACACAUACUUAAGAAACCUAGAAUAUCAUCCAGAGAGAGAAGGAAUGUCAGAUAUAAUCUAAAAAUACCUCAAUUAAUAACAUAAAACAUCCCCAUGAUCAGUUGAAACAAGAUCCCAUACUUGAUUGAGACUGAACGGAUUCCAUCGCUACACAACUAGGUUGAGAAGACUUCCGCGGAUAUCGAAGGUUGCCUAAACCUGAGUCUGCUAUUAACCAAGUUCCCACUCCACCAUUGAGGGUAAACACACUCGAAGGACCAAAGAACAUAGAUCAUACCGAACUUGAUGACAGAUUGGCCCGACCACUGCAUCUCGGCUGACACAAUUAAACUUCCGAGUGAACUUUUAUUGAAUGAUGAACCCCAAAAUUAGUGGUCGAGGACACAUUGACACUUAAUCCAGAGAAUCAAGACCCACAUGGAACUGAACAUACCCGCUUCUGGAAAGAUCCACUGACUAACGUCUGCCUAACUAAUCUGAAAAUAGCAAUCCAACAACAAACUCGCAUAUCCCUCAAUGGCUAAAAAUACUCAACCUUAGAAUCCCUAUUCUCCCCCACUUUAGGCUCAAACUACCACUUACUGGCGCUAAAACCAAAUCAUAACUCAAACCAUCUUGAGCAUGUACUACCCUUCCUAACCCUGGAAGUUACGAGUCUGCUCACUGCUUCCCCGAACUCGGAAAAACUGAAAGGGCGUAACCCUAUAUCUUAUAUUCUUCAAACCUAGAGAUAUGAGUUGUUACUAUGAGUUGGUUAUACAUUUGAUUGCACGAAAACGCAUUGGUAACUCGAUGAUAUAAAACGUGCCUUUGUGUAUGAUUCAACAAGUAGUAGAACAAGCCAUAUGAGUCGAAGUUUAUCCAUUCCUUUUACCUUCAGGAUAAAAGCGAUAUCCAUGGGCCCCUCGAUGAUUUAUUAAUGAUGACACAUGUGAGUGCUUGGGCAAGCCAUGACUGAUUUGAUCUGUUCAAUCAGUCAGUCAUCAUGAAUCGGAAAUCAGGAAACAAUAAAUGGAUAGAGAUAAUGAUUUAUAAUCCAUGUCUUAGUCCAUAUGAUAUUUAGAAUGGAGGAAUAUAUGAUCCCUUAUCUAAUGGACUAGUCAUUGACAAAGGUCAAAGUUCAUCGACGAGGUCAGAGUUCAACAACGGCUUUUGAGAGUUACGAUUGCCAGUUGGUUUUUGAAGUCAUCCUCAAUAAUAGUUUUAGACUUAUCCAAGUAGGAGACUAUUGGAUUAGUGUCUAAGUCCAUACCUAUAAUUGGUAUGUACUUGACCGUACUCGUCAUUGUCCAUUUGGGUUGCAUGGCAUCGGAACAUUUGGAUAAACUGUUUGUGAGAAAAGGACAUUUGUGACAUAUUAAUAUAUUAUAAGUUCUAAUAUAUUAAUAUUAAAUCAUGUUAUUUAAUUAGUAUUGAUCAAGAAUUAAUUCAGACUUAAUUUAGUGAUCAAAAGAGACUAAUUAAAUAUAUGGGGAUUGAUUGUGUAAAUCAUUCAUUCUUAUAUAUGUGGGGUUAUGAUCCAUUAUUCCUUAUGUUGGGUUUAACCCAUGUGGUGAUCCAUGGAUACUCCAUGGAGGUUAAAACCCAUGAAGCAUAAGGAAUUCGUAAAGUCAUGGGUUACAUAGUGUAACCCUAAUGCGCACACUAUAUAAGGACCCCUUUAGCUCAAGAAACGGCACUAGUGAUACUUAUAUGAGGGCUAGCCGAUUUCAACAUAGGGUUCUUCUUCUCAUGGUUAUUCCAAGUGUUGAUGAUGUUGUGUGNNNNNNNNNNNNNNNNNNNNNNNNNNNNNNNNNNNNNNNNNNNNNNNNNNNNNNNNNNNNNNNNNNNNNNNNNNNNNNNNNNNNNNNNNNNNNNNNNNNNUUUCCAUUGCAGUCAGAGGGGCCACAAGAAGGCCCAGUGUCCGAGAUUGUAUCCAGUAGGGCAGGUGCCAGCUCCUGCCCUUGGGAUUUCGAGUACCGCCAGCAGUUGUCGAGGCCCGGCAAGGGUGCCUACGGCUCAGAGCCGAGUUUUCCGGUAGAUUUCAGCAGGGAUUCGAGCAGCACUGAGUAAUGAAGGUACGUAACUUUUGUUUUUCUGUCAGCUUAUGUCAUGAUUAUAUUGUUAUGGUUCUGCAUCAAAUUGUGGUAUAAGUGUUGUGUUAUAGUGUGGCUUGCUUGUGAUUAUGUUAUAUGCCAUUUGCAUACCUCGGAUAAUUGGUUGGUAGUUAGGGAAUGUGCUCUUAUGGAGAAGGUUUCGGAGGAUGCAGNAUGGUUGGGAGAGAUUUGGUUCGUUUCGCGAGUUCGGAGUGGUUAGUGUUGGGUUGGAUUGGUUAGAUCCCUAGCUAUGGCAGGCUUGGGCUCCUUAGCAGAAUGAUUAUGGAAUGGCAGCAAAGAUCGGGAUCUCUUUUGAGUGUGAAGCAGCAAGGGGUAAGCAGGAUCGAAGUGGGGGAGAACCCUCCGGGUAUACAUGGAUAAGAGUCUCGUAGACUCAGAAUGAGUGCGCGGCCUCUGAGAAGAAAUGGUAGUAGCACAGUGAUGGAUGGAUUGAGAAGUUCAGAAUUGGGAGUUCGAGAACUUUUCCCAGCAGUUAGUUCAUGUAAUCGAGAUGGUUAGAAGCUGGUUGGGAAUCCAGGAUUGGAGGACCACCUGUCGGACGCAUGAGAGUCGGAAUGAAGAUCCUGAGAACGGGUAACAAGAGAUGUUUUCGUAUUAGUAGCCAGUGUCUGAGGCAGCAUGCAGGUUGUGUAGAUUCAGGAGUUGGGAGGUUGGAAACUUCCCAACAAUAGCUUCUUGUAUCCGGAUUAGUAGACGGUUGGUUUGGGAACCAAGCCGAAGGAUUCCUCGACGAAGCGCUAAGUAUAUCAAGGAUAUAAGAUGUCGAGGAUGAUGCAGAAUUCAAAGUCUAAGGACUGUUUUUUUUGAGAAAUCGGGAUGAGGAAUCACUAGCAGGACUAGGGAUAGUCAGGAUGUUCUCGAGAUAGUAGUAGUGUUGUAAGUCUGCGGGGGUAGCCGUAGCAUUCACUAGCAGUCAGAUAGCAGUAGUAGUGUUGUAAGUCUGCGGGGGUAGCCGUAGCAUUCACUAGCAGUCAGAUAGCAGUAGUAGUGUUGUAAGUCUGCGGGGGUAGCCGUAGCAUUCACUAGCAGUCAGAUAGCAGUAGUAGUGUUGUAAGUCUGCGGGGGUAGCCGUAGCAUUCACUAGCAGUCAGAUGGUAGUAGUAGUGGUGUUGUAAGUCUGCGGGGGUAGCCGUAGCAUCCACUAGCAGCCAGAUAGUAUUAGAGAGUUGUAAGUCCGCGAGCGUAGUCGCAGCCUUUUAUCAGAUUGGUAAGUAGCAUGAGCGCGUGUUAGACGCGGGAAAGCAGUUGUACCCACCAGUUCGGGUGUAGCAGUGAGGAUAUGGGAAUCCACGGGUUAGAUUUCGGAUUUCCCAAAGGGAUCAGUUACGGCUAAGUUAGCAAUUUGGGCUUUGGAUCGUCACAUCAGUUAUGAGAUCAGAGUAGCAGUGGACCGUUAGGGUUCAGGUAUGUUGCGGACUACAGUCAGUCUGGGAACCAUCAUGUUGUUAGUCGUGGAAUUGAUGAUGUCAGGAUGUGACGUAUGGACCCGAUCGGUUGGAUCGGAAAGUUGCUAGAGCCUCAGUGACAGGAUAACUAGUGGAAACUAGUCCUAGAGGAAAAUUUCGUUCAGAAGUCGUGGAAGCGACUAAGUGAGGAGUCCCUUGACUCCACAGUUGGGUUGGAGUUCAGUGUUCCAGUCAGUUCAGUGUUUCAGGCAGCUCAGCGUUUCAGGCAGCUCAGUGUUUCAGGCCGUUCAGCGUUUCAGUCGGUUCAGCGUUUCAGGCAGGUUCAGUAUUGCAGCUAGUUCAGUGUUUGGAAGGUUUCAGGGUUUUGGGUUAGUAUUGCAUUUGCGUUGGAAUGCAAGUGCUGACGGUAUAGUUGGUUGAUUUGGAAUUGGCAAGUCCCUCUCAGCAGGAUCAGUUGAGCCUUUUGCCGAGUAUAAGUGAUUGGUAGGGAUGGCUAGGCAGGUAGCUUUUCAUUCAGGAAGAAAGGCUCGAGUAAGUAGGAGAUGAGUAAGCAGGUGGGAUAAAAGCAAGCUGGUUCCAGCAGCAUCGUUUCAGUAUGAACGGCAGGAUGGAUAGAACAGUUAUAGAUAAUCAAAGUAUCUUUAGGAGUCGCUGGAAGAGACUAGGAGUUUGCGAUGGAGUGUAGUGACCGGUGGGAGUCCGGUAACUCAGAUAUAGGGAGAUUGGUUAGACCAGAGUAGUCUCAGUACAUCCGGUAGGCGGAUGGGAGGCAGCAGGAUUUUCAGUCGGAGGAAGUAACGUUGAGGAGAUUAUGGGAAAGAGAAGGAUUUAGUAUGUUCUAUCGGUAGUGAUCGGCACUGUGAGUGGCCGGAGUGAUGGGCAAAAGAGUGAGGGAUUUUCCAGACAAAGAGUUGGAGGCAGUUCGCAGGCAGUUGAUCAUAGCAAACUUCGAGGACGAAGUUUAGUUUAAGUAGGGGAGAGUUGUAACACCCCAAAGAUUGGAAAGUCAAGAAAAGAAAGAAGACCUCAAUUUUAAGAAGAGACUCGGCGAGUCCAAGGAGGGACUCGGCGAGUCCNNNNNNNNNNNNNNNNNNNNNNNNNNNNNNNNNNNNNNNNNNNNNNNNNNNNNNNNNNNNNNNNNNNNNNNNNNNNNNNNNNNNNNNNNNNNNNNNNNNNNNNNNNNNNNNNNNNNNNNNNNNNNNNNNNNNNNNNNNNNNNNNNNNNNNNNNNNNNNNNNNNNNNNNNNNNNNNNNNNNNNNNNNNNNNNNNNNNNNNNNNNNNNNNNNNNNNNNNNNNNNNNNNNNNNNNNNNNNNNNNNNNNNNNNNNNNNNNNNNNNNNNNNNNNNNNNNNNNNNNNNNNNNNNNNNNNNNNNNNNNNNNNNNNNNNNNNNNNNNNNNNNNNNNNNNNNNNNNNNNNNNNNNNNNNNNNNNNNNNNNNNNNNNNNNNNNNNNNNNNNNNNNNNNNNNNNNNNNNNNNNNNNNNNNNNNNNNNNNNNNNNNNNNNNNNNNNNNNNNNNNNNNNNNNNNNNNNNNNNNNNNNNNNNNNNNNNNNNNNNNNNNNNNNNNNNNNNNNNNNNNNNNNNNNNNNNNNNNNNNNNNNNNNNNNNNNNNNNNNNNNNNNNNNNNNNNNNNNNNNNNNNNNNNNNNNNNNNNNNNNNNNNNNNNNNNNNNNNNNNNNNNNNNNNNNNNNNNNNNNNNNNNNNNNNNNNNNNNNNNNNNNNNNNNNNNNNNNNNNNNNNNNNNNNNNNNNNNNNNNNNNNNNNNNNNNNNNNNNNNNNNNNNNNNNNNNNNNNNNNNNNNNNNNNNNNNNNNNNNNNNNNNNNNNNNNNNNNNNNNNNNNNNNNNNNNNNNNNNNNNNNNNNNNNNNNNNNNNNNNNNNNNNNNNNNNNNNNNNNNNNNNNNNNNNNNNNNNNNNNNNNNNNNNNNNNNNNNNNNNNNNNNNNNNNNNNNNNNNNNNNNNNNNNNNNNNNNNNNNNNNNNNNNNNNNNNNNNNNNNNNNNNNNNNNNNNNNNNNNNNNNNNNNNNNNNNNNNNNNNNNNNNNNNNNNNNNNNNNNNNNNNNNNNNNNNNNNNNNNNNNNNNNNNNNNNNNNNNNNNNNNNNNNNNNNNNNNNNNNNNNNNNNNNNNNNNNNNNNNNNNNNNNNNNNNNNNNNNNNNNNNNNNNNNNNNNNNNNNNNNNNNNNNNNNNNNNNNNNNNNNNNNNNNNNNNNNNNNNNNNNNNNNNNNNNNNNNNNNNNNNNNNNNNNNNNNNNNNNNNNNNNNNNNNNNNNNNNNNNNNNNNNNNNNNNNNNNNNNNNNNNNNNNNNNNNNNNNNNNNNNNNNNNNNNNNNNNNNNNNNNNNNNNNNNNNNNNNNNNNNNNNNNNNNNNNNNNNNNNNNNNNNNNNNNNNNNNNNNNNNNNNNNNNNNNNNNNNNNNNNNNNNNNNNNNNNNNNNNNNNNNNNNNNNNNNNNNNNNNNNNNNNNNNNNNNNNNNNNNNNNNNNNNNNNNNNNNNNNNNNNNNNNNNNNNNNNNNNNNNNNNNNNNNNNNNNNNNNNNNNNNNNNNNNNNNNNNNNNNNNNNNNNNNNNNNNNNNNNNNNNNNNNNNNNNNNNNNNNNNNNNNNNNNNNNNNNNNNNNNNNNNNNNNNNNNNNNNNNNNNNNNNNNNNNNNNNNNNNNNNNNNNNNNNNNNNNNNNNNNNNNNNNNNNNNNNNNNNNNNNNNNNNNNNNNNNNNNNNNNNNNNNNNNNNNNNNNNNNNNNNNNNNNNNNNNNNGUCAGCUUCGGACUUCGGUCCGAUGGAGGGGGCAAGGCCCCAGUCAGUUAGCUUCGGACUUCGGUCUGAUGUCAGCUUCGGACUUCGGUCCGAUGGAGGGGACAAGGUCCCAGAUAGUCAGCUUCGGACUUCGGUCCGAUGGAGGGGGCAAGGCCCCAGUCAGUUAGCUUCGGACUUCGGUCCGAUGUCAGCUUCGGACUUCGGUUCGAUGUAGGGGGCAAGGCCCCGUUAGUCCGGACUUCGGUCCGAUGCAGUGGGCAAGGCCCAAUAUGUGCUUUAUAUGUUUUGUAUGAUAUGUGGUAGAUUGGGGGAGCUCACUAAGCUUCGUGCUUACGGUUUUCAGUUUUGUUUUCAGGUACUCGAUUUCCAAAAGAGGAGCUCGGGAAGAUUGCAGAGCACACACCAUAGUCAGUUAGCCUGGGAAUGUUUGACUCUGAUAAUGAUAUUAUGUUUUGAAUUGAAUACUCAAAAGUUAUGUUUGACUUAUGAUACGUUGUUAUAAAUCUAUUUUUAGUAAUGUUUAAAAGAAAUUUUUAGUCAUGAUUUUUGGGUCGUUACAAAUACCUUGGAAUAUUCAUAUUUGCAUGUAUAAUAGAGAAAACGUAGAUCCAAGGUAUUUAGGGUUGCAUGUACACCAUAGGAGUGAUAGAGUGCUCAAAACCCAACAAAUAGGUCCGAGUCCUUCAUUCUAAGAUUAUUUAACCUUCAUAGCAUGUAAUUUAUUGUAUUCACUUGAUGGUUAACUCCCAUCAACAUGGGUUCCACAAAGCUCAAAGCAAGGAACAUUCGGGCAGAGAAGUCGGUUGUCACUAAAACGCAACAAAAUUUGACAGAUCCUCAUACAAAAUCCUCAAUCUCAAACUCCCCGCACCACGGGUGCACCUUUGCCCUGCUCUCACUCUCCCCAGAGUGGCUAAUCAUUCCUCGUGCUGACCAGCUAUACACUGUACCCACUCAUGAAACUUCCACCAACCCUACAACACUCUUGUAUGCUAGCUGUACAUAACACUGGAUCCUAUAGACAGUCGAAUAUCUGAUCCGAACCUAAGUCCUUCAUCAAACAAGAACAGAAAAUAAGGCCGAAUGAAACAUUCUCAGGCUAAAGAAUCUUAGUUAUGUACAACUAUAAUGCAUACUCUAAGCAAUUGUAGUAAUGAUGUCAAUUUCAUCUAAGGAAGAACCCUAGGCUAUCAUGCAUCAUAUAAUCAGGAAACUCUAUCAUGCAAUUCCUAUAGAUCCCUAGCCUAUCACUAACAUGCUAUUUUAACAUAUCACAAGAUCAAUAACAGUGUAGCAAUUUGGGGUCUACUUACUGGCUCCGACUGAUCUUACACAUAGUAUCCUCUUUAGUUUGAAAGCGACUUUGAAAGUUAUUUUUAAAACCUUUACUUUGAAAAUUAUUUUUUAAAAAACCCUUUUUCCUUAGUUUGAUACUGGAUUCACACGAGUGUUCCUCCAAUUCACUCAAACCAAGGCUCUGAUACCAACUUGUAACGUCACAAAAAUUUCAACAAAUUGAAACCUUUCGAAACAACCCAUUUAUUAAGAAAAGUGUUUUGACCCGUAGGCGCUUUGUACGCCUUGAACUCCCGGAAUGAGGGAGUUCGAUUCCUAAUCUGACCCGUAGUGAUCUCAGCUCAGAAAGAACAAUUUGCUCCUCUAUAAUCUCCAUGAUCCCCUCCUUGACGGUAUUGAAAAUCACUGGGGUAGCGUUAAGGAUGUCGCGAGUAACAUCGACUACGAUAAUCUCAUGCAACCUCUCAUCAAUCGGCUUUGCCGCAGAUCCUGAGCCCGAUCCCGAACCUGAACCUCCUCGCGUAGCCAUCACCAUCCUCAACUGAAAAAUACAACGUAGAAAGCAAUUGAUAAGGAAUAUCAAAAGGAUUUCUCCCCACCAGACUGAUGGUUUUUGAGCACUACACCAUUCCUAUGGUGUACAUGCAACCCUAAUGCUUCAGAUCUAUGUUUUUCUCAAGUUAUACAUGCAAAUCAAAUCAUCCAAAGCAUAAACCCUAAAUAGCAUACAAUUUUUGGAAUUUGUAACUUAAAAAAAAAGUUAGAAGAAUACAUUUUCCUUGUAGCUUGUAGAUCUUGACCUUCAAGAGCUUAGUGCCUCAAUUGUUGCACUCUAGUGAGUCACAAACACCAAGUAGCAAUUUGGAAGAAUAUGAGAGAGGUUAGGAGGCUCAAAAUCGGCUAGGGUAUUAUCUUAGAAGCAAUUGACUAAUUUCAAGGUGUCAUGGGGUAUUUAUAUAGUUGUGCAAUUAGGGUAUUUAACUGAAACCCUAAUUCUCUGCUUAGGCCUUAAGCAAUCCAGUAGAUCCUUCCAGAAGGCCUCUUAUGGACGAAAUCUAUGUGGGCUAUACAUAAGAUUUCGUCCAUCCCUUCUUAGGGAUCCACAUGCUCAACUUGGCAACUACCAUAUAAUUGCAAUAUCAGUCCUUGUAAUCUAACCAGUCUCUUUUGAUCACCAAGUUAAUUCCAAAUCAAUUCCUGAUCAAUACUAAUUAGUUAAUCUGAUUUCUCAAUUAAUAUACCAUUCUUAUAAUAUAUUAAUAAAUCAAAAUUAACCUCUUUCUCCAUAAUUCAUCUAGUCAAGUUGCUAUGGUGCAGGCAACCAAAAGCACCAUGCUACUAUCGGGUCAAGUACAUACAAUUUAUAGUUAUGGGCUUAGACACCUAAUCCAACAGUCUCCCUCUUGGAUAAGUCUAAUAACUAUAACUACAAGUAUGACUUCAAAAUCCGAUUAGCAAUCGUAGCUCUCAAAAGCCGCUGUUGGAAUCUGACCUAGUCAAUAUGUAACAUCCAUAAAUUUUACACCAAAUUUAAACUUUUCAAUCAUAAAUAAAAACCAAAUAGCAUUAUGUUUUCAAAUCAUUAUCCAUCAGAGUGUCCCAAAAUCAUAACAUAAGGAUGAGGAGUGGUAGGUCACGCCUACGCGUUGCUAGAUCUCCUGAAGUACCUGGAACAAUAAACCGAAAACUGUAAGCCCGAGGGCUUAGUGGCUACCCCCAAAAUACCUAUACCACAUUGACAAUACCAUAUCAGUAAUAAUCAAUCAAUCAACAUGCAUAUCGGGCCAUCGGCCUGACUGGACCGCCCUAUAGGGCCUACAGUCUAUCUGGAUCUAUCCCGAGCCUUCGGCAUGACUGGUCCGCCACAUGGCCCUACAGUCUCCCCGGACCGAUCAUAGGGUGUGCAUACUUUCAGCACAAAGCAGGACCGCCUCAACCCAACUAACAAUCAAAUAACUAUGUGCGCAUAACUAUCAUAUACUGGCAUAUACAAACAUCAAGCAUAUCUAUCACUGGUCAUCAAUCAUAGAAUUCCCUCGUAACUAGAGUACCGACCUAGCAGGUCACUAACAUACCAAUCCCUACGGAUCAUAAGAGCAUAACAUACUGUCUACCCUGAUUCCGAUCAAACAGAUCAUAACCACAUAUAGCAUACCAUAACAAUAAAAACUAAAGGGUCGACCUUGGUGCUGUAGACCCUAUCGAUAUAGUGAGGAUAACUCACCUCAUAGAUGUCGACUCGGAAGGUAAACUCCAAAUCUCGGAUCAAUUGACACAGGCCCCACCACAUAUCGCAUAACAUACACGUAAGUCCUUAACCUUAUAAGGUACUCCAUAACCUACUAGUCAACCCCUGAUCAAAGUCAAAGUCCUCAGUCAAGGUCAACAGUCCAUGUUGACCUCAACUCGCCGAGUUCCUUGAAGCAUAUUCAAACUCGCCGAGUCAUCGGGGUGACUCGUCAAGUUCCUUUGAUUCUCGAUCAAACUUUAAGGCCACCCGUCGAGUUCCCUCCUUGCAACUCGACGAAUACACAUGCAUACAUAUCCAGGAGAAAACUCAUCCGCCUCGCCGAGUUGUUCUUCAACUCGUCGAGUCUAUGGAAAUCAUCAUCGGACUCGUCGAGUUGUUUAUCCAACUUGUCGAGUUCACGACCAUCUUCAUGUGACUUGCCGAGUCAACCUUGCGACUCGCCGAGUCCAUUCAGUCCGUUUUCCAUACAGAUCUAUUUUGAGUCAUGCAGCGGCUCCAACUCACAGAUCUAAGCUUCUAGGACAUGCUUAUCACGUAAGGAUGCAAACUUUACGUGCAUGCAUGGCUUUAAAGGCUCCAAAUGCCAAAUCUAAGAUCUUAAUGAGGCUUCAUGCUCAAUAGGGACCUCAAUCACGACCAAAAUUGUAACUUUAUGCUUCUAGAAUCCGAAGAGGGUCCAGAUCUGAAGUUACAACUUCAGAUCUAGCCCAUAGCUCAUCAUACCAACUUGAUAUUACAAGAAAACCCUAAAACUCAACCAAUAGAGGAGAUUCAUAAGGAAAAUGAUGGUUUGGGUACGUCUGGAAGAUGAUAUCUGAGAUGAGUGUUGAUUUCCACACUCUAAAUGCUCCAAUCUCCUUCUCCUCCAAGUCUUCUCCUUCCAAAGAUCCUCUUUUCAAGCUUCAAACACACACAAGGCACCCACACACGAAUAAGGGCUCUCAAGGACUCUUUAGAACUGUAAAUAGGUCCAAGGGAGGCUAAGGCCCCUUUAAAUAGGGAUACAAACCCCAAGAUUUAGGGUUUCAUCUGCCAACUCCUACUCACCAAGUCCCAAUAUGGAAUCGUCAAGUAGGUCACUUAACACGGGAUCUCACCCCGCUGCUACUCGACGAGUAGGGCAACCAACUCGUUGAGUAGAGCGUAACUCAAUACAUCUUAUUUAAAACAAUACCUAAGAACCGGGGCGUUACAAAUCUCCCCCACUUGAACUAGACCUCGCCCUCGAAGUCCGCUGGAACAAACAAUGUCGGGUAAUGCUCGCUCAUCUCCGCCUCCGGCUCCCAUGUCCACUCGGAUCCCCUCCGAUGUUCCCACUGUACCUUUACCAAAGGUAGUUCCUUGUUCUGCAGAAUCUUCUUCUUCCUUUCCAAAAUAGCCACAGGCCUCUCCACAUAGUUCAGGUGCUCAUCGACCUGAAUGUCAUCCAACGAUACCACUGCCUCCUGGUCCAUAAUGCAUUUUCGCAAUUGCAAAACAUGAAACGUGCUGUGGAUCCGGCUGUGCUCCUCCGGAAGCUCUAGCCUAUAAGCCAGCCUGCUAACCCUGGCAACAAUCCUGAAUGGCCCAAUGUAACGGGGACCUAAUUUUCCCCUCUUCCUGAAGCGGAUCACACCCUUCCAACGUGAAACCUUCAGGAGGACCAUGUCACCCACCUGAAAUUCCAGUAUAGAUCGGCGUCGGUCGGCAUAACUUUUCUGCCGACUCUGAGGGGUCUGCAAUCGCUGUCUAAUCUGUUGUAUCAUCUCGGUAGUUUGCUGAACUACCUCUGUCCGACCCAUUACCCUGUGGCCAACCUCGCCCCAACAGACUGGGGUCCUACACUUCCGCCCGUACAACAGCUCGAAAGGCGGGGCGGGAAUACUGGAAUGAUAGAUGUUGUUGUAGGCGAACUCUACAAUCGGUAGGUGGGAAUCCCAACUACCAUCGAAAUCAAUGACGCACGCCCUCAAAAUAUCCUCGAGGGUCUAAAUGGUCCGCUCACUCUUGUUGGAUAAGGUGUCUAAGUCCAUAACUAUUUCUGGUCAGUACUUGACCCGACCCGACAUGGUCCAUUUGGGUUGCAUGGCACCAUGCAAUUGGAUAGACUAAAUGAGAGAAAUAACACUUGGAGAUUAUUAAUAUAUUAUAAGUUCUAAUAUAUUAAUAAUAUUAUUUAAUUAGUUUGAUCAAGAAUUAAUUUAGAAUUAAUUAAAUGAUCAAAAGAUAACUAAUUAAAUAUAUGGGUUGAUUAUGUAAAUCAUCCAUAUCUUGUAUAGUGGGCUAAGAGGCUCCAUGGAUUAUCAAGUUGGGUUCUACCCAUAGGAUGCUCCAUGGAUGCUCCAUGGGAGUUACAAACCCAUGGGUCAUGGAAAUGAAGAGUCAUGACACAUUAGGGUUUACAUGGUGUAACCCUAGAUGUGUCAACACUAUAUAAGAAUCCCAUUCUCCACCAAAAUCUGACACACAUAUGAAACAAGAGGGCUAGUCCGAUUUCAAGAAGUGUGUGUUCUCUCAAAAGUCUUUCCAAGAGCAUUUGGUGUUGUGUGAAGCAUUUAAGGCAUCACACUUGGGGUGCUAGGCUCACAAGGUUUCAAGGAACAUAAGCAACAACAAGGUAAGUUAUUCUAUCUUUCAUUCAAGUUAAAAAUUGUUCCCCAUGUAUGCUAGAUAGGAAUAUAACCUUGGAAUUCAACUUUGCAUGAUAAUUAGACAAACAUAGAUCCAAGGUUAUUAGGGUUGCAUGUACACUUAGGAAGUGUUAGAAUGCUCAAAACCCAUCAGUGGUAUCAGAGCCUAGGCUUGUUUGUUUGUUAUUUGUGCUUAAAAGUUGAAGAAAGUCGAAAAUCUUGCUGUCUGACUGAUGGACUCGGCGAGUCCAUGGGGAGGACUCGACGAGUUCAUGUGUAUCUUCAACCUACUCGGCGAGUAGGUUUAUGCACUCGGCGAGUAGGGUCGACAGAGUGCAGAAUUUCGACUUGUGUUGCUGGAAAUGGAUUAGAAUCAUUACCCUAAAAUGUUUUGGUACUUGAAAACUUAUUUUAGAAGGUGUAAUGUCUUUUCUAACUCAUUUACAACAACUAGUUAUCAAAAUUACAAAGAUUAAAUGUGAUUUUGAUUCUUGAAAGUGUUCAUAUUCAUAUUCUUGUUCUUAUGAUGUUUAGAUGAUCAUAGGAAUUAUUUGUAACCUAUGUGGUAGAUUAAUUCAUGAUCAUAAUGUGUUUUAAUGGAGUCCAUAACUUGUCCUCAAGUUAUGGAAAACCAAAAGUCUCUUGGAUUAAAAAACAUUAAAAGAACACAAGAGUUAGGAAAAAUGAAAAGUCCUCAUUUUAUUACUCUAUUAAACUCAUAAGUUACAAGAAAUGAAAAGUUUUGAAAGUUUACAAAACUUGCCCUCAAGUUUUGGAACAAGUAAAGUUAAGUUAAAACUUUAGUUCCAACCCCUAGAAUUUUAAAAGUUAAAAUUCAACCCUUAUACUUAUAUUAUUAUGAUUUAAUAAUUAUAUAUAUAUGUAUAAGAACAAAGUCGUCUUACCGCUAGUACGCCUCAUUCACGAAGCCGGUCUAUAAGGUGGGUAUAAGGUUGUUGCCUAUAAAAUGGUGACUUAAUGGGUGUCCACUCUCACCCACCGCUUGCUUGAUCGGUGGAGGGUCGUUAGCCGAACGGGUAAGACAAGGACUUAUUAAUUCUCAUUCAAAGUAUGAUGAAUAUUAUAAAGUAACUAAAUGUUUUAUUAAAUUCCCAAUCUUAGUUACUUUAGGAAAAAUGUGAAUAAGGUGCUAUUCCAUGAAAUUACACUUUACACUUUGAUUAAGUCGUUGGUGGAGCGUGUGUGGUUAACCGGCACACUAACUUGGACUUAACAAGGUAGGUAAAGGGUGACUUAGGGUUUAUUAUAGUAUCGAUGGAGCGUGUGUGGUUAACCGGCACAUCGAUUGAGUGAUAAACUUUAAGGGUACCAAGUGAUUUGCAUGGUUACUUCACACCUCGUUUUGUGAUCCUCGGUAUCCCAGUCACAAAACUUGGAGGGCACACUCGAGAUUGAAACAUGCCUUUGAAAAGUUCAUUGAAUCUCAAAGAAUCUAGGAAUUUCUAAGAACCAUUCAAAAACCUAAUACUAAAAUAUUGCGGUUUUCGUGGUGGAAAUUGGUGAAUCGUCAUUCACCUACCUUUCAAAUAUGAUAUAGCUUAGAUUACGGCAUACCUCUUCUAAGUUAUAUUAUAUUGUGAUUGGAUCCUAGCCUUAAUAUUACAUUUGGGUGUUUUAUUAAGGACUCUCUUAUAUCUAAACUAAUCUUGUCCUCUUUCCUUCAGAUGUCUUUCAACAAUGCUUCUGGCUCUAAUCCUAAUGGCUCCUUUACCCUUAUGAACUUGUGUGGGAAAGUCACCUUUGAUGGAUCCAACUUCAAUGAGUGGAUCAGAAACAUCAGGAUGAUUACCCGCUACGAGGACAAAGAAUAUGUCCUUGACAAGGAGCUUAAGGAGAUUGAUGAGUCCACUGCAACUCCUCAGGAGAUCGCUGAAUUUCGGGCACAUGAAAGGGAUGCUACGAAAGUGGCUUGCAUCAUGAUGGCCACGAUGACAGCGGAACUCCAAAAGUCUUAUGAGGAUUUCUACCCUUAUGAAAUGCACCAAGAUUUGAUGGAAAGAUACCAUCAAAGUGCAAGACAAGAGAGGUAUGAAAUCAUCUGCUCCAUGAUAACAACCAUGAUGAAGGACGGGGAAUCCGUCACGAGCCACAUGCAGAAAAUGCAAAGGUAUGUGGAUCGUUUGCUGAAGCUUAAUGUGAACUUCCCGGAGGAUCUUGCAAUAGAUAUUAUUUUGCAUUCCUUACCAUCGUGCUAUGAUCAAUUCCGCAUGACAUAUCACAUGAACAAGGAAGAAGUCACCCUCAGCAAACUUCAGGGACUUCUCAAGACCGCAGAAUCAGGUCUUAAGGGGAAGUCGGUUGCUAUCACUCCUACUCAAAACUCUACUCCGGUUUUGGCAAUCGGGAAAAGUCGAGGGAGGAAGAGAAAGAGCUCUUCUAAGGGUACCAAGGUUCGGACCCUUGAUGGCUCUUCUUCAAGUGGAACCAAGAAAGGUUUCAUUACUCCUUCUUCUGACCCAAAAGAGGCUGAAUGCUUCUAUUGCCAUGAAAAAGCUCAUUGGAAGCGGAACUGCCCAAAAUACCAGCAAGAUGUGAAGGAUGGGAAAGUUAAACCCAACCAUGCAGGUAUUUACACUAUCAUUUCUAAUAACUCACCCCAUUCUAAUUCUUGGGUCCUUGAUACCGGGUGUGGUAUUCACAUUUGUUGUGACUUGCAGGGACUAAGAAGAAGUGAGGAUGUGGAGCAAGGAAGGAUAAACUUGAUCAUGGGGAAUAGGAAAGCUAUACCUGUUACCAAGAUUGGAGUUUAUACUUUAUCGCUAAGUAGUGGGUUUAGUUUAGAUUUGAAUAAGUGUUGUUAUUCGCCAGGAAUGGCAAGAAAUAUUAUUUCCUUUCAUGCUUUGUACAAACAAGGGUUUACCUUUUCAUUUAAUAAUGAAGUUGGUUCUAUAGAUGUUUUCUAUAAUAAUGUCUUUUAUUUUAAAGCAUUACCUUGUGAUGGUGUGUAUGAAGCUGUAUCUGUUGUAGAUAACUUGGGAAAUAAUGUUUUGUGUAUUGAUUCUACUAAUAAUAACUUGGAUAAAGCAUCUUUAUGGCAUUGUCGUCUUGGACAUAUAAGCAAGAAACGCAUAGGCCAACUCCAAAAGGAUGGAGUCUUGGAGUCGUUUGACCUAAAGUCAGAUGAUAGUUGCGAAUCAUGCUUACUUGGAAAAAUGACAAAGUCACCCUUCACAGGUUCGUGUGAGAGGGGUGAAGGUUUGUUGGACCUUAUACACACGGAUGUGUGUGGACCAUUCAAACAUGCCACAAGGGAUGCUAAUCGUUAUUAUUUGACUUUUACUGAUGAUUAUAGUAGAUAUGGAUAUGUCUACUUGAUCAAGCAUAAGUCAGAGACUUUCGAGAGGUUUAAGGAAUUUAAACAGGAAGUCGAGAAUCAAUUGGGCAGGAACAUUAAGAUGCUUCGAUCCGAUCGUGGUGGUGAGUAUCUUAGUUCAGAGUUCCUCGACUAUCUAAGGGAAUGUGGGAUAGUCUCACAAUUGACACCUCCCAGGACACCACAGUUGAAUGGUGUGGCUGAGAGGCGUAAUCGAACCUUGUUAGAUAUGGUUCGUUCCAUGAUGAGUCGAGCUACGCUACCAAUCUCAUUCUGGGGGUAUGCCUUAGAGACUGCCGCCCAUAUUCUUAAUCUAGUCCCUACAAAGAAAGUUGCCAAAACUCCUCACGAGAUGUGGACUGGUAAAGUACCUAAACUAGACCACAUCAAGAUUUGGGGUUGCGAGGCUUUCGUGAGACGCGAGACUCAUGAUAAGCUCGAACCUCGAAGCGAGAGGUGUAUUUUCAUCGGUUACCCACAGCGAUCCUUUGGUUACCUCUUCUACAGACCUAGUGACAAUGUGGUCUUUGUAGCAAGAAGAGGAGUCUUUCGAGAAAGAGAGUUUAUAAGCCAAGGAGACAGUGGGAGGCAAAUUGAUCUUGAAGAAAUUCAAGAAUCAAGCGGUGAAGGAACUUCAAACUCUAGCCCUCAACUUGAGGAGGAAACUCCUGUUGAGCCAAUUGACAAAUCUGUACCUCUGAGACGUUCCACGAGAGUUAGGAGUGCACCUGAGCAUUACUAUGGAUUCCAUAUUACUGCAGAAGGUGAGACACUUAUUAGUGAUGAGACACUAGUAAGUCAAGAUGACCCUAACAGCUACGAGGAAGCCAUGGCAGGCCCCGAGUCUGCUAAAUGGAAAGAGGCUAUGGAUAGCGAGAUACAAUCCAUGUAUGACAAUCAAGUUUGGAACUUGGUUGAAAAUGUACCAGGUCGUAAGACAGUAGGGUGCAAAUGGGUCUUCAAGAAGAAGACCGACAUGGAUGGUAAAGUACACACUUAUAAGGCUAGACUGGUUGCAAAGGGCUUCUCUCAAAUUCCUGGAGUGGAUUAUGAUGAGACCUUUUCUCCGGUAGCCAAGAUUAAGUCUAUUCGGGUUCUGUUAGCCAUAGCUGCAUUUCAUGACUAUGAAAUAUGGCAGAUGGAUGUCAAAACCGCUUUCCUUAAUGGAAAGUUGGCUGAAGAUGUUUACAUGAGUCAGCCAGAGGGUUUUGUCAGCAACGAGUACCCUAAUAGAGUGUGUAAGCUUGAGAAAUCCAUUUAUGGAUUGAAGCAAGCACCUCGCAGAUGGAAUCUUUGCUUUGAUGAAAAGGUCAAGGAAUUUGGCUUUUCUAGGAGUGAAGAUGAAUCUUGUGUGUAUGUCAAGGCUAGUGGGAGUAUAGUUAGCUUUUUGGUAUUGUAUGUGGAUGACAUACUACUCAUAGGAAACGACAUUCCAACCCUGCAGGAAGUAAAGUCCUGGCUUGGGAAGUGUUUCGCUAUGAAGGACCUUGGUGAAGCUGCCUAUAUUCUAGGGAUAAGAAUCUUGAGAGAUCGGAGUAAAAGACUAAUUGGACUUAGUCAGAGUACCUACUUGGAUAAGGUGCUGAAGAGAUUCAGCAUGCAGGAUUCCAAGAAAGGAGAGUUACCCAUCCAGAGUAACACCAGAUUGAGUAAGACACAAAGCCCUAGCACUGAGGCUGAGAUAGCAGAAAUGAGUCGAACACCUUACGCUUCGGCUGUAGGAUCGAUCAUGUAUGCUAUGACGUGUACUCGACCCGAUGUAGCUUUUGCCUUGAGCAUGGUUAGCAGGUAUCAGGCGAACCCUGGCAAGGCACACUGGACUGCGGUAAAGAAUAUCCUCAAGUACCUACGGAGGACUAAGGACUGGGUCCUUACCCUCGGUGGGAGUGAUGACUUGAGAGUUGUAGGGUAUAGUGAUGCUAGCUUCCAGACUGAUAGGGAUAAUUUCCGCUCUCAGUCGGGCUGGGUCUUUACCCUAAACGGAGGAGCAAUUUCUUGGAAGAGUUCCAAGCAAGAGACAGUGGCAGAUUCUACUUGUGAAUCAGAGUAUAUUGCAGCUAGCGAAGCAGCAAAGGAGGCGAUAUGGCUGAAGAACUUCAUUGGAGACCUUGGAGUUGUACCAGCUAUUAAAGAGCCAAUGGAAAUUUUCUGUGAUAGUGAAAGUGCUGUUGCCUUAGCCAAGGAACCAAGGGAUCAUGGGAGAUCCAGACACAUCGACAGAAAAUACCAUUUCAUUAGACAUCGGAUCGAAGAAGGACUCCUCGUGGCAAAGAGGGUAUCAUCGGAUGAGAACCCAGCAGAUCCCCUCACGAAGGGACUGAGUAGGGUUAAGCAUCUCCAGCAUGCUCGGAGCAUAGGGCUGAAGGAUGAUAUAAGUUUUAGUAGUUAGAUAACCCAGAAAUUUGUAAAGUGUAAUUGACAUUUGAUGAUGAAUAAAAGGUGUUUUAUUUAUGAGUAAAGUGUUGCUAUCUCUUGUCAAUCGUUUACUAUAUUUCUUUUGCAUGUUUUGACUUCCAGAAUAAUUUUGUUUGGUGUAACAUAUUAUUCAAACCUCCACAGUCGGUCAUAUGUCGGAAGUAGGUAUGAAUCAAGACUGUCAUGAUGGGUUGUAGAGGUCUAAGGUGUUGGACAAGGCUACAACAAUCAUGAGUGCUCAUAAGUUCUGAGCAUUGGACUCAACCCACGCUCACUGGAAUCACUUCAUGGAAUUCUAUCUCGAGUGAUCGUGAGACGGUAAUAUCAUAUAAGUCUUCAAACCUAGAGAUAUGAUUUGUUACUUACAAGUUGGUUAUGCAUUGACUGUACGAAACCGCAUUGGUAACUCGAUGUUAUAAAACGUACUUUUGUGUGUAAUUCAAUGAGUGGUAGAACAAACAUAUGAGUCGAAGUUUAUCUGUUCCUUCUUGGAUUAGAAGCUGAUAUCUGGGCCCCUCGAUGAUUUUGUUUUGACCCAUGUACCGGGCCCGGUCAGAACUAAGUUGAUGUGUUCAAUUAAGUUCUAUGUCAAACAAAUCGGAAAUCGGGAAACAAAUGCUGGACAAUAAGCAAGACAAUGUUCCAUGUAUUUGUCCGGCUGAUAUCUAGAACGGAGGAUUAUAUGAUCACUUAUCUUAAAUGGCGUACCAUCAUCUUCUCAGUUCCGAGAGACCUUGAAAGAGCUACGAUUGCCGGUCGGUUCCUGAAGUACUAGAGAUAUAGUUAUUAGACUUAUCCAAGUGGGAGACUGUUGGAUAAGGUGUCUAAGUCCAUAACUAUUUCGGGCUUGUACUUGACCCGACCCGGCAUGGUCCAUUUGGGUUGCAUGGCACCAUGCAAUUGGAUAGACUAAAUGAGAGAAAUAACACUUGGAGAUUAUUAAUAUAUUAUAAGUUCUAAUAUAUUAAUAAUAUUAUUUGAUUAGUUGAUCAAAGAAUUAAUUUGGAAUUAAUUAAGUGAUCAAAGGAUAACUAAUUAAAUAUAUGGGUUGAUUAUGUAAAUCAUCCAUAUCUUGUAUAGUGGGCUAAGAGGCUCCAUGGAUUAUCAAGUUGGGUUCUACCCAUAGGAUGCUCCAUGGAUGCUCCAUGGGAGUUACAAACCCAUGGGUCAUGGAAAUGAAGAGUCAUGACACAUUAGGGUUUACAUGGUGUAACCCUAGAUGUGUCAACACUAUAUAAGAAUCAUAUUCUCCACCAAAAUCGGCUACACUAAGAAACUAGAGGGCUUGGCCGAUUUUGAGAAGUGUGUGUUAUCUCAAGAGUCUUUCCAAGAGCAUUUGGUGUUGUGUGAAGCAUUUGAGGCAUCACACUUGGGGUGCUAGGCUCACAAGGUUUCAAGGAACACAAGCAACAACAAGGUAAGUUAUUCUAUCUAUGAUUCAAGUUAAAAUUGUUCCCCAUGUAUGCUAGAUAGGAAUAUAACCUUGGAAUUCAACUUUGCAUGAUAAUUAGACAAACAUAGAUCCAAGGUUAUUAGGGUUGCAUGUACACUUAGGAAGUGUUAGAAUGCUCAAAACCCAUCAACUCUGCCCAUCAGUCUGCGGAUGGAACGCCGUGCUAAAAUGUAGUCUCGUGCCCAGUUCCUUGUGGAACUUCUGCCAAAACGGGAAGUAAAUCUGACAUCCCGAUCGGAAACAAUGGAAAAUGGGACCCCAUGGCGAGAGACAAUCUCGCGGACGUACAGGUCGGCCAACUUCUCUGCCGAUGAACUCUCCCAUAUGGCUAGGAAAUGGGCACUCUUGGUCAAUCGAUCCACGAUGACCCAUAUAGCAUCAAACCCCUUUUCCGUCUUCGACAACUUCGUGAUGAAAUCCAUCGCGAUCAGUUCCCACUUCCACAUGGGAAUCUCUAGAGGCUGCAGCUUACCGUGCGGCCUCUGAUGUUCGGCCUUGACCAUCCUACAGGUCAAGCACCUCUCAACAAACCAAGCGAUAUCUCGCUUCAUACCAGGCCACCAAUAACUCGAACUCAAAUCACAGUGCAUCUUGGUGGCUCCCGGGUGAAUACAAAACUGAGACUUAUGAGCCUCCUCCAUCACUGUCUGCCGGACCCCUUCGGACAUCGGAACCCAAACCCGACCGUAACGGGUCAACAAUCCGCGGCUAUCCUGAACAAACCGGGCGCUUUCACCCUUAAUCCUUUCCAACUUCCAGUUCUCCGGCCUCAUACCCUCAAUCUGAGCAUCCCUGACCAAACCCACCAGCGGGGAAUCCACCGUUAUCCUCAUACACUUGGCUGGGGGUAAAGGACCCAACUGAAUUACGGCUCAGAGCAUCCACAACUACGUUCGCUUUACCAGGAUGGUAAAGGAUCUCAUAAUCAUAGUCCUUGACCACAUCCAGCCACCUGCGCUGCCUCAUGUUCAGGUUCGGCUGAUUCAUGAUGUGUCUCAAACUCUUGUGAUCCUUGUAUAUAGUACAACGGACCCCGUACAGAUGGUGCCUCCAAAUCUUGAGAGCGAAGACCACCGCUCCCAACUCAAGAUCUUGCGUGGGGUAUCUCAUCUUGUGCGGCUUCAAAUGACUCGAUGCAUAAGCUAUCACUCAUCCCCUCUGCAUGAGGACUGCCCCCAAAUCUGUGAUGGACGCAUCACAAAAUACCACAAAACCCUCAACUCCCUCGGGGAGUGUCAACACCGGCUGAAUAUACUGUUGAGCCCUAGCUGCCGAACAAAACCCUGAUCCCAACCUGGUGCCCUCACCAUAUGUAGUGACAAAGAACAUGGUUUGGCAUGCGGAAUUAAAGCUUGCACAAUUGAACAUGGUGAUUUGGGUGUUUAAGAGAUAUAUUGAAUGUAUAUGGUGUUACAAAAAGGACUAGAUCUAGACUACAUAAUUAACACACACUUACACACUCACUUCUACAUCUCUCAAGCACACCUCUAUAAGUGGACAAACCCACCUUAUAUAGAGGGGUUUACAUGCCUCUCUCUCACUCUAACAAUCAAAUGGGUCUAAAGGCUAAAGCACCACAUGCAAGUGGGUUUUACAAAAGUCAAACAUUUACAAAGUCAUGAAUGAAGAGCUUUGCACCCCAACAUUCUCCCCCUCAAAGUUAGGAAUGAAUCACCCAUUUCAAAUCUUCCAAAAUCAAGCACUACGCGGUUCGAGCCUCAAAGGUGACACAUGUCGAAACGAACUUCAAUCUUCAAUUCUUCCAUGACUCUUCAAUUUGGGCUCUAGGAUGUGAGACCUUACAAACCGAGCAGCAACGAAUGAUUAAGAGUAUUCCAAACUCCAAAUAAUCACCCAAAAGUUGCGCAUAAAAACACACCCCAAAAAUCUUCAAUAAAACCAAACCCAUUUCGAAUACAUCACUUCCGAACAUCCAAUUACAUCAUCUCGUAGGCUUCAAAACUUCAAGAUCACUUCGGUCUUCAAAUCCGCGUAAUAUGAAAAAUUCAAGUUCGAAUUUCCAUAUAAAACUUCUCCCCCUUUUUAUAAUCGAAAUUUGAUUAUAAAACUCCAAAGGAAAAAGAACGUGCUAUAUUCGGAAUUUUUCAUGUCAAAACUCCCCCUUAACAUGUGGCAUAAACUUUGAGCUUCAAUCCGGAAAACCCAAAAAAUAAUCAAUUUGUUUUUCCAUUGCUGUUCAUUGAUCUUGAAGCCCUUAACAUGUGGAAUUUUUCACGGAUCGCCUUUGACAAAAUUUCUCAAAAAUGGGUAGAAAUUGUCAAUUUCAAAAUUCUGCAGUGACCCGUUGCGCCCAAAACAGCAAAAUAUGCAAAACUCUCCCCCUUUUCCAAAUCUGGGUAGAAAGCGUCAAUUUGCACAAACUGCAGGGGCCUGAAAUGCACAAUCUUCAAAUUUUAGCAAAAAAUAGUCCUUUUUCGAUUUUGGGUGAAAACUGCCAAAAAUUCGAAGUCUGAGGGACCAUUUUCGAAAUUCUGCUCUUUGUUCACAAUUCAUACGAAGAUUCCGCAAAUAUUCGAAGCUCCAAAUUUUUUUUUGAAAUCGGGUGAAAAGUGUCAAAUAUUCAGAAAUUGUGUUAAUGUUCGAAGUGCCAAAAAUUCGAAGGAUCAGGGGCCGUUUUCGAAAACUUGCCAUUUCAUCAAAUCAUACGAAGCCUUUUUCCAUUUGUCAACUAUUCAAAACAAUAAGGGCCAUUUUCAAAAAUUCUAUCUUCCUUCUUUUUAAUUCAUAUGAAGACUUUUUGACAAAACAUAUCAAGCAUACGAAGAGUGACUGUGAACAGUAAUGCACAAUGAUACCCUUCGUAUGUUAACCCAGUUCUUCGUUUUUUUUUUCAUCUAUUACCCUUCGCCUUUUGCAAUCCAUUCAUAUACCCUUCGUUCCAAAAUCAUCAAAAUCAAUAGAUCCUUCGUUCAAACACCCUUCGUAUGAAUCUUUUAACAUCUCUUCGUACAAAUCCAAGUUUUUCCCAAACCAACACCAACUUAGUCUUCGAAAAUUAGUAACCCAAACCAAUUCUUCGCUUUUUGGUGUAAACCAUCUGUUCUUACAGUUCUUCUUCACUUCGUACAUCAAUCACCAAAAACCAAUCCUUCGUUCAUUAACCAUGUAAUGCCCUGUCGUCCAAAUUGAUUUCAUUAAAAUCCAAAUAGGCUUCGCUUUUCCAGUUGAUGCCAAUGAACAAACGUGAUCAACCAUUUGAUUUUACAGUUCACUCUUCGAAUCUUAACCCAAAUCGAUCAUUAACCCUUCGUUUUUUCAGUUUAUCCCAAAACUGAUUCCACUACUUUCAUUCUUCACUUUUCAGUUUAACCCAAAACGAACGAAAUCGUUUCUUUGUUCCUUACAGUUCUUCCCAAACUCAUCGACAUCAAGAACAAACACAUCUAUUCGUUCACUACUUCAAUCGAUAUCAACUUAAUCAACACAAAUCAAGCUUGCAAAAUCACAGAAUGAACGGAAUCAACAAACCAAACUUGAUUAUCAACCAUACGAAAUCAAAAUCAUCAGACUUCUCUAUUUAUGUAAACUCGAUUUUGACUUUUUGGUUGACCCUGACAAACAACAAAACUAUUGAUCUUUAAUCCAAUUUUGGAUCAAACACCCAUUUUUAACAUAAAUCGUAACAUUCUUCAACUGUUCUUCAUCGAGUUCUUGACCGAUUUUAUCAAAAUCAAAAACUAAAUUGUUGACUUCUCAACUACAACUCGAUCAUAAUCGACUGAUAAUUAUCCAAAUCAGAUUCAGUCAAUUCAUAAGUUCAGAAUCGCAAAUCGUUGAUCAACUUUCAUAAGCGAAAAAGAAAACUCAAGAACAUUAUGAUUACAAGUCAAAAUAUGUUUGAGCUGAUUACAAGAACAUUAUGGUACAACCGAUAAAAGCGUACGUACAUAUCAAACAAAGAACAACGAAUUUUAGAAUUAAAUCACAUUGGAUGAAUUUUGGGUUCCAUCAAAGAUAUCGGAUAAAAAAAUAUGUAUGGGCUCAAAUUUAAACAUGAACAGUGACAGAUUCGUACAUUGGAUCAUAAACGAACAAAAUAUUGGGCUGUUGAUAACCACACAUAUCGAAAUUAUCAAAUAAGAGUAUGAAUUGGGCUCCAAGUUCAUUUAUGAACAGUAAGAUGUCAAAAUUUUUGGCUAAAUCAAAAUAAAUGGAUCAUAAUGAAUUUUGAGCUCAAAUCUCGAUUCAAACGAACAACUGUAAAAUCGAGUCGAACAAACAAAUAUGAGAUUGGAUCGGACUUUGAUCAACGAAAAAAUUAUUGGAUCAUAACAAAUGGGUUUUCAAAGAACAUUUGAUCCAAUGAGUCAAACGAUCAAAAAUUAAGAACGCAACGCACGAUUCAAAGAGAUUAAGAGAGAUCAUAGAGAGAGACUCACCAAAAUUGAUCAAAUUACGACAAAAUUUGCCAAACCGGGAAUCAUUCUUCAAAUAUCACCUUGAUCUUGAAGACCCGCUCUGAUACCAAUUGUUGUGACAAAAAUACUACAAGUUCUCCCCCACUUGGGGUUCGAACCCCCACCCGCUAUCCCUCAUAGUCGAUCAUGGCGCCAAAACGGCUAAGCCAAUCCAUCCCUACAAUCCCAUAUACAUCCCCCAUGGGGAUAGGAAUCAAAUCUAUCGGGAAUGACACCCCGAAAAUCUCCAACUCGCAUCCCCGGUAGACCGAAGAAAUAGAAACCCCGUGCUCUUUGGCGAUCGAAACUCGCAACGGGCACUCAAGAUCAUCCAUCGGCACACUAAACCCUCUAGUGAAAGUCUGAGAUACGAAUGACCGACUGGCCCCCGAGUCAAACAAAACCAAAGCAGGCAAAGAAUUUACUAAAAACGUACAUAAUCAUAGGUACAACCAAUAAGUACAACACAAAUACGAUAACUGAGACAGAGAAUAGAAACGUACCAGCAACCAUAUCCGGUGCUGACUUGGCCUCCUUGGUCGUGAGCUGGAAGGCACGACCCUGAGCCUUCGGAGGCUCCAACUUAACUGGCCUCCCGUCUCAAAUCAUUACAGUAGCUGGCACAGAACCCUGCACCGACUUCGCGGCGAGCUGCGGACAACUGGUCUUCACAUGACCAACCUGAUGACAAUGGUAACAAAUCCUCAUAUCUGUGGGAGGGGCGGGCUGAUGGUAGCCCUGGCAUAGUGCCCCUCCUUUCCACAUUUGUGGCACCCACUUCCUGCUCUACAAGUUCCCGAAUGAACCCUGCCACACUUUCCACAAGUGCGGCUCUGCUGACCCACACCGUGUAUCAGCGGUCUUAGCCCGCUUAGGCGCCGGCUGAGACUGUGCCGGUGCCUGACGCUGCUCCUUCAGCUGCUGCUCUAUCUCAACUCACGCUGCCUCGCGGCUUCCUGAAGGUCCCGGAGGGUAUCACAACGCUGUGUAGCCACAAACUGCCAUAUAUCCAUCUUAAGCAUACUCAGAUAACGAGUCAUCUGAGACUGUUCUGACGCAAACUCUGGGCAAAACAUAGCCCUCUCAGUGAACAUCCGGGUGAUCUCCAUCACCGACUCCCCAUCUUGUCUCAAUGUCAAAAACUCCUGAGCAAGCCACUCCCAUUCCACGCGCGGAACGUAGCGGGUGCAAAACAUAUCCCGGAACUGCUCCCAAGUAAUAGCAUCCCACUAAUCAUCAGAAUAUGAACCUGUCUUCAAUCUCCACUAGUCCUUUGCCCCGAGCCUAAGCAGUUUCAGAGCACACCUGACCUUCUGGUCAGCAGGACAUGAGCACGUGAAGAAACAGCCCUCCACGUCAGACAACCACCACAUAGCCCUGAUCGCAUCCUGUGUACCAUCAAAUGUCGGGGGCUUCGUAUUAUCGAAGUCCCGAUACUGGAAAGCCCUGCCGGCUCCUCCUCCAACCCCUGCCGCAGUUACAGCCUAAGUGGCUGCAACGACAGCUAUCUCUGCUAGAGCUGCAUAUCGCUCAACAAAAUACUCAACCAUUGCGGUCUUAAUCGACCCAAACAUCUCUGGCAGCUGUGCUCGGAACAUAGCAACAAUCUUGUCUUGCAUGAUCUCCCGGAUCCUGGCAUCCAACUCCUUGGUCCCUAUUUGUACCACGGGCUUAGGUGCUACCGGCACCUCCAACCCUCAGUCUCCCGACCCCGAUCCUGAUCUUGAUCCAGAAGCAACACGUCUCGUCACCACCAUACUGAAAUAUAUAUACAAGUCAUCAAAUAAAUAACAUAAUGUCGGGAGACCAAAACCCACAAACCCUAGGGGGUGUGAUUUCCUUGCUAAGCAUAUGGGUCCUGUGCUUUAAGUAGUACGGGCCCAUACUACCUUCCACACCUACCCAUAUUUGUCUCAAGUAACACCACAACGCCCUAACAAUAUUAUCAACAUAGAAAUGCGCUCAACCCUCACUUCUAGGGGAAUACCAACUAUCUCGCACCUAGUCUCACCACUUAUCAUGACUCACACAUCCAUGAAACUUCCAUCAUCCCCUGCCGCGCCAGUGCAUGCUAGCUGUACGUAACACUGGAACCAAUAGACUUUCGAAUAUCCAAUCCAACCCAAAGGUCGAAUCAACAUUUUCAGGCUAUAAGGUCUUUAUUAUGAACAACCGUGAUGCAUACACUAAAAAUCUACAGUUAUGAUGUCAAUUCCACAUACAAGAAACCCUAGGCUAAUAGGCAUCAUGUAACUAGGCAAAUCUAUCAUGUGAUUCCUGAAGAUCCCUAGCCUAGCACUAGCAUGCUGUUCUAACAUAUCAUAAUAUCAAAUAACUAUAUGGUAUUUUGGGGUUUACUUACAGGCUCCGGCUGAUCGUACCCUCUACAUCCUCCAUCCUUUAUUUUGAAAACCAUUUCAAAAACUUACUUUCUGAAAAUCUCCUUGAUUUGAGACUGAAUUCACACGAGAGUUCCUCCAAUUCACUCAAACCAAGGCUUUGAUACCAACUUGUAACAUCCAUAAAUUUUACGCCAAAUUUAAACUUUUCAAUCAUAAAUAAAAACCAAAUAGCAUUGUUUACAAAAAUGUUUUCGAAUCAUUAUCCAUCAUAGUGUCACAAAAUCAUAACAUAAGGAUGAGGAGUGGUACGGUCACGCCUUCGCCACUACAAGAAAAAGACCCUUUUACGACGCGCAAGCAACGACACUCGGAGAUUUAUGUUACGCAAAAGAGAGUGACGUUAAAAAAAAUGUUAUCUCUUUAAAAAAUUUAAGAAUUUAGGUUGCACAUUAUUGCGUGCCCUUAAAUUAGUGUCUCAUGUAAAAAAAUUAAAAACACGAAGGGCACUUUAUCUAAAAGGUGCGCCGUCUAUGAAUGUCGUUUUAUAUUUUUUUAAGGAACGCGCUUCUCCUUAGAGGGAAAAUGAAAUCUCCAAAUUUUUUAAACCCCCACCUUCUUCUCCCUCGUCUCCACCCCCUAAUCGAAGCUACCAGUUGAACAACCCCUAAUCCACACCACCACCUUCUCGUCUCUCCUUCUCCACCAGGUUUUCUCUCAUCUCUAUCCUCCACCUUCUGGAUUGUAAAGGCGUCAUUUUAUAAUUCUUUUACCAAACGCACAUCCAUUAUCCUCAAUUACAAAAGGCGUCCAAAUCUAGGGGUUUUUUUUCAAGAAGAAACCAAACGGGAGUGCUCUCUUCAACAUUCGAUACCUCCGCUCGCCCCACCUGCUGGCGACCUUGGUUCUUAUAUCCUCCCAGUUUUUUGCGUUCUUCUUUCAGAAAUUUAAUCGAACAAGAUCUUGUGCCAGGCAGUUAAUCUAACGAUGGCGACAUUUUGAUUUUGAUCUCAAAAUACAUCAAAUACGAGCUUAUGUUGGAACUGAUUACCUAUAUAUCUUUUCCUUUAUGGGAUAAAUACAUCGAAUACGAGUAACAACAACAAUAGUGUUCCAAUCUUGCAUUGAUAUACACACACGGAUAUCGGAGCAUCCUAAUCAGCAAUUGGACCGCUAUUAUAACAGGUGAUAUACAAUUUUUUACGUAGAAGAGCCUCUAGCUUUUGUUAGGUCCAAAAUAAACUAAACAUGGUCAUACUCUUUCCUACAGUUUACAGCUUUAGGGAUUAAUAGCAAGUCGCCCUUUAUCUGAACUAAAAACCGCUGAGGAAGUUGCAGCUGCAACAAAUUCUAAAGACGAAGCCAAUAUUGAAGAAAAUGAAUGGGAAUUUCAUCCGGAUGCAGUGGAAAAACCUUCUAAACCUGUAAGUGAAGGCGUAAUAGAAGCUGAAGAGGUGGAGUCUUAUAUUGCCAUUAGAGAAGAGCUGUACAAGAAGGCUAAAGAAUUUGAUUCAAAGAUUAUUGAUUUUGGGACUGCUAUCAGAAGACCCUACUUGCAUAAGGUUUUUAACAUUUUUUUUGAUAAUGUAUACAGAGGCAACCGGAGAUUCACUUAUUCACUUGAUCUUACUUGUGAACUUUGAAUAUGUGUGGGUCCGAAGGGCUUCAUAUGGACGGAAAAGUGAUAUAGGAUAACGAAAGGAAUAUAACUGUUAACAGUUGAUCAAAAUCAAAAGAUACAAUUGGUAUUCUUUGUUUAGGUUUUGUUACUGCUUAAUAUAUAACUUCUGCAUGUUAAUUGCCACAGAGACGACAACCUUUAGGGUUUGCGUUAAGGUUGAUUGUUACAGAGAUAUGGAAACUUUAAUGAGAAAGCUUAACUGAAGAACUUAUAAAACGACUAGAGUAUAGAGUUUCCUUGGCUGAUGAAUGGAUUAUCUCUAAUUAUGUAGCAGGUACUCCACACUCAAACAAACACUGAUAUAGUUUCGUAGGCUUUCAAGUUUCAAUAUUGUAUUCCUAUUUAACAUACUGAGUCUACUCUUGCAAAAGUUGUGGCGAAUUUUUUUUUCUUCAUGCAACUGUAUCACAAAUAUAGCUAACUGGAAAUAUUAUUAUGAUUAGGUUAUCUAGUUCUUCAUUUAGACCUCUACUUGUAUUGCCUAGUUAAAAUAUAUAACUUUUAGCACUUUUUGUGUUUAUUUGGACUGAUUAGAUGUUACAUGGUUGAGAAUUUGGAACUGCUAUCACCUUUGUAUGGUUACCUUGGUUGUUCACGGUUGUUAUCUUCUAUACAGGUUUAAGAUACAAUCAAUCACCUAUUUACUAUGGGUGAUAGUGAAACAGUUGUUGCUCAAUCAUCAGCUAUCCAAGAGCAUCCAUCAACUACAGUUAAUAGAGAUUUGGCUGCUUCUACAGGUAUCGAUACCAUGGAUGUAGACAAUGUCAUUCCUCAUGAGGAUGAUCGAGCAUCCAUCCAGGUAGUAUCUUACUGCUGCUAUAGCAACCCCCUAUGUUCUUUAGAGUUCUUGGGCAUAAACUUCCUCUUUUUGGUUCAUAUGGUGGCUUUUUUAUAUAUAUUAGUAGAAAACCAUGUUACACAUCACCCAAAAAACAAAAUGAAAAGAAACUGAACAAAAAACUAUGAGUUUUGAUUUAUGUUAUAGAUAAUAACGGGCAUUUGAUUACUUAAUAGUUUUUAGAAUCAGUCGGGAGUCUUUCCAAGAAUUCAGAAAGUUUUCAAGAAUCAAAAGCUACAGAGUCUUCUUUGCACUUUUUGAAUAGCAACUAGCAAAUCCCUUCUAUCUUAAUGUUCUUUAUAUAACUUAUUUGCUGCAUGAAAUCUUUUCUUAAUGCAUAAGAAUUUCAUGCUUUCAGACUUUACUUACAUGGUUGCUUUUUAUAUCAGGCAUCACCCGAACAUUGUUCUAUUGCUUUUUAUCAAGAGGGGUAAGAACUAAGAAUUACUUUCUUAUUUUAUCUUUUUCUGUUAUUUUUUCAAUCUGAUAAUUUAUAUAUAUUUAAAAUGACUUGUGAUAUUAAUUUGUCCAAUAACUUUUGAUGAGCAUGUGCGUAGGGGUAAAACGGGAAGAGGAAAUGCUCGGGAGAUGGGCUUUGAGAGUUUCCUUGACUUUGUUCUAGCCCUGGAAAACAAAGACACUCCAGAGGGAAUUACAUAUCUUUAAUGAUGUUUAGAUCUUAAUGGAAGAGGCUUCUUUACAACAGCUGAUAUUCACACCCUUUUCAGGUAUAACUAAUUAUUAUUAGGAAAUAGGAAAUUGAAAAUUGGAAGUAAAGGAGGGGAGCAUUUAAAGUUUAAAUGUUGCCUGAUAUACCCUUCCUACAACAAAAAAUAAAAAUGAAAAAUCUCUGCUUUUCCUACUUGUUGCACGCGAGACACGUCUGCAAGCCUCUUGACUAUGAGAUACAUAUUUUCACCAUAUAUUAGUAAUAAAAAAAUAAAAAAAUGAUUUGAUAAUUGAUUGGUACACUACACUACAGGGAUGUGCACCAAAAUUAAAUUUAUUUACUAUUAGUGGAAUUCAAGAUAUGUACAGGAGUGUUUGUUGCCUUUAUAAUUGGUACAAUGCUAACAUGGAGGACCUUGGCAUUGACAGGUUUUAAAUUAGUCUAAAUUAUAUUUAUUUACUACUAGUGGCAUUCUUAUGGAUAAAGAAAAUAAAAGGUGAUGAAUUCUAGUGUUCUGUUUGCAGGAUUAAUCCCUUGUGCUGUUCUAUUAGUGGGACUUUUCUUUGUACCAGAAUCUCCUAGAUGGCUGGUAUGUGAAGUAUCAUGAUUCAUGAAGCUGUUUAAUUUAUCUUCAAGAAAUUAUGUUUGACAUCAUGCAUGCAGGCAAAGAUUGGAAGAAAGAAAGAGUUUGAUGCAGCCCUAAGAAAACUUAGAGGGAAGGAUGCUGAUAUAUCUGAGGAGGCGGAUGAAAUCCAGGUGUUCAUUUCAAAGCUCUCAACUUUUUUUCUUAUUUUUGUUAACGAAUAAAAAUUAUAGAAUUCUUUUUAUGUGUUAUCAAUGGGGUCUUGAAUAUGUUGAUAGGAUUAUAUAGAAACACUACAAAAGCUCCCGAAGGCCAAAAUAUUCGAUUUGUUUUAGAGAAGAUAUUUGCGAUCUGUCACUGUAAGUUUAUUUUCUUGAUAACUCUUGUUGGCUACUUUAAAAAAAAGAUUUUUAUAAUUGUAGUCCGAAUCUUGUUUUGACCAUACAUGGUACUUUUUUUUUUUUUCUGUAAUUGUAGUCUGAAUCUUGUUGGCUACUUUAAAAAAAGAUUUUUCUAACUUGCUCCUGGACGUGAUUGUGCUAUUGAGUUUGAUCUUGGAAGUGGAAGCUAUAAUGUAACUUGCUAUUGCUCAUACAACUUUUGUUGGAAUGUGAGUAUCAUAAUUCAUGCAUUUUUAUAAAAGUUUAAAAUAUUAGUUUAUGUUUUUUCUAUAUAAAAGAUAAAAUAUUUUUGUUGCUAUUGUUGUAGUGUACAAAAGAAACUCAUCGCCUUGUGGACUGUGAAACUGUGUCCAAAUGGAUUAUGAAGAAAAGUGCAGAGUCUGAAAAUAUGAAUUGGUAAAGGUCUAAAUUGCCCCUUGGCAGGUAUGCUGAUCGAAUUGCUAAUGCUAAAUGGGAAGUUAAAGAACAUGGAAUGGAACGCAAAGGUGAUUAUUUUUAAUUUUAGCACCAAAUAUUUUAAAAUAUCAUUUUUUUUAUGUUAAAUCAUAACUAUAACUCAAGGUGCUAUAUCUUUUAUCUGUUGUUUGUAAUGUUGAUAUGAUAACAUUAGUUAAUAACAUAUUUAUAUAACAACUCUAUCAGUUAGCUAAAACUGAUUAUGUCAUUAAUAUAUUAAAUUUCAUAAUUAUUAUUUAUUACAUUAAUGCUUUUAAUAUGUUCUUUAGUUGCUUACACCAUCAGUUCUCAAUGGUCGAUUAGUUAAUGCCCACCAACAUCUCCUAGCACUAAGGAUAUCAGAUUAUCUUGGAAUACACCAAGUUCUGUGAUAUUUUCAAUACCAAUCAUAAGGAGGAAUUACAAUAUGGUGUUAUGGAAGGAGUCAAUCUCUUAGGGAAGUAAUGGAGCCAAAAGAAGGUAGUCUACUCUAGGUGCAGUUUGUUAUUAUUCUAUUGGUGAUUUGAAGCAUGGAGUUGAUUCCUCCUGCAAGUGAAGUUACUUAGUUGGAAUUUGAUGUACAUAGUAGAUUAGAUGCAAAUUUAUUUAUUGUAAGAAAUAGAAUUGUAUGACAUUAAAUUUAAGCAAUGGAUUCUAUUUUUUGUAUAUAAUAUUUUAUUUUCAGUUAUGAAACAUUAAAUACAAAUUUAAUUAGAAAAUAAGUAAACCUAUAAAGAUUUUUUUUAAACAUUUAAAAUUAUGAUACGCAAAAAUGUGUGUCAUCUUCAUUUAUGACAUGGCCUUUCUUGACAGGGGCUUUCUUAAUACGCAUUACGUGUCAUUAACACGCGCGGCGUAAGGUUACGACACGCGAAUGCGUGUCAUCUUCCUUUAUGACAGGGUCUUCCUUGAUACGCAUUGCGUGUCGUAAACGCACGUCGUAAUUGCGCGUCGUAAAUGAGCGUCGUAAAUGCGCGUCGUCUAUAAACGACGCGCAAAAGCGCGUCGUCUCUCUUUAUGACAGGGCCUUCCUUGACACGCAUUUGCGCGUCGUCUGAGCCUUUUACGACGCGCAAUGAGCGUCGUAAAAGGCUGUUUUUCUAGUAGUGCGCCCUAGCGGCAUAUCACACACACUCUUGUUUCCGCAGUUAUGAGUUCAUUAUGGGAUUGAUACUUUGAUAUUUUGGUUGUUUACAUGUUGUGGAUUUCAAAUUUGGGUUUUCGAUGUGAAAUGGUUUAAUUGAACAAUGUUUUNGGCCAUCGGCCUGACUGGACCGCCCUGCGGGGCCUACAGUCUAUCUGGAUCUAUCCCGAGCCUUCGGCAUGACUGGUUCGCCACGUGGGCCUACAGUCUCCCCGGACCGCUCAUAGGGUGUGUGGGCCUUCAACACAAAACAGGAUCGCCUCAACCCAACCAAAAACAAAUAACUAUGUGCGCAUAACUAUCAUAUACUGGCAUAUACAAACAUCAAGCAUAUCUAUCACUGGUCAUCAAUCAUAGAAUUCUCUCAUAACUAGAGUACCGUCCUAGCAGGUCACUAACAUACCAAUCCCUACGGAUCAUAAGAGCAUAGCAUACUGUCUACCCUGAUUCCGAUCUAACAGAUCAUAACCACAUAUAGCAUACCAUAACAAUAACAACUAAAGGGUCGGCCUUGGUGCCGUAGACCCUAUCGAUAUAGUGAGGGUAACUCACCUCAGAGAUGUCGACUCGGAAAGUAAACUCCAACUCCCGGAUCACUUGACACAAGCCCCACUACCUAUAGCACAAUAUACUCGUAAGUCCUUAACCUUAUAAGGUACUCCAUAACCUACUAGUCAACCCCUGAUCAAAGUCAAAGUCCUUAGUCAAGGUCAACAAUCCAUGUUGACCUCGACUCGUCGAGUUCCUUGAAACACAUUCCAACUCGCCGAGUCAUCAGGGUGACUCGUCGAGUUCCUUUGAUUCUCGAUGAAACUUUAAGGCCACCCGUCGAGUUCCCUCCUUGCAACUUGACGAAUACACACGCAUACAUAUCCAGGAGAAAACUCAUCCGCCUCGCCGAGUUGUUCUUCAACUCGUCGAGUCUAUGGAAAUCAUCAUCGGACUCUCCGAGUUGUUCAUCCAACUCGUCGAGUUCACAACCAUCUUUAUGUGACUCGCCGAGUCCAUUCAGUCCUUUUCCCAUACAGACCUAUUUUGAGUCAUGCAACGGCUCCAACUCACAGAUCCAAGCUUCUAGGGCAUGCUCAAAAGGGACCUUAAUCACGAGGCGAUCCUGUUUUGUGUUGAAGGCCAAGUUUCUAGGGCAUGCUCAAUAGGGACCUAUUUUGAGUCAUGCAAACUUUACGUGCAUGCAUGGCUUUAUAGGCUCCAAAUGCCAAAUCUAAGCUCUUAAUGGGGCUUCAUGCUCAAUAGGGACCUUAAUCACGAUCAAAACUGUAACUUUAUGUUUCUAGAAUCCAAAGAGGGUCCGAUCUGAAGUUACAACUUCAAAUCUAGCCCAUAGCUCAUCAUACCAACUUGAUAUUCCAAGAAAACCCUAAAACUCAACCAAUAGAGGAAAUUUAUAAGGAAAAUGACGGUUUGGGUACGUCUGGAAGAUUAUAUCUGAGAUAAGUAUUGAUUUCCACACUCUAAAUGCUCCAAUCUCCUUCUCCUCCACGUCUUCUCCUUCCAAAGAUCCUCUUUUCAAGCUUCAAACACACACAAGGCACCACACACGAAUAAGGGAUCUCAAGGACUCUUUAGAACUGUAAAGAGGUCCAAGGGAGGCUAAGGCCCCUUUAAAUAGGGGUACAAACCCCGAGAUUUAGGUUUUCAUCUGCCUGCUCCUACUCGCCGAGUCCCAAUAUGGACUCGUCGAGUAGGUCACUUAACACGGGAUCCCACCCCCGCUGCUACUCGACGAGUAGGGCAACCUACUCGUCGGGUAGAGCUUAACCCAAUACAUCUUAUUUAAAACAAUACCUGAGAAUUGGGGCAUUACACAAUAACGCGUCCUUUAGAUAAGGGAUCAUGUAGUCCUCCAUUCUCAAGAUAUCGUGUGGACAAAGACAUGGAAUAAAGUCAUACUCAUUGUCUAAUAGUUUGUUUCCCGAUUUCUGAUUUGUUUGACAUAGAAAUUAAUUAAACACAUCAAUUUAUUCCUGACCGGGCCCAACACAUAAGUCAACACAAAAUCAUCGAGGGGCCCAAUAUAUCGCUUUUAAUCCUCUUAGGAUAAAAGGAAGAGAUAAUCUUUGACUUAUAUUCUUGUAGUAUUUACUUCUUAAAUCGUACAAAAUAAUACGUUUAAUAACAUCAAGUUAUUGAUGCGUUUACACACUAUCAAUGCACAACCAACUUGUAAACAAUAACUAAUAUAUCUCGGUUUAAAGACUAUGCUAUUAUCGUCUCACAAUCAUUCAUGAUAAAUUCCAUCAAGUGAUUCAUAUGAGCUUGGGUUUAAUCUAAUACUCAAAUAUUAUUUCAGGAGCACUCAUGAACAUUGCAACAAACCUUUGCUAUGUCCAAACACUUAUACAAUCUACAAACCAAUUCAUGAUAGUCUAACCUCAUAGCCUACUUCCAAAGUAUGAUCGACUGCGGAUAAUUCGAAUAAUCCUAUUAUUCUGGAAGUCAAAACAUGAAAAAGUGAAACAAUAGUAAACAAUUUACACAAGAUAGUAACUUUACUCAUAAAAAAAAACCUCUUUAUUUAAUCAUCAAAUGUCAAUUACAUUUUAUCUAUUACAAGUUUCUAAACAAUUAUCUAACCACUGAAACUAAUAUCAUCCUUUAGACCAAUGCUCCUCACAUGCUGUAAGUGCUUAACCCUGCUUAGACCCUUUGUGAGGGGAUCUACUGGAUUCUCCUCUGACGAUACCCUCUUGAACACGAGGAGUCCCUCCUCUACCUGAUGUUUGAAGAAGUGGUAUUUUCUGUCGAUGUGUAUGGAUCUACCAUGAUCCCUUGGUUCCUUGGUUAACGCAACUGCUCCUUCGUUAUCAUAGAAAAUUUCCAUAUGCUCCUUUAUGGCUGAUACAACUCCAAGGUCUCUGAUGAAGUUCUUCAACCAUAUUGCCUCCUUCGAUGCUUCGCUCGCUGCUAUGUACUCUGAUUUGCACAUUGAAUCAUCUACAGUCUCCUGCUUGGAACUUUUCCAAGUCACUGCUCCUCCAUUCAGGGUAAAUACCUAGCCCGACUGAGAGUGGAAGUUAUUUCUGUCGGUCUGAAAACUAGCAUCACUAUACCCUAUCACUCUCAAAUUUUCACUUCCACCAAUUACAAGGACCCAAUCCUUCGUCCUUCGUAGAUACUUAAGAAUGUUCUUUACUGUUAUCCAGUGAGCUCUACCAGGGUUCCUUUGAUAUUGACUAACCAUGCUCAAAGUAAAAGCCACAUCAAAACGAGUAGACGUCAUAGCGUACAUGAUCUAGCCAACGACAAAAGCAUAUGGUACUCGACUAAUUUCCACUAUCUCGGCAUCGGUACUCGAACUUUGAGUCUUACUCAAUUUUGUAUUGCCCUGGAUUGGUAACUCCCUUUCUUGGAAUUCUCCAUGCUAAAACACUUUAUCCAAGUAAGUACUUUGACUAAGUCCUAUUAGUCUCUUACUCGUAUUUCUCAAUAUCCUUAUCCCUAGAAUAUAAGCAACCUCUCUGAGGUCCUUCAUAGCGAAACACUUCCCAAGCCAGGGCUUAACCUCUUGCAAAGUUGGGAUGUCGUUUUCUAUGAGUAGUAUGUCAUCCACAUACAAUACCAAGAAGCUAACUAUACUCCUACUAGCUUUGACAUGCACGCAGGACUCAUCCUCGCUUCUUGAAAAACCAAACUCUUUGACUUUCUCAUCGAAACAAAGAUCCAUCUGCGAGAUGCUUGUUUCAAUCCAUAAAUGGAUUUCUCAAGCUUGCACACUUAGUUUCGGUACUUUGCAUCCACAAAACCCUCUGGCUAAUUCAUGUAAACAUCCUCAGCCAACUUUCCAUUAAGGAAAGCAAUUUUGACGUCCAUCUGCCAAAUUUCAUAAUCAUGAAACACAACUAUGACUAGCAUAACUCUUAUAGAAUUGAUGUUGGUCACUGGUGAGAAGGUGUCGUGAUAGUCAACUCCCGAAGUUUGAGUGAAACCCUUCGUAGCUAGUCGUGCCUUGAAUGUGUCCACUUUCCCAUCCGUGUCGGUCUUUUUCUUGAAGAUCCACUUACACCCGACCGUCUUACUACCUGUUAUAUUGUUAACCAAGUUCCUAACUUGAUUUUCAUACAUGGACUGAAUCUCGUUGUCCAUCGUCUCUUUCCAUUUUGCAUACUCUGGGCCUGCCAUGGCUCUCUUGUAGUUGUUAGGUUCAUCCAUAUUUAUUAGUGUACUAUCACUAAUAAACAUAUCACCUCAGCAGUUAUAUGGAAACCAUAUAACACGGGCGGAUCACUAACUCUAGUGGAACGUCUAAGAGGUAAGGACUCGUCGAGUCCCACUAUGGACUCGUCGAGUUCAUCUGUCAGGGGCCAGAAAUCGAUUAUUUUCAGCUUUGAACAAUUAACCAUGACAUCAAAUACAACAUAAAAACAGCCUAGGCUCUGAUACUACUGAUGGUUUUUGAGCACUACAACAUUCCUAUGGUGUACAUGCAACCCUAAUGCUUCGUAUCUAUGUUUUUUUCAAGUUAUAUAUGCAAAUCAAAUCAUCCAAAGCAUGAACCCUAACUAGCAUAAAAAUUUGGAAAUUUGUAACAUAAAACAUAGUUAGAAGAAUACUUUUUCCUUGUAGCUUGUUGAUCUUGACCUUCAUGAGCUUAGUGCCUUAAUUCUUGCACCUCGAUUGAGUCACAAACACCAAGUAGCAAGUUGGAAGAAUAUGAGAGAGGCUAGGAGGCUCAAAAUCGUCUAGGGUAUUCUCUUAGAAGCAAGUGGUUGAUUCCAAGGUGUCAUCGGGUCUUUAUAUAGAUGUGCAAUUAGGGUAUUUGAUUGAAACCCUCAUUCUCUGCUUAGGCCUUAAGUAAUCUAGUAGAUCCUUCCAGAAGGUCUCUUAUGGACAAAAUCUAUGUGGGCUAUAUAUAGGAUUUCAUCCAUCCCUUCUUAGGGAUCCACAAGCCCAAGUUUGCAACUAGCAUAUAAUUGCAAUAUCAGUCCCCAUAAUUUAAUCAGUCUCUUUUGAUCACAAAAAUAAUUCCAAAUCAAUUCCUGAUCAAUACUAAUUAAAUAAUAUGAUUUCUCAAUCAAUAUAUCAUUCUUAUAAUAUAUUAAUAAAUCAAAAUUAACCUCUUUCUCCAUAAUUCAUCCAGUCAAGUUGCUAUGGUGAAGGCAACCCAAAUGAACCAUGCUACUAUUAGGUCAAGUACAUACCAAUUAUAGUUAUGGGCUUAGACACCUAAUCCAACACGGGCUCCUUAGAGCUUUCAGGUCUCUCCUUGUCUCGGGUACAAGUCUUGUGCUUUUAGUAGUACGGGCCCAAUACUACCUUCCACACCUACCUGUACAUUCCCCCAAGGCCAUACCUGAUACCUCUAAUUCACCAAAACAUAGAUAAAACAUGACAUACGAAACACAACACAUAUCCUAGAAUCCUUGGGGAUUUCUCAAUCCUCAUAGAACCAGAAGUCUCAAUCAACACCGCAGGUUGCCUUAUGCAUGCAAGUUAUACAUACAUAUAAUCACAUAGACUGUCAAGUGAAGUUUCUACCCUAAGACCAAAAUGAAGCAAGGAACAAGAAGUAAGGAAGAAUCCAUCGUUCUAGGGCUAUGAAAUCCUACACGUAUACAACUUUGAAAGAAUACACUUAGCAAAUAACAAAGACAACAUCGAUUUCAAGCAUUAUAUUCAUAGCAUUGAAUUCUAGCUAGUAGGCUACAAGGCAUCACACAAAUCAGACAAUUCUCAUAACUCCUGAAGGUAUCCUUAGCCCUAUUCUAGCAUGCAUUUCACACAUUAACAUACUGGUUGUAAUUCAUAAGCUUGGUUAAAUUUUUGGAAACACUUACUUGAGCUUGGCCGAUUGCGUGCAUUGCACUCUCCCUUUUUACUUAAGAAAACCGGUUUAAGAAAAAAUUUACUUUUGUUUAUUUUUUAAAAAGGGUUACCAUUUCCUUAGUUUGAGUUCUGACACACCUUCGAGUGUGGCCGAAUUUCUCAAACCAAGGCUAUGAUAGCAACUUGUAACAAUCCAAAAAUCUAGAUAAAAAUUUUCAUUUUUUUAAAAAUAGAAAUUACAAUCAUAAUUUGUUUAUGAAAAUCCAUUACAUGAUUUCAUAUCAAAAUAUCAGAGUAUCGCUAUCGAUAAAUGAGGAAAUUCUUGGGAGUGAUGUUGCGCCAUCAAGCUGGUCCAUUCCCAUCAAUACCAGAAGUACCUAAAAACACCCAAAUAAACUAUAAGCAAAAUGUAACAUCCCAAAAAUACAGGCAAAAAAUUUCAUUUUUAAAUACAUUAUUAUAACACCAGCAGUAUAAUAAGACAUCCAUAAUAUCAUGUCAUGUCAAAACUAAAGUAGAAAUAAUCAAAACAUGUUAUAAUAAAACAAUAUCAAGGUGUAAUCUCAAAGAUCUCAUGUGCGGAAAACCAUAGCGUGAUGCACUGUGAUCAAGCCGACUCCUUUCCUUUAAAAACGAGUACCUGAAACCAAAACUGUAAACCGUAAGCAUGAAGCUUAGUGAGUUACCCCAUCAUACCACAUACCAUACAACAUACAUGCUACGAAGCAUAUCUGGGUGUUGACAUACCCCUUUGGUAACUUUAACCGAUAUCCGGGGACUGUUUCACCCCUAUCACUACCACAUAAUAACAUAGCAUAACAUAUAUAAAUAUACUGUCAUGCAUAUAUGGGUGCCCGACCUACCCCUUCGGUAUCUUUCAACCGGUAACCGGGAGCUAACCUCCCCAUCGGUAUCUUUCAACCGGUAACCGGGAGCUAACUACCCCUUCGGUAUCUUUCAACCGGUAACUGGGGACUAUUUCACCCCUACCACUACCACAUAAUAACACAACAUAAUGUACUGCAAGGCAUGCAUGGGUUCUGACGAUCCCUUCGGUAUCUUUCAACCGGUAUCCGGGGACUAAUAUUUCACCCCUAAUACUACUAACUCAUAUAACAUAGCAUCCUAGAACAUAGAGCAUAUCAGAUAGUUGUAAACUAGACAAUUAUCACAAAGACAAUCAUCUCAUACAUAGUCACCUACUAGUGGGUCAGCAUUGGUGCCUUAGACUGUCACACCCCAAAACCGAGAACGGCGGAAAUGUUCUGGGGCGGAGGACGUCAUGUAUAAUAUCAACAACAAUGUAAAGUAGUAAACAAGCAACAACAUCAUCCAUUGCAUUAAUAAAAUAAUUAUUAUACAAUUGUAUUCUGUCAAAUUUUGAUAAACACUAAAGCAUAAAUCAAAAUGAAAGAUAAGUCUUGAACAAGCUCCAUCUUCCUUUCUCCUUGCAUCGGUACCUGUCUAUGAUGACCUGAGGAUACAAGUAAUUUUGAAAGCGAGUAUCAGCUUUAAAGCUGGUGAGUUCAUAAGUAUAUAAGUGUCAUUGCCUUGUUUGUGAAAAGCUGUUAUGAAGGCCAUGAAAACCUUUAAAUGAAAAUGUUGAGGUAAGUAUGAAAUCCCUAGAAAAAACCCUUAUUUUCUAUAAGUAUGAAAUGUAGUCUUCUACUAAGACCCGAAUGUUCUGUACGUAUGAAGUGUAGUCUUCUACCAAGACCCGAAUGUUUUGUAAGUAUGAAGUGUAGUCUUCUACCAAGAACCGAAUGUUCUGUUUGUAAAAUGAUAGUUUUCCCUUUGUAUUGACUAGUACUAAAAGUGCUUAGUCUAACUCAUCGUCUAUGUGAAUGCAUCACAAAAUAAAGUAAACAGGAAAAUGUACUACUGUAAGUGUUGUCACUGGGUACUAGGACCAACACAGCCUAGGUAAAUAUUAUCCCGAGGUACUAGGGUUAACACUACCUAAAAAUAAAGUAAACAGGAAAAUGUACUACUGUAAGUGUUGUCACUGGGUACUAGGACCAACACAGCCUAGGUAAAUAUUAUCCCGAGGUACUAGGGUUAACACUACCUAAAAAUAAAGUAAACAGGAAAAUGUACUACUGUAAGUGUUGUCACUGGGUACUAGGACCAACACAGCCUAGGUAAAUAUUAUCCCGAGGUACUAGGGUUAACACUACCUAAAAAUAAAGUAAACAGGAAAAUGUACUACUGUAAGUGUUGUCACUGGGUACUAGGACCAACACAACAUCGCAUUAAGCGAAAUGUAUAACCUAAUGAACAUCCGAAGAUUGUCCAAUUGUCCUCUGUAGCAGCAGCAGGUGGGUGGAAGGGUUAGUCCCAAAUCGAUCUUCCUAAUAUAAGUAGUAACCUUAGACCUCCGUAGAUGGUCAUCGACCACUGGUGCUAAUCAGUGGGGUUCGGAAUGGUGAGUCCCGCCUAGAUAUCCCAUUGAACCGGGAUAGGAAAGAUAAUUUACACAGAAAGUACUAAUAAAUUAUCCUCUUAGUUCUAAGUACAAGUAUCCAGGUAAGUGAAUACAGGAUAAUGCACCUAUGUAAAAGUGUUCCUGUAUGGCAUUCAUGUAUGUGCGUCCAUGUAACAGGUAAGUAUAUGUGAACAUAUUCAUGUAUCAGGUAAGCAUCUGUAAGUACUCAUGUAUCAGGAAAUGUACUAGUAUAGACUCAUGAAUGAACUGACUCUUGUGUGAUUCUUUGUAAUAGAAAUAAUGUUUGAUAUCUUCAAAUUAUCCCUAUGAUAAUUUACUGUAAUAUAACUGGAUGAUCAUGUAGGUUUAUACACUCUUACUACUCAAGGGUGUGGGAAACUAAAUGAAAGAUGUAAACUAUAAACUCAAUACAUAUAUAAGAAUAUAAGUGUAUAUGCAUAGUUUAGUUCAAGAAUGUAAAAAUGGUUUUGUAAGACCUCUUAUGGGUUUUGAACAAUAAUUAACAAUGACUUGAUGUCAUUUUAAUAAACAUUUCAAAGGUAAAACAUUUGGUAACAAUGUGUUUUUAAUAUGUAAAACCAUUUCAUGCAUCACAUUUUGUAGCAUGUGAAAUCCGUUAAAUGACAAACAUAGUUAUAAAAUGCAUAUCAAUGAUUCAAUAACAUGUAUGUUUCUACUUGUAUUCCCCCCAUUAAAGCAUUUAAAAUCAUUUAAAAUAUUGAUUAGGGGUAUGAACUCACUUGAUUGAAGUGGUUGAUUUGAAAUAGUCCAGAGAAGAAUCAAGCAGAACUUCGACAGGAAGAGCUGAAAACGCGGGAAAAUCUCAGGAUUCUCGGGAAUCUCGGGAAUCUCGAGAACACAAAACCUUCCUUCGGGACUUGAAGGUGAAAACCGGGGCUUUGGGAGGGUCUCGGGGGCUUAAACGCAGAGUUUCGGCGCGAGAAAGAAAGGAACUGAGCAAUGGAACUCGGAGCCCUUGAAAUCUAUUUAUAGGGGCAUUUUUGGGGUGUGCCACGUCGUGGCAAGUGAUGGCCACGUCGUGGGGAGUCAAACCUAUCCUCUUCCAUUGAUUGGACGCCCUCAGUCACUUGCCGGGUCGCGGCAAGCUUGUGCCACGUCGUGGGGCCUGACAGCAUCGGAUUUUGGGCCCCGAACUUGUAAAAUCCAUAACUUUCGCAUACGAGCUCCGUUUUCGACGUUCUUUAUAUGCACACAUAGCUAAAAAUAUGAUCUACAAAUCUCGUUUAGACUUCAAUUGCAAAUUUUGACUUUAUUUUUAAUUAUUUAUUUUUAACGGGUCGGGACACGAAAAGUCUGUUAAAAAUCCAUAACUUCUUCAUCCGGUGUCCGUUUUCGUCAGACUUUUCGCCGUUGCGCUACUAAUGUUGAGACCUUAGAUUCUCAUUUAGGUUGUUUUGGCACNUUUGGUCAAAAGUAUCUCGAGCUCUAUUUCGAGUUUUUAGCUGUCUACUGCUAUACUCGAAUCUUGGAAAAAUCAUAACUUUCUCAUACGAAGUCAGAUUUGGACGUUCUUUUUAUGUACGCUCACGGUUUGAGGUUAUCUAUAACUUUCAUUUAGAUACUUAAGGCUAAAAACUAUUGUAUUGAAACUUCGCGUUUUUCGUUUAAUCGGUGUUGUCGGUUUUGCCGAGAAUCUUCGGUUGGUCAUAACUUCUUCGUUAUAACUCGAAUUUUAGGGUUCUUUAUAUGUACUAAAACCUUGAUACGAUUCCUACUACUUUAUUUAACCCAAAUAAGAUUUUAGGAAAGUUAUAUUUUGACCUAAAUUUGAUUGGUUUUACAUUUCAUUGUCUCGAAAUAUCGGGUUGUCACAUAGACCCACCUCUACUGGAAGGUAAUUCACCUCGAAUGCAGAAGCUUCCUAAAGAAAUUCUUAUUGCUGCCCUGCCCACUUCCCGAGCUAUCAAUACCAAUCAAUAUACCAAAUUAGCAAUUGGUUCCCAUACCAAAAUCCUUAAUCCAUGCAUGGGAUAAAAUGACCAUUCUACCUAUGGCCCAGUAUGAUCCGGAAUUAUGGCCAUAACCCAAACAAAAGCCCAACACUAUAAUGUCCAUAAUACAAUCAAUGGCCCAAUUUUCUAAAUUGGGCCCAAACCUCUACGUGAGUCUUGCCAUGAGGCCCAAUCAUUCUUUCCAGUCCAAUACACCUCAUAUUCUGAUGGCCCAAUAAUAAUCCAAACAUUUAAACCCAAAAUGCUAAAACUCACUCAUGGCAUGGUCCAUGGACUAGUUUUCCAAAUUGGGCCCAAGACUUUAGUGGGCCUCUACAAAUAAAAUAUCAACCCCAAAACUGAUGGCCCAAUAGCGCCCAAAACAACAAGCCCAAAAGAUGGCCCAAACUGAAGCCUAAAAACCAAAGUCCCAUUCUGCUGAGUACGCGGGGCGUACUCAGCUUGUACGCUAAGCGUACUGGCUUAAGGGCUUGUACGCUACAUGUAGACGCUUGUACGGCCAGCGUACUCCUCCUGUUGACCAACUCUCAAUCCUAGCUCUUAAUCCAUUAAGCCAAGACGUCCAAAACCUCAAAAUGGCUUAAUAUAAGUGACUUGACCCGUAAAGUCGAAUGCUUUAAGCCUUUGCAUGGCUUAUUUAAUCCCAAACACUAAAGAUGAAUUCCAAAAGGUCAAAAUCACUCCCAAAAUGUCUUAGAACUUCUUAAUACCUUAAGACCUCAGUCCAAACUUCCAGAUCUGAUUUCAAGGGACUUCUUAAGUCAUAAAUUUUCCAACUUUAUGACUUAGCAUAACUCAAUGGGGCCUAAAUCUAAAACCUAAGUUCCAAACUUCAUUAAAUGAAUACCAAAUCAUGCAUGGAAGGUUUAUACCUCUCAAGAUCUAGACUUUAUGACUCCAUAACCUCAGUAAGGACCAAAUAAGAGGCUCAAAGGUUCUGGAGUAACUUCUACUCACAAGAACCACCUCAAAGGGACCAAAAAAACAUAACAACGUACCAUUUUGCUAGAUCUACAUGAAAAAGUUGUCAAUGUUGAGACUCUAUACCUUCAGAAGAUAGAUCUAGGUGCACAAAGCUUGGAUUCAAAAGCUCCAAGUCAAACAAUGACUCUUCAAGAAGUUCCUUCUUCCUCCUCUAGCACCAAAACACACCAAAAAUCACUUUGAAGCUCUAAAAUUACUCAAAUGGGGGCUAAGGGUCGAUUUCUAGGGUUUGGAGGGAUGGAGGAUGAAGGUAUUAGGGUUAGGUUAUGAGAUAAGGAGCUUAAAUAUGCUCCAAGACCCUAAAAUAGGGUUUUGAUCUAACUGGCGUACGCUCAACGUAAUUAUGGUACACCCGACGUACUCCAAAGAACAUUCGCGACCAUCCUGGUCAGUAUGUCCAGCGUACUCUAAGGUACGUCCAACGUAUUGCCUUCUUCACUAGUACGCCCUGCGUACUCUUUGUGUACGCCAUGCGUACUCGGCUAACCCUGAAAACCAUGAAACUUCUGAAGGCCAUAACUUCUUCGUUAUAAGCCCGAUUCCAAUGAUCCUUAUAUCCACGGAAAGGUGACGAGAAACUCUAUGCAUCCAUCAACUUAUUCUCACCUCAAAACCUUCUGAAAAAAAAAUCCAAAAUUUAUAAAGAUCUUCAACUACCACUUUACCGAUAUACCCCUUGGCUCCAAAACACGAACCGAACACCCGAAUCACUUAUAAUACAUCACCUGCACCCAAAUGGGCCUAGAUACUACCUUUUCAAAAGCCCUAAUACUUUUGAUGACCAGCCUUCAGGCCACAUCGUUAGACUAGAAGUCAAUCCGGAACAGGGCGUUACAUAAAAGCUUAGUGAGUUCCCAAAAUACAACAUAACAUAUAACCACAGAAUACCACGCUAUAUACAUAAGAUUGCCAUAGGAAACCCCUAUGGUCUUUACCUGGAAUGCCAUGGGCUACCCCCAUGGCCUGAUAUCCAAGUUCCAUGUGCUACCCCCUUGGUCUUUACUUGGAAUGCCAUGGGCUACCCCUAUGGUCUUCACACAAGUGCCACGGGCUACCCCUGGGGUCUUCAAAUAAUGAAUUCAUAACAACUAUCAAUGCACAUGUCAAACAAUGGGCCGAAAUUAGUGCCUUCGACCCAUUGAUAUAGUGAGAAGACUCACCUCAGACUGCUGAUAAAAAUACUACUCGGCUAUCGGUCCAGAUAUCUCACACUGAAUAUACACAAGUUAACCUAAUUAGAAUUAAGUCACAAACUCAAGGCAUAGGCCAAAACCCUAAUUACAAACUCCUCCAAUAAGGCCCAAAAGCCUUUCUCCUUUAAUGGGCCUAACAUCCAAGCUCCAAAACAAUUAUAGGCCAUAAGGCCCAAAAGGCCCAAACAUGCCACCUAUGGUCCAACAACAAGUUUAAAGGCCCAAAUACUCUAAUAGAUCCAGGCCCAAGGCUAAGUAGGGCCCAAAUGGAUCAAAGGCCCAACAAUAGCCUAAAACUCACUGGAAGCAUACGCCCAAUGUACAACAUAUAUACGCUUAGCGUACUGGGUUAUUUGGUGGUACACACAGUGUAAAAGCUAGUACGUCCAACGUACAAGCUGCUUUGCACAAAUAGCCAUUAAGUGCUUACUUCAUGAAGCCGCUUCGUCCGAUUCCAAAUCUUGGUCAUCAUAAAGGUUGUAGGGCAAAAAUUUUGUAACUUUAUGCCUUUGAAUGCCAUAUGGGAACCUAACACCUCGUUUUAUCCUUUAAGACUCCCUUUAAGAUCUUAAACUCAUGCAUGGUGUCAAAACAACCAUCAAGUUAACAUUUUUAUGGUUUUAACAUGCCAAAGGAACUCAAAUCAAACAUUUCUAACCUCUGGAGUUGCUCAAACUCACAAAAGAGGAUCCAUGGACCAAAAAUGGACUUAUUACCAAACCCUAACUCAAACUAGCGAAAGGAUAAGCAAGGUCUGGACUUUUUACCUCCAAAAGUUCCGCAAGAUGAAAUAGAUGCAGGAUCUAGAAGCUCAACCACGUAUAAGACUUGAUCACAACCUUCUCCUUCUUGCAAACACACUAAAAUAGCCACCAAAAUCACUUUUAAUAUCACGAAUCACACUCACUUGCAAAUUAAGGUUUAGGUAUGAUAAGAGGCAAUAGAAGUUGUUUAGGGUUAGGUCUAAAUGGCAUAAGAGUGUUAAAAUGGGGCUAAAAUUAGGAUUUUUGUCUUAGGCCACGUACGCCCCGCAUACAUUGUGCAUGUCCGAGUCCAAACCACCCUAAUAUGCUAAGCAUACACAUAUGUACACCCAACGUACGUAGGGACCUCCUUUGCAAAUAAGUUUCAUUCCAAGGGUUAAAAGGGUAACUUGCAUUCCGAAUGUUACAUAUAGAUAAUCAAAUACUUGAUUCUACCCUAAGCCCUUCAUCAACCAAGAACAUGAAAUAAAGCUAAACCAAAAAUUAUCAGGCUAUAGAAUCUUAAUUAUGUACAACUAUGAUGCAUACACUAAGCAGGUACAAUAAUGAUGUCAAUUCUAUAUAAGAAGUAAUCCUAGGGUAUCAAGCAUCAUAUAUGAGGAAAUUUUAUCACGUAAUUCCUGACGAUCCCUAGCCCACCGCUAGUAUGUUGUUGUAUCAUGAAUAACAUAUCAAAUAACAGUGUGGGUAACUUGAGGUAUGCUUUCUUACCGCGGCUGACCGUACACAUCACAUCAUGCAUUCCUUGGUUACUUUUGAAAACCAUUAAAAAAAACUUUUACAACUCCCUAGUUUGAGUUUGGAUUCACACGAAUGUUCAUCCAAUUCUCUCAAACCAAGGCUCUGAUACCAACUUGUAACACUCCUAAUAUCAUAGAAAAUUAAAAAUUUUAAAUUUCAACCAUUAACCAACAUUGUUUAUAAAAAGUGCUCAUUGCUUCAAAAGUAUUAUUCAAAAUCAUAGUUUUUCCCAAGACAUAAAAACACAAAACAGGAAGAUGUGCACGAUCACGCCUUUGCCUUCCCGCGAUUAUCAGAAGUACAUGAAAUAAUAAACUGAAAUUGUAUUUCAAAGCUUAGUGAGUUCCCCCAAAGUACCAUCAUGAAACAUAUAAAAUACAUAGAUUAACAUGAUGGGCCCACAACCUCCCAGUUGGAUUACCUUGGCCCACAACCUCCCUGUUGGAUUGCCCUGCAUACCAUAUACUGGGUCCAUAACCUCCCAACCGGGUUGACUUGGCUAGUUUGUGGAGUUUGACCUAUUUUGAGCCAAGUAUAUUUUGGAUAAUUUGGUAUUAAUUUAAGUUGGGAAAUAUUUUGGGAUAAUAGGUGUUGAGUAGAGCCGGGUGUCGGGGAAGACAUUUAUUCAGCUUGUGUUUAGACUGAGAGGUGAGUUUUCCUCACUAUACUUACAAGUCGAAGGCAUCAAGGCCGACCUAAUGGAUUGAUAUCCUGUUAGAUACUAAUUGAAGAUAUGUUGAGUAUGCGAUACAUCUGUAUGAUUAUAUGAUAGGUAUUGAUAUACAUUAGACUGGUAGAUCUGUAGGACUACAUGUGAUUAUUGGUUGUGUAAUCACCUGUUUGUUGUAUGUAUAUUAUCUAUUAUAUGUCGACAUGUUACUUUAGGGUUGAGAAUAUUGCUUUGUGCUGUCAUUCGACAGACCGUGACAAUCCAACCAGAAUGUUUUGGGCCAGAGUAAUCCAACAGGGAGGUUGUGGACACAACAUGCUAAUCUAUGUAUUUUAUAUGCUGCAUGAUGGUACUUUGGGGGAACUCACUAAGAUUUGACUUACAGUUUCAGUUUAUUGUUUUAGGUACUUUUGAUGAUCAUGGUACGAUGAAGGUGUGAUAACGCACAUCUUCCUAUUUUGUGUUAUUGUGUCUUGGGAAAAACUCUGAUUUUGAAGAAUACUUUUGAAGCAAUGACUCUUUUUUUAAACAAUGUUGGUUAGUGGUUGAAAUUUAAAUUUUUUAAAUUUCUAUGAUUUUUGUAAUGUUACAUUGGUUUGGCUUGUAACCGAUCUAAACCCCCCACAUACCCUUGUUAAUCAUAAAAGAAGAAUCCAUUUAGAACUAACUAUGUUCAAAAAUAAGAACCAUAGUGUGUUAAAUAUUCAUUACCUCAAAUGUAGGGAUCUUUUGAUGUCGAAGAACAUUAGUUAAGAUAAAUUAAAAAGGAUAUUCAACUAAACCAAAGGUCUUUUGGCCUAGCACUAUCAUAUGUUGGAAAUGUGACCCUUCCUAAUAUCAGAAAAACGUGUUAUUUCGAUUGCUUGGAUUACACUGAAAGUCAUGAUACACUUACGUAUUAAAGUAUUUCGAUGGUACAAUCAAAAUUUAAAUUGGAUAAAAUUCUGUGAGAACAACAGAGAAUGAAAAUGUUAUGAUUCUUGUGUGUACCAGAUUCAAAUGACCAAAAAGGGAUAUGACUCCUUGUCCGAAAAUUGUCAUAUUUCCAGUUACAAACUGCCACAAAACCAUCACUAAACUGACUUAGUCGGCUUAACAAACAAGAACUACAUAUUUAACAUACAAAGAAAAGCUAACAAGUCUCCUGAUACUUGUAAAAAUCAAAUGAUGUAAAAAAAUUAGAUAUCAAAAAAUCUAGUAUUAACAUAGAUUUAAUUAAACUUAUAGAUUAUCUGUUUAUAUAUCAUGGAAAUUUAUUCCCAAGGUCAUCCUUAACUCGUUAACAAGUUUUGGGUGUAACGAUAUAACAAUAUCUAAUCAUUACUCCUCUGAUAAAAUUUUGGAUUCUGUGGUCUAUAGGUUGCAUUUUUUGUUGCUAAUAGGAGUAGAAAAGCUAAAAUCAUUUGGGUCGAUUGGAUUCAUAAUCCUACUUCAACUUGCACUCUUAUGUAAUGUUUUUUUUCCUAGCUUACUGCUAGUUUUUAUAAAAUUUUAUCUUGUUCCGAAAAAACUCCUCUUAUAUAUUGGUCAACUUUGAGAUACAAUUAAAAAGGUUCUCUUGCCACAUCACACGCCAUCCACCCCAACGACCACCACACAAUAAUAUCGAUUUGGUAUAGACCAACAACUAUCUCUUUCCUCAUCUCCCUCAAAUCGGUCUUCAUUUCCUUUCUUUUCAGUUUGCUUUUUAAUAUUCAUACAUAGAGACUCAUUUUUGAGAAGUUAAGACACAUAAAUGUGUUUAAUAUUGGAAUCCCACAUGACAAAGUAGCAUCUAGGGAUGUCAAUGGGGGCAAACGGGACGGGGGUUGCAUUCCCCACCCCCACCCCCAAAANNNNNNNNNNNNNNNNNNNNNNNNNNNNNNNNNNNNNNNNNNNNNNNNNNNNNNNGCCCCCGAUUGAUUUUGGGCUACCUUAUUUGCACUAAAAGAAGUUCUUGUUUGGACUAAUAGAAACUAUAUUUUGGGUUAUAAAUAGAUAUUUAUAACAUAAUUUUACAUGUACAAACAACUUAAAACAUGUUUUAUUUUGAAGUUUUGUAUGCAAAAAUCUUUUUAUUGUUUAUUAUAUUUAUAUAAUUAAUAUAUGUCAAUUUAUAUAAUUUAUUAACGGGGCUCCCAUGGGGGUUUCGGGACGGGACUACCAACCCCUGCCCCAGCCCUUGAAAUUAAAACGGGGGUUAACCUUGCCCCUGCCCCCGUCCCCGAUUAUUUUCAACAAAUGCCCCCAUACAAGAUGGGGUCCCCGCGGGAUCGGGGUCCUACGGGACUUUUUGACAUCCAUCGUUAAGUAAAGAAUGUUUGUGACGAUGUAACUUCCUCUUGAUAUACAUAUCUUUUAUUAGAGACCGACCGAUGUCAUCCUUUAACACUGUAAAUUUUCAAACAAAGUUUUCAUUUUAAAACACAAUAAAACACAUGUCACAUUCCUUUCAAAAAUCACAAGUAUCAAUUUAUCAAUACAUUUUAAAAGUUGUUUAUCGCAAAUCCAGAUCCUCAAACAUAACUCUUUUCUCUUGUGUGUACAAUCAAACCGGUGCCUUAUCGUGAUCCUGAUAAGAACCUGAAACACAUAACACAUAACAUGGUAAGCAAGAAGCUUAGUGAGUUCCCCAAAACACCACAUACAGCUCAUUAGCCACUCGAGGCUAUAACACAGUAAGACCCUCCGGUCAAUGUAUCUCAGUGGGAUCCUCCGGUCCCAAACUCUGAUGGACCCUUCGGCCGAAUAGAAUUUUCCACCCGCGUCCAAGAUUCACAUAUACUCGACGAGUUUGGGGACUCCAACUCGUCGAGUCCCAAUGCAAAAAUGCAAAAAUUCAUAUGUAUAAUACGUAUCGGGAACCGGGCGUUAGAUAUUGGUUGUAUAAUCAUUUGUCUGCUGUAUGUAUAUUAUCUGAUAUAUGUCAACAUGUUACAUUAGGGUUGAGACUACUGCUUUGUGCUAUCAGUCAACAGAGAGUGGCAAUCCAAGCAGGAUGUUAUGGGCCAGGGUAAUCCAACCGGGAGGUUGUGGACACAACAUGCUAAUCUAUGUAUUUUAUAUGUUGCAUGAUGGUACUUUGGGAUCACUCACUAAGCUUUAGCUUAUAGGUUCAGUUUAUUGUUUCAGGUACUUCUGAUGAUCGCGGUAUGACGAAGGUAUAAUCAUGCACAUCUUCCUGCGUUGUGUUAUUGGGUCUUAGGAAAAACUCUAAUUUGAAUAAUACUUUUGAAGCAAUGACUUUUUUAAACAAUGUUGGUUAAUGGUUGAAAUUUAAUUUUUUAAAUUUCUAUGAUUUUUGGAGUGUUACAUUGGUUUUGGUUUAUAACCGAUCUAAACCCCCACACACGCUUGUUAAUCAUCAAAGAAGAAUCUAAUUAGGACUAACUGUGUUCAACAAUAACAACCAUAGGGUGUUAUAAAUCCAUUACCUCAAAUGUAGGAAUCUUUUAAUAUCGAAGAACGUUAAUCAAGAUAAAUUAAUAAUGAUCGUAACAUCCUGUUUAUUAAAUAAAUAAAUAGAUAAAAAUUUGAUGAAAGAAUAGUCGCCCUAAAUUCAUAUUAUUUAGUGGGGCGCUGGUUUUGGGGAGCCGAAUGGUAUAAUUUGGAUUAUUCGGAGGUUAAAAGUGUAAGUUCUAGAUUUAAUUUGAAAAUGAUUUUAGAAGUCAUGGUGUGUUUAGUAAUUAAUGGACUUAAAUAGAAAGGAUUUGAUGGCUUAAGGGGGUGAUUGGUAAUUUCGGGACCUAUUAUGAAACGACUUUCAGAGAGAGGGGUUAAAGGGGUAAAUUUCUGAUUCAUUUUGAAAAGAUUAAUAGAGGGAAGGCUACUGUUGUUAUUAUGGGGAGAAGUUUUAUGGGGAUUGGGGUAUAAGACCUGUCAGCCCGGUAAACCCUAAACCUAGCCAUGUGUCCCAGCCGCCGCCACCUUAUACCCCCCCCCCNNNNNNNNNNNNNNNNNNNNNNNNNNNNNNNCUCCGGCGCCGCCGCCAUCAUCCCGUUUCCGAUCAGCGAGCUGCCGAGAAGCUACUCCAUUGGACUUCUGCCACUCUUCUCUUAUCCUUCUUCAGUCGUUGCCAUGUGAGGCCUCAUCCACCACCCGCUACUUCAUCGUUGGAGUGCUACCACCACUGUCGGUGCACCAUUGUUGUCGCUGCUGUUGAGGCCAAGGAUGAAGACGGAUGUUGGGACGUCGGGAAUGAAGAAGAACAAGCCACAAGUCGCUGUAACGUUGGUUGUAGCGCUGCUGCUCCGCCACUGCCCAUUUCCGUUAAAGACAAGGUCGUCACUUGUUUCUCGUGGAUGGCUUAGUCGGAGGUGUCGUUCGUUUCCGUGUGGUGCUGUUCCUCCGUGAGCUGCUGCACUGGUGGUGCUGCCACUGUUGCCGUUAGUGUUGCUGCCACUCUCUACCGUUGUCGCCGUACGCCACCAGGUGGGUGGCAGGGUUCUUUUGCGAAUGAAAACAGUUUGUUUGUGUGUGUGUGUUGUAUGUGGUGAUGUUUGGCCUGAAUUAACGAGAACAAUCACCACCACCUUCGUGAGGUGGUAGCUGCCACCAUGUACCACCACCGGCCACCACAAGGGUGGAUGUGUAUGUGUGUGUAUUGGCAUUUAUGUUGUAAAUUGUAAUUAGUGCUAGUGUAAUCAAAAGAAAAACUCAAAACCACCACCGUGAGGUGGUGGCUGCCGCCACCAGUCGCCGUGUUGGAUGGCGGUGUGCUCUGUUUAUAUUUAGACUUUGUUUGGGUUGGACAAAAUAGACUAGACCCAUAACCACCACCGUGAGGUGGUGGCCGCCGCCGUGAGCCGUCGUUGACCACCACUACACGAGGUGGUAGUGGGUGGUGCCUGACUUAGGAACACCCUAAUUGUCUUAAUGAAACCUUAAUGGGCCUAAGGACUUAGCUUUUGGGCUUAAUUGGAUUGUAAUGGGUUGGAAACCCUAAUUAGGGUUUAGAAAACCCUAAUUUUGGAAUUAUUGGUUUGGACUUAUCGGGACCCACAUUUGGGACCAUUGGAGUGAUGACUCAAGCCCGUUUUCAUUGUAUGCUUGGACUUAAUGGAUUAAUGUAAUGACCAAAAUUCUCUAUGUUAGUGAAGUUGGUUUUCCGUUACAUAGAAUUAAGUCGUACAUGCGUCUAGGAUGUGAGAUUAGACCGGUUUAUAUAAAAAAAAAUAAUAAAUAAACAAAAACAUAUUUUUUAACAUUUUAAGAAUUUAAUAGGGAUUAAAAUAAUUUAUAAGAUUUAGUUAAUAAUUAUAAUGAGCUAAAGAUAUUUAAGUAAUAUUACGAGUUAAAUAAAUACUCAAAUUAUUAAAAAGUGGCUUAUUUUAUGUGUAAAUUAAUCAAAUUAAACGACUAUAAAGAAAUAAAAUAAAAGAAAAGGUAAAGUAUAUAUAAUAUGGCCAGGGUUAAUAAUGAAUUGAGUAUAAAAGAUCAGGGACUAUAACUGUAAAUUGGAAUUCAAUCGGUGAAUUGAAUUCUAUAAGCUCGUUACCACUGAUAAUAAAUUUGUUUUAAUUAAUUCUAUUCGAUUGCCGCAACCUAUGUUCUUCUUAUUCGUUUCCGUUACCAGGCAACUUAUUCGCCUUGCCGAUUACACCUUCUCUUUAGGGUUGCCAUAUUUGUGUCGACCAGAAAAAAAGAGAGAGAAUUGAGUGUGAGAGAGUGUCUGCGUGAGAAGGAAUGAACGAGGCUCACAUCCUACUGCUAUUAGAUCGAAACAAGGUAAGCUCUUGAUCCCGAAAACCUGUCAUGUUUUUUUUGUUCAUCAAUGGCUUAUUGUGAAUAUCUUGCUGCCAAAAUACUUGUUUUUAGAAGCCACACAAACCCGUGAACUACUUCAAUUCAUCUCUGUCAAGCCUUAGGGAUGAAGCACCCAUGUUUGAGUCGUGUCGGGCUUAGUCGAGACAACCCCAUAAGCCAUCAGAACACCAGAAUCACAUUUUGGAAUGGUGUCUUCUCUAAAGCGUAGCCUCAAGUCCCUUAGACGCUUUGUUAAGGCUUUGAAACAGAAGCAGGGGAAGCUAUAUGUGUUCUUUCGCAAUUUUAAUGCAUGCCUCUGAAUUGCUACCGGACAAUCAAAAUAGACUAAUGCUUGAUGGAAUAUGAUAGUUACAGACAUAAUGGUUGUAUAGUUUCACUAAUGACUAAUUCAUAUCUAGACUUAGCUAUUUAAAUCAAUAGAAAGAGUCUGGAUAACAUAUUUCAUGAUAAACACUUAAAGAUUAAUUCAUCGUCUUGUGUUAAUGUAUGUAAUUCCAUAAAAGUUAAGAUGUUAAAAAAAUGGAUUGCCUACGUAAUAUUGUCUAAUUAGAAGUCUACUUCACACUAGGGUGUCUUAUAAAUAUAUGAGUGUAAUUUAUAAAAGAGUUUCAGUAUUAUAAAAAGUGAUUUAAUCACUAAUUAUAUGUCAAGGAGCAUGAUAUGAAAUAGUUGAUUAAAAGCAAUUGAUUACAAAUCAGUGUCAUCGGCUAUAAGGCUUCCUUAUGGUUAGUUAACAUUACAUUAUUCAUGAUACAACUUAAUUAUACUAUAGAUUAAAAUUGUCUAUCCUUAGCUACAGUAAAUAUGCUAAGGAUUUGGCAAAAAUGAUCCUCCAUCUAUAUGGGUAUUUAUAAUUCUGGAUCAUUUCUUUUAAGAGGUUAUAAUUUGCUAUUUUCUAUAUUUUGUGUAUACGUGUCGUUCUUUUUACUGAUCAAAGGUUUGAUCGUGUGCGUGUCAUGGACACGCGUUUUUUUCCUGUGUUUAUUAUCGAUCACCCUAUUCUUUUCAUCUGCCCACCGCCCUUACUUCCAACAUAUAUUCCACCGGCUUCCUCAUUCAUUUUUUCAUUAUCCCACCCCUUCAUUGACUAACUUCACCAACUGUGUUAUUCUUUCUUUAAAGAAGCUCAUCGGUUCCUUAUAUGUUUUUUUCAGGGCCUAUGUUUGUUGGAAUCCUUACGCUUGCUGACGUCUUUUGUGAUUAAGGGAUAAUUUUGUUCCUGGUUGCAUAUUUGAGUCUCAGGCACUCACUUCCUUUCUCUUUCUCUGUUUUCUUUCUACUCAUGGCAUCUCUAAUGGCAUUCUAUUACCGUGUUUGUAGGUUUACGCUUCGAAUUGUGUGAUUUUGUAUUUUUCAUUUCCGCUUUCGCUCUUGAAGAUGAGUAGUAGAAAUCGAUUGGAUGGUGAUUACAAAUACCUCUUGUCAUAUCGAUUUGAUUGUAAGUAUCUCACCUCUAAUUUGUUUUCUUUUUUUGGACUUUGUUGUUUUUUCAAAUAACACUUCUUACCUUCUAAAGCUCGGUUUCAUACACUUCUAUCACUUUUCUGUUAUCAAAGCUUCUUGACUAUGGUAAAUAUGGAAAAUCCUGUGACAUGUAUGUUUAUGCCCACAAAGUGUUUGAGGAAAUGCCUUUUGUGUUUAGGUGCCUGAUUGUUAUUCUGUUGAGUGUAUAAUUUCACAAUAUUGCGUAAAUUUUUAUUAUUGAGGCUCAACUGUGUAACUUGAACUGUUUUAUUGUAGUCUUACGGUUCUCUCCGUUCGAGGCAACAUACGACACUCACAUUCCACUACGCUGAAGCAUGAGACUUUCCGAUUUGUUGGUCUUGCCAAGUAGAUUCAGAUAACAUUUUCUUUCCAUAUAUUCUUCUAAAAAGCAGUAAUUUAUGAAAUUCUCAUUCUACAAUCCAGAAAACUGUUAAAAAGGAGCUUGAAAAUCUCCAAAAAGAUUAAUACUUUUAUUGAUUUGGCUAUUACCAGUGCUUUUUCAAGGGAAAUUAAAACAAUCAAAGGGAAUUUUCUACAAAAUACGUAAAUAUGUUAAUAGCUGUGUGUUUUUUAUUUUUUUUUUUGAUAGCUAAUUAGCAUUGAAGUGGUAGAAUGAAUUGGUUAUUAUUUACCCAUAUACCAGAUUAUGUCAUCUCUCUAUAUGUUUGGAAUGUUUGUGGGUUUGAUAUGUUUGCUGCUACUGUCACACCACAGUUGAAAAAACAUAUUUCCCUGCUAAAGGGGUUGUGUAAUUGUGACCAUUUUACAGUUUUGAUUUCAAAAUUAUAUUAAAAAAUUUAAAUUGCAAUCAAACUCAUAACAUGUGCAUGUUUGACUGAUUGAGUUGUCCUACAUCUCAAAAAAUCAGGGAACAAUCGACGGUGUUGACAUUAAGCCAACUUCAAAUUCGUGGGUCACAGUAACUGGAGGUAAUUUUCUUUCUUGAAUGCUUUUGGUUCACCUGUCAAUUUUAGUAUUUAUUUGAAGUAUAAUUUGUGUUUUGUAAUGUAAUAAUAUACUCUCACACAGAAGUUUUUAAAGCAGUGCUAUAUAGGAAAAAAUUAUUAAACUUCUACAAAGGGCAUUAGCAAAGUUAUGGGAUAAAACUUUAAACGGCCUAAAACAUUAACAAACUGUGAAACAGGGAAGACAAAAUUCAAUGGUUUUUAAAGAUUUUUGUUUUUUGGUUGUCUACGUUAACGAUCCUGCUGUUAAAAUGUUAUGAUUAUGACUAUUUUGUCCUUCCUUUCAUUACUUUCUGAAGGUGGUAAAGAAAAGGGAUAUAAUCCAAGGGUAAAAUGGUCAAUUUACAAAUUUCACAGCUGUGAUGUUAAGUUAGAUGGCCUAGGGAUGAAACACAUUACCAAACAGUGACAUAUGAAAUUUUUGUACGACGUUAAAGUUUCAUAUCUAUAUUUCAAAAAAAAAAUUCAUUUGCAAUUUUCAUCUGUAGUUCCCUGUUUUUGACUAUUUAUUGCCUCUUUUAUAUUGUGAAAAUUAUGUUUGGGUUGUUGUUUAUGAGGUAAUUGGUAUUGAUGUCAAUACAUAACUUUCAAAAGUGUUAUCUGCCAUACAGGAGAAUUUGGGAAAACAAGCACAUAAGCAAGAAAAAAGAAGGGAAGGUCAUAAUGUAAAAAGAGAAGGUUAUGACGAUGAGAAUUUAAUUUUGCACCUUCAACUUUAGUCACUUUCAUCAUUUUUAAUGACUCAUAGUUUCUUGCCAUUCUCAGUCUAUUUUGAUUUUUAGAUAAACUUAUUUUAUUGAAAACUUUUUUGUAUUAUCAAGGAACAUCAUUCGAUAUCUCAACUGAAAAUUAUGAUAACAACAUUACUAGAUGAGGUUGUUUAUGAAUUUUUAGCUAUAUAUUUUGCUGCUAAAAAAAAGAUAAGAAUACCUUGACAUUCUGACCCUCGCGAAGCGAGGCUCACCCUCUAGUUAAUAUUAAACCAAGGUGAUUUGUAAUUUAUAAACUACGAUAGACUUAUCUAAUCAAUUAAUAUGACAUAAACUAAAUAUAGUUUAAUAUUAAUCAUGUUUAUCUUAGCCUAAACUAAAUAAAUAUAUACUUUUUGUUUAGGUAUUUGUUGAGUAAAAGAGCUACGAAUUCACGUUUUGAAGUGAUUUCACUACCGAACUAAAGGUGAGUCAAUAGACUUUUCAUAAACCCUAUAUAUAGUCGAAAACUACUUUCCGAAAAUGGCUCGAUUAGUCAAAUUAGAAUAUUAUUAAUUGUUGAUAUUAUGCCUAUAUGUGCAGUAUGAGAUAUGCCAUUGUUUUGCUUUCUGUGACAUUUACAUGCUUAGUAAAUUUGGUUUAUAUGUCUAUCUUGGUACUUGAUACGAUUAAUUGCAACUAUGAUAUGCUAUAUGAAAUGUUUGAUAUUUGACUAUGACCUUGUUGAGUAUCUUUUAGUAUAAACUAGGUUACAACCCGUGGAAACCAUGGGUAAAAAAUUUAAAAACAAAUUUAUAUUAUUAAUAAGAGUUAAGAUUGUCAAUCCUUUUGUAUUGAUUAUUUAAAAUUAAAAUUAAUACAAAUUUGUAAAAAAGUAUAUAAAUUUGAAUAUAUGUUAAAUAGAAACGCAAUCAAUCCAUCGAAAGUUAAAUAUGAAUAUAACUAAAAUGCAUCUUUGAAUAUGUGAAUGAUUUAUGAAGUGUGAGGGCAAAUCAUUAUUUUUUGUAAUGAGGGAGCAAUCAAGAAACACCAUGUGGCGUCUAUUAAAGUCUGAAAAUCAAAUAUCGAAACGAACUGAAUAUUAUGGAUUACAAUUACAAUGCUAUAUAAAGAAUAAAUUAUUUAAAAAAAAAAUGUUACAAAAAAUAGAAAAAAACACAAUUGUUAGAAGUUAAUGGGUACGAAGCAUUUAUAAAUUCCUAAAAACUUCCUUAUACACAACAUUUGAAGUUUUGUUUGUAAGUCUACCAUCCUUAUCUAAAAUUAACAAUUUCAAUCCUUCUCUACUUUGAACUCUAGAUAAGGCAACAUACUGUUGUCCAUCUGAAAAAAGGAUCCUUGAGAUACAGACCAACCUUUAAUAACGACUGGCCCUGACUUUUAUUAAUUGUCAUUGCAAAACAUACAGCCAAUGGAAAUUGUCUUCUUUGAAAUUUGAAUGGAAUUUUCUUUCCAGAUGGACUUAAAGACAUUCUUGGAAUAAAUGUUUGCUUUCCAAUAUUAGUUCCAGAUAUGAUAAUUGCCUCAAUAACACGUUUGCCCAGAGAUUUCACUUGUAGUCUAGUGUCGUUUCAUAAUCCAUUUUUCUGAUCAAUGUUUCUUAGUAACAUAACUGGAACACCGACUUUUAGAAUUAACUUGUGAUUUGGCAAACCUGAUACUUUAAGACCAUUUAAAAUAUCCUGGGAGUAUAAAUUGGGAUCAAACUGAUCAUGAACAAACUCUGAUUGGCAAAGAGUAUCUGAACUUAAAUAUUCUACUUCAUCUUCGGGAAACAAUGCUAGCAAACGAUCAUUGAUUUGUUGGACAACUUCAUUUUUUGGAGCUAGUAUAGCUCUUUCUUGAAAAUAACUCGUACCGUUGAAUUUUUCAAAGAUUGAAGGAUAUACAAACUCAAUUAAUGAACCUAUAGGAUCAUGUGGAUCAUUAAUGAGAAUAUCAUUCGGAACAUCAAUAAUCGAUUCACCAUCCUUCAAACCACCAACUUUUCCUUCUCCUAUGUCCAAAAGCCAGUUUGCAAAAUUAUGUAUUUUUUGAAUAUCAUAUGGAUCCUUUCCAACGGUUAGUCUCAUCUUUUUUGUUAAUCUAUGGACUUUGCAUUGUUGCCAUAUAUAUGAAGAGCUUAAAGAAGCAUUAACGAUAUUUUGUCUGCUACCUCCUUGAACAACAGGUAGAAUCUGUCUAAAGUUUCCUCCAAAAACAAUCGCUUUCCCUCCAAAUGGAAUAUUUGAGUUGGUAGACUUAUCAAACUUACAUACAUCUCUCAGAGCUCGAUCUAAAGCUUCAAAUGCAUGUUUGCGGACCAUAGGUGCUUCAUCCCAGAUAAUCGAUGAGCUUUUUCUUACUAAUCUGCUGAGUUCACUAUCAGGCGGUAUCUUACAAACAGAAUACUCCGUAAGAUUCAACGGAAUUAUAAACCGAGAGUGUGCUGUCCUACCUCCAGGCAAUAAUAAAUAUGCAGUACCACUUGAAGCAACAUUUAAAACUAUAUCACCAUUACAUCUAAUUGCUGCAGAUAACGUCUUCCAAAGAAAGGUUUUGCCUGUUCCACCAUAUCCAUAAACAAAAAACACACCUCCUUUAUUAUCAUUGACUAUAGUCAUGAUAUCAAGAAAAAUAUUGCUUUGCUCGUUUGUUAAUGCAUGAAACAUACUAUCAAACUCUUUCUUUAAAAGCGGUAUGUCAUACUCUAGCUCCUCCAUGAUAAAUCGAUUUGUUGAAGAAGAAACUGUAUCGAAAUCAGGGUAAGGCCUUUGUUUAUAAUUUUUAAGACUGGUGUUGUUAUGAAGUAAAAUCUGUUCGAUCUCGAACAAAGUCAGGUUUUUGAGUUGAUCCUUAUUGAGUGAUAAACCUGUAUAAAAUGAACAAUAUGUCAAAAAGAAUAUAAUAUUAAACAGUUUAAUGGUAAUAAAAAAAUUAUACCGUGCAUAUUGAUAAUAUAUAGUAUCCGUUUUUACAAAUACUGAUAGGAAAUUAUAAUACCUGGAGACUUUAAUCUACGCUGUUGGUUGUAAAGAAUACCAUCCGACAAGUGUUGCCAUGUAUUUUCCCAAACAAACUCUGGUCUACCCAAACUGUUAGACAUUAACAUCGUAGCAAAUAAGAAACGAAGAUAAAAACCAGUUCCUGAAUGACUUGCUUCCUUAAUUGCAUCAACGUAUUCUUUGUCAUCAUCUAAGAGGCCCAAAGCAUAGCAUGCAUCUCGAAAAGUAGGAAAUUCUUCACCGUUUACCGUGCGAAUUUCUUCAAAUGAUUUUGGACCUUUCACUUUAUUUAAAAGAAUCCGUAAGAAGUAGACUUCGCCAAGUUUAGGUGAAACAGAGUGAAUCCUUCCUAUUGAACGUCCAAUUUUCCUUGGCUUCCACAACUUAUCAUCAGGUUUCCAAACAAACUUUGUAGGAAAUUCAACAUAUGUAAGUUUUCGUGCAUCUUUAUUAAUUUUAUUACAUUCCAUCCAAGAUGUGAACAUAGAAGCAGCAACUGAAGGUUGUUCAAGAACAUCGUCAAUAUCAUCGUCUGCAGCAUAUAUGACUUGUUGUUGAUCAGGAAGAUAAAAAGGUAGUCGCAUCACAGAAGGAUAUCGGUAAUGGACAUCGUAUUUAAAUAUUCGCCAUGAUGCUUCACAUGCAGAUAUAUAUCUACAAUCAUAAUAAUCUUUUAUUUCAUCGACAACCUUUUCGUGAUUAGAAUCAGCGUUGAUGUCAUCAACAAUUAUAGCUCUAUCUGGACCUUUGUUUAUAUAUUUAAACAUAUACUUUAUGGAAGAUCCCUGAUUGCACCAUUCAACAUUAAUGUGUGCCUGAUAUCUUUUCAACAUAUAUUUGUUAUAUGGAACAACAUUUCUGUUGUCUAACUUGACACCUGAUUUUUCGACAAAAUAUCCAUUGUUUCUUCUCAUAUAUAAGGGAUAACCGUUGACAUCAACCGAAGAAUGAUCACAUAAUUGCUUUGGAAAAUUUUUCGAACAUUGCUUGUCAACCAUGCAUGGACAAUUCAUAUUUUCCAGCUCCAUAAGGACCAUGUAUCAUGAAUUCACUUACAAGUGAAUACAAUUCUGGAUCUUCAUUGAUAUUUGGAAUCUCAGCAGAAAUAAUCGGAUCAAUAUAUUCAACAGUAGGCCGCUUGGAGUCGGCAUGCAUAAACAAACAAAUAUGACUAUGUGGCAAACCUCUUUUUUGAAAUUCAAUUGUAUAGACCACUGCAAAUUAAUUUUAUAAAUAAGAUAAUCUUUGUACUGGAUGAAAUAUAUUUGCAAAUAACAAAAAAUAUUAAGAAACUAAAUAAUCAUUAUAAAAAAAUAUUAGAAAUAAAUACAACUUUUAAUACCUCCUUGUACAAUGUCGAAAAUUUUAUUUUCCCGUAUGUCUUUAAUCAAAGCAUCGAGAUUUAUUUUGAAUAACCUACAUAAGAUAUCAGGUCAAUCUUCUGGAUGUAGUGAAGUGUUAUGAAGAAACCUUUUAACUUUAGGCCAUUUUGGAUUACAUGUAAAGGUUAUGAAGAAAUCAUGAUAUCCAAUCCAUUUACAUAAGGACAUGGCAUCAAGGUAGUUUUACAUCAUAUAACGUGCACCACCAGUGAAUGAAGAAGGUAAGAUUACACGUUGUCCAACAUUGGAUAUAUCUUUAUUCCCUAGGUCUUGUUGAUUACGUAAAUUUUCAUAAGACUCACAUCUAAGAAUUUGUUGUUUGCUCCUUAUGAAAUGUAAUCUCUCACUUUCAAUCAUAGUAUAAGCAUCAACCAAAAACUGUUGGAACAACCUUUUUGAAUUAAUAAUUAGUGAAAAAUAUUGAUCCCUGUCUUGUAUUCUAUAAGAAAAAAAUUCUCUCAUUGUACAGUUGGGCCUCUUGCUGUUGCUUAUUGGUGUAAUACCUCGAUGUGGUAUGUCAACCCUAUAACCAUCAUCACCAUAUGGAAACAGUAGUGGAUUCUGAAAGAGGAAGGUAUGAUGGAUGUAAUUUACUAAUACGCCGUAGAGAACCUGAUGAAGUUUGAACAACAAUAUAUCUUUUAUCAAUUGAAUCACCAAUAUCUCAAAUAAUUAAAGCGGCAACCUCAGAAGCAGAUGGUAGGUUGUAUAUCCUUCCAUCUUGGUCCCUGAUUCCAAUAAGUCUCAACUUGAUAUCAACAUGAGGUUUUUGAUGAAAACAAUCCCUAACCAUUCUAUAAGACUGAACCAAGACAUUAUUUGAAUCCAACAUCAACUUCAAAUCUUGUAUAAUAUCAUUAUCAAGGACAGAAGAAUUUGAUGUAGAUCGUUGAUUCUCUCCACUACAAGUAACAUGAACAUAUAAACAUAAGAUAAAUAAAUAAUAUAAUGUUGAUGAAUAAGAUAUCUAUUAAUGUGAUAAUUGUGAAAAGUGUACCCAAAACAUGUUCGUCUAUUCGCGAUCUCAUUAUCAGUAUCGUAUAUGUACAACUGAGAGAAUUUUGGUUUUAACCCCUGUUCCGGUAAAAGGCUUCCGAUACUAUGAUAAUUUUGACCGCUAAGUCUAAAAAUGUAUGGAGCAUUUCCUCUAUUGAUUGAGGAAUCAAUCUUUCCACCCAUUGACGUAAAAGAAAACAUAGAAUUGUAAGAACGAAUGUUCUUCAUGAAGUGUUUGCUUUUAGAAUCUCCCGAUGUAAAAAGAUGAACAUAACUUGAAGGUGAAUUCUUUAAAGCUGGUAGUUCUACUUUGCCAUAACCACAACAUAAACAAUAAUUUUGAUUCGACUUUUUUUUUUUUACAUCUGAUAGAUUCAUCUUUCCAUAAUUUUGCAAAACAUGUUUGGUAUACAACAAUCUGAUCACCAUGAUCCAAAUAAUCUGUCAAUUAAGGUUGACAUAAAAAUGUUAAUCAUGUAAGUUUAUAUAAGUGAAAAAUAUUGAAUGAACAAAUGUAAAUAUUAUAUUUUUAUCAAAAUUACCUUUUGAUAUACCGUUGUAUAUGUUUUGAUCAUUUUGGCCAUCGAUUUUGUCUUGAUCGGAUCUCAGACCAAAUAUUGGAAUAGGAGUUAAAUUUGGCAUUUUUUUCUUUGCUUUAUUAUUUGGAUUAGUUAACAUGACUGAAGACGAUUUUGAUGUUAUUGUAGAUGAUUUGUCGGAUGUGUCGCCAUUUGAAAAUACAGAGAAUUGUCUAAUAUUUGUUAACGGCGAUUGACAACUAUUAUUGAAAAUAUCCAUGGCUGGGGGAAAAAUUGAAAGUAUGCAUUGUUAAAUAUGAUACAAUAAUAAUAUAUAUUAUAAAAUAAAAUGGUAAAAUAAAUGAGUUACCGUUGGAAAUGUUAGAUAACGGAGUUCUAACAUUUAAAUGUGAAGGAGGAGUUUGUAACAUUGCUUGUUUUGUUAUAUAUGCACUUGUUUUAGAUCAGAAUGUGCUUUUAUUUCGAUGUACAACUCCUUUGAAUUCAUAUACAAAAAAAUGGUUAUGAGAAAUGUAAAAUUGUUUAAUAAUUAUUUUAAUAUUAUAUAAAUAUGAAUAUUGAUAAAGAGAUUAUAUAAAAAGACGAUGAUGUAAUAAAUUUUAUUACAUAUAUUUAAAAAAAACUUAAAAAGUUUAAAAGCAAUCAAGUAUGUUACCGUUUGAAUCCAAUCUGAUGUUUGGUAACGGUGUCUGAAAACUGUUAUUUGGAAUAUCGAUGACUGAGAAAAGAAGAUUGAAAUGUACAUUAUCAAAUAUGAUACAAUAACAACAUAUAUUAUAAAGUAAUAUGGAAAAAUAUAUGAAUUACCAUUGGAAAUGUUAGAUAACGGAGUUCUAACAUUUAAAUGUGAAGGAGGAGUACGUAACAUUGGUUGUUUUGACAUAUUUGUUGUUGAUGUAGAUGUGGAUACGCUUUUAUUUCGAUGGACAACUCCUUUGAAUUUGAUUGGAAAAAAAAUCUUAUAAGAAAUGGAUAAAUUUUAAAUAAUCUUGUAAAUUUUUAAAUAGUAUAUGAAUAUUAAUAAUGAUAAAUAGAUUAUAUAAAAAAAUGUGGAUGACAGAAUUUUUAUUUUACAAAUUUAAAAUAGAAAAAAAAAGUGUAUAAGCAAUCAAGUAUGUUACCGUUUGAAUCCAAUCUGAUGUUUGGUAACGGUGAUUGAAAACUGUUAUUGGAAAUAUCCAUGACCGGGAAAAGAAGAUUGAAGGUAUACAUUAUUAAAUAUGAUAAAAUAAUAAUAUAUAUUAUAAAAUAAAAUGGUAAGAUAAAUGAGUUACCAUUUGAAAUGUUAGAUAACGAAGUUCUAACAUUUAGACGUGAAGGAGAAGUUUGGAAAUUUGAUUUUUUUGACACAUUGGCACUUGAUGUAGAUGCGGAUAGGUUUUUAUUUCAAUGCACAAUUCCUUUGAAUUUGUCUGCAAAUAAAAAAAUUGUUAUAACAAAUGGAUAAAUUUUAAAUAAUAAUGUAAUUUUUCAAAUAUUCUAUGAAUAUUAAUAUACAAAAUACAUGACACAAAAAAUGAGCAUGUAAGAAUUUUCAUUUUACAUAUUUAAAUAAAGAAUAAAGAAUAAAAGUGUAUAACCAAUUAAGUAAAUUACCAUUUCCCUUCAUUUUAAAAAGAUGUGAUGUUGAUGAAGUUGUAUGAAUUCAUUCGGUCAUAACUUUUUUUUUAUUGUCCAAGUAUAAUUUUCUUAUUUUUCUUUUUUCUGUAGCCUGAACAUGAUAGAUGUUCCUAUUUGAAUCUGUAUAAGCAUAUAUACACACAUAAAAUAGUUAUAUUCAGAUUAAAAACAUUGAUAAAGAAAGUUGUAAAAUAUAUAAUGAACGUACUGUUAUCACCUGGGUUAGUAACAUUUGUAGAAGAUGGAAUUCGACCGACUGAUGUAGUGUACAAAGGUAAUUGUUUUGUAUUAUCCAGAUAGAAAUUAUUUAAUUUUAUCUUCUUAUUAGUCUUAAAAGAGUCCAUGUUAGUAGCUGCUAUCUGAAAUGGAAAAAGAAAUAUAACUUUAUACAAAAACAUUAUAUAUUGAAAAUUAUUUUCAAAUUUAAGAAUAAAUAAAUAAAUAUUUCAAAUUUAAAAUAGUAUGCAAUAAACCCAAAGAAAAGAAAGUAUUAUGUAUUAUUGAUGUGCACAAAAGUACCCACUAAUUUUAAUAUUUAUAACCUAACAAACUUAGAAUAACUAUGCACUUAUAGGCAGUGUACCUAGUCAGAUUACAAUAUAGCUUAGGUAAGUCGGGUGUCGAUCACAGGGAACGGUGGUGAAUUAAUUUAAUAUAUUUGAUUAUAGGUUACAGGUCACAUGAAAAGAAUAAAGAAAUAGUUUAAUAAAUCUCAAACUAACAAUUAAUUAACAACUUUGGAUAAACUAACUGGAAAGCAAAUCUCUUCAGGUACUUUGGUUUAGAUAAAUUACACCUUAAAAAACAUAGACAAUUGUAUACACAAGUUCAUUUAUUCAUGUUCACCGAUUCCUAAAAUGAUUAGAUUCGCGUUCACUAUAACUAAUCCUUUAGCAAACAAGUCAAUUCAAACAGUGAUCAGUUGAUUAAACUAACAUGCUUCCUAGUGUUCAGUUCGUAUCAAGCAAGACUUGUAAAUAUAGUUAAUCAAAUUACUAAUUCAAUUUAACCUCUUGUUGAUGGUCAUCAAACAAGGCUCACACAUUAACUUACUUAUUCCCAAGUUAAUCCUAGUUUCACAUUCGUUAUUCCUAGACUUAUAAUCUCGAUGGUCAUCAAAAUCAUAAGAGACAAGCAAUCAAACAGAUGUUCAUAUAACUCAAUUUACUUAACAAUUAACAUCAAAUAAUUAUCAUUAAUACGUAAGGAUCUUUUAACAAGCUUGGCAAGAUAAAUUAAACAUAAACAAACAAUUCAAUAUAGCAAUUAGUCUAAUAAUCAAGGUUUCAUUCAAUCAUAAACACAAAGUAAAAGGUUUUUACACCCAAAUCAGAAACUAAAUACAGAAUAGUAACACAAUGGAAUGCUAAACAUGGUCACGUUAACAACCCAUAUGAUUACCGACAUGUAUCCACUCUCCAACCCUUCCGAUCUUCACUCCUGUUAGCUUAACGGCCUUCCGGCCGCCUUCUAGACCCUCAAAACGGCUUAACAGAAGUUUAAUAUCGACUAAAUUAGGUUGGAAGUCGAAUCCCCCCUUCUGGUUAGCUGAUAAUCGACUUUUAUAACCUUUGUAACCGACUUACGUACGCUGGGCGUACUAAGGGUUUAUACGCGAUUGGAGUUAUCCGAUGCCAGCCGUUACGUGGGGCAUACACAAGAAUUACGCUGGGCGUAACUCGUCUUAGCCAUUACGCUUGGCGUACAAGUAAAUUACGCGGGGUGUAAUCGUUCCUCCAGCAUUUUCCUUUCUUUUAGCCUCUAAGCCUGAUUUCCGCUUCAGUCUUUUCUUUUGUGCUUUAUCGACAACGAAUAGCUGCAAAUCAUAAUUUAAAGCAUUAUGAGUACUUUUUAGUUCUAAAAGAGAAUAAUAAAGGCCAAAAUAUUAAGAUAUAAUGCAUAAAAAUAUAUAUAAAAAUACACAUAUCCAAAUACCCCACACUUAGUCUUUGCUUGCCCCCAAGCAAAUUUUAAUUUUAUUUUACCAUUAUCGCAUUAAACAAUCCAUUUAAAACUCAACCAUUAUGCCAAGACCUCAACGCAUGCAUUUGUGUCUAAAAUUUUCCUAAAAUACCCCCCUACUUUAAAUACUCACAAUCUUCAUAAACACUUGCCCACUUUUUACGAACAAUGCUCAUUUUAUGCAACCCUCCGAAUCCAUCCGCAGAAAACCUCCUUAUCCUCAAGGUAUUUUCCUUGAUAAUUUGAUCUUUGAUUUCUUUGAAUUCACCAUCUUAUUUGAAUUGAUUUCUGGUAUCUUCAACUUUUUUGAAUUUCUUGGAAUUUUGAUCUAAUUCUUCACUUUAUUCGCUCCAAAAUUCUUCAAACUUUUCUUGCAAUUCUUUUUUUUUUUCUUUUAACAUGUACCUCACUUUUUUCACUCAAAACCUACAAGCUUAAGCAGAGGCGCUCAACCUCAACCUUUAUCGGUUAACGAUAAUAAUUUUCCUGGAUACAUUUCAGGUUUAGGCUGCUAAACAUAUUGCAUCCCUCAAACCAAGCGGGGUUAUGUUUUUGUUCCAUGAUUUCACUAAAAUAAGGGAGGCCACAAAUGCACUAUAACGUAUAUUGGCUCAACUAAACAUUUGAGUUCUCAUCGGAUCAUCUCAUACAAUAUUAGCAAAAUUUAAAUUAUCACUAGAUUUUUCUAAAUUAAACUAUUAUUUCAAGUUUUAAAAUUUUUAAAUUUCCUAAAUCUAGCAAUUUCCUAACUAUUAUUUUAUUUUUAUAAUUUACUAUUACCGACCCCCUACCCCACACUUAUUUCAUACAAUGCCCUCAUUGUAUGCUAAAACGAAUUAAGAACAUAAAAAGGGAGAAAAAGGAACAGACUCCCCUGGGUAGUUGUGGCGAGAUCGAAUGGGGCUGCUACAAGUUGCUCCAAAUAUCGCUGAAAGACUGAAAACUGAACUGCUGCUUCUGAAUUUGUCGAAAAAUAAAAUCAAGACUGCCGACUUCAAAAAAUGUGGUGCACAAUAUUGCAAGUAAAUGCAAUGUGUAGUAACCAUGACGUGGGAAAGUGUUGACCACAUCAUGUCUUCAAAAAUGACAUCCUCUUCUCGCGAUGAAAAAUCCUCCACAGCAUAGGAAAGUGUCAGCCAUGUCGUGGCAGCCGGGAUGAUACGUCUUCCUCGCGUCAAAAUAGAACUCUAUGGUGUGGGAACAGCUCAUCAUACCAUAAAAGGUAAAAUAUCGUAAAAAUGCCAAUCGUCUAAAUGAACGCUCACGAAAUCAAUAUGCACCCCACACUUAUGACAAAUUGUGGGUCUUGACUAUACUUUUCGAACUCUCACACGACUCUCUCUAGCAACAGUCGGACCUAGCUGCUAAACUUACUGCCAGCUUUCUAAGGGCGAAAAUUCUGCAGAGAUCUAAACAACCAAAGAGCAUCAACAUGGAAAACAAAAAUAGAACAUCCUAAAUUAAAGUUUAAUUACAUACCAAAUAAAAAACUAAAACUAGAAACACAAAAAUAAACUAAAAAUAACAUAAAAAUAAAAAGGAUAACUAAAUCACUCAUCAUCUCCAUCAUCAUGCUGCUGUGUCCCAGAAGUACCGGCCCCAUCAUGUCGUGGCCGGAAUGGUGGAGGGUAAGGAACCGAGUACUGAAACCCCUAGUGGGAAAAGAAUACGGUCAACGCAUCCCCAUACCACUAUUGUUGCCUGUCCACAUGUGCAACAUACUCACUAAGGUUCUGAACCCUCAUGUCAAGACAGUCAAUGCCCUGAGCUAGGUAGCGCAUAUCAAUCUUCGGCUCAGGUCCCUGUUGCGCUCCCCGAGGAGCAGGUCUACGCUGCUGGACCCGUCUCGGCUGUGGCUCGGCAGCACCCUCCUCGUCCGCCACAUCAUCUGCUCGUACNNNNNNNNNNNNNNNNNNNNNNNNNNNNNNNNNNNNNNNNNNNNNNNNNNNNNNNNNNNNNNNNNNNNNNNNNNNNNNNUGAUCUCUCGUUAACAACUGAUAUGAUCGGGCUAGUCGCGUGAUAAAAUGCCCUCUGCACAUCGGGCUAUCCUCCCGAAGUCCCCUGGCCCUCUGUCCCAAAUAUGCAGCUAAAGCAACUGGAAGGUUCAGGUGCCUCCCUGGAGUAACAAGUGCCCAUAGGAAAUACAAGUCUAUCGAAGGCACUCUCUCACUAUUCUUAUGAUGCGUGAGAGUCAUGGAAAUCAACCGGUGCAACAGUCUAUAUGUAGUAGACCGAAUCAUCCUACCCCGUGCAGUAGAUGGCGUAUAAACUCCCCCUGUAAUCUCAGCCCAAAAAGUGUGCUCAUUAUAUUCAUCUGGCCGCUCCGUGAGACAAUCAGCAAGGAAUGUCGGGAAGUGGACACUCCUCGUCUCAUCUGCUGUGUAUAUACCCACUCAAGUCGCAAGCUCUAUGACACUGCACUCCCGACUCACACCCCCCAGUCUAAAGGCAAAAGUUGUCCUAUCAUCGGGUGCCUUCCUAGGAUCAUAGGAAACUGUAGCGUAAAACUCCAACAAAAAUUCCCGAUAAACAGGCUCCUGGAUCCUGAACAAUCGUGCCCACCCCUGCCAUACGAACAAUUCCACUCCAAUCGCGUCCGAGUGCGUGUAUUGCAAAAAAAUCCUGGAUCAGUGUAGCAAGUCCAGUCCAGGUCGCCAAUUCCCAGUCGAAUGAUGGUGCUAUGUCGAUCUCCUUGGUGAGCAGCAAACUCAAACUGUUGACAUAUCGUGCCCGGGUUGCAUCGUUCAGAGUUUGCGGAAAUUGUAAGAAACGNUCAGAGUUUGGGAAAUUGUAAGAAACGGUGAUCGGUCACAUCCUCGGGUGGGUUGGUCCUUUGAGUUCUUCGGGCCAUAAUCUGCACACAUAAACACAAAACCAAACAAAAUAUAACAGCAUUAAAAAAAUUUUAAACCAAAAAAAAAUGGUGCUGGAUAUGGACUGUACGCUGGGCGUACGUCCAGGUUCCACGAAUAUGUGUUCUGCUUCCUUUUCUUGUGCUAAAGUUAUAACCCAUAUCAAAAAAUUUCAAAUUAACCAACUGCAAGCAAUAAACACAGCAGGGCAAACACAUGGGGCAUAUCGAGCUUCGUGGUCCAAGACAGUAGAAAAACGGGACCACUCUAAAAAAUAUGAACCAUUCUCCUGUUCGUUCCUUAUCUUAUCAAGAUUAGAAAGCACUACAAAAGAAAAACUUCAUUGGGGCAGUCAAGAAUCGAAGUCAACAGGGUUACGCUUAGCGUCCGUCCCCGAGCUCAAAAUGAUGGGUCUAUCACGGGAUUAAGACCAAAUUAGGUACUAGGGUUUAGUCCAUUGAUGGAAAUCGGUCUUUUUAAGUCCUAAUCAAAACAUACAAUUAUGAAAUCGGCCCUAAUUCAAGAACCCUAUAAACCCUAGAUUUCGAACAAAGGCAUUUUGCAGCUUAUUCCAUCGAUUUAAACACAAAUCCAAAACAUUGAGUAACCGAAAAACUUACCUGUGUGCUGAAUUUUACAAGAAAAGAAGCAAAAUUGAAAAUCCUUGGGAGAGCUUGCCGUCACAGUUCGUGUGUGCGAAGGAAAGGAUUUUGAAAAAGUAACAAAAAAGUCAAGGGUCAAAAGAUAUAACCUGGUCACCGAUUUACGCUGGGCGUAAAACAAGGUUACGCUGGGCGUAACUCCAACUCCAUGAAAAGUCCAUCCGCGAUCCGGGGUUUAUUACGCUUGGCGUAAUUAAAAUUACGCUGGGCGUAAUGAAGUAUUCCUUUUCUUUAACUGAAAUUUCUUUUCUUUUAACUAUUUAAUUAAGGGACUAAAAACUUAAUUAUUUUUCUUUUUAAUUUCUUCAGCAACUGAUGACUUUCCGAUGAGUAAAAAAAAUGAGACGUCAUAAUCACUUAUCUUUGUCAAGAUCAAACAACAAUGGUUGAUUAAAAACCUUUGCACGCAAGAAUUGGUUUGCGAAAACACCCACUUUCGGGACCCGUUAGAAUAUUUCCUUUGUUUUCUUUGCACCUUUAACUAAAAGCGGAACAAGAAGUGACCUAACUAGUCAAGAACAGCAAGAGUUCGGUCUUCCACUUAACCACCACAAUACGCCUUACUAUACUACGCCUCAUGGAUUGAGUUGGACAAAUCAACAAAGUAGUAAGCCAACCAGGUCAAGAAUUUCCUAAUCGCUUGGAUUCUCGAAACCCAUGCAAAAAGUAAAGUCAAGCAAUGUGUACAAUCCCAAAUUCCUGCAAUUAACAACAAGAACCUUCCCGACAAGUGAAAUGAUAUCAACGAAAACCAAACUAAAAAUAAAAACUAACUAAAAACAAAUAACGAAUAAUCAAAAAAACUAAAUUAAUGACAAGCUGUUCCCGGCAACAGCGCCAAAAACUUGAUGUGCACAAAAGUACCCACUAAUUUUAAUAUUUAUAACCUAACAAACUUAGACUAUCUAUGCACUUAUAGGCAGUGUACCUAGUCAGAUUACAGUAUAGCUUAGGUAAGUCGGGUGUCGAUCACAGGGAACGGUGGUGAAUUAAUUUAAAAUAUUUGAUUAUAGGUUACAGGUCACAUGAAAAGAAUAAAGAAAUAGUUUAAUAAAUCUCAAACUAACAAUUAAUUAACAACUUUCGAUAAACUAACAGGAAAGAAAAUCUCUUCAGGUACUUUGGUUUAGAUAAAUUACGCCUUAAAAAACAUAGACAAUUGUAUACACAACUUCAUUUAUUCAUGUUCACCGAUUCCUAAAAUGAUUAGAUUCGUGUUCACUAUAACUAAUCCUUUAGCAAACAAGUCAAUUCAAACAGUGAUCAGUUGAUUAAACUAACAUGCUUCCUAGUGUUCAGUUCGUAUCAAGCAAGACUUGUAAAUAUAGUUAAUCAAAUUACUAAUUCAAUUUAACCUCUUGUUGAUGGUCAUCAAACAAGGCUCACACAUUAACUUACUUAUUCCCAAGUUAAUCCUAGUUUUACAUUCGUUAAUCCUAGACUUCUAAUCUCGAUGGUCAUCAAAAUCAUAAGCGACAAGCAAUCAAGCAGAUGUUCAUACAACUCAAUUUACUUAAUAAUUAACAGCAAAUAAUUAUCAUUAAUACGUAAGGAUCUUUUAACAAGCUUGGCAAGAUAAAUUAAACAUAAACAAACAAUUCAAUAUAGCAAUUAGUCUAAUAAUCAAGGUUUCAUUCAAUCAUAAACGCAAAGUAAAAGGUUUUUACACCCAAAUCAGAAACUAAAUACAGAAUAGUAACACAAUGGAAUGCUAAACAUGGUCACGUUAACAACCCAUAUGAUUACCGACAUGUAUCCGCUCUCCAACCCUUCCGAUCUUCGCUCCCGUUAGCUUAACGGCCUUCCGACCACCUUCUAGACCCUCAAAACGGCUUAAAAGAAGUUUAAUAUCGACUAAAUUAGGUUGGAAGUCGAAUCCCCCCUUCUGGUUAGCUGAUAAUCGACUUUUAUAACCUUUGUAACUGACUUACGUAUGCUGGGCGUAAGUCGGAUUACGCUGGGCGUACUAAGGAUUUAUACGCGAUUGGAGUUAUCCGAUGCCAGCCAUUACGCGGGGCGUACACAAGAAUUACGCUGGGCGUAACUCGUCUUAGCCAUUACGCUUGGCGUACAAGUAAAUUACGUGGGGCAUAAUCGUUCCUCCAACAUUUUCCUUUCUUUUAGCCUCUAAGCCCGAUUUCUGCUUCAGUCUUUUCUUUUGUGCUUUAUCGACAACGAAUAGCUGCAAAUCAUAAUUUAAAGCAUUGUGAGUACUUUUUCGUUCUAAAAGAGAAUAAUAAAGGCCAAAAUAUUAAGAUAUAAUGCAUAAAAAUAUAUAUAAAAAUACACAUAUCAAUUAUGUAUUAUCAAUAUUAAUUUUUCUUCAAAAUAAGUUGAAUAUAUCAAGAUAAAAAGUAUAUUCAAACUAAGAAAAUAAACCAGAAACACACAUACAAUAUUUUUGAACAACAAAAGCAUAAAAGUACAUACAAAAAAUAUAAAGACAAAGAAUUUACCAUUAUGUCCCUAGAGUACUAAUAAUGAGAAGAACAAAGAGAAACUGAAAUAUAAAUUUAUAUAGUUGCACUCAUGAAUGACUAAAAUAACACGAAAUGUAUUAAUUGUCAAUGUGGUUGAGCGCAAAUUACCAUUAUGUCCCUGGAGUACUAAUAAUAAAAACAAAAAUUAUAAAAUCCUUAAAAUAGUUCUAUAGAUGGUAUACUGGUAAUUAAAACAAUCAGUUUUUCCACAUGCCUCUUAAAAAAUCAUUUACAACCAUAAAUAAGUUUACCAAUAUACCCGUAACACAUUAAUUUUGUAUAUGUAAUAUGUAAGAUAUGAGAUAUAUGUGGCGAGGGCAUUUUCGUCCUUUAAACAUACUUAUAACAAUUAACAAACCUCAUGAUACAUUAUAACAGUGGAUAAUGGAUCGACAUACAUAUAUACUUUUCCUUUUAAUGAAGAGGCGUGAAAUAUGCAAUUGACAGAAAUGCCCCUUCUACAAGACACACCUAUUUAAAUUGCAUAAAACCACACCGCUUAACCUAUUUAUUCAUAUUUGAUGUUAGAGUUCUAUAAUUACCAAGGUGUUUUUAUCUUUUACUUAAUAGAAAUAUGUCUCGAUCAAGUAAGUUCAGGUAUAUGUUUUUUUUAUCUAAUGCAAAUAUAAUGACAUAAUAAGUAAAAUAAGAGAAAAACUACAAAAUAUUGGGUAAAAUUAAAAAACGAGCCACACCCUUUAAACAAACCAUCAUUGGGUUAUCAAAAUCAGUAACAUGAAUGUAGUCACUAUAAAUUAUAUGCAAAUAGGUAUACAUGAGAAAUAGCUAAAAUGAAAAAUGAUAACUACCUCCACCUUAUAGUUUAUAAAAAAUAAGGCAAACACCUUAACUACAUGCAUAGAUACUCUACUCCCAAUACUAAAGAAAUUAGUCUACAAAUGGCUUUAGUUAAUAUGUUUUUGGUUUAAACCGGUUCAGAUCAAUGACAAAAAAAUAUAAUUAUAGUAAAACAUGACAGAAAUGCCCCUUAAUUCAAAAUGGGACCAAUCAAUCAAGUAAUACAAAAUACAAUCACGUAAUACCUAAGCAGAGAAAAUAUAACACAAAAAACAGAAAAAAAAUUUAUUUCUAUAAAACAUGACAGAAAUACCCCCGAACUAAAAAAAUAAAAAUAAUCAAAAUUACAUUUCUAUUCGUAUGAGUUUGACGGUACUUUUAGGUUUCUUUGUGUAAUCCGUCAAUGAAUCUGGCCUAUGAGUUUGACGGUACUUUUAGGUUUCUUUGUGUAAUCCGUCAAUGAAUCUGGCCUAUAAACAUGACCUGAACCAAUUUUUUUACUUGGUGAACCAAUUUAAUAGAAAAAAAAAUUUGUUCUAAUUACCAUUCUACCAUUUGUAACUUGGGAAUGAUUAAUUAACAUACAAAGGUGAAUUUUCUCUACCUGCUGCCUUACGUUCAAAAUGACAAAAUUGUAUUGGUAAACAUGAACCAAAAUGGACAAAGGUUUCAAUUUUGGACAAACACAGUAAAAAUAUGAACCAAAACAAUAAACAUUGAUAUAAUUUUGCGAUGGUAUUAUCUCCAAAAGAAUAAAAAAUUUCAAUUUUGCGAUGAUAUAGUUUCAAUUUUGCGAAGAAGCAACGUAAGCAGUAAACCAGAUUGCGGUGAGAGAGAGAGAGAGAGGGCCUGCCGCCUGCGAUUGGUAAUUUGUGAUGGUAUCUCUCGACCGAGAAAGGGGAGCGAUUGAUGAACAGAACCAUAUUAAGAGGAAUUAUGAUUGUCAAAUAAGUUUUUGAUCGUUCUUUUGAUCGUUGUUAUUUAGGACAAUAUCUCAUAGUGAAAUACGAAUAAGGUAUCAGUUAAAGUGUCACACACACGCAUACACAUUAAGAAGCAUAAAUAACUUUCAAUUUUGCGAUUAACACAGACAUUGAGAAGCAGGGGCUUACAUAUACACAAUGAGAAGCAGAAUUGAGAAGCAGAAACUUACCGAAGGAUUGAAGUCGUUGACACAGACUCCAAUAACUGAAGUGUCGAUGAUGCUUGAUUGUUGGAAGACAAUGCUGUAAAGAACCUUGGAAACACGAUGCUAUAAAUAAAUUAAGAAGCAGAAUUGAGAAGAAGAAACUGAAAUCGAGAUUGAAGUCUAAGAUUGAAUAUCCGAUAAAUAAUUAGUCCAUGAUUCAGAAACUUGAAAACAUAAUGCUGUAAAGAAAUAUUGAUUAUCAUAUUUUUGAAAUAUAUAUUGACAAUAAUAUGAUCAAAUCGACAUAAUAAUCAAAAUUAAAUGUAAUCGAUGUGAUUGAUAUGGAUACCAUAAUAACAUGCUCUUAAUCGGGUAAGAAAUGAUUUUGAGUUAAUGUGUACAACUGGUAGCAAAGAUAAAAAUCGGUAAUUAAAAUAGGGAGUUAUAUGGAUUCCAUAUUGGAUUCAAUAUUCAAUUUCAAAUUUCCAUAUUCCACAUCGAUUACUACGUGAAACAAUAAAAUAACAAAAACGGUAUUUUACAUUUGUAGAAUACUAAUUAAUUGCAGAAUACUGAUUUUUUGAAGUUUAUAAUUUCACUAUAAAAAACUGUAAUAACAUAACCAUUUUUAUUUUUCUGAUUUAUUUGAAGUAAUUUAGACUUAUAAUACCUGAAAUAGUGGUAUGUGUUUUAGAGUUUUGUACAAGAGCAUUGUGUUUUUUAAAAGUAUUUACAUAUCUACGGUACUUUUAAAUUUAUUUACUAAAAGAUUGUAAAAUUUUAAAAUUCAUGUGGACCUAUCCCUUUUAUACCAAAAAUAUAAGAAAUUAAUUAUGCGCCUCCCCACCGCUCAUUUUUCUCGCAUUUGUCGCUGGAAAAUGAUGGCCAACAAGAUAAUUUCAAAACAUUAUAAAAAGAUUUCUCUUUCGCUUGUUUGCUCGCUAGAAAAUGAAAACAAACAUAAACGGUCAUAAAUAAAAACAACCAAACACGAAUUAAAUAUAUUGACAGAUUUAGAUUCUUCCGGCUGCGAACUUGGUUUGCUCAUUGGAAUAUGAAUACAACCAAACAAUUUGGAAAUCGAAAAGGAAAUUGUUGGAAAUGCACCACGUUCAUAGAUCUUGUGCCAAAACAUUUCUCGUAUAUAUUUGUUUCAAACAUUGGUCGUUCAAUCAAUGUCAUAUAACUUGGAAAUUUGGAGGGGGGAGGGGUUGUUUAACAGAUGAUACCGAGGGUUAUGAAUGGGUUAGUCGGUGGCAAGGCGGAUGUAGAGGUUCAUCCGCAGUGUGGUUUGGGGAGAAUUUCAGCAGUGUUUUGGAGUUGACGAUGUCGGACGGUGAUCGUGUCAUAGGUGUAAACACUGCACAACACAACAUGUAGACUAGGUAUUACUGGCAAUGCUUGUUAUGAAAAAAAUAAAAAACCAGUAGACUUCAAUCGUUGAAGCAGGGAAAAUGUGGUUGUGGUAGGUUCAAUGGAUGUAUGCGCACUCAUGCACAGUAGGGGUUUGCAGCGGUGCUAAGGGUUGCCAAAUGGUUUUGCAAGUAAUGUGAGCAUCAAAAGACAAUUAACAUGAUUUCAUUUAUUUUAUUUAAGUACAAUUAAAUGGGAAAUAAUUUUAAAAGUACUAUAUUAUAGUAAAUAUUUUUCUUAACCGCUACCUUUUAGUAAAAAACUAUGUGUUUUAAACAGGUAUAACUGUAUAAAAAACCUAAGAGUUUGCAGAGGUUCAUGGGAUUACAUCUUAGUGGUAUGUGCUUUAAGGGUAAACACAUUUUUCUUCUUUUAGGCUAGAUUUAUUACAUCACAAGGAAUCCCGUGGCGAGGGCAUUUUCGUCCUUAGGAUAUAUAAAUUUUGUUUCCGGUACUGUUUUGUACUUUGUAGUGCUUAAGAAACGGGAAGAUAUGAUUAAGUUGUGAAUGAUCUGGAUCCAUAUCAAUGAUCCGGUACUAUUCUACCCUUUGUAAGAGAAAAACACAUAAAGUCACAAACUAUAUACCCCUGUUGUGAAAAUUACCAAUAUGUCACUAUAAAAAAAUGAGCAUUAUUUUGAACAGGUUGUUCUAAUUACCAUUCUACCCUUUGUAACUAGAGAAUGAUUAGUUAAUAUGUCAUGCAUUGUUUCCUCCUGUUGCGUGUUCAAUAUUAUAACAAUCAAUAAACAAUUUUAAUGGAAUUUAAAUGAUUGAAAUUGUAGAGAUGAACAAAAGAAUUGACAAAGGGCAAAAUUGACAUCUAAUGCAUUGUUUCUUCCUGUUGCGUGUUCAAUAUCAUGACAAAUCUCAUUUGACAGCUUCAUUACAAUUUUUGUUUCAUACAUUACCUCAAAUAAUAUACAAGCACAUUCCCAAGAAUGCAUUCACCGAUAUACCAUUUUAUUGUGAAAAUUACCAAUAUGUCCAUGUACAAAAAAUGAGUAUUAUUUUCAACAGGAUUUUAUUGAAUUUAUUCAUAUUUGAGACAUCUUUUUUAUAGAGCAAAUAUACUUAUAACACGAAAAUGAAAAGUAGAAUGGUAUAUUUUUUAAUUUUUUUGAAUUUUAUUGCAAAUAUAUUGGUAAAAAAAAUCUUUAAAAACAUAAUGGUUUCCUUCUUUUACACUAUCAAUAGACACACAUAUAUUAAAAGAAGAUUAAUCUAAUUACAGGCAUAACCCAAAAAGCAGUUUUUUACUUAAGAUAGAGAUUAGCAGCGUAAAGAAACCAAGAACUAUCAAUGUUUGAAUACUGAACACCACGAAGAGCAAAACUGUCAAACAAAAUCCCCAAAAAAAAUAAUUCAAGAAUAUUGUUGGUGCAUAAAAAGGACAAUCUAAAAUUACUUUUCAAGCUUUGGUAUUAAUAGACCUGUGUUUCCAUCCACCCUGGAAUUCAAGCGAGGUAUUUUUGUCGACGAAUUCACAUUAUCAUACUCAUCAAUAUCAAUGCUAUCUCCAACGUUUCGCUUUUUUACCAUUGUGGGCGAAUUAAACUUGAACGGACUUGUAGCUUCUAUUUGUCAUGCAUGGAAGGGGUCAAAUUAUCACUGGUUUGUUAUAUCGCGUCCUUAAAGCAAAAACCCGAAACAGCGUUAGUACGAUAAUAUUAACAAAUUAACAAAAAAAUAAUUUAUAAAAGGAAUUUAUAUAAAAUUAAAAAAUGUGGAUUUAUAUUAUAACCUUUAAUGACUUUGUUUCAUGAGAUGCUUCGUGAGAUGCGAUUUUGUAUCGUCAGCAUUUGUAGAAUUACCUCCCUGCUUCAAAAGUUUAAAUAUGUAUUAUCAUUUGUGGGAUUAAAUUUUUGUUCCAUCAAGAUUUACAAUUAAUUAGUGACGAUCAUUAAAUAAAAGUAUGCAUCAUAAUAAUUAAUUAAUUUUCAAAAAACAUAAAAAUAUAUGUAUAUAAAUACCUCAACAGCUAACUUUUUUUCCAAAACAUUGAUAAUGUUACUAUCAAGCGUAUAGCCAAGUAUCCCAAAACGAUUGUAGUUAUUGGAUACGUUAAAACUAUUAACAUCUAACACGAAUGCCAUCUUUUUAUGCACCAGACAGUUGAGGUCAUAAGGAUACAAUCUCGGAUCAUCACCAGCCUGGAAAGAAUGAGUUAUGUAAUAUUAUUAUGGUUAAAAGCACAUUAAUAUAGAUAAAAUCAAAUAGAUAAUAGAAUUUAAUAAAACAAAUAAUAUAUUUAUAGUAUGUCUGUUUGAUUUUCUCUAUGGGUUCACUUGCACGUUUUUUGACGAGUUUAUAAGCAUCUCUAUCAAACAUAGUGAGUGUGAUUGUUCCAGAUUCAUCUUGGACACGAAUAGGUAUUUUAUACCUACAAAAAAGUACGACAUAAAUAUCAUAUUAAAUAUUAAAUAUGUUUAAUGUGUAAUGUUUGUUAAUGUAUUUAAUUUGUGGGUGAACUAUUGUUAAAUUUUAAAAACCUUGGAACUGAAGAUAUCUCCUUUUUUUACACUUAGAAUUAUAACAUUCAACAACCACACUUGCAUCACCACUAUCUGGACCGCUGAAAACGUUUCUUGGUUCAACCUUCCUUCCACAUUUUGAACACGCAUCAUAAUACCAAUCAAUAUCUUGUCGGAUACCAUAAAUGGUACCAACAAUGAUAUAUUUCCCGACCUUAAAAAAUAUAAAAUACAAAAAGAAUCAUAAAAAAAAAUACAAUUAUAAUAUUAUAAUAAACGAAUAAUAGAUAACAAAAUCACAUUAAAAAAAACUAAAUUAUUCACAUACCUCUUGUGGUUCUAGCAAAUCGACAACAUUUUUAACGUUGUGAUUUGUCAAAAAGUCAUCAUAUUCAUUGCAUGAUUGAGAGCUAUCAACGGUCAAAGAAGAAGAAGGAUUUUGAAUUCCUCGUAAUCCAACCAUGUUGUUUUUUUUAUUUGAUAGAUUAAUUAUGAAAUUAGUAAAAUUAUUAAAAAGAAACAAAAAAAACAAUGAAUUAUUAAAAUAGAUUGUUACCUAUCUGUGAAUGUAACAAUUUCGGGAAGAUCAACAUUUAUGAACAUCGGUGUGUGUUUAUAAUAACUGUUAAAAUAGUUAAAAUAAUGAGCAAUAUAAAAGCCUAAAAUAACAAAGGGGUCCUUUUAUAAGAAAUGUACCGUUAUAGACAUUAAGUCUUGCAAACUGCAAAAUAACAACCACACGACCAACUUCUUUAUGUGCUUCAAGAUAAGAAAUCAAUUGGUAUGCAAUAUCUCCAAACAAUGUGACGUUAACCUGCAAACCUCUGCAAAAACAGUACGGGUUAAAUGAUAAUAUAAUAAUAAAAUUACAUAUGGCAGUUGUAACCUAAUCAAUUUAAUAUAUAAUAAUAAUAAUAAUAAUAAUAAUAAUAAUAAUAAUAAUAAUAAUAUAAGAUAUAAUAUAAGAAAAGUUAUGAUUUGUAAAGUUAGCCGAUGUUUGGAUUUGCUGACAUCACGGGAAUCAAGCUUUCCUAACGAAACAACUUCACCAAUAACAUCUACAAAAUGAUAAUACAAUAUGUCAAAAUGAUGUAAAAUUAAAGAAUUAAAUAUAAGAUGCAAUUAAAUAGGGGAAACAUUUACCAAUUGAGUUAUUAGAUGUAGCUGUUGCAGAAAUAAUGCUUUCAAACGAUACACAACAAAAGUCAUAUGUUGUUUUGGACUAAAAAGUUAGACAAUCAUUAACAGUUUUUCGUCCAUGCAAGUUUAACUUGGAGAGUACAUCACUUAUUUUAAAAAUGUAUCUGUUUGGAGCUAUAGUGGGGGAUCGGAUGUAAAUUGCUUUAUCUUCUUUCAGUUUUAAAAGUGUAUCUCUUGGGUAGACACUUGCUCGGAUUUUUGUACCCUAUUCACAUAUCGUAAGAAUAUUAUAUAUAUUGCGAAACAAUUGUAUAUUAAUUUAUAUAAAUUGGUCAACAUUGAAUCAAUUAUUUGACCAUGAAUGAUUUUAAAUAAUAUUAUUGGAAUGAGCAAAUAAACAAAAAAAAAUAAUUUUGAAUAAUGUAAUUAGAAUAGGAUAUUUUACCAUCUCAUCCAUUAAUAUCAUUUCAAGUGCUUUGACAAUACUAGGGUUAACUUUGGAUAAUGAUCUCCACAGCCGGAUAAUACACACUUUUAGUGUUUAAUCAUCCCUCAUGUUGUCUAAGUCUUUGAUCAAAGUGACAUUUCUAUCUGCCAUUGUCACUAUAAUAGAAAGACAUAACAUAUUAAGAAAAAAUAAUGGAACAAAAUUACACAAAAAAUAUAAAGACAAACAUAAUUACAAUUAUGUCCCUGGAGUAGUAGGCGGAUAAAAAGAUUCUGAAUAAUACAAUAAAUUAUUAUAAAACAUUCAAACAUAUUCAAACAAACUAUAUACCGCUGCUGUGAAAAUUACCAAUAUGUCCCUGGAGUUGUAGGCGGAUAAAAAGAUGAAAAACAAACAGGGCAUUUUCGUCCAUUGAACUUACUUAUAACAUGAAAAAUAAAAGUACAAUGCCAUUAUAUGUAAUAUUUUCGAAUUUUGUUGCACAUAUAAUUUUUUUUUUUGUACUGUACUGUUGGAAUACAUUUUUCUUUCCUUCUGUUAUUUUACUUUGUAACUAUUGGAACUAAUGUUUAUUAUGUUAUAUAAAGAUAAGCAUUGAUGGAAAGGAUACUAUUAGGGAGGAUGAUGUUGAUGAAUUGACUUCCAAUUCCAUAGUUACAGAUUAUGAAAUAUCAAGCAUAUCAGGUUCAGAACUAAAAUAGAACAAAAUUACACAGAAAGACAUAACAUAUUAAGAAAAAAUAAUGGAACAAAAUUACACAGAACAUAUAAAGACAAACAUAAUUACAAUUAUGUCCCUGUAGUAGUAGGUGGAUAAAAAGAUUCUGAAUAAUGCAAUAAAGUAUUAUAAAACAUUCAAACAUAUUCAAAUAAACUAUAUACCCCUGAUGUAAAAAUUACCAAUAUGUCCCUGGAGUAGUAGGCAGAUAAAAAGAUGAAAAACAAACAGGGACAACCUCAGUGAUUCAAGCAUAUCAGGUUCAGAAAAAACAAAAAACAGAGAAUUAGAUAAAAAGAUGAAAAUACAUUCUCCAUAUUUUACAGAUUUACAGAUUAUGAUAUAUCAAGCAUAUCAGGUUCAGAAAAACAAAAAACAUAGAAUUUGACAGCCUCAGUGAUAAAAUCGGUAAUUAUAAGUAAAACAAUAACAUACAACGUUAAUGUGGCCUAAGUCCUAAUUCAUAUAAAUCUGAUUAUUUACCAAUCGCAGGCGUACCUUCAAUAGUUCAAUGGGAUAGACUCGAAGAAGCAACGUAAGCAGUAAAGCAGAUUGCGAUGGGGGUAGAGAGAGAGAGAGAGGGCAUGCCGCCUGCGAUUGGUAAUUUGCGAUGGUAUCUCUCGACUAAGAAAGGGGAGCGAUAGAUGAACAGAACCAUAUUCAGACGAAUUAUGAUUGUCAAAUAAGUUUUUGAUCGUUCUUUUGCAAUUAACACAGACAUUGAGAAGCAGGGGAUUACAUAUACACAAUGAGAAGCAGAAUUGAGAAGAAGAAACUUACCGAAUGAUUGAAGCCGCUGAUUGAAUAUCUAAUAACUGAAGUAUGGAUGAUGCUUGAUUGUUGGAAGAUGAUGCUGUAAAGAAUGAUUCAUAUUUGUAUGCUUCAAGUAUAUAUUGAACAUAAUAAGAUCAAAUCGACCUAAUAAUCAAAUUUAAAUGUAAUUGAUAUGAUUGAUAUUGAUACAAUAAAAAGAUGCUCUUAAUCGGGCAUAUAACGAAAUUGAUUCAAUAUUCCAUUCGAUUUCCAUCCAUAUUCCAAAUUCCACAUUCAAAUUGCCAUAUUUCCAUAUCUAAUUUCCGUAUGUAAUGCUACGUGAAACCAAGCAGGGGUAAAAAUGGGAUUUAACAUUGGCAAGAAAGUGAAUUUUUGUUAGGACACGUUUCAAACAGGUUUUGUUUAUUAGAUAGGGAGAUGUUAUGAAUCUUGGUUAUGAUAAUACGAAUAUUGUAUGCUUGUACUUGAUUUACGAUCGAUUAUGUGGGGUUAUGCAUAGAGGGCAAGGGUAGGACCUAACACUUAGCAUGAAACCCUAUCCAGAUACAUUCGAGCCUCGUUAGUUGAGAAAUACCUUCUAGGAAAAGAGAUUAAUCCAUUUACGAGUUGAUCGGUCUUUCUAGAUGCCCGUGCGACACAUUGUACGCGUACACUUCGGUGUUUGCGGAUUGGAGUGAUGUUGGCCAUUCGAACGAGGCUUGUACAGACAUCACGUAGGUGUUGGGAGGUGGCGGACGAAUGCCACUGCUUGUACCAACACCAGAACGGCACCGCGAUGUACUUGUACAUUACAUAGUCGGAGUAGUGAAAGUGGAGUCUUGGGGUCGGUGUGGCAGGGGGGGGUCACGAACCACCUAAAGCACUUGGUUGUCCAGACACACAAGUAGCGAACGGGUUUUCCUUUUGGGUUAGGUAUUACUACGAGACUACCUAUGCCUAUACGAUUAUGAUACAUUUUUUUUUAUAUGAUGAUAUACGAUUACGAUAUGAUUAUGCAUGAAAUACAAUUGAUGUUACAUAAAUGAAUGAUAUGUGAAUGGAUGAUACAAAGUUGAAUGAUUGAAUUUUAUGUGAAAUAUGAUUGAUUAUUGAUUGGUAUGUGAAUUUUGUUUAUAUGAUUAAAAUAUGAAUGAUUGACCCGUUAAGGGAUGGUAUGUUUUCCCUUUGAUUGUGUACAAACUCUUAUUGGCUCACGAAGCAUUUGUUGACACUUGUUUCUUUGCUUUGUGCCUUUAUGAUUGGUACAGGUAGCUUAAGAGCUUCGCUUGGUGAGAUGGGGUCAUUUUUUGGUAGUUUAUCCUUAGAAUAAAGAUGCCACUUGGAAACGUUAUUUAUUUUUUGAUACUUAUGCUUCCACUACAAUUAAAUACUUUUGAUAUUUUGGUUUUAAAUUGAACGUAACUUGGUGGUUUGAAAUGUUUUUAAAAUAAAUAAUGUGUACACUCUUCCGUUGCAUUUUCCGUUAAAAGAUUUUAAAAAUAAAUGAAAUUUUUUCGCGAAAAAUCAUGACUUUACAAUUAAAUCCUUAAUAGAUUAAGUCCUUAACAGGUUAAGUAGGAACACUUAACCCUAAUCGUCAUUUUAUGUGAAAAACCCUAAUUGGGUUUGGGUUCUUAUUAGGUCACUUAUUGGACUGAGUUGUUGUGGGCCUUUGUGGGCCAAUUGGGAACAUAUUUAUGGACUAAGGAAAUUAUUGGUCUUUAGGAUAAGGCCCGUUGGAAAGGCUUGGGCCCAAUUUGGAAAAUUGGGCCAUAAUUAGGCCUUGAUGAUUAUGAGACUGGAUUAAAUGGUUGGGCCUUAAGAUAAGCCCAUGUAGAGGUUUGGGUCCAAUUUGGAAAAUUAGGCCAUAUGUUGGGCUUUGGUCCAUAGUUUGACUUUUGGGCUUUUGGAUUGGGCCUUGGAGUUGAAUAAAGCUAAGUCAGGGGUAAAAUAGUCUUUUACCCUAACCAUGGAAUUAUGGUUAUGUAUUGGAACCCAAUUAUUAAUUGGGUGUCGUUUUGAUGUUGAUAGUUUAGGAACCUAUCAACCAGCAGCUAAGAUUUUACCCGUGGAACUUGAGCAAUGCGAAGUGAGUCUCCUCACCAUACCAACGGGUCGAAGGCACCAAUGUCAGCCCAUUUUAUGUUAUGUGAUACACUAGCUAAAGUUGUAUUAUGUGGCAUGUUAGCUGGUUAUGUCAUAGGAAGUAUGCUAGUGGUAUAUGUGGUAUGCUUGUAUGGAAGACCAUGGGAGAGCCCAUGGCACCUGGAUGUAAGACCAUGUGGAGAGCCUAUGGCUUUCUUACUAUGUUUUAGUGUUAAUGUAGAUUCACUAUUGAUAUGUUUGGUAUGCACGUAUAUGUGGUAUGCUAGUGAUUAAGUGAUAUACUAGCUGACUAUGUGGUAUGUGGUAUGCUAGUUGUCUUUGUGAUACUUGCAUGAAAGCCCAUGGGAGAGCCCAUGGCACCUGGAUGUAAGACCAUGCGGAGAGCCCAUAACUUUCUUACUAAAGACCAUGGGAGAGCCCAUGGUAACCAGAUGUAAGACCAUGUGGAGAGCCCAUGGCUUUCCUAUUAAAGACCAUGGGAGAGCCCGUGGCAUUUAGGUGUAAGACCAUGUGGGGAGCCCAUGACAUCCUGGAGUAAGACCCUGGGGACGAGCCCACGACAUCCUUAUAUGUUUAUAUUCAUGGCUUAUAUGAUUGAUAUGACUUAUGUGGAUAUGUAGCUAAUAUAACUAAUAAAUAUUAUGAGAUUAUGUGGAUUGUAUGAGGUAUGCUCUGGGGAAUUCACUAAGCUUCGUGCUUACAGUUUUGUUUAUGGUUUCAGAUAUUUAACUUUAGGAAAGGAAGGGCUCAGCUUGACCGCAGCGUACACACCCAUGCUUUCCACAAUGAAUGAAAUGUUUUAAUUAACAAUGUUUUGGAAUGAUUGGAAUAAAUGAUAUCUAUGUUUGGGUUAUAUUAAAAAUGAAAUUGUUACCCCUGAUUUUUGGGUUGUUACAAUGAUAUUCAAUUAAAACACAGGUCUUUUGGCCUAGCACUAUCAUAUGUUGGAAAAGUGACCCUUCCUAAUGUUAGAAAAACGGGUUAUUUUGAUUGCUUGGAUACCAUUGAAAGUCAUGAUACACUUUCAAAUUGAAUUAUUUUGAUGGUACAAUCAAAAUAUCAAUUGGAUAAAAUUCAGUGACAAACAGAGAAUGAAAAUGUUAUGAUUCUUGUGUGUACCAGAUUUAAAUAACCAAAAAGGGAUAUAACUCCUUAUCUGAAAACUAUCAUAUUGACAUUUACAAACUGCCACAAAACCGUCACUAAAUUGACUUAGUCAGCUUGACAAACAAGAACCACAUAUUUAACAUACAAAGCAAAGAGAAAAAGUUUCCUAAUACUUGUAAAAAUCAAAUGAUGUAAAAAAAUUAGAUGUCACAAAAUCUAGUAUUAACAUAGAUUUAAUAAAACUGAUAGAUUACUUGUUUAUAUAUCGUAAAAAUUUAUUCCCAAGGUCAUCCUUAACUCACUAAUAAAUUUUGGGAGUAACGAUAUAACAAUAUCUAUUCGGUACUCCUUUGAUAAAAUUUUGAAUUUUGUGUGGUCAAUAAGUCGUAUUUUUGGAUUGCUAAUAGGAGUAGAAAAGCUAAAAUCAUUUGGGUCUAUGAGCUUCGUAAUCCUAUUUUAGCUUGCACUCUUAUGUAAUGCUAUUUUUCCUUGCUUCCUGCUAGUUUUUAUAAAAUUUUUUGCUGUUCCAAAAAAAAAAAAAAAAAAAAACUCCUCUAAUAUAUUGGUCGGUCGACUUUGAGAUACAAUUAAGAAGGUUCUCUAGCCACAUCACACAUCAUCCUCCCCCAAUGACCACCACACAAUAAUAUCGAUUUGGUAUAGACCAACAACUCUCUAUUUCCCCAUCUCCCUUAAAUCAAUCUUCACUUCCUUACUUUUCAGUUUGUUUUUUAAUAUUCAUACAUAGAAACUCAUGUUGGAGCAGUUAACACACAUAAAUGUCCUUAAUAUUGGAAUCCCUCACCAACAAAGUAGCAUCGUUAAGUAACUAAUAAGUUAGAGACCAUACGUACAAAUUAGCCCAAACCAUAGGGACCAUUCGUGUAAUUUACUCUUCCUCUUAAUAUACAUAUUUUUUAUUAGAGACAGACCGCUGUCAUCCUCAAUAUAAUACAUGUGUCCCCAAGUCCAUUUUGCAAUUCUUUUUGGAUUUGGCAAACUUGUAUAUACAAUUUCCUCUCUUUACUUUUCAUAUGUCAUAACCUUUGCUUUAGUUAUUGCUUUCUUCUUCCAAUUUCUUGUCACCUUGUAAAUAUUUCUUUGACCUCUCUUCUUUCCCAAUUGUCACUACUUAAUAGAAAUUCUUUAAAAGGAGUUUCUUUAUUUUGACCUUGAACCUUCUUGCUCCACCAUUCCGAUUAUUAGCUUAGCCUUUCAUCCUUGACGGAUAUGGCCUCCUGCUACAAUUACCAUGUAACAGAGCCGGCCCAAAGCAAGUUCAUCCAGUGCCUUUGAACAUGGCCCAAAAAAUCAGAGGGCCCAUUUUUUUUCAUUCUUUAAUAGGGUAUGUUCAUUUGGCCCAAAAAAUUUAGGUUAUAUCCAUCUAUAUACUCAGUUAACGAAUGCAGGAAGCAGGCAAGAGGGAGCAGGAACUCAAUUUUCGGGAAAAAGAGAACUCUUCGGUUUCUUCAUUGGUAACGCACGCAUGGAUAAUAGGAAUCAUCAUUGCUGGAACGGUAACAUCAAUUUACAUUCAUUUAUCAUUCAUUCUAUUCCAUCAAUUUACCUUCACUUCUUAUUUCUUCCUUCUUUAUCUUCUUCUUCACUGAUCAGUUUUUACAAAGAUUACCAACAAUUUUAGAAGAUUCAAAAGAAGAAAUUCAAAGCCAUCAAAUUUCGAAAUCAGAAGGUUCAAUAUCAGAAUUCAGAACAAUCAAAAUUCGAAAUAAGAAGCUUCAAAAUCUUACAGUCUUACAGUCUUACAGUUUGAGUUUCGAAAUCAAAGGUAUAAUACUAAAAUUAAACUUUAGUUUAUUGUUUCAUGGGUUUGUUUUUUCUAAUUGAGUAAUUUGAUAAUUUCAGAUUUCUUAUCGGUUCUUCUUUUUUCAUUUUCUUUAAUUCCAAAUUACUAAAUCAGGAUGAACAAUCAACAGUGAUAUCAGUUUUCAAAAAUUUGAACUUAGAAGGAACAAGGAAUUGAGGUAAAUUCUAAUUCAGAUUUCUACUUUUUAUGUUUUUUUGUUUAUGAUAAUUUCGAAUUUGUAAGAACUAAGAAGUAAUUAUGAAUUUAUGAUCUCAUCAUUUCAGAUUGCAAAUUUUCUGAUUUCCUUAGAAUCAUAUUCUUGUUUUUUUGAUUUGAAGUGUCGAUGAUAAUAAGGUAAUUUUUGGAUUUCUUAUAUGAUAUCAUUGCAGAUUUUGUGAUUUCUUUAGAAGCAUAUUCUGAUUUUUUUUCUUUGCAGUUUUGUUACAUUCUUUUGGUGAUUUGAAGUGUGGAAAAUCUGAACCAAGAAGGAAUCUAUAAAUUGGAAGUCAUAAAUAAGGUCGUUUCUUUCUUUUCUAUAACUUAUUAUGCCUCCUAAAAUAAAAAAAUAUGCAUCUGGAUAUGAAAAACGUAAGAAAAAACAAAAAAUUGAAGAAGAUAAUAAAACUCAAGCAGGAUCUAUGGAUAAGUUUAUAACAAAAAAAACACAAAACUUUACGAAAAAUGAAACACAAAAUGUUAAUGAAGCUAAUCUUGAUAAAAUGAUAAUGUUGAUGUUGAUGUUGAUGUUGAUGUUAAUGAUAAUGUUGAUGUUGAUGUUAAUGCUAAUGUUAAUGUUAAUGUUAGUGAUAAAGUUGAUUUUAAUGAUAAUCCUAAUGUUGUUGUUGAUGAUAAUGUUGAUUUUCACACUUUUGAUAUAUUUGAUCCAAGAAAUCGGGAUGCUCUUGAUUCUAGUAUGAUAAAUAUUUUAGUGUUGAAAGGUCCUAAAAGAGAUUUGUCUCUUACAAAAGGUCCUAAAGAUAAAUAUUUAAGAAGAUUUUCUGCAACAUAUUAUACUAAAACUUUACCAAAUGGGGAAAAAUGUGAUAGAGAUUGGCUUGUUUAUUCUAAAGAAAUUGAUAAAAUUUUUUGUUUUUGUUGUAAAAUAUUUCGAAAAGGGUGUCGGAAGGGUCAAUUAGCAAAUGAGGGUUUUAGGGAUUGGAUACAUCUUAACACUAGAAUUAAAGAGUAUGAAACUAGUAUGAAACAUGUUAAAACUAUAAAUACUUGGUAUGAUUUGCGUUUAAGAUUACAAAAAAAUGAAACUAUUGAUAAUGCGGCUCAAAAACAAUUAGAAAAAGAAAAAGUUCAUUAGAGACAAGUUUUGUUGAGAAUUAUUUCUAUUGUGAAAUUUCUUGCUAAACAUAAUCUAGCUUUUCGUGGUACUAAUGAGAAAUUGUAUGAAGAUAACAAUGGAAAUUUUUUAGGCUUAUUUGAAAUGUUGGCUGAAUUUGACAUGGUUUCUUAUGACCAUAUACAACGUAUUACAAAUGAAAUUGGUAUCCAUAAACAUUAUCUUGGGCAUAGGAUACAAAAUGAAUUAAUACUUUUGCUUUCUUCAGAAAUAAAGUCUAUGAUUAUUAAAAAGAUAAAAAAUGCAAAAUAUUUUUCUAUAAUACUUGAUUGUACUCCUGAUAUAAGUUACCAAGAGCAAAUGACUAUUAUUUUAAGAUGUGUAGAUGUCUUGUCAAAUGUUGUUUGCAUUGAAGAGUCUUUUUUAGGGUUUUUAGAUGUAAAUGAUACAACCGGCCAAGGACUCUUUGAUGUUUUACAAAAUGAAUUGAAUUUGCUUGAUCUUGACAUUAAUAAUAUACGUGGCCAAGGUUAUGAUAAUGGAUCAAAUAUGAAAGGAAAACAUCAAGGAGUGCAAAAAAAGCUUUUAGAUAUAAAUUCAAGGGCUUUUUAUACUCCUUGUGGUUGUCAUAGUUUGAACUUAACUUUAUGUGAUAUGGCUAAUACUUGUGGUAAAGCUAAAGGUUUUUUUUGGAACAAUACAACGUAUCUAUACAAUUUUUGCAAAUCCCACUAAGAGAUGACAAAUUUUAAAAGAUAAUGUGAAAGGGGUAACUCCUAAAUCGUUGUCAUCCACUCGUUGGGAGAGUCGUGUUGAUAGUGUUAAAGCUAUAAGAUUUCAUAUACAAAAAGCUUUACUUCAAGUAGCCAAAAAUGAUAAUGAUCCAAAAAUAACAAGUGAAGCUAAAUCCUUAGCAAAAAAUGAACUUGACAACUUUGAGUUUAUAUUGGCAUUAGUAAUUUGGUAUGAAAUGUUAAACACUAUUAAUUUAAUUAGCAAACAAUUGCAAUCAAAAGAUAUGUUUAUUGAUGUUGCUAUGGAAAAAAUAAUGGGGUUAAUUUCGUAUUUUAAGGAAUAUAAAGAAAAUGGGUUUUUAAAUGCUUUACAAACCGCAAAAGAUAUUGCCUUAGAAAUGGGGAUCGAUCCAAUAUUUCCUAAAAAACGUGAACCUAAAAUAAAAAAACAUUUUGAUGAGAUUUCAAACGACACUUCUUAUAGUUUUUCACAAUCCGCCCAAGAGAAAUUUAGAGUUAAAUAUUUUAUUUAUAUUGUUGAUCAAGCAAUUAGUUCUUUAACUACAAGGUUUGAACUAUAUCAAUAAUAUGAUAAAAUAUUUGGCUUUUUAUUUAAUUCAGAAAAAUUGCUUUCAUUAGAUGAUAUAACAUUAAAGUCUUGUUGUAUGUCUCUUGAAACUUCACUCAAGAAAGAUGAGCAAUCGGAUAUUGAUGGAAAUGACUUAUAUGUUGAAUUAAAAUUACUUUUACAUCUCUUGCCUAAGGAAAAAUUGACAGCAAUUGAUAUUCUAAAUUUUUUAAAACGUGUUGAUUGUUUUCCUAUUACAUCUAUUACAUAUAAAAUUAUGUUGACUAUUCUUGUUACUGUUGCAUCUGCAGAACAGAGUUUUCCAAAAUUGAAGAUUCUGAAGUCCUACUUAAGAUUUACAAUGACUCAAGAACGACUUAAUGGAUUGGUUUUGAUGACGAUUGAGCGUAAUAUGUUGGAUAAAGUUACUUAUGAAGAUGCUAUUGAAAAAGUUUAUUUCAACGAAUAUUAGGAGGAUGACUGUUUUCAAGUAGAAGCUAAUUUUUUUUUGUAUUAUUUUGAAUGAAAUUUUAAUUUUAUGUAUUUGCAAUAGAAAAUUAAACUAUAAUUUUUUUUUUGCUUAAAUUUUGAGAUCUUUCAAAUUUUAGAGCCUAUUUUUUGUUAAAUCGCACAUGGUCUUCAAUAUCUCAGGGCCGGCCCUGCCAUGUAGACCGAGACCCCUACUUGUAACUAACCUUUUCGGUCCUAAUAGAUACACAUGUAAAAAACUAAUAACUACUAACUAACUAUUAAUUAUUUAAUAUAAAAUACAAAUAGAACAUCAAUGAUAAAUAUUAAAAGGGUGUUGCUAAAUUGACACCCCUUAGACACCCUAUAAACACUUUUAUUAAAAGUCAAUUUAUAAUAAACUAUUCACAAUUUACUUUUUCAAAAAACAAUGCAAAUUAACUAAUAAAAAAAUCUUAAAAAUCAAAUAAGGUUUCAACAUGAGAGAAAUUAUAUUGCAAUAAGUUUGUUGUCAGGUGAGGAAUACAAUGCAUAAAUGAUUUACAAAAUCGAAAGUUCCAGACACAAGUUAAAACUUAAAACCCUAAAAGACCACACAAAUUUCAAUCGUCGACAUACCCCACCACAAAGGCACAAACAAUCAAUGAAACAAGUGUAGAUGUAGAGGCCUUUUUCACCACAAUCACCCUUCAUCGGCCAUUUCGAAGGCCACGUGAAAUGUCACUAACGUGGCCCUCUAAAUAUCCACUACUUUGUCUUUAACCCCUCCCCCCUCCCUUAUAAAACACUCCAUCCUCCUCCUUAAUCACCAUCACCAACAACCUUCUCUCCUCCCUCAAAAGUACCACCAUCUUUUCCGACAUGGCUACUUCUUCAAUCUUCAUGGCAACUCCCAUCACACUCCUCAAGAAAACUCCCACCUUCUCCGUCAAAUGUAUGUCACAAACACCUCAAAGCGGUGAACCGGAGGUUUCAAAACCAGCAACCACCCCAACACUACCACAGAUCAACAUUCCUCCUCCUCCGCCACCUGCUCCAAAGGUCAGCACGAAGUUCUCUGACGUGUUGGCGUUUAGUGGACCUGCACCGGAGAGGAUCAACGGAAGGUUAGCCAUGAUAGGGUUUGUGUCGGCGAUGGCUGUGGAACUGAGCAGCGGUCAAGACGUGUUCACCCAGAUCGGCAACGGCGGUGUUGCGGUGUUUGUCGGGACAAGUGUGGUGUUGACGUUGGCGUCGUUGGUGCCGUUGUUUAAAGGAGUGAGCGUGCAGUCGAAGUCGAGUGGACUGAUGACAUCAGAUGCAGAGCUUUGGAAUGGGCGGGUUGCGAUGUUGGGUCUGGUGGCUUUGGCUUUUACUGAAUAUGUUAAAGGCAGUGCCCUUGUCUAGAUAAUGUAGCAUAAACUUUUCUAUUACAGAAUUACAUCUAAGAUAGGCAAAUGUAUAUUCUUUUGAAUAUUUAUGUGUAUCGAUUUACCAUACAUAGUUCAAAUCAUGAAAAUCAUGUUUUUUUGAUAAUAUAGUAUAAAACAAAUAUGAUCAAUCAAAUCGAACGAUUGUGGUAUCUUUCAAUAUAAAAUUCUUUUUACAAAAAUAAACAAACAACAUACUAAGAUAAUUUUUUGAGGAAUGAACCUAGAUUAGCAAUAUAAGAGUCAAAGUCUACAAAGAUAUUGACAUCCUAGUUUCACAACUUCCUCUUUGAAUGUUGAAGGUGAUCAUUAAUUCAGACUGAAUAUGUGGCUAAGUCCAGCCUAGUCAAUUAGCCAAUUUAAGUUGACAAGUAUCCAAAAUUCAAAUAAACUACAUGGCUCAAUUUCAAAGAAAACUGAAAAAUGACUAAUGCUCACAAAAUGAUCACCGAAUCAAUUUAGGCUAUGAGGAGUGGUCACAUUCAAACCACCGGAAAAACGCUGCAAAGUCAGUGAUAUGUCAACUCCAUCACCUUCUAAACAUUGGAAACAAUUACCACUCCGUGUCAUUUAUAUUUUCAUUUUUUUUACAUUAGAUUAAAUAAAAAACAUAAUUACUAACUUAAGUAAUCAUUUUACUAAUUAAAAAAUCAACUAAACAUAUAUUAAUUUUCAAAAUUAAAUAAACAUAUAUAGUAUAUAUAGUUGAGGGUUUAACUUAAUUCAAAGAAAAGUAAGAGGGUAUAAUAAGAUUAAAAGACAUAAUUUUAGAGACCAAAUUUGUAACUUUAGUUAAAGCAAAUAUGAAUGGUCUUCUUCACAGGUCAUUGCUCAAUACCAUUUUUUUUCUUUUACUUCGAUGGAUACAAAGGAAAAGGGAAAAAAAGGGUCAAAUAAAUGACCGUUAUUGUUCUUGCUUUCUUAUCCGUCGUCUUCAUCCGUCUUUGCACCCACAUUACACCCAAACCACCGGCCUUAGGGGUGGUGGUGUUCACGUGUCCUUAGGCCGGACACAUCAGCAAGAUGUGUGAGUUAGUCCUCCCACUCCGAUUAGCCUUAAGCACUUAUUAAAAGCUAGUCUAUUUCUUGUUAGGUUGAAAUCUAAUGUUAUCAUCAAAUCUAUACAAGAUUGAGAUUGAUAUUAUAGUAACAAUCUCCCAAAGAAAAAUAAUAUAUUUAAAAGAAUAUAUAUAUANNNNNNNNUAUAUAUAUAUAUGAAUUAUGCCCCAAGAAGUACUAUGCAUGAGUAUAAGAUUACUAUUAUCUUUGGAUCCAUUAAUUGAUAACUAAGCAUACUUCAAAGUUACUAUAUGGUCGUAUGAGACCCGCGAAUAGGAAAUUGGCUGCACCCUUGGCCCGAUUCGAAGGCUAAAACCCAAAAGAACCAUGCACAUGAUUCGAACCAAGUGCUCUAAUGCUAUUUUGCCCAACUUACAUGAACUACCUCCAUACACAUACUUAAGAAACCCAUAAUCUCAUCCAGAUAGAGCAGGAAUGCCAGAGAUAAUCGGAAUAAUACCUCAAUCAAUUACAAAAAACAUCCGCAUUAUCGGUUGAAACAAGAUCCCAUACUUGAUUGAGACUGAACGGAUUCCAUCGCUACACAACUAGCUCGAGAAGACUUCCACGGAUCUCGAAAGUUGCCUAAACCUGAGUCUGCUAUGAAAUAGGUUCCCACUCCACCAUUGAGGGUAAACACACUUGAAGCCCCAAUGGACAUAGAUCAUACUAAGCUUGAUAACAGAUCAGCCUGACCACUACAUCUCGACUGACACAAUUAAACUUCCAAGUGAACUUUUAUUGAUUGAUGAACCCCACAACCAGUGGUCGAGGACACUUUAACACUUAGUCCAGAGAAUCAAGACCACAUAGAACUGAACAUACCCACUCAUGGAAAGAUCCAUCGACCAACGUCUGCCCAACUAAUAUGAAAAUAGUAAUCCAACAACAAACUGGGAAAUCCCUCAACAGCUAAAAAUACUCAACCUGAGAAUCCCGAUUCUCCUCCACUUAGGGCUUAAACUACCAUUCACUAGCGCUAAAACCAAAUCAUAAAUCAAACCAUAUUGAGGAUAUACUCCCUUCCUAACCCUGGAAGUUACGAGCCUCUUCACUCCUUCCCCGAACUCGGAAAAAAUGAAAGGGCAUAACCCUAGCCAUUGAUAAUGACGUUCCAAACCAACAAUCAACCACUUCCAACUGUAAAACCCAAGUCAAUCUUAAUCAUCGUCCCCUUCACGAGUCCCGCGACUCGAAUACCCGACCUCAAGCAAAACCCCCGAGGCCUCAAACAAAAAAGCUCCCUAGGUCUGCACCAAACAAACAAAAUCACUAACGCCACUGGGGCUCAAAACACUUACCAUAUCCAUCCGCAUGUCGGAGCAUCCACAAGCAAAAUAUUAACAGGAACAUAAACACUGCCGCGAAUCAUGGUAUCCAACCAUGCUAUCUUCACCGACCAACCCUUAGAAUCCCCAAAACCUUCCUUGAUUAGAUUAUGGAUCCUGUGCUUCAAGUAGUACUGGCCCAAUACUACCUUCCAUACCUAUCCAUACUUUCCUCAAGAAUCAUCCCAAGUCUUUUAAGUCCUAGUCAUAAAAUACUCCUGAAACUUGCUUAACAAUGAAGCAACCACGCUAAAAUACUCACCUACACUCCCUCUGCCAUCAACUGCUGAUAAACCCCUACCAAUGCCAGCUAACCACUUCAUGAAUACAAUUACACACAACCAAGCUUAAAUAAUCCUUCGAAUAAAGGGCUUAGCCCUACAACGAUUGGACUCAAACGAGAGCUGCACAAUAGGUUUGAGUCCUUCAUUCUAAGAUUAUUUAACCUUCAUAGCAUGUAAUUUUAUUAUAUUCACUUGAUGGUUAACUCCCAUCAACAUGGGUCCCACAAAGCACAAAGCAAGCAACAUUCGGGUAGAGAAGCCGACUGCGACUAAAACGCAACAAAAUCAGACAUAUCCUCAUAGAAAAUCCUCGAUCUCAAACUCCUCGCACCACGAGUGCGCCUUCACCCUGCUCUCACUCUCCCCAGAGUGGUUAAUCAUUCCUCGUGCUUACCCGCUAUACACUGCACCCACUCAUGAAACUUCCACCAACCCUACAACACUCGUGUAUGCUAGCCGUACAUAACACUGGAUCCUAUAGACAGUCGAAUAUCUGAUCCUACUCUAAGCCCUUCAUCAAACAAGAACAUGAAAUAAGGCCAAACCAAACAUUCUCAGGCUAUAGAAUCUUAGUUAUGUACAACUAUGAUGUAUACACUAAGUAACUGUAGUAGAUGAUGUCAAUUUCAUUUAAGGAAGAACCCUAGGCUAUCAGACAUCAUAUAAUCAUGCAACUUUGUCAUGCAAUUCCUGAAGAUCCCUAGCCUAUCACUACCAUGCUAUUCUAAUAUUUCACAAGAUCAAAUAAAGUGUGGUAAUUUGGGGUCUACUUACUAGCUCCGACUGAUCAUACACAUCGUAUCCUCUUUAGUUUGAAAGUUAUUUUUAAAACCUUUACUUUGAAAAUUACUUUUUUUAAAACACCUUUUCCUUAGUUUGAGACCGGAUUCACACGAGUUUUCCUCCCAUUCACUCAAACCAAGGCUCUGAUACCAACUAGUAACGUCACAAAAAUUUCAACAAAUCUAAACCUUUCAAAACAACCCAUAUGUUAACAAAAGUGAUUUGAUCCGCAGGCACUCUGCACGCCUUGAACUCCCGUAAUGAGGGAGUUCGAGCCCCAAUCUGACCCACAGUGAUCUCAGAUCGGAAAGAACAAUCCGCUCCUCCAUAUCCUCCAUGAUCCCCUCCUUGACGGUACUGAACCCGAUCUCGAACCUGAACCUCCUCGCGUAGCCAUCAUAAUCUUCAACUGAAAAUACAACAUAGAAAGAAAUUGAUAAGGAAGUUCAAAGGGAUUUCUCCCCACUGGACUCCUUAAAGCCUUCAGGUAUGUCCUUGUCUCGGGUACAAGUCUUGUGCUUUUAGUAGUACGGACCAAAUACUACCUUCCACACCUACCUGUACAUUCCCCCAAGGCCAUACCUGAUACCUCCAAUUCACCAAACCAUAGAUAAAACAUGACCUACGAAACACAGCACAUACACAUAUCUUAGAAUCUUCGGGGAUUUCUCAAUCCUCAUAGAACCAGAAACCUCAAUCAACACCGCAUGUUGCCUUAUGCAUGCAAGUUAUACAUUAAUAGAAUCAUAGAGACUGUCAAAUAAAGUUUCUACCCUAAGACCACAACCAAACAAGGAACAAGAAGUAAGGCAGAAUCCAUCGUUCUAGGGCUAUAAAAUCCUAAACAUAUACAACUUUGAAAGCAUACACUUAGCAAAUAACAACGUCAACAUCGAUUCCAAGCAUUAUAUUCAUAGCAUUGAACUCUCCUAGGCUACAAGGCAUCUCACAAAUCAGACAAUUCUCAUAACACCUAAAGGUAUCCUUAGCCCUAUUCUAGCAUGCAUUUCACACAUUAACAUACUAGUUGCAAUUCAUAAGCAUGGUUAAAUUUUUGGAAACACUUACUUGAGCUUGGCUGAUUUCGCGCAUUGCGCUCUCCCUUUUUACUUAAGAAAACCGGUUUAAGAAAAACUUGACUUUUGUUUCUUUUUUUAAAAAGGUUUACCAUUUCCUCAGUUUGAGUUGUGACACAUAGUGUGCCCGAAUUCCUCAAACCAAGGCUAUGAUACCAACUUGUAAAAGCCCAAAAAUCCAGAUAAAAAUUUUCAUUUAAAAAAAAAUAGAAAUUACAAUCAUAAUUUGUUUCUUAAAAUCCAUUACAUCAUUUCAUAUCAAAAUAUCAGAGUAUCAAUAUCAAUAAAUGAGGAAAUUCUUGGGAGUGAAUGUUGCGCCAUCUAGCUAGGCCCUUCCCCUUAGUACCGAAAGUACCUGAAAACACCUAAAUAAACUGUAAGCAAAAACUUAGCGAGUUCCCAAAAUACAACAUAACAUAUAACCACAGAAUACCACGCCACAUACAUAAGAUUGCCAUGGACAACCCCAUGGUCUUUACUUGGAAUGCCAUGGGCUACCCCAUGGUAUUUACCUAGAAUGCCAUGGGAUACCCCCAAGGUCGGAUAUCCAAGUGCCAUGUGCUACCCCAUUGGUCUUUACCUGGAAUGCCAUGGGCUACCCCCAUGCUCUAAUAUCCAAGUGUCGUGCGCUACCCCCAUGGUCUUCAUAUAAGUGCCACAGGCUACCCCCGUGGUCUUCACAUAAUGAAUUGCAUAAAAACUAUCAAUCCACAUGUCAGGCAAUGGGCCGCCAUUGGUGCCUUCGACCCAUUGAUAUAGUGAGAAGACUCACCUCAGACUGCUGAUAAAAAUACUGCUCGGCUAACGCUCUAGAUAUCUGACACUGAAUAUACACAAGUUAACCUAAUUAGAAUUAAGUCACAAACUCAAGGCCUAGGCCAAAACCCUAAGUACAAACUCCUCCAAUAAGGCCCAAAGUCUUUUUCCUUUAAUGGGCCUAACAUCCAAGAUCCAAAAAGGGGCAUAAGGCCCAAAAGGCCUAGCCAUGCCACUUAUGGUCCAACAACAAGUUCAAAGGCCCAAAUACUAUAAUAGAUCCAGGCCCAAGUCUAAGUAGAGCCCAAAUAGCUUAAAGGCCCAACAAAAGCCCAAAACUCAUUGGAAGCGUACGCCCAACGUACAUCAUCAGUACGCUUAGCAUACUGGGUUCUUUGGCGGUUAGCGUAGUGUACAAGCUAGUAUGCCCAACGUACAAGCUACUUUGCACAAAAAGCCAUUAAGUGCUUAAUUCAUGAAGCCAUUUCGUCCGAUUCCAGAUCUUGGUCAUCUUAAAGGUCCUAGGGCAUAAAGAUGGUAACUUUAUGUGUUUACAUGCCAUAUGGGAACCCAACACCUGAUUUUAUCCAUUAAGACUCCCUUUAAGAUCUUAAACUCAUGCAUGGUGCCAUAACAACCAUCAAGUUAGCAUUUUUAUGCUUUUAACAUGCCAAAGGAACUAGGAUCUAACAUUUAUAAUCUCUGGAGUUGUUCAAACUUACAAAAGAGGAUCCAUGGACCAAAAAUGGACUUAUUACCAAACCCUAACUCAAACUAGCGAAAGGAUAAGCAAGUUCUGGACUUUUUACCUCCAAAAGUUUUCCAAGAUGAAGUAGAUGCAGGAUCUAGAAGCUCAAACACGUCUAAGAGUUGAUCACAACCUUCUCCUUCUUACACACACAUUAAAAUAGCCACCAAAAUCACUUUUAAGCUCAAGAAUCACACUCACUUGCAAACUAGGGUUUAGGGACGAUAAGAGGCAAUAAAAGCUAUGUAGGGUUAGGUCCAAAUGUCAUAAGAGUGUUAAAAUAGGGUUCAUGCGCAAAAAUUAGGGUUUUUGUCAUAUGCCACGUACUCCUCGCAUACAUGGUGCAUGUACGCAUCUAAACCACCCUAGUACGCUAAGCGUACACGUAUGUACGCCCUGUUGGAUUAGUGUUUAAGUCCAUAACUAUAUUUGGUAUGUAUUUGACCAGGUUGUGCAUGGUCCUUUUAGGUUGCCUUCACCGAAGCAACUUGACUAGAGGAAUUAUAUAGAAAGAGGUGAUUAUGGUUUAUUAAUAUAUUAUAAGAUUUAUAUAUUAAAAGAGAAAUCAUGUUUGAUUAAUUAACAUUGGUCAAGAGUUAAUUAAACAUUAGUUUUGUGAUCAAAAGAAGUUAAUUGAACUUAAGGGGCUGAACUGUAAUUAUGUGAUAGUUACAAAGUUAGGCAAGGAAACCCUAAUGGAUAGGGUGGAUGAAUUCUAGGGAUAUAGCCUUAAGAAUUCGCCCAUGAUAGGGAUUCUAGAAUUAUCUUAUGGGCUGCUUGGUGGCUAAGUAACCAUAUAAGAAUAAUGAAUGAAACCCUAAUUCCUAAACCUAUAUAAAGGACCCUUGGUCAUGGGAAUUUCGGCAACUUGAACCCUAGAAGUCCUAGAGCCGAAAUUCUCCUCUUCCCUCUCUUGCUUCCUCUAAUUGCUAUUGGUGUUUGUUAUUAAUUAGAGGCACAACACUUGAGGUGCUAAAGUUGUCAAGGCUUCAAGAUCUUCAAUCAACAACGAGGUAAGCAUCUUGAUAUACUUUGCUAAGUUAAUUUCAAUUAUAUACACUAGAUCUAGGGUUUGAAAGUCUUGGAUGAAUGCACGUACAAUUAGAGAAACCUAGAUCCAAGCAUUAGGGUUUGCAUGAGCACAUAGGAUGUUCUUUUGGCUCAAACCUAUCAGUGGUAUCAGAGCUUUUGUUUGGUUUCUAUUGUAUUGAUGCCUUGCUUGUUCAUCCUCUCUUGAAAAUCGUGAUUUUGUGUUCUCUGCCUGACGAACUCGAUGAGUCCCAAUGUGGGCUCGACGAGUAGGAUGAACUCGACGAGUCCAUAAGGGCACUCAACGAGUCGGAGCGUCAGACAUAGAUUUUCGGGAUUUCUUGUUGUUUUGCUUAAUGAUAAUUACCUAAAUCGUUUUUGACUAAUAAAAUCUGAAUUUUAUUACUGCUUUAUGUUUAUCCUUUCCAAAACAAAAGAUAAUUUCCAUUUAUUUGAAUAAUAAAUUCCUUAUAUGAUAAUAAUUGAUUAUUUAAAUUAUUUGUUGAAUUAUCUUAUGAAUAAAAUUGAUUAGGUCAAAUUUAGAUAAUCAUUAAAUUAAUUGUUUAAUUUAAAUUAUUUGCUAUUUGAUCCUUUAUGUUUUGAAAAGUUCAAAACUUGUCCUCAAGUUUUGAAAUUUAAAUUUGUGAUUAAAAGUUUAAUUUAAACUAUUUAAAUUUCAAACCCUAGAAUUUUACAAGUUUAAAAUUCAACCUUAUACUUUACAAUANUUAAACGCUAGUCUUACUGUUAGUAGGCCUCAUUCACGAAGCCGAUCUAGAAGGAGGUAUAAGGUUAUGACCUAUAAAAUGGCCAUUUAAUGGGUGUCCACUCUCACCCACCACAUCCUUGAUUGGUGGAGGGUCGUUAGCCGAACGGGUAAGAUAGGGCAACCCUUUCUCAUGAAUAAGUAUAAUGAAUUAUAAAAGUAACUAAAUGUUUUACAAAAUUCCCAAUCUUAAUUACUUUAGGCAAAAGUGAAAUUGAUGCAAUUCCAUUAAAUUACAUUUUGUACCCGUGCUAAGACGUUAGUGGAGCGUGUGUGGUUAACUGGCACACUAAUUCGGUUCUAAGAAAAGGUGGUAAAGGGUGACUCAUUGUUUCUCAUUGUUCGAUGGAGCAUGUGUGGUUAACCAGCACAUCGAAUAGGUGACUGUAACAAUGAGGGCACCAUGUAUAUUUGCAUGGUUAUUCAUACCCACUUUGUGAUCCUCAGCAUCCCAGUCACAAACUAGAGGGGCAUAUCAAGAUUUAUACAUGCCAUUGAAAAGUUCAAUGAAUCUCAAAAUAUCUAGGAGUUUUCAAUACAUUUAAAACUUAAUCUCUUUUUCGUUUUUCAUGGUGGAGAAUUAGUGAAUCGUCAUUCACUUACCUUCAAAUUAUUUGCAUGUUAGAUUACGACACCCCUCUUCUAAUAUGUAAAUAAUGUUGUUGGAUCCUAGCCCUAAUUUCUCAUUUAGGUGUUUCAUUAGGGAUUCAUUUCUAAUCAAACUUUGUUCUUUUUCCUUUUCAGAUGUCGAACAACAACAAUGCUUCCGGAUCGUUCUCACUCAUGAACUUGUGUGGGAGAGUGAUCUUUGACGAGUCCAAUUUCAAUGAUUGGAUUCGCAACAUCCGAAUGGUCACUCGUUACGAGGACAAAGAGUAUGUCCUUGAUAAGAAGCUGAAGGAAAUCAACCUCAACACUGCUACUACUGAAGAGAUCGCCACCUUUAAGGCUCAUGAGCGUGAUGCCACGAAAGUCCAUUGCAUCAUGCUAGCGACCAUAACUGCAGAACUCCAAAAGUCCUAUGAGGACAUGUAUCCCUAUGAAAUUCAUCAAAACUUGUUGGACCGGUACCACCAAAGUGCAAGGCAAGAAAGGUAUGAGAUCAUCACUUCGAUGAUCACUACCAGAAUGGGUAAUGGAGAGUCCCUUACCGCCCAUCUGCAAAAGAUGCAGAGAUAUGUUGAUCACCUGCUAAAGUUGAAAGUUAACUUUGAUGAAGAGAUGGCAAUCGACAUUAUCCUUCACUCCUUACCUCCCUGCUACAACCAGUUCCGCAUGACUACCACAUGAAUAAGGAAGAGGUCACCUUGAGCAAGCUUCACGGCUUGCUAAGAACUGUUGAGAGCAAUUUCAAGGAUAAGUAUGUUGCAUCAACUCCAACUCCCACUGCUGCCCUUGUCUUGGAAAAAGGGCAAGGGAAGGGUAAGAAAAGGAAGGCUCCCUCAAAUAUCCACCACAAGGGAAAGUCCCAAGAUGUUACCUCUUCUAGUGGAACCAAGGCUGGUUCUGCUAAACCCAACUCUAACCCUAAUGAGCCAGAGUGCCACCACUGCCACAAAAUAGGGCAUUGGAAGAGAAGCCGCCCAGAAUAUCUGCAAGCUAUCUAGGAUGGGACGAUCAAGCCAUCCUUCGCAGGUAUUUACACUAUUAAAUCUAAUGAUUCAUCGCAUGCUAUUUCUUGGGUUAUUGAUACAGGAUGUGGUUUUCACAUAUGUUCUGAUUUGCAGGGACUAAGAAGAAAUAGGGAUGUGGAGCAUGGAAGAAUAAACCUAAUAAUGCGAAACAAAAGAUUGUCGCCUGCCACCAAUAUUGGAGUAUAUAUAUUCCUUAAUGCUUAGUAAUGGAUUAGGUUUUGAUUUAAACAAUUGCUGCUAUUCGCCAGAUAUGGCAAGAAACAUCAUUUCAUUUCAUGGUUUAUAUAGGCAAGGAUUUAGAUAUUCAUUUGAUAAUGAAAAGGGUUCUAUUUAUGCUUAUCUUAAUAGUGUUUUAUAUUUUGAAGCAUUGCCUUGUAAUGUAAUAUAUGAAACUGUGAUGGUUGUAGAUAACUUAGGAAAUGAUGUAUUGUGUGUUGAUUCUUCCAACAAUAUAGAUAAAGCAUGCUUGUGGCAUUGUCGUCUUGGACAUGUCAACAAGAAACGCAUAGCCCAACUCUAAAAGGAUGGAGUGUUGGAGUCAUUCGACCUUAGGGAUGAUGACGUGUGUGAGUCUUGUUUACUUGGAAAGAUGACCGAUGUGUGUGGGCACUUGUGAAAGGGGUGAGGGUUUAUUGGAUCUCAUACACACCGAUGUGUGUGGGCCCUUUAGAUUACCACAAAAGAUGCAAGCCACUUCUAUGUGACUUUUACCGAUGAUUAUAACAGAUAUGGGUAUAUCUACUUAAUCAAGCACAAGUCGGUAACCUUUGAAAGGUUCAAAGUGUUUAAAGAAGAAGUGGAGAAUCAUUUGGGCAGGAAUAUCAAGAUGCUUCGAUCCGAUCGAGGAGGAGAGUACCUAAGUCUUGAAUUCCAUGACUAUCUCAAGGAAUGCGGAAUCGUUUCACAAUUGACGUCACCUAGGACACCGCAGUUAAAUGGUGUGGCUGAGAGGCGUAAUCGAACCUUGUUGGACAUGGUUCAUUCCAUGAUGAUUCGUGCUUCACUACCUAUCUCAUUCUGGGGGUAUGCCUUAGAGACUGCCGCCCAUAUCCUUAACUUAUUCCCUACGAAGAAGGUUGCCAAAACACCUCACGAGAUGUAGACAGGGAAAGCUUCCUCGUUAGCACAUAUCAAGGUUUGGGGGUUGCGAGGCUUUCGUAAGACGAGAGACUCACGACAAGCUCGAACCUCGUAGUGAGUGGUGUAUUUUCACCAGCUACCCACAAAAGACCUUUGGAUAUCUCUUCUAUAGUCCGAGUGAGAACGUUGCCUUCAUUGCGAGGAGAGGGGUUUUCCGUGAGCGAGAACUCAUAAGCCUAGGGGACAGUAGGAGGCAAAUCGAUCUUGAAGAGAUUCAAGAGUUGAGCGAUGAAGGAACCUCCAACACCGGGGCUUACCCGAGGAGGAAACUCCGGUUGAACCGAUUGACGAGUCCUUACCUCUUAGACGUUCCGAAAGAGUUAGGUUUCAACCCCAGUUAUAUGGCUUUCAUAUUACUACAGAAGGGGAUACGUAUAUUAGUGAUAUUAUACUAAUAAAUUUGGAUGAACUUAACAGCUAUAAGGAAGCCAUUGCAGGCCCAGAGUCUGCAAAGUGGAAAGAGGCGACGGACAGUGAGAUUCUGUCCAAGUAUGACAACCAAGUUUGGAAUUUGGUUGACAAUGUACUAGGUCGUAAGAUGGUCUGGUGCAAAAUGAUCUUUAGGAAGAAGGUACUAAAACGUUUUGUGACAACCCGAAAUUUCCAUUUUGUACGAACAUUAGCUAUUCAAUAGAAGCUAGUCCAAUUUCAAUGAAUUUCAGACUUUUCUAAAUAAAUUUGUGUACAUUAGGGUUUACGUUUAAGGAGAUAUCAGGAGAGUGGAUGCUCAUGGGUUUGUGAAACUUGAGCAUUUCAAAACUUCAUAAUGUUAGAGUCCAAUUCCGGAAUAAAAAUAUUUUCUGCCAAAAUAUUUCAGGACUAUAAAUAGAUUUCUGAACUAAAUUCAUUCAUUAUUCACACUUCCAACUAGAGAAAAGCCAUUUUCUCUCUCACAGAUCUUCGGGUUUUCAUCCCAAAUCGUGAGUACACUUCUUUAGUUGUUUUAUAAUGCUUGUUAUAUGCUUAAUAACAUAGAUUACAUGUCAAAUAUGUGAGAUCCGGGAGUUUACCGCCCAAGAACGUUCUUGGGGAGUAAACUCGAAAAUAAAGCUUUAAGGCUAUCUAGUCCCAUUUCCUUGUUAGGUAACUAGCUUAGGAUAAUAUGUAGGAUCAUUUGAGACAAGAAAACAAUCCAGAACACAUAGCUUUAGGAGUUUUCGGCCCAAGAGUUUCUUGGACCGUAAACACCAAAUACAAGGGCUUAAAUGUGCCCUAAUCACUCCCAAAGGCUUUAGACUUUAACCCUAAAUUACUUCUAGCUAAUAUGGGGACAUUAACACAUCAAAAAAACCCCUAAAAGGGAGUUUACGGCCAAGAAAUGCUCUUGGGCCGUAAACACCAAUUAAGGGCACCAAAGUGUGCCUAGGGCCCCCCUUAGCAUAAAUCAAAUGCCUCGAAAGUAUUCUACUUGUGUUUGAGACUUGAAAGAAUUAAAACAUCCAUCCCAUGAGAGUUUACGGCCGUAAACUCUAAGGGAUAUGGCCUUUUGGCCGUAAACUCCUCAAAGGAGUGUUAUCUAUGCCCUAAACUACCCAAAGGAUUAAACCACCAAACUAGGCUUAUUCUAGAAAUCAUUUAGCACUUUAAAACACCCAUUACCACCAAGAUUGGAGUUCACGGCCGUAAACUCAAGGUUUUACGACCGUAAACUCCUUGUGUGGGGUUUAUUGGGUAGUAAACUCUUAUACAAAGUCCUUGGAAGCUUUAAACCCCUUUAGCUUGUCCCAUAACAACUUAGAUGCAACCAUUAGGACCUAUAACACUUAUACAAGGUGUUUACAUGUUCCUAAGUGUCCCAACUUAUUUCAUUAAGUUAUUAUUUGGCUAAUUAGUUAUAUAUAUGCUCAUUAUAUGAUAACUAGGCUCGUGCGUGUGAACAAGUCUCCGUUUGCCACCUAGCACGGUAUCCGACACUACAAUCCAAACCACUCACCACAAGUGAGUUCAUACCCCUUUAAUUAACCUUUGAAAUACUUUUAAAUGUUUUAAAUACUUUAUGGGGGGGAUACAAGUUAAAUGCUUAUAGUUAUUGCAUCAAUCACAUGUGAUUACAUUAAUCAUAUGUGAUUAAUAACUAGAAAACCAAUGAUCUUAUCACUGUUUAAACUGUUUAUCAAACUGUUUUACUUCAAACUGUUUUACAAACUCUUUUACUCAUCAAAUACUUUUAUUUAAACUUUGUUAUACUUCUUAUAAACCGCAUGCCCAUAUAUGUAUAGAUAUAUAAGCAAUGUUUAAAGGGUUUAGGAAGGUCAUCCGCCCUAUUUCCUUUUUCUCGAUUUGGAUGUGGUCUGGUGGGAUUUCGGGUAACCAUCCGAAGGUCGUUUCAAUAUUAAUUAUAUAUCAAAUGUACAUAUAUAGACAUAAAAGUACUCCUUNUAUACUAGGAGAAGAACAUAUACAACUAUACUAGAGGAAGAACAUAUACAACUAUACUAGAGGAAGAACAUAUACAACUAUACUAGAGGAAGAACAUAUACAACUAUACUAGAAAGAGAACAUAUACAACUAUACUAGAGGAAGAACAUAUACAACUAUACUAGAACAGUUCAUUACAUUACACAUACUAGAAUACGUUCAUUAUUGUGAUAUGAAUCGGGGCAUGACUUAAAUGCCAUGGCCCGAGUUGUAGCCAGAGUCUCUUGAAGGGAGAGCGUGAGUUUGCGUAUAGAUCUAUACUGGAUUGACUAUCCUACACCUUGCUGCUAGCUACAGCCGGACCUGCAGGUCUGCGGGUGCCAAACGUCAUUCCGUUAUUACGACCAUUCGUAUGUCGUUGUUACCAGUCGAUAGUAUGGUGCAAUUAGUCACAUGAUACCUUAAUAUAAAUCCGGUUUAAGGUAGUUAGUACAACAAUAGUUCCUAUAAUACAACACUACAGUACUACAAUAAUUUACCCAUUACAUAUAUUUAGUGAUUAUUUCACUUAAACAUUAAUGUACAAACUAUAUUUUGUUAAAUGAUAGUUACACUUGGGAAAUUACACACUUUUACAACAAACGAGCAUACAAAACAGUUAAGCCUUGGUAGAAGGCUACUUUAAUAGAAAAUAUAGGUUUUUCUGAGAGAUUCAAACUUUUACAAACACUUACAUACAUUUUACAAACUUACACUUGAGACACGUUCAAACGUUUUGAUAACAAACAUCGACACUAAAAUACUUAUGAACUCACCAGCUUAAUGCUGAUAAACUCUUUCAAAAUAACUUGUAUUCUCAGGUCAUCAAUAGACAGGUACUUAGGCCAGCUUUUGAGAAGAUGGAGCGCAUUCAAGACUCAUCUUAUUAUUUUGAUUUACAUUAUAUUUUGGUGUCUAAAACUGUACAGAACACGCUUGUAUUAAAAUUAUAUAUUUAAUGCAAUGGAUGAUGCUGUUUGCUUAUUUACAUUUACUGUGUUGUGAUACUUUACAUGACGUCCUCCGCCCCACAACGUUUCCGCCGUUCUUGGUUUUGGGGUGCGACACGUUUUAGUAUGGAGAAUUCAAAGAAGGCAGAGUUACCAAUCCAAAGUAAUGCGAAGUUGAGUACGACUCAAAGUCCGAGUACUGAAGUCGAGAUAGCAGAAAUGAGCUAAGUACCUUACGCUUCCGCAGUUGGCUCGAUCAUGUACGCUAUGACUUGUACUCGCCCUGAUGUGGCCUUCGCUUUGAGCAUGGUCAUUAGAUAUCUAGGGAACCCUAGAAAAGCACAUUGGACCGCAAUCAAGAAUAUUCUUAAGUACCAUCGAAGGACCAAGGAAUGGUUUCUAGUCCUCGGUGGGAGUGAUGACUUAAAGGUGCGAGGGUAUAGUGACGCCAGUUUUCAGACCGACAGGGACAACUACCGUUCGCAGUCGGGCUGGGUCUUUACCCUAAAUGGUGGAGCAGUGACUUGGAAAAGUUCCAAGCAAGAGACCGUAGCUGACUCAACAUGUGAAUCAUAGUACAUUGAAGCAAGCGAAGCGUCAAAUGAGGCAAUAUGGUUGAAGAACUUCAUUGGAGACCUUGGAGUUGUGCCGACCAUACAGGAGCCUAUUGAGAUUUUCUGUGAUAAUGAAGGAGCGGUUGCCUUGACCAAGGAACUGAGGGAUCACGGCAGAUCUCAACAUAUUGACAGAAAAUAUCACUUUAUUCGAUAUCAGAUGGAAAAAGGACUCCUCGUAGUGAAGUGCGUAUCGUCAGAAGAUAACCCAUCAGAUCUGCUUACGAAGGGACUGAGCAGGGUUAAGCACUUGCAGCAUGCUAGGAGCAUCGGGCUGAAGGACGAUAUUAGUUUAGAUUAGAUAGUUUGGAAACGUGUAAUAGAUAAAUUAUAAUUAACAUCUGAUGAUUAAAUAAAAGAGUAUUAUUUAUUAGUAAUGUUACUAUCUUAUGUUAAUUGUUUACCUAUUGUUUCAUUUUGCAUGUUUUGACUUCCUGAAUAAUAAGAAUUAUUUAAAUGGUCUACAGUUGUUCAUAUGUUGGAACUAGGUAUGAAUGAAGACUGUCAUGAAUUGGUGUGUAGAUUGUCUAAAGUGUAUUAGACAUAGCAAAAGUUUGCUACAACAUUCAUGAGUGCUUAUGAAAAGUUUUGAGCAUUGGAAUAAACCCAUGCUUGCUGGAAUCACUUCAUGGAAUUCAUCAUGAGUGAUCGCAAGACGAUAAUAUAUCAUAUGGUCUUAAAACAUAGAUAUAUGGUUUAUUGUUUUCUAAUUGGUUGUGCAUUGAUAAUGCGUAAACACAUCAGUAACUUGAUGUUAUAAAACGCAUUGUUGUGUAUGAUUUGAUUAGUGGAUAGUAAAUGCAUAUAAGUCUAAGUUCAUCUGUUCCUUUUAUCCUAAUAGGUUAAAAGUGAUAUCAGGACCCCUUGAUGAUUUGAUUUGACUUAUGUGUCGGGCCCGGUCAGGACUGAAUUGAUGUGUUCAAUUACGUUCUAUGUCAAAUGAAUCAGAGAUUAAGAAACAAACUGUUGGAUAAUAAGUAUGACUAUGUUCCAUGUAAUUGUCCGCAUGAUAUCUAGAACAAAGGAUUAUACGAUCCCUUAUCUUAAGGACAAGUUACUGAUAAGAUCAAGAGUUUUGAGAACUGUGAUUGCUAAUCGAAUCCAGAAGUUGCAUUUGCAUUUAUAGUUAUUAUCAAGGUUGUAAAAAAUUCUCGACGUUAGCUAGUCGGUGGACUGGGGUUAAGAGAUUAAUCGGGUAGGCGGAGAUUAAUCGGGGGAUUAAUGGAGACCAUUAAUUGAUAAUUUGUUGAAUUUUAAAAAAUUGAAUAUGACUAAUAUCAUAUCAAAGUCCGUAAGUACCACUAAUAUCAUAACAAAAUAGGUUGAUAUGUUUAAUACAACAUUAAUCAUGCUUGAAAUAGUUUCUAUUGAGAUAAAACUUCUUAAAAAUGUUUAAAUUUCAUCGUUUUAUACAGUUUUACUCAUUAUUUAUGCAUGGAUUAAUCGCUAGGUGCCAUCUAGUUGGUUGAGUAAUGCCUAGGGAUUAAUCGGAGAUUAAUCGGGACCUAGUCAUGAUUUUUACAAUAAUGGUUAUUAGACUUAUCCAAGUAGGGGAAUGUUGGAUUAGUGUCCAAGUCCAUAACUAUAUUUGGUAUGUAUUUGACCCAGUUAUGCAUGGUCCUUUUAGGUUGCCUUCACCAAAGCAACUUGAUUGGAGGAAUAAUAUAGAAAGAGGUGAUUAUGGUUUAUUAAUAUAUUAUAAGAUUUAUAUAUUAAAGGAGAAAUCAUGUUUGUUUAAUUAACGUUGGUCAAUAAUUAAUUAAACAUUAGUUUUGUGAUCAAAAGAAGUUAAUUGAACUUAAGGGGCUGAACUGUAAUUAUGUGAUAGUUACAAAGUUAGGCAAGGAAACCUUAAUGGAUAGGGUGGACAAAUUCUGGGGAUAAUGCCUUAAGAAUUCGUCCAUGAUAGGGAUUCUAGAAUUAUCUUAUAGGCUGCUUGGUGGCUAAGUAACCAGAUAAGGAUAAUGACUGAAACCCUAAUUCAUACACCUAUAUAAAGGACCAUUGGGCAUGGGAAUUUCGGCCACUUGAACCCUAGAAGUCCUAGAGCUGAAAUUCUCCUCUCCCCUCUCUCUCUUGCUUCCUCCAAUUGCUAUUGGUGUUUGUGAUUCAUUAGAGGCACAACACUUAAGGUGCUAAAGUUUUCAAGGCUUCAAGAUCUUCAAUCAACAACAAGGUAAACAUCUAGAUCUACUUUGCUAUGUUAAUUUCGAUUAUAUACACUAGAUCUAGGGUUUGAAAGUCUUGGAUGAAUGCAUGUACAAUUAGAGAAACCUAGAUCCAAGCAUUAGGGUUUGCAGGAGCACAUAGGGUGUUCUUUUGGCUCAAACCCAUCACGCCCAAUGUACGUAGGGACCUCCUUUACAAAUAAGUUUCAUUCCAAGGGUUAAAAGGGUAAAUACCUACAUUCCGAAUGUUACAUAUAGAUAGUAAAAUACUUGAUUCUACCCUAAGCCCUUCAUCAAACAAGAAAAUGAAAUAAAGCUAAACAAAAAUUCUCAAGCUAUACAAUCUUAGUUAUGUACAACUACGAUGCAUACACUAAGCAACUACAAUAAUGACGCUAAUUAUAUAUAAGAAGUAAUCCUAGGGUAUCAAGCAUCCUAUAUCAGGAAAUCCUUUCAUGUAAUUCCUGAAGAUCCCUAUCCUACCACUAGCAUGAUGUUAUAUCAUGAAAAACAUAUCAAGUAACCGUGUGGGUAACUUUGGGUAAAUUUUCUUGCUCUGGCUGAUCAUACACAUCGCAUCAUUCCUUGGUUACUUUUGAAAACAAUUUUUGAAAACCAUUAAAAGAAAACUUUACAGCUUCCUAGUUUGAGUUUGGAUUCACACGAAUGUUCAUCCAGUUCUCUCAAACCGAGGCUCUGUUACAAACUUGUAACACUCCAAAUAUCAUAGAAAAUUAAAAAUUUUAAAUUUCAACCAUUAACCAACAUUUUUUACAAAAAGAGUCAUUGCUUCAAAAGUAUUAUUCAAAAUCAUAGUUUUUCCUAAGACCUAAUAACACAAAAUAGGAAGAUGUGCACGAUCACGCCUUCUCCUUCCUACGAUCAUCCGAAGUACCUAAAACAAUAAACUGAAAUUGUAAGCCAAAGCUUAGUGAGUUCCUCCAAAGUACCAUCAUGGAACAUAUAAAAUACAUAGAUUAACAUGUUGGGUCCAUAACCUCCCAGUUGGAUUACCUUGGCUCACAACCUCCCUGUUGGAUUGCCCUGCAUACCACAUACUGGGUCCACUACCUACCGACUGGGUUGACUUAGAUGGUUUGUGGAGUUUGGCCUAUUUUGACCCAAGGAUAUUUUGGAUAAGUUGGUAGUUAUUUAAGUCGACCAAUAUUUUGGGAUAAUAGGUGUCGAGUAGAGCCGGUUGUCAGGGAAGAGAUUUAUUCAGCUUAUGUUCAGACUGAGAGGUGAGUUUUCCUCACUGUACUUACGGGUCGAAGGCACCAAGGCCGACCCAACGAAUUGAUAUCCUGUCUAUACUGAUUGAAGAUAUGUUGAGUAUGCGAUAGAUCUGAAUGAUUAUAUGAUAGUUAUGAUAUACGUUAGACUGGUAGAUCUAUAGGGCUACCUAUGAUUAUUGGUUGUAUAAUCAUCUGUAUGUUGUAUAUAUAUUAUAUGUUAUAUGCCGACAUGUUACAUUGGGGUUGAGACUACUGCUUUGUGUCGUCAGUCAACAGACCAUGUCAAUCCAAUUGGGAUGUUGUGGGCUAGGGUAAUUCAACCAGGAGGUUGUGGACACAAUAUGCUAAUCUGUGUAUUUUAUAUGUUGCAUGAUGGUACUUUGGUGGAACUCACUAAACUUUGUGUUAUAGUUUCAGUUUAUUUUCAGGUACUUCUGAUGAUCGCGGUACGAUGAAGGUGUGGUCAUGCACAUCUUCCUGUUUUGUGUUAUUGGGUCUUGGUGAAAACUCUGAAAGUCAUGACACACUUCAAAUUGAAGUAUUUCGAUGGUACAAUCAAAAUCUCUAUUGGAUAAAAUUUAGUGACAACAACAGAGAAUUAAAAGGUUACGAUUCUUGUGUGUACCAUAUUCAAAUACCCAAAAAGGGAUAUAACUCCUUGUUCGAAAUAAAGCUAAACCAAAAAUUCUCAAGCUAUAGAAUCUUAGUUAUGUACAACUAUGAUGCAUACACUAAGCAACUACAAUAAUGAUGCCAAUUCUAUAUAAGAAGUAAUCUUAGGGUAUCAAGCAUCAUAUAUCAAGAAAUUCUAUCAUGUAAUUCCUGAAGAUCCCUAGCCUACCACUAGCAUAUUGUUCUAUCGUGAAAAACAUAUCAAAUAAUAGUGUGGUUAACUUGGGGUAUACUUUCUUACUCCGGCUGAUCGUACACAUAUCAUCAUUCUUUGGUUACUUUUGAAAACCAUUAAAAAAACUUUUACAGCUCCCUAGUUUGAGUUUGGAUUCACACGAAUGUUCAUCCAAUUCGCUCAAACCAAGGCUCUAAUACCAACUUGUAACACUCCAAAUAUCAUAGAAAAUUAAAAAUUAAAAAUUUCAACCAUUAACCAACAUUGUUUACAAAAAGAGUCAUUGCUUCAAAAGUAUUAUUCAAAAUAAUAGUUUUUCCCAAGACCCAAUAAUACAAAGCAGGAAGAUGUGCACGAUCAUGCCUUCGCCUUCCCGCGAUCAUCAGAAGUACCUGAAACAAUAAACAGAAACUGUAAGCCGAAGCUUAGUGAGUUCCCCCAAAGUACCAUAAUGCAACAUUUAAAAUACAUAGAUUAACAAAAUGGGUCCACAACCUCCCAUUUGGAUUACCUUGGCCCACAACCUCCCCGUUGGAUUGCCUUGCAUACUACAUACUGGGUCCAUAACCUUCCGACUAGGUUGACUUGGCUAGUUUGUGGAGUUUGACCUAUUUUGACCAAAGGAUAUUUUGGAUAAUUUGGUAGUAAUUUAAGUCGGGCAAUAUUUUUGGAUAAUAGUUGUUGAGUAGAGUCGGUUUUCGGGGAAGAGAUUUAUUCAGCUUGUCUUCUUACUCAGAGGUGAGUUUUCCUCACUGUACUUAUAGGCCAAAGGCACCAAGGCCGACCCAAUGGAUUGAUAUCCUGUUAGGUACUGAUUGAUGAUUUGUUGAGUAUGCGAUAGAUCUGUAUGAUUAUAUGAUAGUUAUUGAUAUACGUUAGACAUGUAGAUCUAUAGGGCUACCUGUGAUUAUUGGUUGUAUAAUCAUAUGUCUAUUGUAUGUAUAUUAUAUGUUAUAUGUCAACAUGUUACGUUAGGGUUGAGACUACUACUUUGUGUCGUCAGUCAACAGACCAUGAGAAUCUAACCGGGAGGUUGUGAGCCAGAGUAACCCAGCCGGGAGGUUGUGGGCCCAACAUGCCAAUCUAGGUGUUUUAUAUGUUGCAUGAUGGUACUUUGGAGGAACUCACUAAGCUUUGGCUUACAAUUUCAGUUUAUCGUUUCAGGUACUUGUGAUGAUCGCAGGACGGUGAAGGUGUGAUCAUGCACAUCUUCCUGUUUUGUGUUAUUGAGACUUAGGAAAAACUCUGAUUGUGAAUAAUACUUUUGAAGCAAUGAAUCUUUUUGUAAACAAUGUUGGUUAAUGGUUGGAAUUUUUUUUUUUUUUUAAAUUUUUAUGAUUUUUGGAGUGUUACAUUGGUUUUGUCUUAUAACUGAUCCAAACCCCCACACACCCUUGUUAAUCAUCAAAGAAGAAUCCAAUUAGAACUAAUUCUAUUCAACAAUAACAACCAUAGGGUGUUAGAAAUCCAUUACCUCAAAUGUAGGGAUCUUUUGAUGUCUAAGAACAUUAAUCAAGAUAAAUUAAUAAGGAUAUUCAAUUAAACCAAAGGUCUUUUGGCCUAGCACUAUCAUAUGUUGGAAAAAUGACCCUUCCUAAUGUUAGAAAAACGGGUUAUUUCGAUUGCUUGGAUUCCACUGAAAGUCAUGAUACACUUUCAAAUUGAAGUAUUUCGGUGGUACAAUCAAAAUCUCAAUUGGAUAAAAUUUAGUGACAACAAUAGAGAAUGAAAAGGUUAUGAUUCUUGUGUGUACCAGAUUCAAAUGACCAAAAAGGGAUAUGACUCCUUGUCCGAAAACUGUCAUAUUAACAGUUACAAACUGCCACAAAGCUGUCACUAAACUUGUAACACCCCAAGUUCAGAAGUGCAAGUUCAGGGUUCUUGGUGUAAUUAAGGAAGAUCGACUCGGCGAGUCGAGUCGUGAUUUGGCCAUGUGCUAAGUGACUGACUCGGCGAGUAGGCAGCUAGACUCGACGAGUCAGUGCUGGAGUGAGAAACCCUAAUUCAUGGGGUUUGCACCCUAUAUAAGGAACCUUAAGUCCCACCCCAGCCUCUUUAGGACUCCCUCUGAUGUCCAGAAACUUUCCACAUCGAUUUCAAACCCUAAAUUGAGAGUGAGAGGGAUUUAAGUGUGUUUUGGAGCUUGAAGAAGAAGGAUACUUGAAGCAAGAGUUGGUGGGAUCAUAGAGGAGCGAAGUGGAUCUGAUUUCCUUGCUUCUUGGCAUCAGCAUCAAGGUAAAAAGUUGUUGCCUUGACUUUGUUGUGUUUAGAUGGUUCAUGAAUGAAGUUUUAGGGCCAAUUUAUCAUAUAUGAGCCUCUUUUCGAGUAUUGGGUUUAGAUCUGUGGUUGCUACUACAGAUCUAGACUGGUCCUGACUCAUGAAUCUGGAAAGUGAUAGCUUUGGGGCUUGAUUGAGAGUGUCCUUGCCUUAAAACUUCACUUUAGCUUGAGUAGAGCUUGUUGAGCCUUGCAUGCACGUAAAGUUGGAAACUUUACAUGUAGAUCUUGCCCUAGGAGUCCAGAUCUAUGUAUUGAAAGCAAUAGUUUGGCCUGUGAUCAUCUGAAUGAAGGUAUUACGUAUGGACUCGGCGAGUCUGGGAGAUGACUUGACGAGUCGGACAAAAGAUUUGGAAUGAAUCGCGUAGUAACUCGGCGAGUCACAUGGGUGUACUCGACGAGUUGGAUGAAGAUAGGCAAGAACUCGACGAGUUGGAAGAACAACUCGACGAGUCUAUUGAAGAUUGCCUUGGGCUCAACGAGUCUGUUCUUGGACUCGGCGAGUCUGGUCGAGGAGUCCUAACCUUUUCUGGUUAAGUCGUGAAUCGGUGAGUCGAAGGAUGACUCGGUGAGUUGAGCAUGAAGGGACUCAGAGUUUGUUGGACUCGGCGAGUCUUGGGGCAACUCGACGAGUUGAGUCGUAAUAUGAGAGUUUUGAGUAUGGGAACUCGAAGAGUCAACGAGUUGACUCGGCGAGUAGGGUCAACCAGGAAGGUUGACCUUGACUGAGGACUUGGACUUUAACCAAGGGUUGACCAGUUGACUUCCGGGGGUAUUUUGGUAAUUAUUGGUAUUUAUUGAUUUGGUUUUUGGUAAUGAUCAGUGGCGGAGUUCGUGCUGGUGGUUGGAGCAGCGUGAUCUUAUUCUUCAGUCGGCAGUGACAGUUGAGUUAUCCUCACUAUACUGACAGGGUCUACGGCACCAAGGCCGACCCUCCAUCGGAUGGAAAUCCGGGUAUUGUUGUUAUGUUAUUGCUAUAUGGAGAUCCUUGUUGAUGGAAAGGCGGCCGACGAACGCUCGGUGGACUCUAUAUCCUCAAGGAAUCAAUUUGGAACCCGGAAAAUCAUAUUUAUUUAGGAAUGUAGCAUAUGGUUUUAGAGGUUGUCCUAAAUGGGAGGAUGUGGAUACGGUUAGUUAAGUUUAAUAAUUAUUAUUUUAUAUAUAUAAUAUUACUGAAAUUACUAGUAUUUAAUUUAUAUUUUUUUUGCAGGUUAUAUCUGUAAUAAAUGUUGUGCAUACCCAUUGGUUUUUGGUGGUUCUACAUUUAGAUACCUGGAAAGUAGAAAUUUUUGAUUCAGCACAAGUUGCGGGUUACUUCUCAACAUACAACACUAAUGGAGAAUUCAAAAGUUUUGGAGAUAGUAUUAUCUCAGAGUUGGAUGCCAUUGAUUACUGGAGCCAUUUCCCCCAUUGGACACAGAGACAAGCAAAGGUCGAGUUUUUUGAUGUUUNGACACAGAGACAAAGCAAAGGUCGAGUUUGUUGAUGUUGUAGACGCCCCACAACAAGAAUAUAGUCUUGAAAGAGGGGAUUGUGGAGUAUUUGUAUGCAUGUUUAUGGAAAUGAUUGUUUCUGGGGGUACCAGUGGCGAUUUCAAGGACAUGUAGAGAAGCUGCAUUUCUCUAUAGAAAUAAGAUGGCAAAUGUUAUUUGGGAUACUAUAUAAGUUGAUAUUAGGAACUUUGUAUAUAUAUUAAUAUUAAAUACUUGUUUCUAGUAUGUAAUCGUGUCACUUCUGGUAGUAUGUAAUCUUGUAAUUAUCUUUUAUAUUUUUUAAACAUAAUUCACCAAAAAAUGUUACGAAACCAUACAUUCAAACAAAAUAAACAUUACAAAUAACAUGAAUACAUUACAAUAGAGUCGUCUACAUAAAAAUAAGGUUUCUUACGACUAACAAACAUUAGAUAAAACAUUGGAAAUAAAAUACUCAUCUACUUGAAAAAAACUUUAUCUUUUACCAGAUUCCAAACGUCCGUAUACUCGAAAUCAUGUCCAUCAAACUUGCAUAGGUAAUAUCCAUUCACAUCUUCAAGAAGUUCUUCAUUAUCUGCUUGAGAGCGUCGCAUUUUCUCAGGAUUGUAGCAUCGAUUGAACCAUGUGACCUUAAACUUUAAAUCCAUCCAUUUACUAACAAUAGCAGGUUUUAGUCGUUCGUGUCCUUGCCCGACUUGAUAGUUGAACAAAGCUAUGAGGCGGGACCAUUCAUCACCUACAAGGCAAUUCAGGGGAGCCAUCACUGGUAGACCCUCGUAAAUGGUAAUCCAACUUUGUAUUAGGACCAACAACUCUGUUGGCGUCCAUGGAGAUGUACAAUUUGUUGGAGAGGCUGCAUUAGAUGGAUUUGUUGCAUUCGAAGAACUUGGUACAUUGGACGCCAUUUCUUAAUUGAUCUACUAUCAACUAAAGAAUUGAAUUUCGUAUAGACACUACGUUUAAUAUAUGUACAAACAUAUGUUAUACAAAGAUAUGUCAGUAACGCGGACUGACGAGCCAGUAACGCGGACUUACGAGCCAGUAACGUGGACUGACAACGAUUAAUAUAUAUAAAUAGUUUCUUAAUGCGGACUGACGAGUCAGUAACGCGGACUUACGAGUCAGUAACGCGGACUGACAACGAUUAACAUAUAUAAAAAGUUUCUUAACGCGGACUAACGAGUCAGUAACGCGGUCUUACGAGUCAGUAACACGGACUGAAAACGAUUAAUAUAUAUCAAAAGUUUCUUAACGCGGACUGAUGAGUCAGUAACACGGACUAACAAUUACUAGACAAAACAGUUUUGCGGACUGACAAGACAGAAACACGGAUUGACAAGUCAGUAACGCGGAGUGAUCAUUGGCUUUGCGGACUCACAAGUCAGUAACGCGGACUGACAACGAAGUAACACGGACUAACAACCCCGUAACGCGGAUUGAGAACGCAGUAACGCGGACUAACAAGUCUAUAUAAAACGACAAACAACAAUGUAUCACUUCAUCUAAGGUAUUUUAGUUCAUGUGCUUUGUAUGUUUUACAANUUCAUGUGCUUGUAUGUUUUACAAUGGGUUCAAACCAAUGGACCGCUAACGAGUAUUUCCUUCUAGCUCGUGCAUAUAUUAAUGUCAAAGAGAACACCAGUUUGGAGGAUAUAAUGUUUUUCUCCCAACUAACGAAUACCUUCAACACUGACGCUGAAACCACCAUACAAAACCAUCGCAACACGCUUGAUAUAGCUACAAAAUGGUAUGAAUUGAAAACGGAAGUUGUGUUAUUAAACGAUCUUUAUAAUAAGAUUGAAGAUGAUCAUGUCAAUGAUACUGAGGAAGAGAUCUUGGAGGUGUCUAAAGAAGAAUACAAAUCCAUUAGCAACGGACAGAGUUUCGAGUUUGAAGCCCCUUGGAAUCUUUUGAAAAAUGUACCGUUUUUUUAAGUAGAACUGCAUUUUGUAUUGUUCUUGUAUUUCUUUAUUUAAAUGUAAUAUGGUAUUUAUCCUUUAUUUUAAAAAAAAAUAUUUGACCAACAAAUGUUACAAAACCAUACAUUCAAAAAACAUUAUCUGACAAACAGCUUACGCGGACUGACAAAUAAGCUACGCGUAAUGACAACACAUUUACGCGGACUGACAAGUAAGUUCUGCGGAAUAAUGUAUACUAAUUCCUUAUAAAUUUUGACAACCAUGACGAAAAUUUACAAGGUGUCGAAAGUUGUGAAAAUGAGUUCAGUCAAUCAGGUAUUAAGGAAAAGUUUCUCCAGCCUACCGACUUUUUUCCAUAAGCUGCAAAGAAGCAAUCCUACCACCUUCACGUACAUUACGAAGGAUCGGUACAAUCGUUUCCAAAUUUGUUUCGUGGCAUUGGGAUGCGUGGUAUGUAAUCCCUUAUAGUAAAUAAAUAUUUAGUUAUUUCAAGUUGGUAUAUGCCUAAUAUUCUUAUGUUGACUUACAGAUUCGUACAUUUCUCACGUCUAUGAUAUCAAUCAUAUUCGUUGGUCAAGUACCUCUAAUUGGGGCAUAUGUAACAUCCAUGUACAUUGCUUUUGCUUUAGAUGGAAAUCAUGAACCCCUUCUCAUAGUGUUUGCCUUGGGAACCAUAAAUUGUGACAAUUCAUGGUUAUGGUUCAUAAGGAGGCUUAAAGACUGUUUAGGUGACAAUACAUAAUUUGGUUUCAUAAGCCAUAUGUCUGAUUCUAUGGACUUUGCAGUCCACAGAGUCUACCCUGAUUCAUAUCAUGGCUAUUGUUGUAAAAAUAUAGCCAAGAAAAUACGCGCUUCCAUCGGAACCAAUACAGUCGUAGAACAGUGGUUCUGUAAGACGUGUAAAGCAUAUAAUUUAUCUCAAUUUUAUGCAUGUUUGAACAAUUUAAAAAAUGAGGUAAAUGGGAAUGAUCUUCAUUGGCUUGACAAUAUUCCCAUUGCAAAAUGGGUACGGGCUUGUUUUCCAAGAGUAAGUUUCAAUGUUAAAUUCAUUGACAUUCCCGAUGUUUUCAAUUGGUUUAAAACAAACACGCAUGAGUUUCCAAUAACAACAAUCAUUGAAAUGGUUCAUGACUCGAUGUAAGAAGUUUAUCUUCGACGUGCUGUUUUUGGAGGUAAUUAUAAGUUAUGACAUCAUUAAAACGGUGAAUUGAUAUGUUUAUUAUACGUUAUGACCUUAUAAUUUUUUUUAUUGAUUCAGUUGAUUUCACAGGGGAUAUCCAUAAUCUUCUAACCCCUUAUGCACUUAAGGUGAUUCAUAAAAGAUUUAUCCACUCGGAUGGUUGUAGGAUUACGCAUAUUGUUGGCGAUAGAUAUGAAGUGACUAAGUAUUCAACAACCGAAUAUGUACAACUAGACCGUGGUAUUUGUAGUUGCGGUAAAUGGCAAAAAUGCGGUAUACCUUGUGAGCAUGCUAUAGCUUCACUACACAGACUCGAAAUUGCAGAAAUCCAUCAAAUGGUAAAUUUAAAGUUAAGUACAGCGGUGUAUCGAAAUGCUUAUCAAACUGAGACGGUCUAUCCUAUUCCAACCCUUAGGCAUUGGGAAAAACCAGUCGAAAGUGUUGUGGUCUUACCUCCACGCCAAUUCAAUUGAACUUUAUUGUAUGGAUCACAACGAAUAUUAGUUUUUAUUCAGUUCUAUGUUAACCGUACUUGUAAUGGUUUGUUGGCAUUCUUUACUUUUUAAUAAAAAAAAUGUUUACCUUUAAAUAAAUAAUUGUAUUUUCAUAAUUGUAAUAUGUAUGCAUGACAACGACUAGACAAAAAAACUAUGCGAACUGACAAACGCAGUAACGCGGACUGACAAAAACCUCUACGGACUAACAACAGCUCUCUGCAGAGUGGAAGGGACUAUAUAUAGUCAUGGAUGGUCGUCGGAUUUUUCGUAUAGAGUUAUAAUUUUUUAAAUUUAAAAUGACUUCAUCUUCAUCUUUGUAUAUUUGCUCGUGCAACGAAGUUGAUUGUUUCUAUUGUGAUCCGAUCGACCCUUUUCUUGCACCAUCACCAAAUUUAAGAGAGUCAUAUAUGUCGGAGGAUACUUUGCAACAACUACAAUGGGCUGAAGAACAACAAAAAAAAAGAUAAAGACUCGUCUCGGGCUCUCACUGAACGACGUGACCUCAUUGCGGCGGAGUGCAAAGAUGUUGAGGAAAGGAUGACGAUUACAAAAAAAAAUCAAAAAUCAUGGGGAAUGGAAAAAAAAACNCUAAGAAGAAUCUCAAACUGUCUGAAAAAUGGCUUGCUGACAAGGAUGCAGAAAUGAUAGAACUUGGUAGGCAAAAGGACCGUAUGGAAGAUAAAAUAAGAAUAAGGGACGACUACAUAACAAUGGAGAAAGAAAAGUAUCCUUUGCAAUUCCCUUAAGUUAAUUACCGUUGUUGUACGUUUACUAUAUGUUUCUAGUUUGUUGAAUGUAUUAACUUCGAGUAUUAGUUAUUAUUCUACUAGUAAUUAUGCAGUAAUAUAAUCAUAAUAUUACCCAUCAUCUUUAAAAUAAACACACCAGCUCAAAGUAGACAAAUUAAUGUCCUCUAAAACAAAACAUAAUUAAUUAUAAAUACAACAUCAAUCAUUCAAAUCAAACGUUGAACAAUAGUCUUCUCUCUACGUCCCACUCGUCCAACGCGUGUCUUGUGUCCCGUGCGUCUCUAGCGUCUCCUGAGUCCCUUCUGUCCCUUUCCCUUUUCCUUUUGUGUUACUACUUGAUGUCGUAUUAGUUUUUCUAGCCUUUUUUUGUUUCUUUGGGACCAAUGUCGGACAAGUCGCUGCAUUAUGUGUUGUACUAUCACAUCUACUACACCUUCUUAUUAUAGGUUCCUCACCUUGUGACGGAAUACGAUUUCUGUUUCUCGGUCUACCAGCUUGACGUGUAUCCAUUAUCGGGGGUUUCACAACCAUCAUGUUAGCAGGAAUCUCCCAAUCACACGGUUCUGGAAGGGGGUAAACCGGCUCCUCAUACGUACUUCGGUAUGUUUCCAUUUUGUAAGCAUCUAUAGCCAGAUGUCCGAAGUUAGUUUUUUUCAAGUGCUUCAAGACCAUUAUCACAUGACCACAAGGCAACCCAGUUCCUUCCCAAUAUUUGCAUGUACAAGUCUCUUGCCUCAGAUCAACUAUGCCACCAUGUUUGAAAUCAUGAACUUCAUAAAGUGCAUCUGAAACACCAGAAAUGGACCAUCCUGUCGUACGCUCUUCAUUUUUACUAACUACUUUUUCAGCCCACUCGGUUAGCACUGUUGAACGUUUCCCUAUAAAGAAGAUAUAUAUAAUUAACUAAUUAUUCGACCUAAUUAAAGACAAAAUAAAAUUCAUACCUCCUUCGAUGCGACGCUUGUAACACCAUUCCUGUGAAAGACGUCGGAAGAACUCAAGAAGGGGUAUUAUAGGCAUCUUCCUUGCAUCUACAGAUAAAGCAUUCAUGAACUCUGCACUGUUCGAGGUCAUGUAAUCGUAACGUUUCGAUGGCGAAUAUGCUCUAGUCCAUUUAACACAGGGAAUUUCACUUAGAUACGCUGCUACUUGCGGCCUAGUAGAACUAAAUAUAUACCACAAUUCUUCAAAAACAUUUCUUUUGUAAGCUUUCACAAGCCUCCAAAACAACCCUUUUGUUUUAUCAUUUUUCCCAAACUUGUGUACUAUGUUUCCUAGUGUGACAUCCCCAAAAUCUUGGCCAGAAAAGACCGAUUUCAUUGAUGCUUUUUAAAAUAAUUUCAGAGUAAAUCCUUUUGAUUUUAAAAGAGAUGCGGAAUUUGUUCCCAAAAACAAAACAUGAUAAAAUAGAUCUUUUAUCAAAACAUUUCAUAAAGAAAUAUAAUUUCAUUUCAUAAUCAAAACCGGGAUGUCAUGUUCCGAUACAGACCAUAAAGCAUAAACGAUAACAUUACAAGUCAUUCAACAAAUAUUAUACAUAUGCAGACUUGUAAACAAAACAACUUGAUGAUUCAUCCAUCUUAUGCCCUUACGCCACUUCCUGUAAUACAAGUAAACUGAGUGGGUCAGGCUUGGGAGCCUGGUGAGCAUAUAGGGUUUUCAACCCACAAUAAAUAAUUAUAUUUAAUUCAACAAUCAACAAUAACCCGAUUACCCAUUCCCGUUUUCCUUACUUUACGUCCCUAAAACAACAUCUAUUAUAAGGGACCUAAUCUAGGAGUUUCAUCGGGACAAACAUUACUGCAAAGGGGCUUCCUUAGCAAUAAAUAUCCUAAAGGCAACCAUGAGGGGGAUAUAGUUCACCGGUGAACACGUCGUUCACAAGACCUACAGGUUAUGAGCCUACUAGUGUUCCACAGGACUGUCUAGAAUAGUCCGUGGUCGUCAUCCAUACUCUGCUGAAUGACUAGAAUAACACCAACAACAUCGAGGCCUCUCAUCUGUUUAUUACACACCAACUAUCUACCCAUGUUCUACCCAACAUAUUAGUAGAUAAAAAUAUACAUUUGUAUACAUAGUUUAAAACCUGUAUAGCAUGCUCAAUCAAUACAUUUUUCCACAUAACAGAUGAGGUACACACACAUAACACGUAUUUCAUAGAGAAUAAAUCAGAUCUAUGAGAUAGAAGAAAGUGAAUAUACAUCCACACAUAUAGUCAACAAAGUAUACACGUAACACGUAUUUCGUAUAAAAUACUUCAUAAUAAUGUGUUAGAAGAAAAUGACUACACACUCACUUGAUCAGAAGAUGAUCGGGCAACACUACGACUUGUAGAAGUAGUGUUUCUCCGUAGAUCUGGAAGAUCUUCACAUAAACCGGGCUCCUCGCGGGCAGGUCUUCGGCUCUGAAAUCUCACUUCUCGGGAUUCUCGGGACUUCGGAUCUUGCUUCGGGGCUCGCGAAUAAUAUUGGGGCUUCGGGGUAUGAUUGGCAAGCAAAUCGAGGCAAAAACUAGAGAGAAGAAAGAGUUUGAACUAGAGAAAAUGGUUGAUCUCGCAUUCUAUUUAUAGGCUGCUGGGUCUAGGAUUAUGCCGGGCGUAAUUUCCAGGUACGCUGGGCGUACUAAGUACACUGGGCGUAAUUAGGUUACGUUGGGCGUACUUUGACGUCACUGCAUGCGUCAAUUGGUGGCACUCGAGUAUUGGUCAGACAAGUUGCACCCCUCUGAGUACGCUGGGCGUACUCAAAUUACGCUGGGCGUAAUUUGACUCGUCAAACUUCUAAAUUGCGUAACUUUGGCAUACGAGCUCCGUUUUCGACGUUCUUUAUAUCAACGCGUAGGUUAGACCAUACUCUACAACUUUCAUUUAGACUCAAUUUUUACUUUUAUUUUUAUUAUUUAUUUUUAGUAGGCCGGGACAGGAAAACUUCGUUAUAAAUUCAUAACUUCUUCGUUCGACGUCCGUUCUCGCCUAACUUUUCAUCGUUUCACUACUAACAACGAGAUAUUCGAUUCUCGUUUAGAUUGUUCUGGCUAAAAACCGCUCGAUCUCAAAUCGAGUAUUCGGGCUGCAUACUGCCAAGUCGAAACUUCAGANGAAAAUCAUAUUCCUCAUACGAAGUCAGAUUUGGGCGUUCUAUAUAUAUUUAGAAACCUAGUUUCAACUACUACAACAUUAUCCAAAGAUAUCGAGUUUAUUUUACACUUCAUUUUGACGCUAAUUUUUAUUCUUAAUUCAAUUAAAUUAUAAUAAUUAAGAAAACACACACAUAAUUCACAUAAUUCACAAAUAAUACAUUUUUAUUAUUUCAGAUUGGGUUACAAAGGUUAACCUAGACUAUUACAUUGCUAAAAAUGGCAAGCCCAUAAUCACGGGCGUUACAAUUUUCUCCACCUUAGAAUGAUUCCGUCCCUGGAAUCACACAUCAACAAAUAAAUGCGGAUAGCGACCCAUCAUGUCACUCUCCGUCUCCCAGGUGAGAUACGACCCAUUCGUGUGUUUCCAACGGACAAGCACUAACUCAACCAUCUUACGUCGCAAUUUCUUAGUCUUCCGGUCAACGAUUGCUUCUGGUUCUUCAAUCAAUCUUUUGUUUUCAUCAAUUAUUAACUCUGAAAGUGGAAUCAUGUCGGGAACUUCUCCCGUGAACUUCCUCAAGUAACACAUAUGAAAAGUGUUAUGAAUUCCAUUCAGUUCUUCGAGUAGUUCGAGCUUGUAAGCUUGGUUCCUAAUUCUCUGAAGAACUUUAAACGGUCCAAUAAACCUUGGACUUAACUUUCCCCUUUUACCACAUCUUAUAAGUCCCUUCCACGGCGAGACUUUAAGCAAAACCGAAUCUCCAACUUCAAAAGUCAUCGGUCUUCGCUUUUUGUCAGCAUAGCUCUUUUGACGGUCGUGAGCUGCUAACAUUCUUUCCCUAAUUAUUUUCAACUUUUCAGCCGUUUGAUGGACUAUCUCUGGUCCCAUAAACUGCUUUUCCCCAGCCUCAAGCCAACAAGACUGCGUACGACACUUCUGUCCGUACAAAGCUUGAUAAGGUGCCAUCUUAAUGCUCGAGUGGAAACUAUUAUUAUAGGAAAAUUCUACCAAUGGUAAAUGUUCAUCCCAAUUACCUAGGAAUUCCAAGGUACAUGCUCUCAGCAUAUCUUCAAGUGUUUGUAUCGUUCUUUCACUCUGACCAUCAGUCUGCGGAUGGUAAGCUGUGCUUAAACACAACUUGGUACCCAAUUCCUCUUGUAGACUUUUCCAAAACCGUGAGGUGAAACGACUAUCACGAUCCGACACAAUUGUUAACGGAACACCGUGAAGCCUCACAAUUUCCUUCACGUAAGAAUUCGCAAGCUUUUCCAUAGACCAUUUCUCAUUGGCUGCUAUGAAAUGCGCACUCUUAGUGAAUCGAUCAACGACCACCCAAAUCAUGUCGUGACCAUUCUUUGUUCUGGGCAGUUUAGUGACAAAAUCCAUAGCAAUGUCUUCCCACUUACCCAUAGGCACAGGCAAUGGUUCUAAACUCCCGUACGGUUUCUGAUGUUGUGUCUUGACUCUCGCACAAGUCACACACUCGGCCACAUACUUUGCAACAUCAAGCUUCAUCGUCGGCCACCAGUAGUAGGGUUUCAGGUCCCUAUACAUUUUAGUGCUACCCGGAUGAAUCGAGUACAUGGUCUUGUGAGCUUCUUCCAUCAGAAGAUCUCUGACUCCUCCUGUCUUAGGUAUCCAAAUCCGAUCUUGGAACACCUUCAGUCCAUGACUGUUUACACCGAACACCAACGUUUUGCCCAAACGUUCCUCCUUUCUGUCAUUCUUCUCAGAAGCUUCGCUCUGAGCUUUCUUUAUACUUUCCAAAAUAGUUGAGACAACUUCAAUUCUCAACGCUCUUGGCCUUUUCCUUUCGGGAUUGACUUUCCGACUGAGAGCAUCAGCAACAACAUUAGCUUUACCGGGGUGGUAAAGUAUCUCGCAGUCAUAGUCUUUAAGUAAUUCUAGCCAGCGUCGUUGCCUCAUAUUCAAUUCUUUCUGAUUAAAGAGGUAUUGGAGACUCUUAUGAUCAGUGAAAAGUUUGCACUUCGUGCCAUAGAGGUAAUGCCUCCAUAUUUUCAGAGCGAAAACUACCGCUGCCAACUCCAAAUCAUGAGUCGGGUAAUUCUUUUCAUGCUCUUUCAGCUGUCGAGACGCAUAUGCUAUCACCUUUUCUCUUUGGGUCAAAACACAACCCAAUCCAACACCAGACGCAUCGCUAUAAACAGCGAAGUCUUCAACUCCAUCGGGUAGAGAAAGUAUCGGUGCCUCGCAUAGCUUCUUCUUUAACUUCUCGAAUGCUUCUUUAUGCUUCUCACUCCAAGCAUAAGUAGCUCCUUUGUGGGUCAAAGCUGUCAAUGGAGUAGCAAUCGAAGAAAAGCCUUGGAUAAACCUUCAAUAAUAUCCGGCUAAUCCCAAAAAGCUUCGAAUCUCCGUGGGACUUUUCGGUUGUUCCCACUUCAUCACAGCUUCGAUCUUCGCUGGAUCAACCAUUAUCCCUUCUUGGUUGACCACGUGACCCAAGAAUUGUACUUCUCGAAUCCAAAAAUCACAUCUGGAGAACUUUGCAUACAACUUAUCCUUCUUUAAAACUUCUAACACUUCUCGCAAGUGUCUGCCAUGCUCCUCCUGGCUUUUCGAGUAAAUCAGAAUGUCGUCUAUGAACACUAUNGAACGGAUUACAAACCCUGUUCAUUAAAUCCAUGAAUGCUGCUGGAGCAUUGGUUAGUCCAAACGACAUAACCAAAAACUCGUAGUGCCCAUAUCAUGUUCUGAAUGCAGUCUUCUCUAUAUCCUGCUCUCUUACUUUUAGCUGAUGAUAUCCUGACCUCAGGUCGAUUUUUGAAAAAUAACUUGAACCUUGUAGUUGAUCGAACAGGUCAUCAAUCCUCGGCAACGAAUAUCUAUUCUUUAUUGUUGCCUUGUUCAGUUCUCUGUAAUCGAUGCACAUCCUCAUACUUCCAUAUUUCUUUUGACGAAUAACAUCGGAGCUCCCCAGGCCGAUGAACUAGGUCUUAUGAAACCUUUGUCCAAUAACUCCUGAAGUUGCAUCAUCCGCUCCUUCAUCUCCAUCGGUGCUAGUCGGUAAGGUGCUUUUGCUAUAGGCGUCGUUCCCGGCAACAAGUCGAUACGAAAUUCUACUUGUCGAUCAGAAGGUAAUCCAGGAAGAUCUUCGGGAAAUACUUCCGGAUAAUCACAUACGACAGGAAUAUUCUGCAUCACCUUUUUUUCCUUCUUAGCAUCGAUCACGAAUGCUAAAUAUGAUGUACACCCCUUGGUCAAACAUUUUCUGGCUUUCAUUAGAGAAAUGAUUCCAGAAUUUACUCUGCGUUUAUCUCCAUACACCAUAAACGAUUCCUUCCCAGGCGGGUUCACUUUCACUAUUUUCUUCUUGCAUAAAAUUUCGGCAUCAUUGGCGCUAAGCCAAUCCAUUCCCAAAAUGAUGUCGAAACUGUUAAGUUCGAUAUAAAGGAGUAGUUUUCUACCAAAUUCAUGCGAUAUAAAGGAGUAGUUGGCUCCAGAAUCAAAUAAAAUUUGGGCAGACGAUUUGUUUACGAGAAAGGUACCUGAACGACAUCAGCUUCAUCUUUAGCAGCUUCCAGUGUCAUCUGGAAUGCUCUCGCCUUCGGCUUUGGCGAAAUGUUGGGUUUUGUUGCCUCCUUCUUCUUCGGACAAUCUCUUGAUAUGUGCCCUUCCUCACCACAACCAUAACAAACAUUCUUGGUGAGGGUGCAGUCGUUGGCAUAAUGCCCUGGCUUUCCACAUUUCAAGCAUGUGGCUUCCCCGCCGCACUUCCCAUGAUGCUUCUUCUUGCAUUUGUCGCACCAUUUCGCUUCGCCUCCUCCACCCCCUCUCGAACUAGACUUCGAGAAUUUACCCUUUUUGCUGGACCCUGAAGAUCCCUCGAACUUCCUCUUUUCACCAACCUCUGACCUUUCCAGACCUUUUUCCCUGAUCUGGGUCUCAACAUUUCUAGCAGCCCAGAUGGCGGCUUUCAAUGUGGUUGCUUGCUUAACCAUUAGACCAUAGUCCGCUGGUAGUCCAAGGGCAAACUUGUUGACCUUAGAGAGUUCUGUAGGCACCAAAUAUGGGAUAAACUUCAUCUUUUCUGUGAAACUUGCAGCGUAUUCAGUAACGCUCAAUUUCCCUUUCUUCAAAUUCUGAAACUCAUUACUGAUUUCCAGAAGGUCCUGCUCGGAGCAGUAUUGCAGUUUUAGUUGUUCCACAAAGUCUUCCCAAGACAUUUUGCUUGCUUCUCCCUUGGGCAUAGAGUCAGCUAACAGCUUCCACCAACUCAACACGCCAGAUUUUAGCAGAGGGAUCGCAAGAGCGGUCUUCUGCCUGUUGCUGCAUUCGCAACUUUCAAACAUAGUCUCCAUUUCGGAGAUCCAGUCCAUAACUUGCACCGGCGUCGGGCUUCCGGAUAGACAUGGUGGUUUGGAUGCCAUGAAAUCCUUAUACUUGCACCCACGACCAUCAUUUCCUCCAUACUGGUUAUUGCGUCUAACCACUGGUUGUUCGUCUUGACCAAUGAUCCCACUAAAGUUUUCUCCUUCAGACUGCCCUCCAUUCUCCUCGGGCUCUUCCGCUUGAAUUGACGGUUCUUCACGAUUCUGCCUAAGCAGGCGUCUUGUUUCUUCCAUCUGACGAUCCAACAUCAUUUGAAUCAUCAUUUGUACACCAGCCAUUGUUAUCGGCUCAGGUGCAUCAGCUACGACAGGUACUUGUUGAAUUACAGGCGGUUGAUUCCUGUUUUCAUCAGCAUUUCCAACUCCGCUUCUUGUUCUCACCAUUUUUGAUCUACACACCGAAUAAUUUCACCUUAUUACUCCAAACGAUUACAUGCUAGUUCUAAUAUCGUAUACAUACGCUUAGAAUCCUAAACACAUAAACCUUCAGAUCCGGUUGGCAACAAACCGUAGAUCCGAACAAAUAAUAUCAUAUAUGGCAACAUAUAACAUUUAGCACAUAAAAGCAUUUUAGGCAACUUUCCUAAAAUAAACUAGUGCUCGUGUCUAAAAUUUAUCAGACACACAUCUCACAAUCUCCACUUAGCAUACUAAGUUUAAGUCUAGAAAUCCUACAAAUUCCUAGUUCGCUUAAACUAAUGCUCUGAUACCAACUGUGACAUCCCCAAAAUCUCGGCCAGAAAAGACCGAUUUCAUUUAUGCUUUUUAAAACAAUUUCAGAGUAAAUCCUUUUGAUUUUAAAAGAGAUGCGGAAUUUGUUCCCAAAAACAAAACAUGAUAAAAUAGAUCUUUUAUCAAAACAUUUCAUAAAGAAAUAUAAUUUCAUUUCAUAAUCAAAAAUCGGGAUGUCAUGUUCCGAUACAGACCAUAAAGCAUAAACGAUAACAUUACAAGUCAUUCAACAAAUAUAUACAUAUACAGACUUGUAAACAAAACAACUUGAUGAUUCAUCCAUCUUAUGCCCUUGCGCCACUUCCUGUAAUACAAAUAAACUGAGUGGGUCAGGCUUGGGAGCCUGGUGAGCAUAUAGGGUUUUCAACCCACAAUAAAUAAUUAUAUUUAAUUCAACAAUCAACAAUAACCCGAUUACCCAUUCCCGUUUUCCUCACUUUACGUCCCUAAAACAACAUCUAUUAUAAGGGACCUAAUCUAGGAUUUUCAUCAGGACGGACAUUACUGCAAAGGGGCUUCCUUAGCAAUAAAUAUCCUAAAGGCAACCAUGAGGGGGAUAGAGUACACCGGUGAACACGUCGUUCACAACACCUACAGGUUAUGAGCCUGCUAGUGUUCCAUAGGACUGUCUAAAAUAGUCCGUGGUCGUCAUCCAUACUCUGUUGAAUGACUAGAAUAACACCAACAUCAAGGCCUCUCAUCUGUUUAUUACACACCAAUUAUCUACCCAUGUUCUACCCAACAUAUUAGUAGAUAAAAAUAUACAUUUUUAUACAAAGUUUAAAACCUGUAUAGCAUGCUCGAUCAAUACAUUUUUCCACAUAACAGAUGAGGUACACACACAUAACACGUAUUUCAUAGAGAAUAAAUCAGAUCUAUGAGAUAGAAGAAAGUGAAUAUACAUCCACACAUAUAGUCAACAAAGUAUACACGUAACACGUAUUUCGUAUAAAAUACUUCAUAAUAAUGUGUUAGAAGAAAAUGACUACACACUCACUUGAUCAGAAGAUGAUCGGGCAACACUACGACUUGUAGAAGUAGUGUUUCUCCGUAGAUCUGGAAGAUCUUCACAUAAACCGGGCUCCUCGCGGGCAGGUCUUCGGCUCUGAAAUCUCACUUCUCGGGAUUCUCGGGACUUCGGAUCUUGCUUCGGGGCUCGGGAAUAAUACCGGGACUUCGGGGUAUGAUUGGCACGCAAAUCGAGGCAAAAACUAGAGAGAAGAAAGAGUUUGAACAAGAGAAAAUGGUUGAUCUCGCAUUCUAUUUAUUGGCUGUUGGGUCUGGGAUUACGUUGGGCGUAAUUUCCAGGUACGCUGGGCGUACUCAAUACACUGGGCGUAAUUAGGUUACGUUGGGCGUACUUUGACGUCACUGCGUGCGUCAAUUGGUGGCACUCGAGUAUUGGUCAGACAAGUUGCACCCCUCUGAGUAUGCUGGACGUAAUUUGACUCAUCAAACUUCUAAAUUGCGUAACUUUCGCAUACGAGCUCUGUUUUCGACGUUCUUUAUAUCCACGCGUAGGUCAGACCAUACUCUACAACUUUCAUUUAGACUCCAUCGGCUAAUUUUGACUUUUAUUUUUAUUAUUUAUUUUUAGUAGGCCGGGACAGGAAAACUUCGUUAUAAAUUCAUAACUUCUUUGUCCGACGUCCGUUCUCGCCUAACUUUUUAUCGUUUCGCUACUAACAACGAGAUCUUCAAUUCUCAUUUAGAUUGUUUCGGCUAAAAACCGCUCGAUCUCAAAUCGAGUAUUUGGGCUGCAUACUGCCAAGUCGAAACUUCAGAAAAUCAUAACUUCCUCAUACGAAGUCAAAUUUGGGCGUUCUAUAUAUAUUCUGAAACCUCGUUUCAACUACUACAACAUUAUCCAAAGAUAUCGAGUUUAUUUUACACUUCAUUUUGAUGCUUAUUUUUAUUCUUAAUUCAAUUAAAUUAUAAUUAAGAAAACACACACAUAAUUCACAUAAUUCACAAAUAAUACAUUUUUAUUAUUUCAGAUUGCAUUACAAAGGUUAACCUAGACUAUUACAUUGCUAAAAAUGGCAAGCCCAGAAACACAGACGUUACACCUAGUAUAUGAAAAGCACACAAGCCAUGAUGAGCAUGUGGAAAAACAUUUUCAAUACUAACGCGAAUUGUAUCGGCCCUAUCAGUUACAAAAGUCAAUUCUUGACAAUCACUAACACAUUCAUACAACUUUUCAAGAAACCAUGUCCACGUAAGACCACUUUUUUUUUUCAUAUUCCGUGCGUAAGGGGCAGUAUCUGGUUGUUCCCAUCCAUAGCUACUCCAUGCAAUAUGGUUCCCUUAAAAGCACCCUUCAAAUGGGCACCAUCCAUAAUUAUAACUUUACGACAAAAACUUUUGAACGCUCGUAUCUGCAAUAUAUAAAAAUGGAACACAUAAACACUCUAUAAUUUGUUUACAAAAAUUAUAUAUUAAAUAACAACAAGUUUUUUGUAUUUACCGUGCUCCCAAUGGCAUAAAAACAACACUCGAAACAAUCUUCAGAAUCUGUUUGAAUAUACGCAACUGUACCGGGAUUAUGCCUCUUCAAAUUGUGAAAAUAAAUAGGAAGUUUGGCAAAACAUUCUUCAGAGGAUCCCAACAACAGUUUCAUAGCAUAUUGUUUUGCACGCCAAGCUUGUUUGUAAUCUACGUUGAUUUCCAGCAAAGCAUUCAAAUCCCUUGAUAUUUCAUUAGGCCUCCAAACCUUGGAACGAGUUUUUCCCAUAAUCUCAUGCAAUAUAGUACCCAUGACUUUUUUAUUAGCAUGCUUAUGAUUAGGGUGUAUCUGUAAUGACGAACAUGUGUACACGUUGUUGAAAGUCCUGAUUUCAAAUUCAUCAGUGAGAUCAAGGCGUUUUGCAUACAAACGCCAACUACAGUUCUCAAUUUCACAAUAUACCUCAUAACGAUUUUUGUUAGAAUGUUUGGUCUUAAACUGAAACUUUUCUCUUGUUGCUUUAAGAAUCAAUGCAAAAAUUAGUUGUUGUUUGUUGUCAUAUGUUUGACGAACAAACAUAUCAUCAUUUGGACCUAAACUGUGAAAUGGUCCGGGUUCAACAAUAGGAUCAGGACAAUCAGGUAUGGGAGACAUACCGUAAAAAAUGUCUGAAGCUUUUUUCCCGUAUGUGAACUCAUCUUCUGACCAUCCUUCAUUUGACUCUUCACUGUCUGAGAAAGUUUUGUUAGUCAAUCUUCUAAACCCAUAUAAAUUUUUUUCUUCAACCGUAUUCAGUGCCACCGUUUCUUCUUCUGGACAAUCUUCAACAUUAUCAGAUACAAUGUUAUCAACAUUGUAUGGUACAACUUUCUCAGCUGCUUCUGUCUGUUCGACCAAUCCCUGAAACACCUCUAAAUACAAAUGCACAAUCUCCUUCGUUUCAGAAAUUACAUUUCUGAGUUGAUUAACAUCUGCUUCAUCUAAAAUAUUCAUCACAUACCCAUGAACCGGGUGUUGAAAUGACAAUGAUAUAUUACUAUUGAACACCUUAGCCUUACUUUUGACCAAAUCAAACAAUAUUCGAAAAUCAAAAUUAGGCGGAGGCAGUAAACCCAAGUUGUUUAACUUUGGUCUAACGUAGGUGUUAAUCGCAUUACUUAUCUGCAAAAAACCUCCAGUACAUAAAAUAACAAAACUCAUAUUUGGUUUUGAAAAUCAAAUGAAAACGAACUGAUCUAUCGACCAAAAUAAAACAAACAUAUGAAAAAGAAACUUUUGUAUCAAAAAACUCUUCAAAAUCCGCUCCAACCACCCAUUCCACGGAGGCAUUACUCUCUCCGCAGAGACCCAUUCCGCGGAGCAUGAUUAAAAAGGCUAACAACCUAUUGUUCGACCACUUCGCAGAGAUGACUUCAUUCCGCGGAGGUCCGCGGAGGGUCCUCCGCGGAAUGCAUGUCUAUAGCUGGAAUUUUUUUUUUGUGUCUAAAUUUUUAAAUUUCCCCCUUUUUUCGUCUAUAGCCUAUAUUUUCUCUAAAUGAUUUACAUAUUGAAAGUUCAGAAACAAGUUAAAACUUAAACCCUAAAAGAGCGUACAAAUUUCAAUCGUCAACAUACCCCACCACAAAGGCACAAAUAAUCAAAGAAACAAAUGUAGAUGUAGAGGCCUUUUUCACCACAAUCACCCUUCAUCGGCCAUUUCGAAGGCCACGUGAAAUGUCACUAACGUGGCCCUAUAAAUAUCCACUACUUUGUCUUUAACCUUUCCCCCCUCUCAUAUAAAACCCUCCAUCCUCCUCCUUUACCACCAUCACCAACUACCUUCUCUCCUCCAUCAAAAGUAUCCCCAUCUUUUCCGACAUGGCUGCUUCUUCAAUCUUCAUGGCAACUCCCAUCACACUCCUCAAGAAAACUCCCACCUUCUCCGUCAAAUGUAUGUCACAAACACCUCAAAGCGGUGAACCGGGGGUUUCAAAACCAGCAACCACCCCAACACCACCACAGAUCAACAUUCCUCCUCCUCCGCCACCUGCUCCAAAGGUCAGCACGAAGUUCUCUGACGUGUUGGCGUUUAGUGGACCUGCACCGGAGAGGAUCAACGGAAGGUUAGCCAUGAUAGGGUUUGUGUCGGCGAUGGCUGUGGAACUGAGCAGCGGUCAAGACGUGUUCACCCAGAUCGGCAACGGCGGUGUUGCGGUGUUUGUCGGGACAAGUGUGGUGUUGACGUUGGCGUCGUUGGUGCCGUUGUUUAAAGGAGUGAGCGUGCAGUCGAAGUCGAGUGGACUGAUGACAUCAGAUGCAGAGCUUUGGAAUGGGCGGGUUGCGAUGUUGGGUCUGGUGGCUUUGGCUUUUACUGAAUAUGUUAAAGGCAGUGCCCUUGUCUAGAUAAUGUAUCAUAAACUUUUCUAUUACAGAAUUACAUCUAAGAUAGACAAAUGUAUAUUGUUUUGAAUAUUUAUGUUUAUCGAUUUACCAUACAUAGUUCAAAUCAUAAAAAGCAUGUUUUUUGAUAAUAUAGUAUAAAACAAAUAUAAUAUCAAUCAAAUUGAACGAUGUUGUGGUAUCUUUCAAUAUAAAAUUCUCUUUAUAAAAAUAAACAAACAACGUACUAAGAUAAAUUUUAGAGGAAUGAACUUAGAUUAGCAAUAUAAGAGUCAAAGUCUACAAAUUAAGGUAUUGAAAUCCUAGUUUCACAACUUCCUCUUUGAAUGUUGAACUGAGGUGAUCUUCAUUAAUUCAGACUGAAUAAGUGACUUAGUCCAGCCUAGUCAAUUAGCUAAUUUAAGAUGACAAGUAUCCAAAAUUCAAAAACAUUAUAGAGCUCAAUUUCAAACAAAAGUGACAAAUGACUAAUGCUCACAAAACGAUCACCGAAUCAUUCAAAGCAUUUACUAAAAGCCAGUCUAAUUCUUAUUGGUUUGAAAUCUAAUUUUAUCAUCAACUGUAUACAAGAUUGAGAUUGAUAUCAGAGUAAUAAUCUCUAAAAGCAAAAUAAUGUAUUCAAAAGAAUAUAUAUACAAAAUGAAUUAUGUCCCAAGCAGUACUGUGCAUGAGUAUAAGAUUACUAUUAUGUUGGGAUCCAUUAAUUGAUAACUAAGCACACUUCCAAAUUUACUAUAUGGAAUUUAGUUAAGGAUUAAUGUCAAGUGGGGUGCAUCCACCCCACUCAAAGGCCUUGUAUAUGUUACGGUCCCAAGUGAUAUUUUAUAAGGGUCUUUUUGUAGUUUUUCUUUUCCUAAUAUAUUAACAUUUUUUUUUGAUAUUUUUGGAACUUUUUAUUUUCUGAGAAAAGUAUACAAAAUAAUGUAUAUACAAGCUUACUUGAAGAUAUGAUCGUUUAUGAGGUUAUUCAAGACUUAUUCUCUUGAAGUAUCUAUUCCUAGCUAGAUAUGAACAAAUGUGUUUGCAUUUAUCCUUUUUUGCCCUUUGUCAAUUCUUGACUAAUAAGGUAAUGGUAGUUCUUGGUGAGGGAUUCACCUCUGUAUUGAUUCUUCAUUCUAUUUAAAUGUUUGGAUUCACCUCUGUAUUGAUUCUUCAUUCUAUUUAAAUGUUUGGAUUCACCUCUGUAUUGAUUCUUCAUUCUAUUUAAAUGUUUGGAUUCACCUCUGUAUUGAUUCUUCAUUCUAUUUAAAUGUUUGGAUUCAACAAUGUCUAGUUGAGUAGUUCUUUAAAAGCACAUUCUACCAUAUGCAUCUUUAUGUCAAUAUUAAUUGGGGAUUCCAUAAACUGAAACUCUUGGAGCUCAAUAGUGUAGUUGAAAAACUUUUGUUGAGCCCACCACUUACAUGAAAUAGGAGACUUUUUUCAAUAAACUAAGUGGUUCCUUCUUUAUGGAUCAUCUUUUCGUUUCUCCUUUUGAAAGGUCCCCUGGUGAUACUUUUAUGUGUUAAUGAAACUCAGUCCUUAUGGCAUGCUUUUUGGAUAUGAUAGUACGUGACUAUCAAGAGCUUAUUUCUACUCAGUAUAGUCAUACUCUCAUAAGUCUCUCAAGAUUUUACACUCAGAAGCAUCGUUAGAUUGUAUGGCUACCUACCUUGUACUAUAAGCAUGUUUAUUAACAUUUAGGGAUUUAUUUAGAAGGAUAUCAUUUUUCAUAUUUUUUGUCUAACACCAGAUCUUUUUUCUCAGCUCAAUUGUUUCAAGUAAAACUAAGUGUCUUCUUGAUUCGACAACAAACCAUUGGUCAUCUUUCCGAUUUCAAGUAUUUUGCAUAUCCUCUCAAAACUUCUUUAUUUUUUAACACAAAUUCAAAAACUAUUAGGUAUCGGGAUUUUAAGGCUUCUUUAUUUUCACCCUCAAUUAGAUUCAUAUUUUUCAUUGCCUUGCAGAUUUCCUUUUUAGUUUGAGUCUAUUUAUCACGAGCCUGAAGUCAUUUUCUUCCCCUACCCUUGUUAGUUUUGGCUAUUGCUAGUGCACGUACUUCAUUGGCUAAAUGAGAAGACACCUCGAUAAUGGUGGAUGACUUGGUGAAAUUUAUAGGUUGUUCCUUAGGCUAUCCAAAGUGGAGGUAGAAGAAGACGCAUGAUGCUGAAUGGACAUCCAAGUCAUGCGUGAACACUGCCCGAUGGCUUGGCUAUGGAGUCUCCAUGAAGACGAUGCAUUCGAUUGGUUUAGAAUCUGGUCCCUCAUAUUUUCUCUCCUCCUUUUUGUCCCUUCACUACCAACCCACCGGUAAACACCAUUUCCACAACCUAAUGGGUUGAUUGUGGAAUGGUAAACUACCUAUGUGGCGCUGAGUUAGAAGGUGUUUUGGAUAUAACCACUCCCCACAACCUUAGCAUUAGAACAUCCUGAUGCUCCACAUGAACUAAGAACAUCACUUAAUCUUCAUUAAAUACUUUGGGGUUGUACUCAUAAAGUAAAAUAUCUCCCCCCUUAGACAUAUCAUCAUUUUCCUCAUCUGAUGACCAAGGAAUUUGUGGAGAUAUAUGUGACUUUGGAUUAAAGGGGGUUAUAUUGGUCAUCCUUUUUAGACAACUUUUUAAAUUAAUCAAUCCAAGCUCCUAUACCGACGACAUUUUCUGGAAUCUCUUUAGAUGGGGAUGAUGGUUCAUUAAGCGACGACAUUUUCUAACCGUGUACCGACGACAAGUCGUCACAGACAAGUCAGGAUAGGUCAAAAAAGUCGUCGGCAUAGGUGUCGUCGGGAUAGGUACCCCAUAUACCGACGACAUGACGUUGGUACAAGUACCGUCUGGAAUGAUUUUCGAGAAAAAAAAUAAAGUUUUAUUAAUUACUUGUGGCGACGACAUGUCGUCGGGACAGGUGCCACCUAUAGCGACGCCAUUUUGUCGCCACAUGUUUUCCACAAAUAUCAAUCAAAUACCUAUAGUGGCGACUAGUCGUUAGGAUAGCCACUGGGUGUUUUUUUUUUUUUUUUUUUUUUUUUUUUUUUUUUUUUUAGUUUUUACAGAUUUUGUACAUUUACCAUUCGUGCAUUUUUAACAAAUCCAAACAUUUUGCAGCAUAUAUCAAAUAAGAUACAAUAACUGGGUACCAUUGUUUAAAUUCAAAACAUCAAAUUCAAGUUUAAUAUUACAUACCGAAUUAGAUAAAAUAAGUAGUUAACAUUGUUCAAAAUAACACAAAACAUAAACAUCAUUAUAUUCUUUUUUUUUUCUUCUUCUUCUUCUUCCAUCCUCUCGGGUUCACAUUUUGUUGAGAGGUAUUUCCUUGUGAUGUACUUCCUUCUGUGUUGGAAUUGAAUAGAAAACUAGCAAACGGUGGUGGUUGUGUAACAUCCCAAAAAUUUUAACAAAUAUGAACUUUUCAAAACAACCCAUUUAUUAACAAAAGUGUUUACAAAAACAUGAUUUAAAAUUAGAGUCUCCCAAGAUCCACUUUGUUCUAAAACCGAGGAUGCGUACGGUCACGCCUUUGCCUUGCCAUGAAUCAUUUGAAGAAACUGAAACCAUAAACAAAUCGUAAGCAAGAAUCUUAGUGAGUUCCUCCAAAAUACCACCGCACAAACAGAUAGCACAUAAAUAACGACAACAUGUACUAGGUCCACAACUAAAAGACUGGAUUACCCCUGAGCCUAUAAUAUGAAUCUGGCUUGCCUAUUGGGCCCACAACUCAUAUCUGGUUUGCUCUUGAGCCCACAACAUAAGUCAGACUUGCCCCUGGGGCUCACAACUUAUGUCAGGCUUGCUCCCAACUCAAUCAGUCAUCGGACUAGAAUACCAAUGUUCAGCCCUGUGACAACCUGAAAUUUCCAUUCUGAACAAACCAUAUCAAUCCAAUAGAAGUUAGAACAGUUACAAUGAAAUUCCAGACUUUGGGCAUAAGUUUGACAGUUUUUCAGGAUUUACACUUAAGGAGAUAUCAGGAGAGUGGAUGCACUAGGGUUUUGUGCAACACUGUUAUUCCAAAACUCUAGGAUAUUAGGGUUCAAUUCCGGAAUAAAAAUAUUUUCUGCCAAAAAUCUCAGGACUAUAUAUAGAAAUCUGAGCCAUAUUCAUUCAUUAGUUACAUUUCCAACUAGAGAAAAGCCAAAUUCUCUCUCACGGAUCUUCAGGUUUUUAUCCCAAAUCGUGAGUACUUCUAUCUAGUUGUAUUAUAUAGCUUAGAUUGUUUUUUAUAACAUCAAAAUCGGAUCAAAACCCCAAGAUUUGGGAGUUUACCGCCCAAGAACACUUGGAGAGUAAACUCCUUUUUAAGGGCCAAAAGUGUGCCCAAUGUCCCUCAAAGCCUUGGGAAUGAACCUAGAAGCUACCAUUACAUGUUUAAGACCACAAAACAAUUAAGAAUCAUGGCUAGAAGUGAGUUCACGGCCAAGGAAGUUCUUCGUCCGUGAACUCCAUUUUUAUGUGCCAAAAUGCCCUAAAAGCCUUCCUUAAGCCAAGAGACUAAUUUAGACAUGUACCUAGAUGAGUUUAGGACUAGCAAACACCUUUAGAACACCAAGAGUAAGGUGUUCACGGCCCAAGAAGUUCUAGGGUCGUGAACUCCAAACAAUGGUGCCAAAUGGUGCUAUAAACUCUCCUAAAGCCUUGGACAAUUUCCUUGCUUCAUUCUUAGAUAAAUUAGGGACUUGAAAACACCACAAACACCCUCCUAAGGGAGAUUACGGCCGUAAUCUCCAUGGGAUAUGGUCCAUGGCGCGUGAACUCCUCAAAGGAGUUAAAAGGAAGCCCAAACACUUGUUUAAGCCUAGAAGCACUUCACCACUUAAGUUGUAAUAAUGUUAGGCUUCAUUUAGUGACCCUAUAGAGAGUUUACGGCCAAGAGUUUACUCCCCUAGGCCGUAAACUCCAACACAUAUGGUCUUUUGACCAUAAACUCCCAUAAGAGGUCUUGCACUCCUUUGUUGCAACCCAUUAGCCUCCUAGCACUUGACCAAAGUGUUUUCCUCACAUUAGGAUGUUUAUACAUGUUUAAUUAGUGUUAUAAUCACUAAUUGUUUAUAUACAUAUGUCUUCAUAUGUAAUUAGGACCAUUGUGUGUGUCUAAAGUCUUCACUUGACACCUAGCAGUCCUACCUCUUCAGUUCAUCCGUAUCACCCACAACAGGUGAGUUUAUACCUNGGGGAUACAAGUAGAAUUAUGCUAAUUAUUAUAUCAAUCACAGGUGAUUAAUAAGCAGCAUUCAAAUGAUUAGCUACUCAUUAGCCGUUUUACCAAACCGUUUCCUUCAAAUGUUUUUCAUAAACACCUUAUGUGUUUAAAACUCCUUAUUACACUGUACCUUUUAUUCUGUAUGUUUCAAUUCAAACUUAUUUACAAUUGUGUUUCAAACAAAUGUUUCUUUAUACUAAACUAUUUUGUCAAACCCAUGCCUUCAAAACCGUUUUAUAGAUUGACAUCAAGUCGAUCUUUUCUUAGAUAAUAAUUAUGUUCAAAGGUUUUACAAAACUUAUUUUAUGUUUUUAUAUUAUAAAUUGGAUGCCUAUAUAUGCAUAGUUAUAUAAUAAAUGUUGAAAGGACUUAGGAAGGCUAUCCACCCUAUUUCCUUUUCCUCGAUUUGGAUGUGGUCUGGUGGGAUAUCAGGUACCCGUCCGAAGGUUGUUUAAAUAUUAAUUAUAUAUCAUGUGUACGUAUAUAGUCAUAAAAGUCCUUCCAGCUCAGCCAAUGCCCUUGGGUAGCAAGGGUAUAUUUAACAUCCCCCUCUUGCACGUAUCACAAUAUUAUCCGCUUUGGGCCACUCGGCACGAGGACUUCCCAGGGGGUCACCCGUCCUGGUACUACUCCCGCCCGAGCACGCUUAACUACAGAGUUCUUAUGGGAUUUGCUGCCCUCACGGCUUUAAAACGCGUUGUGCUAGGGAAUGUAUCCACACCCCUUAUAAGGAAUGCUUAGAUCUCCUUCCCAGCCGAUGUGGGAUCAGAUCUAACCCACUUUCACCCCCCAUUAUAGGGUUCGACGUCCCCGUCGAACACAUCGACCCAUGCCCUGGCUCUGAUACCAAUUGUGACAUCCCCUAAUUUCUCGGCCAGAAAAUACCGAUUUAAUUUAUGCUUUUUAAAAUAAAAUCAGAGAAAUCUUUUUAAAAGAUGUUGCGGAAUUGGUCCCCAAACAACAUAUGAUAAAAGUUUAUCAAAAUCCUUCAUUAAGAAGGUAUAUAUUUUCCAUAUAUAUCAAAACCUCGGGAUUUCAUGUUCCGAUACAGAUCAAAAGCAUAAACAAGACAUUAUAAGCCUUUCAACAGUUAUUUACAACUACUGGCCUAUAAUCCAAAAAUUCUCUCGUCGUCCUCCGACUAUGCUCAGGGUCCACUACCUGUAAUCAUAAAAACUGAGUGGGUCAGGCUUGGGAGUCUGGUGAGCAUAUAGGGGUUUCAACCCACAAUAAUAAUAUACUUAUUAAGUUCACCAAUCAACAAUAACCCUGAUUACCCAUUCCCGUUGUCCUCACUUUACGUCCCUAAACACCUAUCACAAGGGACCUAGCCUAAGGAUUAUCAUCGGGAUGGACACUACUGCUAAGGGGUUUCCUCAGCCAUACAUGUCCUUAAGGCAACCAUGAGGGGGAUGAAGUACGCCAAUGAACAUUUAAUUCAUCAACACCUACAAGUUGCGAACCUGCUAGUGUUCGACUGGACUAUCUAGAAAGUCUGUGGUCGUCAUCUAUACUCCGCUAGAUGACUACAACAACAACAACAACAACAUCGAGGCCUCUCACCUUUUUAACACACAUCAACUAUUUCAUCUACCCAUGUUCUACCCAACAUAUUUUGUAGAUAAAAAGAAUAUACAGUUUGAAACUUGUAUAAAACAUCAAAUCAAUAGUCACCUUAGUUAAACAAUUACUAUAUUUACACAUAACACGUAUUUCAAGGUAAAUACUUCAUAUCUAUGUGUAAAUUGAAAGUAACUACACACUCACAUAUUUUGAUGAACAUCGGGCAACAAUUCAUUUCCUAAAACGAUCGUUUCUAAUAAAACCGGGAGUUUUAUUGAGAAACUGGGCUCUGCAAAAGUCGGGGUUUGAAACCGAAAAGAUAAAUUUUCCGGGCUUCACGGGCACUUCGUGGAGUAUUCCGGGCUUUACAAUCGAUACCGGGGCUUUGCGGGAUGUUAAGAUGAAGAAAAUAUGGGUUUAGGGGUUAAAUAUGGCAAAAUUUCAAAGUUACCUGGGAGGUCUCGCACCCUUCUAUUUAUAGGGGCGAGGCUUCUGAUCCAACGGAUAGAAAGAGGACACGCGUCGCAGAUCCGAAGGCUCGCAGGGAAGCCUCGCACGUGGCUGCGCAUGGCUCGCACCUGUGAGGGGCUCGCUGGCAGCUUGUGAUUGGACCGAGGUCUAGGGUCCGAAGUAGAGGGUUCGUGGCAUGUUGCGAGGGCUCGGUCUCGUGCAUGAGGGUACGUGUCACCUUCUCAGUGGACCACUUCGGAUAAGGCCAUGUGCUCGGAUGACUCAGCAGCUCGGGUGACUCAACAGCUCGGAUGACUCAGCAGGACACAUGGCACUUUUUCAGCGAGGGUGACGUGGCAACUCGUGACUAUGCGAAUUUUCUCGAUUUUCGCGCCAAAACUUCUAAAAUCCAUAACUUUCGCAUACGAGCUCCGUUUUUGACGUUCUUUAUAUGCACGCGUAGCUAAAAUUACGCUCUACAACUUCCGUUUAGACUUCGUCGGCUAAUUUUGAAUUUAAAUUUUAUAUUAUUAUUUUUAACAGACCGGGACAGGAAAUCCGUUAAAAAUUCAUAACUUCUUCAUCCGACGUCCGUUUUCAUCAGAAUUUUUACCGUUGUGCUCCUAAUGACGAGACCUUCAAUUCUCGUUUAGGUUGUGUCGGCUAAAAAUCGCUCGAUCUAAAAUUCGAGUUUUUUAGCUGUCUACUGCUAAGCUGAAACUUCGAAAAAUCAUAACUUCCUCAUACGAAGUCAGAUUUGGGCGUUCCUUUUAUCGAACUUCUCAGUUUAACGACUACUACGACUUUCAUUUAGAUUACUAAGGCUAAAAAGUAGUUUAUCGAAAACUCACUUUUUACAACAUUCAGCACCGUGCCGGUUUUGUCGCGAAACUUCGACAUGUCAUAACUUCUUCGUUAUAACUCGGAUUUUGGUAUUCUUUAUAUCCCCGAAAUCCUUGUUUCGACCACUACAAAUUUAUGUAAAGAUAUCGGGCUUAUCUCCCACUUUAAUUUUGACGCUUAUUUUUAUUCUUAACUAAUUAAGCCCUAAUAAUUAAGCAUAAAACACAUAAUUCAUAUAAUAUUCACAUAAUUCCUUUUCAUUUCUUCAAAAUGAGUUACAAAGGUUAACCUAGACUAUCAACUCAAUAUAAAUGCCUAGGAUAGAAACAUGAGUGUUACAAAUUGUAUCAAGACAUGUUAUAUGGACGUGUUGAACUUCCGUGUCCAUUUCUCCUUCUGCUGUUUGUUCUUCUAAAGAAUGAGGAAAGAUAUCCAAGUCUAGCAUAUGCAGAGAACUAGCAACAAGUAGAUCUAAGUCGUCCAAGUUGUUGGCAAUUUCGACUGGACUCGUCGGGUCUAGGAAAGUGACUCGGUGAGUCAGAUCAUAUUUCACCAUUUCCACUGUGUUUUCCGAGUCGGCUCCUUCCAGUAGCUUUUCUAUCUCCUCCAAGUCCUUGUUAACAUCUCCAUCCUCUCCAGAAGGUAGCAAAAGCUUGCUUGGAUCUUCUUCUUGCAAAAGUGCAAGUUCUUUUUGUAGUAUCUCAUCAUCCAAAUCGAUAAAUGAGAUAUCUUCUUUUCCUUCCUCUUCUUGCUUGGCUUCUGGUAAAGCUCUAAAUAUUGCUGACUCGUCUCCUACCCUUAAUGUUAGUGUAGACUCGCAUACAUCAAUUAAAGCACAUGCGGUGUUUAAAAAUGACCUCCCCAAAAUAAUCGGAAUUUCGGGGUCUUCUUCCAUAUCAAGCACCACAAAGUCUACUGGAAAUAUGAACUUGUCGAUUUUAAUAAGAAGAUCCUCACAAACGCCUCUUGGAUGAAUUGUUGUCUUGUCUGCCAAAUGGAUCUUCAUGUUUACCGGCCUUGGCUCCGAUAAAUUCAGUUUCUUGAAGAAAGAGAAAGACAUUAGGUUAAUGCUUGCACCUGAGUCGGUCAACGCUUGAGUGACAAAUGCAUUUCCAAAUUGGCACGGAAUUAUGAUACUCCCCGGAUCGCCCUUCUUUUCGAGUAACUCACUCAAUAUUAUUUCCGUGACUUCAGCCAAAUAUUUCCUAGCAGCAAAGAGACCCUUUAGUAAGUUGAAGUACUUGGGUGUUUUAAGCAUCGUUUCUACAAAUGGCACAUUGACUUGUAGGGAUUUAACAUGCUCCAUAAAAGCUCAAUAAGCUUCAACUUUUUCAACUGGCAUGGCUUUGAUUGGGAAUGGCAAAGGGGGAUUAUAUGGCUUUAAGGGAAUGACGGUUUUGUCAUUAACGCAUGGACUCGUCGAGUCCAUUAGAGGGACUCGGCGAGUCUUGUCGGGCUUAGCUGGAGCCGACUCUUCUGCCUUUUCUGUCUUCCUAUUGGAGAUCCUCUGUGCAUGUGUGAAAAUUUCUUCAUUGCUGGAAGUUACUGCACUCACAUUCUCCAUUCUCGGAUUGUUUUCGGUGUUACUUGGAAGUUGACCCGGUCUUCUUUCGUUCACUUGAUGUGAAAGUUGUCCCAGCUGUUUCUCAAUGUUGAGAAUGGAUGCCUGCUCAUUCCUUAGCAUAUUUCUGGUCUCGUGUAUUGCAGCAUCGUGAUCAUUGUGUCUCUUUUCGGACACGGCUAUGAAUCUAGUGAACAAUUCUUCUAAAUCGGCUUUCUUUUCCAUUACCGGUUCUUCCUUUUGAUAAAAUACCCUCUCCUUCUGCUUGUAUUUCUCCUCCUUAUCCUUCUUGUAUUCUUCGUAUGGGAGCCAUUCCUUCUUCGGUUUCCCCCAAUUCUCGUCGUAUCUAUCGCCACUUGAGUAGAACACUUGAGCCUUCUUGUUUCCAUUUUCAUCCAAAUCACAAUCCUUUGUGAGAUGGGGCCCUCUACAAUUCUCACAUCCAACAUGAAUAGCAUGGAUUGUUUGAUCCAUUUUUGUCAUCCUUCUAUCUAGACUAUCGAGCUUAGCUAUCAUCGCCGCCAUGCUAUCAUUUGCCGAGUUCACUACCCCCCGACUUACUUCAUUUAUUGGAUUGUGGUAUUCUCUAGAAUGCUUAGAGAAUUCUUCAAUUAACUCCUUGAUUACCGGGGGCGCCUUCUUCGUGAGCGGGCCUUGUGAAUCGAGCAAUUGCCUUGUGGUGACAUUGACUCCAUCAUAGAAAAUGGAGACCUCUUGUUGGAUAUUGAGGUCAUGGUGUGGGCAAUUUCUAAGCAAGCUCUUGUACCUUUCCCAAGCUUCAUAAAGAGAUUCUCCGGGUUGUUGCUCGAAGUUGGCAAUGGCUUUCUUUAGUUUAGCUAUUUUGGAGGGCGGGCAAAAGUGGUCUAUGAACUCUUCUUUCAUCUUGGCCCAUGUGGUGACCGAUCCGGGAGGAAGUGACUUGAGCCAAUCCUUUGCAUCACCCUUGAACGUGACUGGAAGCAUGCGAAGUAGUUGGGUCUCGCGAGGCAUAUUUGGUACAUUGAAGUAGUCAGCCACAUCAUUUACUUCAUCCAAGUGCUUGUAGGCGUCUUCGUGGUCCUUCCCAUAAAAAGGAAUCUCCUUGAGUUGAGCGAGAAUAUGGCCUUUUAGUUCGAACGUAGUGGUUGCGGGAAUUGCGGGUUGCACAAGUCCCGAGCCGGUGUCAUCGCGCAUCCUUUUCUUCCAUUACCCCAUGGGGACUUCAUCGAUAUUAGCCAUAGCGAUAGCUAAAUCGUCUUCAAACUCGGAUUCUUGCUCGUAUGUGGGUUCUUCUUCUUCCUCGGUCUCGUACUCGAUGUCUUCUUGAAUUGGGUCUCUGAUUGUCAAAGAGGCACUGGAUGCUCCUGAUUUGCUGCUCCUUGUCUUGCUGAAAACGGACUUGAGGUUUUUGAGUGGUAAGUUCUUUGAAGAAGCGGAUUCUCCAACGGUUUUGCCUUUGCUCCUCCUUAGUGCGGAUUCCGGGUCUUCAAGAGGAGGGACCAGAGGUGUAUCAGAUCCUCAGGUCAUGAAACAACUGUAAACAAAACAAAAAACGCGUAAAAAGAACAAAAAAUAAAUAAAAAUUAAAACUGUGAAUCAGCGAUGUACUCGCCGAGUCGGCACGAGUGCACUAGGCGAGUCUGGUCAAAACAUAGAAAAAUUUUUCUAGUUACUUUAAAAACGGAUUUUUAUUAAAACUUAUACUACUUACUAAAUUACCUUUUAAAUAACUUUGUGUAAGAUAAAUCCCACACAAAUGAUCGAUUAAAUUAGAAUUUAACGUUAAUUUUAGAACCGUUCCCCAGCAACGGCGCCAAAAACUUGAUGUGUGCAAACUCACUUAGUUUUAAACCUACUUUUAAUUUUAAAAUAAACACACAAAGGCAGUGGACCUAUCAAUUGUGGUAUAGUUAAAUAAGUAGGGUAUCGAACACAGGGAACGGCAAAUUAAAACUAAAAACUAAUUCUAUCUAAAUUAAUUAAUAAGUAGGAGGUUUUCUCUAGUUUUUCAAGACUAGAAACUUACUAACUAUUACUUAUUCUAAAACUUAGAAAAACAAAGAAUUAACUAGAUUCAAUAAUGGGAAGGAACUUCUGUUUAGUUCAACUCAAUUGAUCCUAUGGUUGAUAUCAAGGUAAUGGUGCAAUGGAUUAACUCUUUUGUUGGUUACCGAUUCAAGUGAUUAGAUUUGCGUUCACUACACUAAUCCUUAGCAAAUAAACUAACUUAAACAGUGGCCAGUUGUCUAAUUUAAUUAAAUUCACUAGAUUAAUUAUUCGGGUUAAUUUAGACUUGCAAUAGUUAACUAAUUUGGUCCUUUAAUUAACUUNUUUGUUGAUGGUCAUCACAAGCUCACACAUGAAUUUACUCAAUUUUCUUAUUAAUUCUAGUUUCAUGUUCAUUAAUCCUAGACAUAUGACAAAGUGGUCACAUAGCAUAUGAGGUUGAUAAUCAAUAGAUGUUCAUGCUAUUCAAUUACCUUCCUAUUAAUAGAAAAUUAAUUAUCAUUCACACACAAGGUUCUUUAGCAAGCUAAAAUAACAAAAAUCACUAACUUUAAAUUAAUCCUACCAAUAAUCAAACCAUAGUAUCAAUUUUGUAUCCCCAAACAGAAGUUUAAGAGUUUUAGCUCAUGAUUGAAGUAAAUUACAGCAAACAAACAGAUUUUAAUUGUUUAACCAUUAUGAAAAAUAAAAAAUUAAGUAGAAUGAUGAAAUUUGCCUCAAAUCUCCUUCGGAAUUGGAUUCUAGCUUGUAUCUUCGUCCUCUAGGUUUUUUCUGACUCUUCAAUCGCAGCUAACCUCUCCAGAAUCGUUCCAGAAUUCCUCCCCAUCGUUCUCAGAAGUUAUCUUUAUAUAUGCAAAACGACUCGUCGAGUCAGAUGCCGACUCGUCGAGCCCAUCUCUAAGUCCCCGUAUGCGAUAAGUCUCUAGGUCUCCGAGUCUUUAUCUUCUCGAAUAUUCGCUUGGGCUCGCCGAGUAGUUGACCCUACUCACCGAGUAUGUGUUGUUUUUAGUGUUUUUCUUCUUUGUUCGAUUCCCGAGCUCUCAACCGCUUCUCCUGCUUCCUUUUGCUUCCGAGCUUCACUUUUGGACUGAAAACAUAAUUCAAACACUUUUAAGUACCUUUUGUCCAUGAAAUGCAAUAAUUUAGCUAAUAAAUGAAUAAAAAUCUACACUUAAUAUGAACUAAAUAUGCACAUAUCACUUUCCUUAGAUUCAUAGUCUCUCCAACCAAAAUUCCUAGAUAAUUGAAUGGGAUGGAUGAAGGUUCACAUCCAAGAGGAGCUGCCCAAUUUAUUACUUCCAUGUGGGUAGCUCCUAUCCCAUACACCUUCGAUUUCCUAAAGUUCACCUUUAGCCCCGAUGAUACACAGAAGCACCUUAAUAUCCGGGCCAAGUUUGCAAUAUUUCGCCUUGACCAUUAGCCUAUAAACAGUGUGUCAUCUGCAUAGAAUAAAUGAGACAAACAUUGAUUAGAUUGUGAAAAUUUGAUGCCUUCGAAGAUUCCUUUUUCCACAACUGUCUUCAUCGCCUGAUUUAAUCCUUCAAUCACAAUGAUAAAAAGAAAUGGGGAGAGUGGAUCUCCCUGUCUGACACCUUUUGACAUAGAGAACUCCUUGGUCGGACUGUCGUUGAUCGACUGGGAAGGAGAACUAAGCAUUCCUUAUAAGGGGUGUGGAUACCUUCCCUAUCACAACGCGUUUGAAAACCGUGAGGGAAGCAGAUCCCAUAGGAACUCUGCAGUUAAGCGUGCUUGGGCGCGAGUAGUACCAGGAUGGGUGACCCCCUGGGAAGUCCUCGUGCCGAGUGGCCCAAGACGAACAAUAUUGUGAUACGUGCCAGAGGGGAAUGUUACAAAUGGUAUCAGAGCCAGCGCACAGUUCGAUGUGUUCGACGAGGACGUCGAACCCUAUAAUGGGGGGUGAAAGUGGGUUAGAUUUGAUCCCACAUCGGCUGGGAAGGAGAACUAAGCAUUCCUUAUAAGGGGUGUGGAUACCUUCCCUAUCACAACGCGUUUUAAAGCCGUGAGGGCAGCAGAUCCCAUAAGAACUCUGCAGUUAAGCGUGCUCGGGCGGGAGUAGUACCAGGAUGGGUGACCCCCUGGGAAGUCCUCGUGCCGAGUGGCCCAAGGCGGAAAAUAUUGUGAUAUGUGCCAGAGGGGGAUGUUACAGUAUAUAGCCAUGUUCAUACGUACCAGUUAAAUUACUAGUAAGCUAUUGACUAUCCUACACCUUGCUGCUUGCUACAGCCGGACGUCAUUUCUUUCUACAUAUAGAUCAGUUAAGUCUUGGUAGAAGACUCCCUGUUAUAGUAGUAGGAAUCAUAGGGAUUUCUAGAGUUUUUCAAACGUUUACAGUUGUUUUACAUACAUUUUCAAUACUUACGAUUUACAUACAUUUUCAAUACUUACAAAUUCUUACAUACAAAUUCUUACAUACAAAUUAAGACACUAAAAUACUUAUGAUCUCACCAGCUUCAAAGUUGAUACUCGCUUUCAAAAUUACUUGUAUCCUCAGGUCAAACAUAGACAGGUACCGAUGCAAGGUUUAGAGAAGAUGGAGCUCGUUCAAGACUCAUCUUUCAUUUUGAUUUAUGCCUUAGUGUUUAUCAAAAUUUGACAGAACACAGUUGUAUAAUAAUUAUAUUAUUAAUGCAAUGGAUGAUGUUGCUGCUUGUUUACUACUUUUCAUUGUUGUGAUAUUGUACAUGACGUCCUCCGCCCCAGAACGUUUCCGCGGUUCUUGGUUUUGGGGUGUGACAAGCCCUCAGUAAGAGUCUAGCAUACCAACUGGUCCUCAGAUCAUAUCUGGAAUGCUACUAAUCCCCCAGUAUGAGUCUGGCAUGCCCCAUCCGAGACUCAACUCAUAUCUGGAUUUCUCCGAUACCCUCAACCCCUUAGUACGAGUCUGGCAUACCAAUCGGGUCCUCAGCUCGUAUCUUGAAUGCACCUGAGCCCUUAGUAUGCGUAUGGCAUGCCCUAAUCAGCUCUUAGCUCAUAUAUGGAAUGCUCCAGGGUUUGUUGGCUACAGAACGAAGCAGUACAACCUCAACCCAACACAAUAUGUCGACAAAUAACCAACAUAUACAGAUAAUCAUGCACACAUAAUCAUAGGUACUCCUAUAGAUCUACCAUACUAACAUAUCGGCAACUAGCAUACUCAUGCAGAUCUAUUCCAUACUCAGAAUAUUAGUGAAUUGUAGGAUAACAAACCAAUACACCGGCAUUGGUGCCUUCGACUCGUAAAUAUAGUGAGGAAAAAUCACAUCGCACUGCUGAACAUAAAGACGAUCCAUGGUUGAUGGCUGCCAGAUCCCCGAACCGCCAAUAUCAAGACAACACCCCAUCACAGCUGAUCCCAUGAAUAAUUUCUGACUACAGAACCACUAUGAUCCACGUGCUAUCAAAUACUACAAUGACAACCCAUCAAUAGACCUGGCAAUGGAGCGGGUUUGGAGCGAAUCAGCCUUGAUCCAAACCCUUUUAACAAAUUUCAAAAUCCGAUCCAAACCCGCUCCGUAACCCACAGGGUUUUAAAUAAUCAGACCCAUACCUUUAUCCGCCGAAUCAACGAAUAUUCAAGCCCGCCCCAUAACCCAAAGUUUUUUUAAAUAAUCAAACACAUUUUAAUAAACUCCUAAAAUAAAAUUUCUUAAAUAAGAAACUGUAUACUAUAUCUUAAUACUUAAAAUAACAUUUUUUUAAAUAAAAAAAAUUGAUUUAGAAAAGGACAUUACAUACUCGAAGAAUUUCAAUCGGAAUUAAAAAUCACUAUUGCAACAACUUUGAAUUGAUUUAUGACUGUUGGUUGUAGUGAUAGCGAAUUGCAAUUGCCAUCUUUUUUCAUGUUAAAAAUUGAUUUAUUGAAUUAGAAAUGGAUAUGAUGAUUUCUUGAUGCAAAUAAAUUAAAUGACAUUAUGAUUCUUGAUAGAAAUCUAUAAGUUUAGAAUCUGAAUUAUCGAUUCCUAUGUAAAAGCAUUUUUUUUCUUUGGCCUUUGCAUUUUGGACUUUUGAUUGGUAUUAAAAUUAAACGUUAAGAAGUAUAAAAUAUAAAUAUAUAAUUCUAAAUUUAUAUGGGGCGAGUUAUAAAUGGAGCGGAUCGGUGAUGAUCCAUACCUGACCCAUUUAAUAAAAGGGCUAGUGGGAAUGGAUCGUUAACGGGUAAACGAAUCAAAAACUACACUCCAAACCCAUAUAAUUCUUACGAGUUUGGAUCGGAUUAGGGUCAAAACCCACUUCAUUGCCAGGUCUACCCAUCAACCUUUAGCCCCUGACUCACGUUAUGAGUGAAAAUUAGGGUAAAAGACCUUUUUAUCCUUCUUAAGCUUGGCCCGAAGCCAAGGCCCAACUAAAUGGUUAAUGGCCCAAAAUCCAAAAUAGACUUCUAAGGCCCAAAUAUGGCCCAAUUUUCCAAAUUGGGCCCAAUUCCUUUCUUGGGCCUUCAGCUAAGAAAGUCCAUCAAAACAAAAGCCCAAACCAUAAAAUCUAGAUGGCCUAACAUGGCCCAAGACAAUCCGAGCCCAAAACCGGAGCCAAAAAUGAAGGCCCAAUAGUACCGCAUACGCGGGGAGUACUCCAAAGGCACACUUAGCGUACAUGAGGCUGCGUAGAAUCCACCAUUGGGGUGGCAGAUUGGGUAUGCGGGGCGUACACCUCCCUACGCGGGGCGUACCCUCUUAAAACUCAAUUUCUUCAUAACUGCUUAAUGGCUUAGCAUUUGAGCUCAUACUUCAGAUCCAAGGUCCAGAGCCAUACUAUGGCCAUAAAAUUCCCAACUUUAUGAAUUUCCACGUCCAAAAAGUCCUUAAUGAAAGGUCUUAAUGGAUUAAUACUUUCUACAAGAAGUAUGGAGAAAAACUAGCUAAGGUGAUCUCACUUUUAUGGCUUAGAACCCCUCUUAGGGUCUGAAAGGACAGCCCAAAAUGACCAAAACCAAACAUGCAUAACAAUGGGACUUUUGGGACAAAAAGAACAUCAUAAUGCUACCAAAAUGAGAUCCAAGCAAACAAAGCAUAAAGGUAGAAACUUUUUACCUUCUGGAGCUUCCCAAGAAGAUGAUGAUCCAAGAUCCACAAGCUUGCUUCAACUACUAAUCUCCUUGAUGCAACUCCUUCUUCCUUAAGAACACAAAGAACACACUUUUAGCUCAAAACACUCUCUUAUUGGGUUAGGGUUGCCAAAAAUGACUCAAGGGUGUGGAGGCUGAAAAGAUGAGGCUAAAUGAUCUAUAAAGGUGAUUAAAUACCCCACAAACCCUAAAACUUAGGGUUUUUUCUAACAAGAGUACACCCAUCGUACAUAUGAGUACGCCCAACAUACUAGGGUACACCCUAGUAUGCUUAGCGUAUGCACAUGUACGCUUAGCGUACCACUCCUUCUCCCAAAAUUACGAUUUUUCCAAUAGGGCUUCUUGCGACCACUUCCUUCCAAAACAAGGACCAAAAUGGUAUACUCUAAAGCCAAGAGAUGAAUUUGAAAAUGCCUGAAAACUGGGGCAUUACAGGUUGGGAGUUCGGAAUACAUGUCGCCAAUGAUGCAUUAUAUUGUUGCAAGUAUUCUUGCAUUUGUUGUGCAUUAGAUUGGGAUUGAGAUUGGAAAGAUGUGGAAGUUGAAGCACAUUUAUUUGGAAUUAGACCGAAGUUGGUGACUGGUCUCCUACCCACUACGCGAGCCUGCCCUUGUCUCGUCCUGAGGGCACGUGCAAGCCAUUCUUCCUCAUCUACUUCUUCACCUUACCCGACCCCGCUUUGCAUUUUCUCGUAUUUAUCUUGAAUCUUCUUCUAAAAUAAACAAGAUAAUAAACAUACGAUAAUUAAAACAAACAACUAAACUUAAACAUUAAAAUAAUAAUAAUAUACCUUAGACAUAAACUAUAAUUAAUAAUAAUAACAUAUUUAACUAACGUAUUAAUUUCGCUUAUGACUUACCUAAUCUUGUUGUGCUCGACUUGUACACCAACCCUAGCCUUCUUUGUAGCGCAUUUGUCUCCAACCCUCAAUAUGUUGCGGCUUCAGUCCUAGUUUUUCCUGUAAUAUGUAAAAAACAAUAAAUAUAUUUAUACGAGUGAUAGUAACAUUUUUAAAUAAUACUAAUAUACUUUAUUACUUUUAAAUGACGUCGUUGAGCAUACGACCUACAUCCAUGAGAACUUGUGUCCGGAAGUUUAAUUCGACCUAGUAACUUUAUUUUUGGCCGAUGUGUGUAUAUAUUCAUCAGUAAAAAACAACAUGCCAAUCGUCUUAUUCUAAGCUUUGGCAGACCAAUCAAUCUGUGGAUGUUUUUUUGUCCUUUCCACAUCCGCAUAUCCACCAGCUUUUUCAAAAUGAUUUUCCAUGUCAUGCUUGCAAUCUCGAUAAGCUUUUUGCAUACUAUCUUGGGUACCCGCUCGAACGGGUUCCCACAACUCUGUGCCCUAGUGCAUAUCGGGAUCAAAAUAAGUCUGCAAAAAAUACAUAUUUGAUUAGUAAUAAGAAAUAUUUAAUAAGUGUAAAAUUCAAUACAUAUAAAAUAUUUUGUAUAUACUUACUUCUAGCUCGAGAUAUAAAUUAUCUUCGUACUUGGUAGAAACAUGGCGCCAAGAAUGAUAAUGCAACAGUACCUCUGAUCCCACCAGAUUUGAGAUCAAUCUAACAAAUAAGUGUCUGUUGUCCCGCACGAAUCGAUACGUCCUCCUGGAGGUAUCAAGGCUCACAACCAAAGGAUUACUACCUUUAUCUUCAUACUCAUCGUACAAUUUUAAGUUUCUCCAUCUGCCAUGUACAUUCACAUUCUUCACUUUUGUUACAUUUACACAUAGAAUUGGAAAUUUAGAAAUUUAAAUCCAAUACUUAAUAUUUUCAUGUAACUUACAUGAUUGGCAACCCGAUGGUAAACCAUGUGUGACCAUGUGUGGGGCUCUAUCACCACUGUCUCCUCCAUGUUACCUCAUGACUUCUGCCAUUUAUUUAACAAAUAUUAUAAACAUUCAAAAUCUAUAAUAAAGCUACUUAUAAAUAGGCAAAAUUUAAAAACUUAACACAUAUUAUAAACAAUCAGGAUAUAUAAUAACCGUAACAUACCAUCAAUGAGAAUCAUCACUAGAACAAUAUAACAUCAUCAUCGUUAUCAUAGUCUUUGUUAUUUAUUUCUUCUUCUGAAGAGUACGUAUCCCCACCAUCAUCGUCAUCGUUAAUUGUCACACCCCUGAACCAGACGACGGAAACGUCUGGGGGCUCGUGUGACUAACAAUUGAAUUAUCAUCACAAUGAAUAUACAUGAAACAUUACACAUUCAUCACCAACAUUACAUAUUACAACCAGCAUUGUUCACAGCAAGUACAUUGUUAAAGAUUACAUAAAUUCAAAGUAUUAAUAGUAAGAUAGGUGAUGUUACACAAAAUAAAUCGAUACACUUGAAAAUCUUCCUGCUUAACGAUUACCUGAGAAUACCAGUUAUUUUGAAAAACGGUCAACAUAUAUAAUGUUGGUGAGUUCAUAAGUAUGUGUGAAUAAAAGUCUUUGCAUCUUUUGUAAAAACCUAGAAAAUCUGAUAUUUUCUGUAAAAUGUCUUAAAAUGAUGUGAAAAUCAAGUAUAAAUGCAUGUGUGAAUUUCAUAGCAAUAACAUAUAUGAUUUCAGUUUAAAUUUCUUUGUAUUUUAAGUAAGUGAUAAAUGAAUAAUAGUAUUUCCCUAGAAAAUCUGAGUAUUUCCUGAUUUAUAAUAAUGUCGAGGUUCUUGUAUCAUUAAUUAAGUUGUUUCGUAUUGACACAAUCGAAGGGUUAAUCUUCGAAAUGUCAAAUUGGUAUUGGAUCUCUAUAUGAGCAGUUAUAACCAUGUAUGAUAAUGACUAGGUUGUCUUUCUUGGCAUUUUCCAAACGUCGGUAUUUGCUCAAGGUUUUGUCGCCCAAGACUGGCCUAGUCUAGUUGUAGCGAACAACUAAGGCGUGGGGGGUCACCCCAUAUAGAUCUAUACACAAACUCCCGCUCUCCCUCCAGGAAACUCUGGUUAUAACUACAGACUACGAUUGUACACUCAGAGGUGUCAACCGACAUGUCUCACUAGAUUCUCAACUUUUCAUACCAUGUUUAAUGUUUACGUGAAUGUUGUAUGUUUUCAAAUCCAAAGGUAUAUAUAUAAGUAUACGAACUUUAGGGCUGGCAAUUGUUGACACGAUACGCGACACGACAUGAAAUAAAUGGGUUUGGGUUGAGUUUUUCAACCCGCCAACCCGCUAACCCGUCAACCCACCAACCCGUUUAUUAAACGGGUCAUAUAUGGGUUUCUCAAAAAAUAAACGGGUUGACCCGCCAACCCGUUUAUAUUCUUAAUAAAAAAAUUAUUAUAUUUUUAAAUGUAUUUAUGUAUCAAGUAUUAAUAUUUAAUAUGUAUUAUAUAAUAUAUACCAUUUAUUCAUAGACCAUUUGAUUGUUUUGACAUUAUUACUCGUGGUGGAUGGUCUAAGGUCAUAAGUCGUAACCUAUAAGACUAAGUCUGUAACAUGUUUCUAUGAAUGUUUUUAAUUUUCAUUUGGAUGUUUAAGACUUAAAUAUCUAAAAUUUAGACCCACGAACCCAAAUCUGACCCACGAACCCGCCAACUUGUCAACCCGUAUAAAUAAAUGGGUUGGUGGGUCAUAUAUAGGUUUAAGUUCCAAACCCGCCAACCCGUGACCUGUAUAUUUAAAUGGGUCGUCAUUGGGUUGGCAUAUUUUGACCCGCCAACCCGCCAACCCGCGACACGCCAACUCGAACACAACACGAUUGCCACGCCUAACGAACUUCAAGAAUUAUGUAAAGGUAUAGUUACAAUCUACUAAGCAUGUGAAUUUCAGUCCAAGCCCAACUAGCAUGUAAAUGGACCACAAAGGUCCAAUGACAUGUAAGAAGGUAAUUUAGACCCAAUAGGCAUGUAAGUGGACCACCAAGGCCCAACAAACAUGUAACCUAUAGCUCAGGCCCAAAUUAACAUGUAAAUGGGUCGCAAGGCCCAAUAAACAGGUCAUUGAAAAUAUUGGGCUCAAUAUAUACUUGAAUGGGCCCUUAAGGCCCAUUGGCCAUGUAAUGUGAAUAUUAGGUCCAAUAAAAUUAUUAUCGAUGUAUUUCGUCAAUUCGUUAUUAUUUCAUGGUUUGCUUUAGCUCGAUGUUUACCGAAUUAAAUAUAAAAGUCCCCUUUUUGUAUAAACGACGUUCUUGGCCAAUAAGACUAAAAUUUUGAAUUAAGGCCCAAAGUUUUGUAAAAAUUAACACUUUAGUCCAUAAUGUAUAAAAAUUUGUAAUUUUGCCCCAAAUGUUUAGAAAUUUACGGAUCUAGUCCAAAAAAUUAUAUUUUGACAUUUAUGGCCCAGUUUCGCAGAAUAUUACAUUUUCAGACCCUUGUUUGUAAAAAUGACACUUUUGACCCAGUUUUUAUAAAAGUUACAUUUUUGGUCCAAUUUAGAAAUAUAUGUUAUUUUUACCCCUAAAUUUGGUUUAUUUACAUUUAUGACUAAAACUUUGGUCAAAUAACAUUUUUAAUCCCAAAACUUCCAUUUUUUCGCAAAUUUGGCCCCAAAACCGUGAGGCCCAAAUAUUCAGCCCAUUAGGCUAAAAUUUACGUUUUUGGCCCUUUGGAAAGCAUGUUUAUCAUAAAAAUCCCUUUUUAUACAAACAGGACCUGUUUGGUCCUUUAAAAACCGUAAAUGUCACUUUUUUCCCUUAUCUUUUGUUUUCUUGACAGUUUUGACCCUUAACAAGGUUUUUGCUUUAAAUUUUUGUAUCUUAAACAUAUAAACACUUUUAACUUGAUAAUAUGAUGUAUAAGGUGUUUUAGUGUUGGAUUAAUGUCUAAGUUUAUAACUAUAAUUGGUAAGACUUGACCCGAUCCGGCAUGGUCCAUUUGGGUUGCAUGGCAUCAUGCACUUGGAUAGACUAUAAUGAGAGAAAUAAGACACUUAUGGUUAUUAAUAUAUUAUAAGUUCUAGUAUAUUAAUAAUAAGAAUAAUAAGAUUAUUUAAUUAGUAUUGAUCAAGAAUUAAUCUAGGAUUAAUUAAGUGAUCAAAAGAAGACUAAUUAAAUAUAUGGGUUGAUUGUGUAAAUCAUCCAUACUUAUAUAGUGGGCUAAUGCUCCAUGGAUAAUCAAGUUGGGCUAAAACCCAUAGGAUGGUCCAUGGAUGCUCCAUGGUGUAUUUGAACCCAUGGAUCCAAGGAAAUGGAAAGUCAUGACAAUUAGGGUUUACCCUAAUUGUAACACUAUAUAAAGAUCUUAUUAUUGACCAAAAUCGGCCACUAGAAUCAUUCUAGAGAAGGGCUAGCCGAUUUCAUGUAGUGUAGAUUUCUCUCAAGUUAUUCCAAGUGUAUUUGGUGUUGUGUGAACCAUUUGAGGUGUCACACUUGGGGCACUAGACACUCAAGCUUCAUGAAGACUUUCUACAUCAAAGAAGUAUGUAUUCUAUCUUGUUACAUUCAUUGUUUUGUAUGCUAGAUUAGGAUAAUACCUUGGAAGUUCUUAUUUGCAUGUAUAAUAGAGAAAACAUAGAUCCAAGGUAUUUAGGGUUGCAUGUACACUUAGGAGUGUUAGAAUGCUCAAAACCCAACAGUGGUAUCAGAGCCUAGGCUUGUUUUCUUGUUAUACUUGCAAAAGAAGCUGAAAAAUCGAGUUUUGAUGCUGUCUGCCCAGCAGACUCGCCGAGUCCAUGAAUGGACUCGCCGAGUCCAAGGCAAAAUGCAUCCAACUCGCCGAGUUGGUUCGUGCACUCGACGAGUUGGACCCCCAGACAGCAUAAAUUCGACUUUUUUGGCUGGAAUUGGACUAGGAACAUUACCCUAAGAUGUUUUUGGACUUAUAAACUUGUUUUUGAUGUGGUAAUGUUCAUGCUAAUCCAAUUUCAAAGAUAAUUGUCAAUAGAUUCAUGUUUUGUAUUAGUUUAAGGUUUAGACUAAUUACAUGAAAAAGUUUGAUUUGAAUUAUCUUGUUCUUAUGAGUUGCUUAGAUUAAUAGAAAAGUUGAGUGAAAUAGUUGUUUUCAAUCCAAAUUAAUCUAAGAGUUGAUUCUAAAAUGUGUUUUUGUAACUUGUCCUCAAGUUAUAUGAAAAGUCACAUUUAAGUUUCAUAAAACUCAUAAAAGUUGGCAAAGGUUACAAAAUGAAGAGUCUAGUUCUAAUUAAAUGGUUUUAUGACUCCAUAACUUGUCCUCAAGUUAUGGAGGACCAAGAGUCUCUUCAUUAAAUAAUAAAUAAAAAAAAAAAGUAACCUUAAUUAAUUCCAUAAGUUAUAAAAUAAAGAAAAGUUAAUUCUUUUAUUAGUUUAAAGUCUUCCAUAACUUGUCCUCAAGUUAUGGAACUUGAAGAGUUUUUGGAUUAAAACUACUUUAAACACAUAAGUUAUGGAAUUAAUUAGUUUUGAAUAGUUUCAAAACUUGCCCUCAAGUUUUGGAAUUUGAAAAGUUUUCACUUAUGAAUACUUUAAUUCCAAGUUAGCCCUUAGAAUUUUAAAAGUUAAAAUUCAACCCUUAUACUUUAUAAUAUUAUAAGUUAAUAAUAUAUAUAUGUAUAAGAGUAAAGUCAGUCUUACCGCUAGUACGCCUCAUUCACGAAGCCGGUCUAUAAGGUGGGUAUAAGGUUGUUGCCUAUAAAAUGGCAACUUAAUGGGUGUCCACUCUCACCCACCGCUUGCUUGACUGGUGGAGGGUCGUUAGCCGAACGGGUUUGACAGGACUAGAAUUCUCCCUUCAUUAAAAGUAUUAAUGAUAAUACUAAGUAACUAAACUCUUAAUAAUACCCAAUCUUAGUUACUUAGGAAAAAUGUGAAUAAGGUGCUAAUCCAUGAAAUUACACUUUGCACUUUGUUUAAGUCGGUUAGUGGAGCGUGUGUGGUUAACCGGCACACUAACUCGUAUUUAACAAGGUAGGCAAAGGGUAACUUAAUGUUUAUCAUAGUAUCGAUGGAGCGUGUGUGGUUAACCGGCACAUCGAUUGAGGGGUAAACACUUAAGGGUACCAAGUAAUUUGCAUGGUUACUUCACACCUUGUUUUGUGAUCCUCGGCAUCCCAGUCACAAAACCUGAAGGGCACACUCGAGAUUGAAACAUGCCAUUGAACAGUUCAAUGAAUCUCAAAGAUCUAGGAGUUUCAAAACCAAUUAAAACCUAAUAAUACAUUUCGUUUAUCUUGGUGGAAAUUGGUGAAUCGUCAUUCACCUACCUUCAAAUAUUUUAUAGCUUGGAUUACGGCAUACCUCUUCUAAGUUAUAAAAUAGUUUGUUGGGUCCUAGCCUUAAUAUUUCAUAUUGGGUGUCAUAUUAAGGACUUUAAAUCAACUAUCUUGAAUAUCUCCCAAAAGAUGUCUGGUUUAGACACCUAUGAUCUUCCCAAAUCUCUUGAAACAAGGUUUCCUAAUGAAGAUGAUGUCCCAUGGAUAUCAUACUUCUUCACCUCUUCAAAUUAUUCUCCCUAACCCACAAGUUCUUGAAAAGUUUAAGGUCACUCAGGCCCUAUUGGCAAGGCAAGGUCUAGGUGUGAUCACAUCUUGGAGAUGUAGUCACAUAUUGACAAGCCGGGAGAGUUGGGUGUCAAAGUCUUGAGAAAGUUGGUGGUUCAAUCACUUUCUAAGUCACAUAGUGAGUUCCUUUGGGACACCUAUGAAACAGACUAUGACAAGACCCUUAAUGAUCUUAUCUAUUUGAUAAGAUCAACUUCCUAAAACUUUAUGGACAUUGACAAUGAUAACAUUGGAUAUCUAGUAAAGCUCUCUCUUCCCAGUGGAAAGGGAUCAGCCAUAGUCAACUGGGUUGACCAAAAUGGUAAAGAGAAAAGCUAAGUCUGUGAUAGUCCCGUGUACCAUUAUCAAAGGGUCCAUAUGUUUAUAUUGCCAAAGGAAGGGGGAUUGGUUGCGAAGCUGCCAAAUUUACCUAAAGAUGUUAAAGUCAAUAAGUUUGACUCUACUUCAUGUAAAGUCCACUAUCUAACUCUGUUAAGUUUCUAUUCUGAGAUUCCUGAUACAUGAUGUGACUGGGUCACAUGGUGAUGUUUUAAGAAUCGGAGCAUAUCCUCGAGUGUCUGGAUGGUGCACUCACUCUGACCAUCCGUCUGUGGGUGGUAGGCAGUGCUCAUAUCUAGCUGUGUUCCCAUUGCCUUCUGAAGAUAUUGCCAGAAACUUGAAGUGAAUCUGCUAUAUCGAUUUGAGAUAAUAGAUAUUGGCACUCCAUGGAGUCUCACAACCUCCUUGAUGUAGAUUCGGGUCAGCUUUUCCAUCUUGUAAGAUUCUUUUAUUGGUAGGAAAUGAGCGGAUUUUGUUAAUCUAUCCACGAUUACCCAAAUAGCAUCCAAUCCGUCUGCUAUCUUUGGCAAUUUUGUCACAAAGUCCAUGGUAAUCCUCUCCGAUUUCCACUUGGGUAUCACUGGUUGUUGCAGUAGUCCCGAGGGCUUUUGGUAUUCCACUUUCACUUUGGCACAAGUAAAACACUUGCCCACGAAAGUGGCUAUCUCUGCCUUCAUAUUAGGCCACCAAUAUUGUUGCUUGAUAUCCAAAUACACCUUAUCUGACGCCGGAUGAAUAGAAUAUCGCGUCUUGUGGGCUUCAUGCAUGACUACUUCUUUGAAUCCCUUAAAUUUGGGAACCCAGAUUCUAUUCAUGAAGUAGUGAGUUCCAUCGUCUUUAACUUCGAGCACCUUCUCCAUUCCACGUAGUGAGUCACUAGCGACAUUCUCUGGCUUCAAUGGUUCCAAUUGGUCUUCCUUGAUCUGUGAGGCUAGAUGAGAUUGGAUGGUGAUUGAUAGAGUUUUCACACGACGACUUGAAUACUCCUUUUGGAUCAAGGCAUCGGCUACCACGUUAGCCUUGCCUGGAUGAUAUUUGAUCUCACACUCAUAAUCAUUUAACAGCUCAACCCAUCUCCACUGCCUCAUGUUUAGUUCCUUUUGAUUUAGAAUGUGCUGGAGGCUCUUGUGGUCUGUAAAGAUGGUGCACUUGGUACCAUAUAGGUAGUGCCUCCAAAUUUUCAAGGAGAAGACCACCUCCCCCAAUUCGAGAUGUUGAGUAGUAUAAUUUACUUCAUGUGUUUUCAAUUUUCUAGAUGCAUAUGCAAUUACCUUCCCGCGUUGCAUAAGGACACAACCUAAACCAUGAUUCGAAGCAUCAUAGUAAAUUAUGAAGUCUUUAAUUCCCUUCGGUAAGGAUAACAAUGGAGCACUACAGAGGGCUUGCUUCAAGGUUUGGAAGGCGAUCUCUUGCUUCUCAGUCCAGUUGAAAGGUACGCCUUUCUGUGUCAAUGUGGUGAGGGGUUUGGCUAUCUUAGAAAAGUUCUGAAUGAAUCUUCGGUAGUAGCCCACAAGACCCAAAAAUUGGCGAAUUUAUGUUGGCGUUGUUGGAAUUUCCCAGUUUUUGAUUGCUUUGAUCUUUGAAAGAUCCAUGUGUAUUCCUUCCUAACUAACUACAUGGCUUGGAAAGUUUACACUGCGGAGCCAGAACUCACACUUGGAGAGUUUCGUAUACAACUUUUCAGCUCGAAGGGUCUUCAAGAUCUGUUGGAGAUGUUGACUAUGCUCUUCUUUGCUUCGAGAGUAUAUGAGGAUAUCAUCGAUGAAAACGAUCAGGAAUUUGUCAAGGAAUGGGCGGAAGACUCGAUUCAUGAGGUCCAUAAAUGCAGUGGGGGCAUUUGUUAGACCGAAGGGCAUCACGACGAAUUCGUAAUAACCGUAACGGGUUUGGAAAGCAGACUUAGGAAUGUCCUCAUCUCGGACCUUGAGUUGAUGAUAACUGGAUCUUAGAUCUAUCUUUGAAAAGUAACUAGCCCCUUGAAGCUGGUCAAAUAGAUCAUCGAUUCGUGGAAGUGGAUACCGGUUUUUGAUGGUGAGCUUAUUUAGUUCCCUAUAAUCAAUGCACAUCCUGAAGGAUUCGUCUUUCUUUUUAACGAAAAGAAUCGGAGCUCCCCAUGGAGAGAAGCUUGGUCUUAUGAAUCCUUUAUUCAAGAGUUCACUUAGUUGGCUUGACAAUUCAUGCAUUUCAGCGGGAGCCAACCUAUAGGGUGAUUUGGCUAUUGAAGUGGCUCUAGGCACUAGGUCGAUUCAGAAUUCGAUUUGUCGUUCUGGGGGUAUUCCUGGAAGCUCUUCUAGAAACACAUCCGGGAAGUCACAUGCCACUGGGAUGUUUUGAAUGUUCGCUUCCUCUUUGGUAUUAUCCACCACAUGAGCAAGGAAUGUGUAGUUCUUCUUUUGUAGACACUUUUGUGCCUUGAUACACGAGAUAAGGUAAAGGUUUGCACCGGGUUUAUCUCCGUAGAUUAUUAGGGUUUCGUGAUUAGAAAGAUGAAAGUGAAUGACCUUCUCGUGACACAUAAUAUCGGCAUGAUGGGGGCUUAACCAAUCCAUGCCGAUGAUGACAUCAAAACUCCUAAUAUUUACUGGCAUCAAAUUUAUUUGGAAAAAGUGGUUGUUUAGUGUUAACGUACAUCCUAUAUAGAUAUCUUUGGUUGUUUCAGUGUUCCCAUUAUCCAUUUCCACCGUGAAGGAUUCGUUGAGCUUCUGGGGUUGUUGAUUUAGAAAGUAUUUGAAUUUAUUACUAACGAAACUUCGCUCCGCCCCACUAUCAAAUAAGAUGCAUGCAUACGAGUUGUUAAGUAGGAACGUACCGAUGAUAACAGCUGGGUCCUACACUGCUUCAUCCUAACCCAUUGUCAACACUCUCCCUGCUGCUCCUGCCCCUUGAUUGUUUGCGUUGGGGAAAUUUCUCCUGAAAUUCCCGGUUUUCCCACAUACGUAACAGGUAUAAUUGGCCCCAACAUUGGUGUUGUUGUUAUUGUUGUUGUUGUUGGUGUUGUUGUUGUUGUUGUUUUUUGGCAUCUGGUUUUGUUGAAGCUGAGUCCUGCAAUACUUUGUUGUAUGGCGUUUCUGGUUGAACCUUGCGCAAAUCAUCUCUCUGUAUUCCCCAUGAUGGUGGAAGUUGCAUUUGUUACACUUGGCGAGAUUUCCUGAAUACUGCUUUGGAGCAUUUGGCGUGGAUGAGGCUGGAGCAUGGGGUGUGGUGGUAGCUUGAGUUACAGCAUGGACAGUCACAGUUUGUUGCUUCUUAGAUGAUUCUGAGUUAUGUUUUCCAUUUCUCUUGUUGUUUAUCCCUUUCUUUCUCUCUUCUUCCUUCUUAACCUCCGCUUCCACUGUUUUGGCACGCUUCUUAUUUCCAUGAUCAUACGAUUUCUUGUCCAGUCUCUUGGCGCUAUCAAACAUCUCAGGGUUUUGCUGCAAUAACAUUCCCUUAGAUAGGUGCAGUCAAUCCCUAGAUAAACCUAUCAAUCUUUUUCCCUUCUAAGGUGAUCAUUCCGGGACACAAAAGAGAUAGCUCACUAAACCUAGAUAUGUAUGCGGUUAUAUUGGAGUUUUGAACUGUGAGGUUCCACAACUCUUGUUCCAUCUUCUGAAUUUCACCUCCAAGACAGUAUUCUGCCAACAUCAUUUCCUUAAGCUCUUCCCAGAGCAUCGCGUUCGCUACCGGGAGUGUCAUGGCCUCUACAUGCCCAUUCCACCAGGAGAUGGCUUGAUCAAUGAAUUUGCAGGUUGCGAACAUGACCUUACACUCAUCUGGGCACCCACAGAUUUCAAAAAUGGAUUCUACUUUCUCGAUCCAUCGCUUCAGGGCUAUUACGCCUCCUGUCCCAUUAAAGGUUCGAGGUUUGGCAUUGGUGAAGUCCUUGUAGGUGCAUGUUCGUGUGGCUCCAUGGAUUGUUCCUUGAUUUGUGCUUCCGUUUCCCUGUCGGUUGCCUUCUCUAUUGUUUCCAUUGCGAAUCUGCACAAGUGUUGUAGUGACCGCAACAGACAAUGUUGCCUGGAAUGCAACCGAGAUUAUUUUCGGCGGGUUUGGUGUUGCGUUGUUUCCACGAUUGGGCCUUUGAGGCAUCUUUCUGUCAUGGAACGGAAAGAUGUAGAGUGACUAUUGUUUUGCGAGUUUGGAAUCCCCUAGGCUAGGUGUAUCGAGUGUGUAUUUAAGUAAUUUCAUACAUUAACAUAAAAUAGGGAAGUAAAACACAUAGCAGAUGACAACAUCAUGAUAAAACGUAAAGCAUUUUCAUUAAUACUAAUUGUUUUGAUACAUGAACAUUUGCCAGAAGGCAUACAGUACAUAGGGAAAUAUAAAAUAUGGCAGCAUUACAACCCUAUGAGCAGUGUGAUCACUUAAACAUAGAGUCGAUAGUACAUAGCAUAGUACACAUAAGGGAAACCUAAUAGUAUUAAGAGAUACUACUGGUCCUGAUCAUACUGAGAAGUGCCUAAUGGUGGUGGUGAAAUCAUAUCCCAAAAUGUUAUGCUAAUAACUGAUCCAUCUCGGUCAUCUCUCCGAUGACCUCAUCUUUUUCCUACUCAGUUUGCAUGGCUCGUGCCUCCAUAGCAAAUAGUUGUUGUCGAAGUGUGGCAACCUCCGCUUCCAGAGACCGAUCCUCAUCAACGGGGUUCCCUAGUGGACCAGGGUGGUCCUGGUGUGCCUCAUUGGUAGGUGGUUCGACGGGGGCUUCAUUUUUGUCCCCAUCCUCCUCCAUGUCUUCGUCAGUCCUAUCAAACUCAUAGUCUGUAUUAGUGUACUCGUCGGGCCCAAUGGUAGGGGCUCCUCCUUGUUCCUCCUCGGGAUUCUCCUCAAGCAUCCCAUGUGCCACUAGGGAUUGAUAAAAAUGGACUCCUUGCUGAGCGUCGUCCAUGGUGACUGCAUGAGGGCGUAUGAAUAAGUCAUGUUUUGAUUAUUCCUAUAGUAUAUUUUACUUAUUUAGGUUUGGUUUCCCUAGAGUUGUUGGAGAGUGAGGUAGGCUUUUGGAUUCAUUUCCCGCUAUGAUUACUCCCAAACACAAUUUGGUCAUAUUCUGAAUAAAUAUAGUUGAUCAGGCUAUAUUUAUCCCUAAUAGGACUACAUAACUGCCCAUGUUUAAUUAUAAUGUUCAAUAUCCUCCAAAAGCUUUUAUUAAAUAUUGUUAGGUUAUUAUCCUAAUAUGCGCAUAUAAGUAUGAAAUUUUUGUUUUGUUCACAGUUAUUUAGUCCCAUUGUGUUUAUAGUUGCAUAUCAUGUAUGGUUAGAUAUGCUAGUUCACUAUAAACAUUGCUUUGAUACCAACCUGUCACACCCCCGACCCAGACGGUGGAAACGUCUAGGGGCUCCUGUGACUAACAAUUGAAUUAUCAUCACAAUGGAUAUACAUGAAACAUAACACAUUCAUCACUAACAUUACAUAUUACAACCAGCAUUGUUCACAUCAAGUACAUUGUUAAAGAUUACAUAAAUUCAAAGUAUUAAUAGUAAGAUAGGUGAUGUGACACAAAAUAAAUCCAUACACACUUGAAAAUCUUCCUGCUUAACAAUUACCUGAGAAUACAAGUUAUUUUGAAAAAUGGUCAACAUAUAUAAUGUUGGUGAGUUCAUAAGUAUGUUUGAAUAAAAGUCUUUGCAUCUUUUGUAAAAACCCAGAAAAUCCGAUAUUUUCUGUAAAAUGUCUGAAAAUGAUGUGAAAAUCAAGUAUAAAUUCAUGUGUGAAUUUCAUAGCAGUAACAUAUAUGAUUUCAGUUUAAAUUUCUUUGUAUUGUAAGUAAGUGAUAAUUGAAUAAUAGUCUUUACCCAGAAAAUCCGAUAUUUCCUGAUUUAUAAUAAUGUCAAGGUUCUUGUAUCAUUAAUUAAGUUGUUUCGUAUUGACAAAAUCGAAGGGUUAAUCUUCGAAAUGUUAAAUUGGUAUUGGAUCUCUAUAUGAGUUGUUAUAACCAUGCAUGAUAAUGACUAGGUUGGCUGUCUUGGCAUUUUCCAAACGCCUGUAUUUGCUCAAGGUUUUGUCACCCUAGACUGGCCUAGUCUAGUUGUAGCCAACAACUAAGGCGUGGGGGGUCACCCCAUAUAGAUCUAUACACAAACUCCCGCUCUCCCUCCAGGAAACUCUGGUUAUAACUACAGACUACGAUUGUACACUCAGAGGUGUCAACCGACAUGUCUCACUAGAUUCUCAACUUUUCAUACCAUGUUUAAUGUUUACGUGAAUGUUGUAUGUUUUCAAAUCCAAAGGUAUAUAUAUAAGUAUACGAACUUUAGGGCUGGCAAUUGUUGACACGAUACGCGACACGACAUGAAAUAAAUGGGUUUGGGUUGAGUUUUUCAACCCGCCAACCCGCUAACCCGUCAACCCACCAACCCGUUUAUUAAACGGGUCAUAUAUGGGUUUCUCAAAAAAUAAACGGGUUGACCCGCCAANUGUAAGUGGACCACCAAGGCCCAACAAACAUGUAACCUAUAGCUCAGGCCCAAAUUAACAUGUAAAUGGGUCGCAAGGCCCAAUAAACAGGUCAUGGAAAAUAUUGGGCUCAAUAUAUACUUGAAUGGGCCCUUAAGGCCCAUUGGCCAUGUAAUGUGAAUAUUAGGUCCAAUAAAAUUGCUAUCAAUGUAUUUCGUCAAUUCGUUAUUAUUUUGUGGUUUGCUUUAGCUCGAUGUUUACCGAAUUAAAUAUAAAAGUCCUCUUUUUGUAUAAACGACGUUCUUGGCCAAGAAGCCUAAAAUUUUGAAUUAAGGCCCAAAGUUUUGUAAAAAUUAACACUUUAGUCCAUAAUUUAUAAAAAUUUGUAAUUUCGCCCCAAAUGUUUAGAAAUUUACGGAUCUAGUCCAAAAAAUUAUAUUUUGAUAUUUAUGGCCCAGUUUCGUAGAAUAUUACACUUUCAGACUCUUGUUUGUAAAAAUGACACUUUUGACCCAAUUUUUAUAAAAGUUACAUUUUUGGUCCAAUUUAGAAAUAUAUGUUAUUUUUUCCCCUAAAUAUGGUUUAUUUACAUUUAUGACUCAAACUUUGGUCAAAUAACAUUUUUAAUCCCAAAACUUCCAUUUUUUUGCAAAUUUGGGCCCAAAACCGUGAGGCCCAAAUAUUCAGCCCAUUAAGCUAAAACUUACGUUUUUGGCCCUUUGGAAAGCAUGUUUAUCAUAAAAAUCCCUUUAUAUACAAGUAGAACCUGUUUGGUCCUUUAAAAACCACUUUUUGCCCUUAUCUUUUGUUUUCUUGACAAUUUUGACUCUUAACAACGUUUUUGCUUUAAAUUUUUGUAUCUUAAACAUAUAAACACUUUUAACUUGAUAAUAUGAUGUAUAAGGUGUCUUAGUUCAUGGGUUUUUUACUUAAUGUUGCUUAAGAUGUCGAGACAUGCUAAGAUCUAACAUAUUUUUUACAAAAUAGACUAAGAAAUCACACACGACAUGCAUAUAACACAUAGAUCUACACAUUUUACUUGUAUUCUCCCCCAAAACUAAUAUGAAAACCAAAAACAAGGGGGUAAGAACUCACCUUUGCUUCGAUGUUUCGGUUUUGAAGAAGAAAUGGAAGAAGUUGAUGUGAUUUUUUGCUCUAGCAAGCUCCUUGAGUAGAUUUCGAGCUUAAGAAGUUUCCAAGAGUCUGACCAUGGAAUAAAGCUAUGUAACAAGGAAUUUUUUGAUGUUAAAAUAAAAGGAGAUGUUUGUGUUUGAUAACAACUUACCAAAGAUUGAAAAUGCUUGAUGAAGAUCCUUAAAACUCAAGCAAAAUUUUGAGAUCCUUGGAGAAAGGAGGAUGAUCUUUGAGAGUGUUUGGAGAGGAUUUGAAAGAGUGUGUGUGUGUGUGUGUGUGUGGUUUGCCUCUCGGCCGUGAGUAGAAGAAGAAGGGGGAAAGAGAAGAUGUGAUGGAUACUUAGGAGUAUAAGCUUUGUAUUUGCUUAAUGGGUAAUUAGCUUGGAGAACCACCAUGUAAUUAUCAUGUGUCAAUGCAUGGUAAUUCUCUUAUUUUCCUUUUUUUACAUGUAUAUGAAUGUACAUAUCUAAUGGGCCGAGAAAAAGAAAGAAUGGAGGGGCUUUGGCCUCUUUUUGAUUUGGUUCGAGUUUAUGAGGCCCAUAGAAAGAGGCUUUCGGCCCAUUGGGCCUUUAGGUGUGUUCACGGCCCAUUUCGAAAGAAGAAAGGGUGUUUAUGGCCCAUUACGGCUAAUUAAUUCAUUAAUGGCCUAAUAAGGCCCAUUAAGGAUAAACCAAUUUAUUUUGGACCCAAAAUGGCCCAAAAUGCUAAGUUUCACGGAAGUGGGUCCAAUUAGUGCCCAUUUAAGGGUCCUAAGCCCAAAAUAGUUAAAUUGGAACCUCAUUGGUCCAUUAGGCCCAAUAAGGAAAUCCUAGUCCAAUAUGGACUUAAAUCGGGAUUCUUAGGGUUUUCAAACUCUUUGUUGAACAUGAGAGGUGAAUUUAAAUGAGCAUUGCGUGAUAUUUACUUAAAGUAUAUGUUUUACACUAGUUGAAUGAUUACACGAGAAUAGAGUUUUCUAGCAAAAAUGCUAGUUGUGACAUUAAUGAAAUCGUGAUUAUUUAUAGUAGGAGCAACAUUCCUCAUAGCAACCACACUUGAUUUACCAACUUCACCUAAAGUCAUCUGCAUAGGCAAGGUGCUUAAGUUUACAAACAAGGUAAAAUCAGUUGAUCGAGUUUUGUUCACGACAUCUAUCUCAUUAACAACACUGAUACUUGGAUGAUCCUAAAGUUUUGAUGAUGAACCUCUUCCACAAAUAUCCGUUUAUUGUUUUGAGUAUGAUCUUUGAGAUAAAACACUUGUUUAGCUUGUGUGGAUAAGAUGUAUUAUUGAUCAUCAUACCUUCUUUUAUUGACAUACCAUCCAUGACUGGUAUCUAUAACGACCAUAUUAUUUAUAGUCUUUAAACAUCCAUUACGUAAUGACACAUUGAACCAUUUACCACGACAGAGUAAAAUUGAGUUACCAUAUAAAUAAUGCGAAUCUAGGAUCUCCUCUAAUUGUCCAUAGAAUGGUCUACCAUCUUCUUGUUGGAUUAGUGUCUAAUUCCAUAACUAUAUUUGGUAUGUACUUGACCCAAUUGGCAUGGUCCAUUUGGGUUGCAUGACAUCAUGCAUUUGGAUAGACUAAAAUGAGAGAAUAACACUUAAGGUUUAUUAAUAUAUUAUAAGUUCUAAUAUAUUAAUAAGAUUAUUUAAUUAGUAUUGAUCAAGAAUUAAUUUGGAACUAAUUAAGUGAUCAAAUGGAGACUAAUUAAAUAUAUGGGUUGAUUGUGUAAAUCAUCCAUACUUGUAUAGUGGGCUAAUGCCCCAUGGAUUAUCAAGUUGGGCUAAAACCCAUAGGAUGCUCCAUGGUGUGUUUGUACCCAUGGAUCAUGGAAAUGAAAAGCCAUGAAAAUUAGGGUUUACAUGGUGUAACCCUAAUUGUGACACACUAUAUAAGUAUCUUAUUCUUCCCAAAAAAAGAGCUAUAAAGGAAUGGUGAGGGCUAGCCGAUUUCAUGAAGUGUCUAAUUUCUCUCAAGUUAUUCUAAGUGUAUUUGGUGUUGUGUGAACCAUCUGAGGUGUCACACUUGGGGAACUAGGCUCUUAAGCUCCGUGGAAUCAAGCUACACCAAAAGGAAUGUCUUCUAACUUGUAUUAUUCCUCAUGAAUCAAUAUUUUGUAUGCUAGUUAGGAUAAUACCUUGGAAUAUUAAUAUUUGCAUGUAUAAUAGAGAAAACAUAGAUCCAAGAUAUUUAGGGUUGCAUGUACACAUAGGAGUGUUAGAAUGCUCAAAACCAUUCACUUCUCCAAAUUUAACAACACCACUAUUUUUAGUAGUGUGUCAGAGAUCACGAAUACUCACAACAAAACGAACACCGACAAUAUGUAUUAUGUUGGUCAUAGACAAUUCUUGAAUAUGAACCAUAGAUGGAGGGAGAGUCUAUUGUUUGAUGGUCCACCCGAUACAAGACCGUAUCCUAGACGAUUUAGUAAUUUAACUAUAUUAAAGUAAUGUAACGUCUGUGUUUCUGGGCUUGCCAUUUUUAGCAAUGUANNNNNNNNNNNNNNNNNNNNNNNNNNNNNNNNNNNNNNNNNNNNNNNNNNNNNNNNNNNNNNNNNNNNNNNNNNNNNNNNNNNNNNNNNNNNNNNNNNNNGACGAAGGUGGACCGGUAUGCGAAGGGACUCCCAUGGGAGUAUGACGUGCCAGUACGUCAGGCACAUACUUUAGAGGCAGCUAUCUGGGCUACCAAGUCUGUUGAGAACAUGAUAAAGGGGAGAACCACCAACAAGGUUGAGGUUGGUGAGAAGAGGAAGUUUGAGGGAACAUCUGGUUCCGGUAAGAAAAGCAAAUUUUCGAAAUCUGAUUCGAAAAGGUUUGGUGGGGGUAAAGGAGGGGAAGCGAAGUGGUGUGAAAAGUGUAAGAAAAAGCAUUUCGGGAAAUGUAGCGAGGAUGUAACUUGCUACAAGUGUGGAAAGGUUGGACAUUUUGCCAAUGAAUGUCCGAACAACAAAAGGAUGUGUUUUGGUUGUAAUGAAGAGGGGCAUAUUUUGAAAGACUGUCCGAAGAAGAAGGAGGCAGCUAAGCCCAACAUUCCACCAAAGCCGAAGGCGAGAGCCUUCCAGAUGACACUUGAGGCUGCGAAAGAUGAAGCUGAUGUCGCUUCAGGUACCUUUCUCGUAAACGAAUUACCUGCUCAUAUAUUGUUUGAUUCUGGAGCCAACUACUCCUUUAUUUCGCAUGAGUUUGGUAGAAAGCUAGCUUUGCCUAUUGAUAGACUAGAUGAUGCUUUAUUAGUCGAAGUAGCUAGUGGCAAGUUUGUACCUGUUAGUCAUCGUAUGAAAAGCAUCUUAAUUGAUCUGAAUGGGAAUAAGUUUCACGAGGAAUUAUUGCCUAUCGAACUAAAUGGUUUCGACAUCGUGUUGGGAAUGGAUUGGCUUAGCGCCAAUGAUGCCGAAAUUUUGUGCAAGAAGAAGAUAGUUAAAGUAAACCCGCCUGGGAAAGAUUCGUUUAUGGUGUAUGGGGACAAACGCAGAGUGAAUUCUGGAAUCAUUUCUCUAAUGAAAGCCAGAAAGUGUUUGACCAAGGGAUGUACAUCAUAUUUAGCAUUCGUGAUUGAUGCUAAGAAGGAAAAGAAGGUGAUGCAGAGUAUUCCAGUGGUGUGUGAUUAUCCGGAAGUAUUUCCCGAGGAUCUUCCUGGAUUACCACCUGAUAGACAAGUGGAGUUCAGAAUAGACUUGUUACCAGGAACCACGCCAAUAGCAAAAGCACCUUAUCGAUUAGCACCGACGGAGAUGAAGGAGCUGAUGAUGCAACUUCAGGAGUUAUUGGACAAAGGUUUCAUUAGACCUAGUUCAUCGCCCUGGGGAGCUCCGGUGUUAUUUGUAAAGAAGAAAGAUGGAAGUAUGAGAAUGUGCAUCGAUUACAGAGAGCUGAACAAGGCAACAAUAAAGAAUAGAUAUCCGUUGCCGAGGAUUGAUGACCUGUUUGAUCAAUUGCAAGGUUCGAGCUAUUUCUCGAAGAUCGAUCUUAGGUCAGGAUAUCAUCAGCUGAAAGUAAGAGAGCAAGAUAUCGAGAAGACUGCAUUCAGAACUAGAUAUGGACACUACGAGUUCUUGGUUAUGUCGUUUGGACUAACCAAUGCUCCAGCAGCGUUCAUGGAUUUGAUGAAUAGGGUUUGUAAUCCUUUCCUUGAUAAAUCCGUGAUAGUGUUCAUAGACGACAUUCUGAUCUACUCGAAAAGCCAGGAGGAGCAUGGCAGACACUUGCGAGAAGUGUUAGAAGUUUUGAAGAAGGAGAAGCUUUAUGCGAAGUUCUCCAAAUGUGAUUUUUGGAUUCGUGAGGUCCAAUUCUUGGGUCACGUGGUCAACCAAGAAGGGAUAAUGGUUGAUCCAGCGAAGAUCGAAGCUGUGACGAAGUGGGAACAACCGAAAAGUCCCACGGAGAUUCGAAGCUUUUUAGGAUUAGCCGGAUAUUACCGAAGGUUUAUCCAAGGCUUUUCUUCGAUUGCUACUCCAUUAACAGCUUUGACCCACAAAGGAGCUACUUAUGCUUGGAGUGAGAAGCAUAAAGAAGCAUUCGAGAAGUUAAAGAAGAAGCUAUGCGAGGCACCGAUACUUUCUCUACCCGAUGGAGUUGAAGACUUCGCUGUUUAUAGCGAUGCGUCUGGUGUUGGAUUGGGUUGUGUUUUGACCCAAAGAGAAAAGGUGAUAGCAUAUGCGUCUCGACAGCUGAAAGAGCAUGAAAAGAAUUACCCGACUCAUGAUUUGGAGUUGGCAGCGGUAGUUUUCGCUCUGAAAAUAUGGAGGCAUUACCUCUAUGGCACGAAGUGCAAACUUUUCACUGAUCAUAAGAGUCUCCAAUACCUCUUUAAUCAGAAAGAAUUGAAUAUGAGGCAACGACGCUGGCUAGAAUUACUUAAAGACUACGACUGCGAGAUACUUUACCACCCCGGUAAAGCUAAUGUUGUUGCUGAUGCUCUCAGUCGGAAAGUCAAUCUUGAAAGGAAGAGGCCAAGAGCGUUGAGAAUUGAAGUUGUCUCGACUAUUGUGGAAAGUAUAAAGAAAGCUCAAGAGGAAGCUUCUGAGAAAAAUGACCGAAAGGAGGAACGUUUGGGUAAAACGUUGGUGUUUGGUACUAACGGUCAUGGACUGAAGGUAUUCCAAGAUCGUAUUUGGGUACCUAAGUCAGGAGGAAUUAGGGAUCUUCUGAUGGAAGAAGCUCACAAAACCAUGUACUCAAUUCAUCCGGGUAGCACUAAAAUGUAUAGGGACCUGAAACCCUACUACUGGUGGCCGACGAUGAAGCUUGAUGUUGCAAAGUAUGUGGCCGAGUGUGUGACUUGUGCGAGAGUCAAGACACAACAUCAGAAACCUUACGGGAGUUUAGAACCAUUGCCUGUGCCUAUGGGUAAGUGGGAAGACAUUGCUAUGGAUUUUGUCACUAAACUGCCCAGAACAAAGAAUGGUCACGACAUGAUUUGGGUGGUCGUUGAUCGAUUCACUAAGAGUGCGCAUUUCAUAGCGGCCAGGGAGAAAUGGUCUAUGGAAAAGCUUGCGAAUUCUUACGUGAAGGAAAUUGUGAGGCUUCACGGUGUUCCGUUAACGAUUGUAUCGGAUCGUGAUAGCCGUUUCACCUCAAGGUUUUGGAAAAGUCUACAAGAGGAAAUGGGUACCAAGUUAUGUUUAAGCACAGCUUACCAUCCGCAGACUGAUGGUCAGAGUGAAAGAACAAUACAAACACUUGAAGAUAUGCUGAGAGCAUGUACCUUGGAAUUCCUAGGUAAUUGGGAUGAACAUUUACCGUUGGUAGAAUUUUCCUAUAAUAAUAGUUUUCACUCGAGCAUUAAGAUGGCACCUUAUCAAGCUUUGUAUGGACAGAAGUGUCGUACGCCGUCUUGUUGGCUUGAGGCUGGGGAAAAGCAGUUUAUGGGACCGGAGAUGGUUCAUCAAACUGCUGAAAAGUUGAAAAUAAUUAGGGAAAGAAUGUUAGCAGCUCAAGAUCGUCAAAAGAGCUAUGCUGACAAGAAGCGAAGACCGAUGACUUUUGAGGUUGGAGAUUCGGUUUUGCUUAAAGUCUCGCCGUGGAAGGGACUUAUAAGAUUUGGUAAAAGGGGAAAGUUGAGUCCAAGGUUUAUUGGACCGUUUAAAGUCCUUCAGAGGAUUGGGAAUCAAGCUUACAAGCUCGAAUUACCCGAAGAACUGAAUGGAAUUCACAACACCUUUCAUGUGUGUUAUUUGAGGAAGUUCACGGGAGAAGUUCCCGAUAUAAUUCCAAUUUCUGAAUUGAGAAUUGAUGAGAACAAAAGGUUGAUUGAAGAACCAGAGGCAAUUGUUGACCGAAAGACUAAGAAGUUGCGACGCAAAAUGGUUGGGUUAGUGCUUGUCCGAUGGAAACACACGAAUGGGCCGAAUCUCACCUGGGAGACGGAGAGUGACAUGUUGAGUCGCUAUCCGCAUUUGUUUGUUGAUGUGUGAUUCCGGGGACGGAAUCAUUCUAAGGUGGAGAGAAUUGUAACGCCUGUGUUUCCGGGCUUGCCAUUUUUAGCAAUGUAAUAGUCUAGGUUAACCUUUGUAACCCGUUUUGAAAUAAUAAGAUUGUAUUAUUUGAGUAUUAUGUGUUUUGUGCUUAAUUGCUUAAUUAUGUGGUUUGAUUAAUUAAGAAUAAAAAUAAGCGUCAAAAUUUAAGUGUAAAAUAAACUUAAUAUCUUUGGUUAAUGUUGUAGUAGUUGAAACGAGGUUUCCGAAUAUAUAUAGAACGCCCAAAUCUGACUUCGUAUGAGGAAGUUAUGAUUUAUCGAAGUUCCGGCUUAGCGAUAUACAGCCUGUUUUACUCGAUUUGAGAUCGAGCGGUUGUUAGCCGAAGCAAUCUAAAUGAGAAUCGAAGAUCUCAUUGUUGGUAUUGAAACGAUAAAAAGUUAGGCGAGAACGGACGUCAAACGAAGAAGUUAUGAAUUUAUAACGAAAGUUUCUGUCCCGGCCUAUUAAAAAUAAUUAAUAAAAAUAAAGUCAAAAUUAGCCGACGGAGUCUAAACGAAAGUCGUAGAGCGUGGUCUCACCUUCGCGUGGAUAUAAAGAACGUCGAAAACGGAGUUCGUAUGAAGAAGUUAUGAAUUUCCGAAGUUUAUUAAUCAUUUUGUAUUUAUUUUUAAUUCAAAAUUCGGAAGCAUUAUCCGAAGGAGUCACCGAUCUGAUCCGAGGUACGCCCCGCGUACUCGAGUACGCCCCGCGUACUCCGAGGGAUGUCGACACUCGCACUCGAGCACUUCGGAUACGUAAGCAAUGACGUUUUGGGCAGUACGCCCCGCGUAACGCAGUACGCCCCGCGUACUCCGAGGCUCCAGCCUCCUAUAAAUAGGAUGCGAGGGUUCCGGGUAUUUUUGCCAAUUCCCUCUCGUUUUCGUGUCGAAGCUCUGUGCAAAAACCCCCGAAGCUACCCCGAAGUCCCGGUAUCAUACUCUAGCCCCGAGGCAAGUCCCGAGAUCCUGAAGAUCCCGAAAAGUGCGGUUCCCGAGUCGAAGCUCUGCCCGCGAGAAGUUCGAUUUUCGAGAAGAUCUUCCAGAUCUGCUGUGGAUUACUACUUCUAUAAGCCGUAGUGCUGUCCGAUCAUCUUCUGAUCAAGUGAGUGUGUAGUUAUUUCUUCUAAUACAAUAAUACGAAGUAUUUUAUAUAAAAAUACGUGCUAUGUGUAUAUAUUUUGUUGUUAUAUAUGUGAAUGUAUACCCACUCUCUUCUAUCUUAUAGAUCUGAUUAUUUCUCAAUGAAAUACGUGUUAUGUGUGUGUGCCUCAUCUGUUAUGUGAAAAAUGUUUUGAUUGAGCAUGCUAUACAGGUUUUGAAACUACGUAUAAAAAUGUAUAUUUUAUCUACUAAUAUGUUGGGUAGAAUAUGGGUAGAUAGUUGGUGUGUAAUAAACAGAUGAGAGGCCUCGAUGUUGUUUUGAUCCAGUCAUCUAGCGGAAUUUAGAUGACGACCACGGACUUUUCUAGACAGUCCAGUGGAACGCUAGCAGGCUCAUAACCUGUAGGUGUUAAUGAACUUGGGUGUUCAUUCGCUGUAUUCCAUCCCCCCCAUGGUUGCCUUAUUUGACUUAUAUUGCUGAGGAACCCCCGAAGCAUGUGUAGUCGCCCCGAUGAAAUAUUCUUUGACUAGGUCCCUUGUGUUAGUUAUUUUAGGGACAUAAAGUGAGAAUAACGGGAAUGGGUAACUGGGUUAUUGUUGGAUGAUAAUAAUUAAUUAAAUUAUUUAUUGUGGGUUGAAAACCCUAUAUGCUCACCAGGCUCCCAAGCCUGACCCACUCAGUUGAUUUAUUUUACAGGAAGUGGCGCAAGAGCUUAAGAUGGGCGAACAUCAAGUUGUUUUGUUUACAAGUCUGUAUAUGUAUAUAUUUGUUGAAAGACUUGUAAUGCUAUCGUUUAUGCUUUAUGAUCUGUAUCGGAACAUGACAUCCCGACUUUUGAUUAUGAAAUGAAAUCAUAUUUCUUUAUGAAAUGUUUUGAUAAAUAUCUAUUUUAUCAUGUUUUGUUUUUGGGAACAAAUUCCGCAUCUCUUUUAAAAAUUAAAAGGAUUUACUCUGAAAAUUAUUUUAAAAAGCAUAAAUGAAAUCGGUCUUUUCUGGCCGAGAUUUUGGGGAUGUCACAAGUAAGUAGCUCGUCUCUCUGAUAAUAUGUAUUAUGUUGGUCAUAGAUGAUUCUUGAAUAUGAACCAUAGCUAGAGGGAUAGCCUAUUGUUUGAUAGUCCACCUAACACAAGACCGCGUCUUAGACAAUUCAGUAAUGUAACUAUAUUAAAGUAAGUAGCUCGUCUCUCUGAUAAUAUUCCAGGGGAAUAUCCUAAUCAUGGGGCUAAAAAAGAAAGCAUGAACAUGAAAGCAAAAAGGCAGAGUUGAAUCGGAUGAAACAAAGUAUCUUAUUUGAGCUUGAGUAUUGGUCUUCCCUCCACCUAAAACAUAAUUUUGAUGUUCUACAUGUUUUGAAAAAUAUGAAUGAGAGUGUGUAUAAUACUACACUGAUGAACGAUAAAAGAAAAUACAUAAAAGAAGUAAGAAUUGACUUGAAAAAUACGGUCAUUCGACCAGAUCAAUGGCCAAAAGAGAAAGUCAAGAAGAAGAAGACAGUACACCAUUCUAUGGUCCCUUGGUUGAUGCAUCUCUCAUUUGGACUCCUUCAACCCAUAACAUUUUCAACUCAGCCACCAAAGGCCUCAAGUAAACAUCAAUGUCCUUUGUAGGUGAUCUAGGGCCAGGAAUCAACAAAGUUAGCAUGAAAGAAGAGUCCUUCAUACAUAUCCAUGGUGGUGUAUUGUAGUUAGUAAAUAUAACCAUCCAAAUAAUAUAAGUAUUAUUAAAGUUGUUGAACGGAUUAAAGCCAUCAGCAGCUGAACCUAGACGAAUAUUUCUAUAUUCUUUAGCAAACUCUCGAUAUCUCUUAUCAAAUUAUUUCCAUGACUUCUCGUCAACCGGAUGACGCAUCUUACCAUCCAUUGAGCAUCCAGUAUUAUGACAACUAAUAUAUUUACCAGUGAAUCUGGAACUAUACAUUCGUCGAAGCCUUGAGUCAAAGGAAACUACCACAAUGCUUUUUGUGGUACUCUCUUCCCAUUUUGUUGUUGUGUCCACCCAUUUGCUUGCAUUACAAAUUCGGGCAAUUUUACAUGGAAUCAUUCUCCUUCCAAAACGAAGCACAAUCAUAUUUACAAGUAUGGAUGGAUUGAUAUCAAACCCUAUCUUUCUCAACUUAUUCUUAGCUUCAUAGUGUGAAGUUGCUCUUCGGGAAUGAAACUCUUAGUAACUCUACAAGUUGGUUAAAAAAAAUAUUUGUCCAUUUAUUUAUCACUUUAGUAUGCAACAACUUUGCCAGAAAGUUUAUGUAACGUCCCAAAAAUUAAGACUAAAAGUUUUUAAUUUUAAAUUAAUUAAAACCAUUAUCCAAACAACAUCUUAGAAAUCAUAGUGCAUCAAAGUGUAUCAAUAACAUCCAUGUACAUCAGCAAGAUAUAAAAAUGCAGAACGACGUGGUGGGUGCAUUGCAAUCAUCCCGUGUAACGCCCGUAAACUCGGGCUAGUCAAUUUAGAGACAAUGUGCGUCAAAAAUGACUUUUUGAUGGGAGAUUGUUUACAAGAAACAAUCUUAACCAAGUUAUAUUAUAUGUCACAAAGGUUCCUUAUAUAUAAAGAACGCCAAAAUCCGAGUUAUAACGAAGAAGUUACGACCUUUCGAAGUUCUACGACAAAACCAACACGGCACCGUGUAACGUAAAAAGUGAAAUCUUGAUAAAUUACUUUUUAGCCUUAGGGAUCUAAAUGAAAGUUGUUUUAUACAUUAAAUUGAGAGCAUGCAUAAAAAGAACGUCAAAAUCUGACUUUGUAUGAGGAAGUGAUGAUUUUUCUAAGAUUUCGCACAGAGUAUACAACCUGGAAUUCGAAUGUCAGAUCGAGUGAUUUUUAGCCAACACAACCUAAAUUAUAAUUGAAUAUCUCAUUAAUAGGAGUUCAACGAUAAAAAGACAGUUAAAAACGGAGUCUGUAUGCAGAAGUUAUGAAUUUUACACGGUCGUUAACAAAAUAAUAUUUUCAUACUGUUAUAUUUAAAAUUGGUUGAGAAUUAGCCGAUUCAAUCUAAAGGAAAGUUGUAGAUCUUGUCAAUACCUAUGUGUGGAUAUAAAGAACGUAAAAAACGGAGCUCGUAUGCGAAAGUUAUGAAUUUUUUAAAAUUUGUUGUUUUACCUGCGUCCAGCGCCACGUGUCAGCACCAGGCGAAGCCUUAGUGCCUACACAAGGCCACGACGUGGAUUAUAAGUCUAUGAUGUUGAUUUCCCCAGAUAACCUAUAAAUAGAGGUGGAAAUAAUCCAUUUCCUUCACACCUUCACCCUUCUUUCUGUCUCAACACUCCCAAUCUCUCCCUCCUAAUCCCUAGCAACUUCUAAGUGCUAGAGGCGAGUCCCGGAGCGCCAAAAGGGUCCGAGAAGAAGAGUUUUCGUCUCAAAAUUUCCGCCCCCUCAGAGCCCGGUUCCUAGCCAAACCCCCAGGAAGUGAGUUAUGCUUACACUACUUUAAGUAUACUUAUGUUUAAGUUUAUUAUCGUUAUUAUGAACUUAUAAACAAGAUUUAUCAGUGAUUCCAAGUCGUUAUACUAAUUGAUCUACUUACGGGGAUGAUAUAUAGGUUGUGAUUUAGUGAGGUGUUUAAAGUGGGAUUUCAAAACAGUAUACUUCGUAUACGAAACGGAACUUACCUCCGAUAUGAUCCUACAUGGUUGUUCCUUACUUGAUAGAUCAUGAAAGUAGACUUUGAGUUAAUGAUGAAUCUAGACUAAUAAUUAGUCGUGCGUAAAGAUUAGACUAAAACUUAGCGAUAAUAAUGCUAGGUUUCAUCGAAGGAAAAUAGAAUCAUGAGAAGCAAAGUGCUUCCCGAGUUUGGAAUUAUCACUUUGAUAAGUGAGUGCAUAGUUACUUUCAUCUUACACAUAGAUAUGAAGUAUAUUAUAUAAAUUACAUGCUAUGUGUUCAUAUUAUAUGUUUACUUUAUAUCUAUGCUAGAUGAAUGAUCCUAUACAUGUUUUGAAUGAUUUAAACUGUAUAUAUAUUUUUUGUAUCUAUAAAAUCUAUUGGGUAAAACAUGGGUAGAUGAAUGAUAAGGGAUGAAAGUUGAUAUAGAGGAACAUUGGCAGUUAUAGACAUAGUGUCCUAUAGGUGAACAUUGACAACAAUGGACUUAGUGCCCUAUAGAUGAGCAUUGGCAGCCGUGCCACCACCUGUAGAUGUUUUGAUCUACGAUGUACUCUAAACAUCAUAGCAGCUGCGCUCAAAGGGUAGUAUCGGCAGCUGCGUGUAACGCAUGUGUUUCUAGGCUUGUCAUUAAUAUUGAUGUAAUAGUGUAGGUUAACCAUUGUAACCUGUUUCGAAAUAAUAGAAGUGUAUUAUUUGAGUAUUAUGUGUUUUGUACUUAAUUGUGUGUCUUAAUUAAAUUAAGUAUGAAAAUAAGCAUCAAAAUUAAAUGUUACAUAAAGCUGAUAUCUAUGGAUAAUUUUGUAGUAGUUGAAACGAGGUUUCUGAAUAUAUAUAGAAUGCUGAAAUCCGAGUUAUAACGAAGAAGUUAUGAUCUGUCGAAGUUUCGCGACAUAAAUCGGCACGACGAUGAAUGACGUAAAAAGUGAAUUUAUGUUAGAUUUAUCUUUAGUCCUAGUGAUCUAAACGAAAGUUGUAGAGUUCGUUAAACCGAUAGCGUGCAUAAAAAGAUCGACCAAAUCUGACUUCGUAUGAGUAAGUUAUGAUUUUCCGAAGUUUCGACUUAGCAGUGUGCAGCCCGAAUACUCGAUUUGAGAUCGAGCGGUUUUUAGUCGAAACAAUCUAAACGAGAAUCGAAGAUCUCGUCAAUGGUAGAGCAACGGUAAAAAGAUAAAUGAAAACGGACGUCAGAUGAAGAAGUUAUGAAUUUAUAACAGAGUUUUCCUAUCCCGGCCUACUAAAAAUAAAUAAUAAUAAAAUAAAUUCAAAAUCAGCCGACAGAGUCUAAACGAAAGUUGUAGAGUGUAGUCUCACCUACGCAUGGAUAUAAAGAACGUCGAAAACGGAAUUCAUAUGAAGAAGAUAUGAAUUUCUGAAGGAUUUAUAUGAUUAAUAUUUAUUAAUUAAUCUUUAAUUCGAAUGUAUAUCCGAAGGAGUCACCGACCUGAUCCACACUAUGCCCAGCGUACACCGAAGCGUGACCCACCUCGCACUCGAGUGCUCCGAUGACACAUGCAGUGACGAAUCCGAAGCGUACGCCCCGCGUACUGAGCAUUACGCCUAGCGUAAUGCGAGGCUUCAGCCACUAUAAAAGGGCAUGCGAGGGCAGCCAAUCCUUUUGCUCAAUUUCUUUUCUCUCUCUCUUGUUUUCCAUCGUUUUGCGUUCAACUUAUACCCCGAAUCCCCAGUAUCAUUCCCGAGCCCCGAAGCAAGUCCCGAAGCCCCGAAGAUCCCGAGGAGUAGAGUUCCCGAGCCGAAGCUCUACCCGCGAGAAGCCAAUUUUUGUGAAGAUCUUCCAGAUCUAUCAAAGAAUACUACUUCUACAAGUCGUAGUGCUAUCUGUUCAUCUUCUAAUCAAGUGAGUGUGUUGUUACUUUCUUCUAACGCAUAAUUACGAAGUAUUUUAUAUGAAAUACGUGUUAUGUCUAUAUUUUGUGUUGGAUAAGGUGUCUAAGUCCAUAACUAUUUCUGGUAUGUACUUGACCCGACCCGGCAUGGUCCAUUUGGGUUGCAUGGCAUCAUCCAUUUGGAUAGACUAUAUGAGAGAAUUAACACUUGUGGUUUAUUAAUAUAUUAUAAGUUCAAAUAUAUUAAUAGUAUUAUUUAAUUAGUAUUGAUCAAGAAUUAAUCUAGAAUUAAUUAAGUGAUCAAAUGGUGACUAAUUAAAUAUAUGAGUUGAUUAUGUAAAUCCUCCAUAACUUAUAUAGUGGACUAAAGGGCUCCAUUGAUAAUCAAGUUGGGUUUGUUGGAUUAUUGUCUAAGUCCAUAAACUAUUUUGGUAUGUACUUGACCCGAUGGUGUAUGGUCAUUUUGGGUUGCCUUCACCAAAGCAACUUGAUAGGAUGAAUUAUAAAGAGAAAGGAUUAAAUAUGAUUUAUUAAUAUAUUAUGAUAAUACUAUAUUAAAGGAGAAAUCAUAUUGUUUAAUUAAUAUUAGUCAAGAAUUAAUUGAUAAUUAAUUUUGUGACUAAAAGAGAUUAAUUAAACUUAAGGGACUAGAACUGUCAAUUGUAUGAUAGUUGAAUAUUGAGCUAAUGGACUCCAUAUUAAAGGAGUGGAUGAAUUCUAUGGGGAAACCCAUUAGAAAUCGUCCUAGGCCUUUAAGGAAGGAGCCCAUGGGUUACUUAGGGCUUAAGCAUCCAAAUUAGGGUUUCCUUGUUAGAUAACCCUAAUAGCCUCACUAUUUAAGGACCCUUUGGGCACCAAAAACGUAGGCAACUGAAUCCUAGGGGUUUCUACACGUUUUUGGGUGUUUCUUCUCUUCUCCUAUUCAUCCUCUUGCUCUUGGUGUUUGUGAACCAUUAGAGGAGUGACAUUUGUGACUCUAAGCUUUCUAAAGUCAUUACAAAGGAGGAUUUGAGAUUGUUAUUGCUACAUAACAAUCAAGGUAUGAUCUAAACCCUAAUUCAUAUCUUAUACUGAUUAUCAUAUACUAGAUCCAAGCAUUAGGGUUUGUAUGAGCACAUAGGAUGUUCUUAUAGCUAAAACCCAUCAGUGGUAUCAGAGCCUUGAUUGGUUUCUAUUGUAUUGAUGCCUUGUUAAUUUGUUCAUGCUUGAAAAAUUCGAUUUUGUGAGUCUGCCUAAUGAACUCGGCGAGUCCCAUUGUGGACUCGGCGAGUAGGCCCCUACUCGGCGGGUCCAUAGGGGUACUCGGCGAGUUCGAGCGUCAGAAAGAGGGGACUUCGAGAUUUCUUGCUGAUUUACUCAUGGAUACUUGCCUUAUCUGUUUUAGAUCAUUAAAAUCCGAUUUUAAACAUAUUUAUGAGUAUAUCCUUGAUUAAACAAAAGAUAAUUACCAAUUGAUUAGAUAAUAACUUCCUUAUAUGAUAAAGUUUGAUUAUUUGUAUUAAUUGGGUAACUUAUUUUGCAAGAAAUUGAAAUUAGGUCAAAUAUAGAUAAUGAUGAGAUUAAUUGUUUAAUUUAUAUUAUUUGUUAUUUGAUCCUUGUGUUAUGAAAAGUUUCAAUUUUCCCCUUUAGGUUUUAUAGUUUAAAUUUGAACUCAAAAGUUUNUAGGGUUUCAUGUACACCACAGGAACGAUGUUUCAUAAACUUGACGAGUUCCAUAGACUCGAUGAGUUAAGUGUCCUGGUGCCGGGAUUUUCGAUUUUCUGGCCAAAUUUUAAUGAGGAUAACUGUGAAAACUCGUUUUUCUUUCCUAAAUUCAAAUCUUUAAGAUCGGUAUGGAUAUCCUUAUCAGAUUUGGUGGAUUUAGUUAAAUAUGGAUGAUAUAGGAUUAUUUUGAUUCAAAUAUUUAACCUAGUAAGUUUGAAAAGUUUCAAAUUACACCCUUUAGGUUUUAUAGUUUAAAUUUGAACUUAAAAGUUUUAGUUUUGAAAUUUAAAUAGUUAAACCCUAAUAUUUUGAAAAGUUUUAAAAUUUGUCCUUAAAUUUUGGAAUUUAAAAUUUAAUUAAAAGGUAUUACUUUUGCAAUAUUAAUUUCUAAAACCCUAGUGUUUUGAAAAGUUCAUAUUACACCCUUAUGGUUUUAUUAAAUUAAUUAAGUGCUUAAUUAAGAGAGAGAAUUAAUAAAUCCAUAACAAUAUGGUUUAAGAUUAAUCAAAUUAAAAGUGUAAUUUAUUAAUAGAUUAAACCACCUAAUAUUUUUAAAGUGUAAAAUACACCAUUAUACUAUAUAUAAAAUUAAAAGUCUAAUAUAUUAUAUAUGUAUAAGUAAAGAGUCUGUCUUAUCGUUAGUAAGCCUUAUUCACGAAGUUGGUCUUUAAGGGGUGUUUAAGGAAGCGGCAUGUAAAAUGACCGUCAUUGGAUAUCCACUCUUACCCACCGCACCAUUAACUAGUGGAGGGUCAUUAGCCGAAUGGGUAGGAUAGGACAUAACCUUCCAUUAUAAGUAUAAUGAAAUACGAAGUAACUAAACGUUUAUAUAAAUUCUCAAAUCUUAGUUACUGUAGGAAAAAUGUGAAUUUGGUGCUAAUCCAUGAAAUUGCACAUUGCACCUUGUUGGUCGUUAGUGGAGCGUGUGUGGUUAACAGAACACUAAUAUGGGACCAAUGAAGGAUGGCAAUGGGUUUCUCGUAAUAUUAUCAUUGAUCAAUGGAGCGUGUGUGGUUAACCGGCACAUUGAUUGGGUGGUGAUCGACAUCGAGAGUAUCAAGCUAAUUUGCAUGGUUAUUCACACCUUGUUUGUGAUCCUCGGCGUCCCAGUCACAAACUUGAAAGGCAUAAUCGAGAUUAAACAUGCCAUUGAAAAGUUUAAUGAAUCUCAAAAGAUCUAGGGCUUUCAAUUCAUUAAUAACCUAAUUUUCAUUUUUGUUUUUCAUGGUGGAAAUUGGUAAAUCGUCAUUUACCUACCUUCAAAUAUUUUGCGACUGGAUUACGGCAUCCCUCUUCCGAAUUGUAGAAUAUUGUGUUGGAUCCUAGCCUUAAUAUUCCCUUUGGGUGUUAUAUUAAGGAUUGAAUCAACUAACUUGAACUUCUCCCAUUUUGUAGAUGUCUAAAUCUAACAACUAUGGUAUUCCACAAUCCUUUGGAAAAAGUCUUCCACAUGAAGAUGAUGUUCCACGAUUCGAUCGAGGAACAAGAGAUCAUGCUUCACUUCAUCCUCCUCCUCCCGUUGUUCUCCCUAACCCACAAGAUCGAAGAAUUGAAAGGUUCAAUGUCACUAAAGCCCUAUUGGAAAUGAAACAUGAAGAUAAUGUUGGGUGCGUCAUUCCCCGAUAAGUUGGCUGUGAACUGGGUUCUGCAGUCGCUCCCUGAAUCAUAUAAUGAGUUCAAGAGAAUGUAUUAUAUGAUGGAUCAUGACGAUAACCUCAUUGACCUAACUUACAUGCUCAUUGCUGCUGAAUCAGAAAUAAUUUGGCAAAGCAAUGGAGCGGUUUUGUUGGGAAAGUCAACCAACCAUGCUUUCGAGGACGUUCUAGGAGAACCGACCUGCGUUUGCUGCCAAGAGAAAGGGCGUUGGAUACAAGUUUGCCCUAAGAGCCUGAAGAAUCCAAAAGAUGGGAGAGUCAAAGAGUAUGGUUGUGCUUCAGGUAAAAAUCCACUAUCUAACUCCAUUAAGUUCUUAUUCGUUGAUUCUUAAUACAUGAUGUGAUAAGAUUGCAUUUGAAUGUUUUGCAGGAUCAGUGAAAAGAGAGGAAGCUUGAUGGAAAAGCAAGAUAAGUCUAAUCACAAAGAAAUGGAUCUCGAUCGCAUGGACUUGAAGAUUAGAUUUUGAGCUUAGAAAGUUAUGAUAGAGUUGUUAGGAAUAUUAGACUACAUAGUUUUUCAGUUAAUUUUGCAUUGUAAGGAAAAAUGUUUUCCGCUGCUUUUAUGAAUAAAAUAAAUUUUGAUUUGACUCAUUUAUUUAUUUAUUUCCUUGCAAUGAAAUCGUUAUGAAAAAUUGAUGUUUGCAUAUUUCUACAACGAAUGGAUGUGAUUCUUAAUUAUGUUAAUUAUGGAAAGGUCAAGAAUUUACCAAAUAGGAAAAGUUUCUCAUCGCCCAAGUUUCAAUUGGAUAGAGACUUGGGUCAUGCAACUUGGUUGCACGAUGAAUGAGAAAUUUCAUAUGUGGAAAUAAGACUAAUUCGUUGACAAAGUGUCAAGUGAAGAACUAGGAGAUCGAGUACACAAAGUUGUGUGUUGAUCAAGUCCACCGCAAGAGUAACGAAGAUAUUCGUCAUGAUUUACUAGAGGUUUAGUAAAAAUGAUUAUACUUAUAAGAUUAAGUGUAAUUCUGAAUUGAUUGAAAAAGGUUUAAAUCAAUAGCAUAACGAAUAAGAAGAAUCAAGUAGACAGAAAGAUAAAAGUCUCUCUAUUCUAAGAAGAAGGGAGAGUAUCUUUAUGCUUUAUGAUAUGUCUUAAUGAUUAAGAACCAUAUCUCAAUUGAUCCUCUAAGUAAGUCUUAGUACAAUUGUAUGUCUGAGAAGAGGAAUCAAGAAUUAAAGAAAUGGUUAAAAUCAAGAAGUCAAUCGUAUUUCGUUCCAAACAAGUCUUAGAGUUAAGAUUGUGACAUAGAGUGACAAGUAUUAGGAAGGUUUAUGACAAUCAUCAAAUGUAGAAUUUGGAAAAGGGUUUUCUUAUUCUUGCACAUUUGAAAUUCGUAAGUUGUGAUGUCUUGGAUUAGACAAAGACCAACGAGGACCAAUUUGUGAAGUGUUUUGUCUUGAUAAAAGCUACACUAACUCUUGAAUAUUUGGUUGUCGAGAAAUGUUUAUUGACAAGAGAAUCUUAUAUGUCAAGGAGUCAGUGGGAGUCUUAAUGGUCUUGAAAAGGUUUCAAUAACAAAUCAAAAUAAACCUUAUCAAUCAUCACUAGCACACGAGUUGAGGUUUACAACCUAUCGUGUUGACAUUAUCUUGUUUCUGUGCCGUUCCAAUCGAGUUAAUUAUGCAUGUGAGUUCUAUGAGUUCUCAUUUGAAUGCAUAAAAGGCAAGGACCUUGAUCAAUGGAAAGUACAUUGAUAGGAAAGGGUGAGCUGCUUAACUACUUGGAAGACAUGGUGGGCAGCCGUGUUACCAUAAGGCAAGAAAUCAAGAUUAAGAGUUCGGUCCAUAUAAGUUUGAAUUUGUCAUAAACUUUGGUUUUAACAAAUUCACAUGGAUAGGAACACAUACACUAUUAAAAUCUAAGUGUCAUAAGAUUCCCUCCUUCAUGGAAAUGACUGUGAGGUAAUGCUUUCACUAAAAGAGAUUUUAAGAAGAUAGUAAUUGUGAAAAUUGGAUUCUCGAAUUCGAUUAUGGUUACAGUAUCCCUUUCCAUGAUUCGAAUUGUAAGAUUUGGCAAUUAGUCUGAAUUGUUUAGACACACAUAUGAGCUAUCUAAGGGAAAGGUGUAUAAGCUUAGAUAAAGGAUUAUCAAAGCAUUAGUUAUUAGAAACAUGAACUUAAGAAAUUCAAUAGGUAUUGUUCUUCUGAAAGUUAAGUUGUUUCUAAAUACAUGUCAAAGCUAGUGGGAGCAUAAGUGUUAUGUUUAUAAUAAUCAUCAUGAUAGUGGGAGCAUAAAUGUUAUGAUUAUGUGAUUAUUAAGGCAAGUAUUGCAAGUUAGCAAUAUUAAUUAUAGAAAACAAGAGUUAUACUUUGCAAAGUCACAAUGGUUAAAAGGUUGUUUUGCUAUAAUUAAGGGAGAGAAUAUUAUGCUUCAUUUCAAAACUAAAGGCUUAGGUUGUGGAAUGUUAAUUAUUUUAGUCAAGGAUACAUAGUAUUCUUAAAUUUCGAUUAUGAUUACGACAUUUCUCUUCAUAGUUCGAAUUGUGAGAACAUAGCACAUAAAAUAUUAUGGCAGAAGACUGAUAAAGUAUCAAAUCUUUAUGCAUCGUGUCCCAUGCGCUUCGGGUAUAGGAUCGAUUGCAAAUGCUAUAAUAUUUGACCAUUCCAAAAUUUUCCAAAUGUCUAGCGCAUUUAGAGGGAAAAGGACAAGAAUAGGUUUUGACUAAGAUAAUUAAACAACUAUCAAAGGACAAUCCAAAGUUCGCCAAGGAUUGGUCACUUAUGAGUAGUUGGAAGUAUAGUAUUGAAUAGACCAUAUCGACAUUAUUAUGAAUAGAAAAGAUUCUAUUAAGAAUGAGUUGUCAUAUGGAAAAUAUGGAAACGUUUCCAUAUUGGGAGUCGGAUAUUGAGAAUCUAUGUCUAGAUUAGAAAUUUUAUGCAAAAGGAUGUUCAAAGGAAUGUCCUUUGAGUGAGAGACAUCACAUCUAAGGAAUUGUCUUGUAACAAUCUCCAAUAGACAGCUUUGUAAUUCAUUGGCAAUAGUCAUUGUGACUUUGGUGCAGUGACAUUAUGAAAGGAUGAUUGCAUAAAAUAUUAGAAUCUAACAUAUUCCAUAAGUGGCAAGAAUUUGAUAUUCUUUCACUUGUGAAAAGGAUUGGGAGUUAUGAAAUGAUUAUGAUUGGAAAUGUGUUCAUUUGAUCUAUUUCACAAAGUAAGAACCAUAGAUAAACACUGUGUGCAUGCUAAGAGCAUGGGACAAGUGUUGUAAUAAUUUAAGUAAGAAGUUUAUUACCCGAAACAAGAAAUAAUGAGUAAUCGAUAUGGUGAUAAUAAAAGGUGUUUUAUUUAUACUCAAGGUUUGAGGCCAUAUGGGACUAGUAUUAUUCUUGUGUUUCACUUUGCAUGUUUUGACUUCCUAAAUAAUUUAAAUUGGUUUAGAACAGUUAAAUUAUUCGAACGGGCCCUAGUCGUUCAUAUGUUGGAAGUAGGUAUGAAUGAAGACUGUCAUGAAUUGGUGUGUGGAUUGUCUAAAGAGCAUUAGACAUAAGCAAAUGUUUGCUGCAACGUUCAUGAGUGCUUAUAAAUAUGAUUUGAGCAUUGCAUUAAACCCACGCUCACUUGGAUCACUUCAUGGAUUUUAUCACGAGUGAUUGGUGAGACGAUAAUAUCUUAUAUUCUUGAAACCGAGAUGUGUGAGUUGUAUCUUGCGAGUUGGUUGCACAUUGAUAAUACGUAAACGCACCAGUAACUUGGUGUUAUAAAACAUAUUGUUGUGUGUGAUUCGGUGAGUAAGUGCAAUCGAACAUUGAGUCAAAGUUUAUCCGUUCCUUUUAUCAAAAGUAGGAUAAAAACGAUUUCUGUGGGCCCCUCGAUUAUUUAGUGAUGGCACCUAAGCGCUUGGCCAAGCCGGGACUAAAUUGAUGUGUUCAAUUGUAGUCUAUUGUUAGUCGUCAUAAAUCUGAAUUCGGGAAACAACACAUAGACAGAGAGAAUGUUUUAGAUCCAUGUCUCAGUCUAUACGAUAUCUAGAAUGGAGGAAUAUAUGAUCCCUUAUCUAAAGGAUACGCGAAUAUGAUAAGAUCAGAGUUGACAGCGGCUUUAGAAAGCUACGAUUGCAGAUCAGGAUCUGAAGUCAUACGCAUAAUAGUUAUUAGACUUAUCCAAGUGGGAGACUGUUGGAUUAGUGUCUAAGUCCAUAAACUAUUUUGGUAUGUACUUGACCCGAUGGUGUAUGGUCCUUUUGGGUUGUCUUCACCAAAGCAACUUGAUAGGAUGAAUUAUAGAGAGAAAGGAUUAAAUAUGAUUUAUUAAUAUAAUAUGAGAAUAAUAUAUUAAAGGAGAAAUCAUAUUGUUUCAUUAAUAUUAGUCAAGAAUUAAUUGAUAAUUAAUUUUAUGACUAAAAGAGAUUAAUUAAACUUAAGGGACUAGAACUGUCAAUUGUAUGAUAGGUGAAUAUUGAGCUAAUGGACUCCAUAUUAAAGGAGUAGACAAAUUCUAUGGGGAAACCCAUUAGAAAUCGUCCUAGGCCUUUAAGGAAGGAGCCCAUGGGUUGCUUAGGGCUUAAGCAUCCAAAUUAGGUUUUCCUUGUUAGAUAACCCUAAUAGCCUCACUAUUUAAGGACCCCUUGGGCACCAAAAACGUGGGCAACUGACUCCUAGGGGUUUCUACACAUUUUUGGGUGUUUCUUCUCUUCUCCUAUUCAUCCUCUUGCUCUUGGUGUUUGUGAACCAUUAGAGGAGUGACAUUUGUGACUCUAAGCUUUCUAAAGUCAUUAUAAAGGAGGAUUUGAGAUUGUUAUUGCUACAUAACAAUCAAGGUAUGAUGUAAACCCUAAUUCAUAUGUUAUAUUGAUUAUCAUAUACUAGAUAUAGGGUUUAUAGUCUUGGAUGAGUUGCAUGUACAAUAGAGAAACCUAGAUCCAAGCAUUAGGGUUUUUAUGAGCACAUAGGAUGUUUUUAUAGCUAAAACCCAUCAGGGUUAAACCCAUUGGAUGCUCCAUGGAGGCUCCAUGGGAGUUACAAACCCAUGGGUAAUGGAAAUGAAGAGUCAUGUCACAUUAGGGUUUACAUGGCGUAACCCUAGAUGUGACACACUAUAUAAAGAACAUCAUACUCCCUAAAAUCGGCUACACAUAGUGACAAGAGGGCUUGCCUGAUUUUUUGAGUGUUACACGUUCUCUCAAAGUUGUUCCAAAGCAUUUGGUGUUGUAUGAAGCAUUUGAGGAAUCACACUUAGGGUGCUAGGCUCUCAAGGUUUCAAGGAAUCAUAACAACAACAAGGUAUGUGUUUCUAGCUAUCUUUUAUAUUAUAAAGUUCCCCAUGUAUGCUAGAUAGGUUUAUGAACCUUGGAAAAAAGUAAUUUGCAUGUAUCUUAUACAAACAUAGAUCCAAGGUUCUCUAGGGUUGCAUGUACACUUAGGAGUGUUAGAAUUGCUCAAAACCCUUCGAUGGUAUCAGAGACUAGGCUUGCUUGUUUGAUAUUUGAUGCAAAAUAGUGAAAAAAGUCGAUUUUUUGUUGUCUGCCUGCUGAAAUCGCCAAGUCCAUGGGGGGACUUGCCGAGUUCAUGUGUAAAAUCAUCCUACUCGUCGAGUAGGUUCAUGCACUCGACGAGUAGGAGCCUCAGAAUGCAGUUUUUUGACUUUUGCUGCUGGAAAUGGACUAGAAACGUUACCCUAAACUGUUUGGGUGUUAUUAAACAUGUUUUAGAUGGUGUAAUGGUUGUUCUAAUCCAUUUAUAAUGACUAAUAUCAAAAUUCCAUGAUUUUAUGUUUUCUUGAAAAUUUGAUAUUCAUAUUCAUGUUCUUAUGAGUUUAGAUGAUCAUAGGAAUUAUGUGUAACUUCUUGAUAGUUUUAAUUCUUAAUCAUUAUGUGUUUUAAUGGAAUCCAUAAUUUGUCCUCAAGUUAUGAAUUACCAAAAGUUUUAUCUUUGAAUGUCCAUUGAAGAAACACAUAGGUUACAUAAAAUGAAGAUUUACUCAUUUUAAUGAACCAAUUAAUCUCAUAAGUUAUGGAUUGAAGAGUUUUGUUAAGUUACAAAACUUUCCCUCAAAUUUUGGAACUUGUAAAGUCACCUAAUUAACUUUAGUUCCAACCCCUAGAAUUUAAAAUGUUAAAAUUCAACACUUAUACUUUAUAAUAUUAUAAGUUUAAUAUAUAUAUAUAUAUAUAUAUAUAUNNNNNNNNNNNNNNNNNNNNNNNNNNNNNNNNNNNNNNNNNNNNNNNNNNNNNNNNNNNNNNNNNNNNNNNNNNNNNNNNNNNNNNNNNNNNNNNNNNNNNNNNNNNNNNNNNNNNNNNNNNNNNNNNNNNNNNNNNNNNNNNNNNNNNNNNNNNNNNNNNNNNNNNNNNNNNNNNNNNNNNNNNNNNNNNNNNNNNNNNNNNNNNNNNNNNNNNNNNNNNNNNNNNNNNNNNNNNNNNNNNNNNNNNNNNNNNNNNNNNNNNNNNNNNNNNNNNNNNNNNNNNNNNNNNNNNNNNNNNNNNNNNNNNNNNNNNNNNNNNNNNNNNNNNNNNNNNNNNNNNNNNNNNNNNNNNNNNNNNNNNNNNNNNNNNNNNNNNNNNNNNNNNNNNNNNNNNNNNNNNNNNNNNNNNNNNNNNNNNNNNNNNNNNNNNNNNNNNNNNNNNNNNNNNNNNNNNNNNNNNNNNNNNNNNNNNNNNNNNNNNNNNNNNNNNNNNNNNNNNNNNNNNNNNNNNNNNNNNNNNNNNNNNNNNNNNNNNNNNNNNNNNNNNNNNNNNNNNNNNNNNNNNNNNNNNNNNNNNNNNNNNNNNNNNNNNNNNNNNNNNNNNNNNNNNNNNNNNNNNNNNNNNNNNNNNNNNNNNNNNNNNNNNNNNNNNNNNNNNNNNNNNNNNNNNNNNNNNNNNNNNNNNNNNNNNNNNNNNNNNNNNNNNNNNNNNNNNNNNNNNNNNNNNNNNNNNNNNNNNNNNNNNNNNNNNNNNNNNNNNNNNNNNNNNNNNNNNNNNNNNNNNNNNNNNNNNNNNNNNNNNNNNNNNNNNNNNNNNNNNNNNNNNNNNNNNNNNNNNNNNNNNNNNNNNNNNNNNNNNNNNNNNNNNNNNNNNNNNNNNNNNNNNNNNNNNNNNNNNNNNNNNNNNNNNNNNNNNNNNNNNNNNNNNNNNNNNNNNNNNNNNNNNNNNNNNNNNNNNNNNNNNNNNNNNNNNNNNNNNNNNNNNNNNNNNNNNNNNNNNNNNNNNNNNNNNNNNNNNNNNNNNNNNNNNNNNNNNNNNCUCCUGGAAGAAUCGCGGGGCCACCCCGACUCAACUCGCCGAGUCUGAAGAACAACUCGACGAGUCCCAGUUAAUCUUCAAGCUACUCGCCGAGUCUGUUCAUCGGACUCGGCGAGUCCAUGCCAUGCAACCGCUCAAACUGCUUUCUAAGGUCAGAACUGCUCCGACCAUUCAUAGGUCUGGCCUUCCUAGACUGAUUCAUCACGUAAGGUCCUCAUUUCGGUGCUCAUAAUACACCCCAUGACUCAUAAUUUACAUUUUGACCUAAGGCAUAAGGAUUCCAAUCCAAAACCUCCAUUGAUUCCUGAAAUGCUCAGGCAUGGGACAUUCUGGACUUCCAAAGAUCUCAAUACAGGGUUCCAAUCGUUUGGGGGACUAAAGUAACACUCAAUCUAGCCACAAAAGGGUUCAAUAAAUCCUAAAUCCAUAUACACAUCAACAUAGAAGAAUGUAACUCGAAAUAUUACCUGAAUAACGUGCUCUCUGUGUCCCCAAUCCACAGAACGUGGCUCUUCCUGUUGUUCCCUUAACCAAGCCUCUUCUUCCUUGCAAAACCACACUUCCAAAAUCAACAAUGGUCUUCAACCUUGCUCCAGACGCUCACAAUCGAAUUAGGGUUUCUCUCAGAGGACUAGGGUGAACAAUGACGGCCAUAAAGUCCCUCAUAUACGUCCCAAACCUGAACGGUUAGGGUUUUCGCUAAAUAGCGCAGACUCGCCGAGUCCAUAUCCGGACUCGUCGAGUCCAGUCGCGAACCCGCAACCAGAUCCGCGAUCCUACUCGGCGAGUCUAGGCUCCAACUCGCCGAGUCCCCUCUUAAAACACCCAAAAUCAUAAAUAUAACAAUACCUGAAAUUCCAGGCUGUUACAGUAAUCGGGUUAUUGUUGGUUGGUAAAAGUAAAUACAAUUAUUUAUUGCGGGUUGAAAACACUAUAUGCUCACCAGGCUCCCAAGCCUGACCCACUCAGUUUAUUUGUAUUACAGGUAGUGGCGCGAGGGCAUAAGAUGGACGAAUCAUCAAGUUAUUUUGUUUAUUAGACCAGUUGUUAUAUGUAACUAUUGUAUGGUCUAUCUUUUGUUGUUUAUGCUUUUGUGUCUGUAUCGGAACAUGACAUCUCGAGUUUUGAUUUUAUAGUGAAAAUACAUUUCUUUAUGAAAUGCUUUGGUAAAUAUUAUUUUAUCAUACUUUGUUUUUGGGAACAAAUUUCGCAACUCUUUUAAAUCAAAAGGAUUUACUCUUAAAUUAUUUUAAAAAGCAUAAAUGAAACUGGUCUUUUAUGGCCGUGAUUUUGGGGAUGUCACAGUGGGUAUCAGAGCAUUAGUUUAAGCGAACUAGGAAUUUGUAAGAUUUCUAGACUUAAACUUAGAAUGCUAAGUGGAGAUUGUGAGAAGUGUGUCUGUUAUAUUAUGGACACGAGCACUAGUAUAUUUUAGGAAGUUGCCUAAAAUGCUCUUAGGUGCUAAAUGUUAUAUGUUGCCAUAUAUGAUAUUAUUUGUUUGGAUCUAUGGUCUGUUGCCGACCGGAUCAUGAAACCUUAUGUGUGUAGGAUUCUAAGCAUACGUCUACGACAUUAGAACUAGCAUGUAAACGUUUCGGAGUGAUAUGGAAGAUCGUAAUAUCUAUCAUGAAUAAAGAUCUAAAUUUCACCUUAUUCGGUGUAUUGAUCAAGAAUGGCAAGAACAAGAAGCAGUGAUGGAAAUGCAAACAAGAACAGGAAUCAACCGCCUCUAAUUGAACAAGUAAUUGUUGAAACUGCUGCACCAGAGCAAAUCACUCUGGCUGGGGUGCAAGCCAUGAUUCGGGCUAUGUUAGCCGAACAAAAGGAAGAAAUGCGACAGAUGUUGCAUGAAAAUAGGGACGAACCAAUCAUACCCAUUGAGGAACCCAAACUGAUUCCCGAACAAUCGGAGGAAGGAAACAAUAGUCGCGUUGUGAGUCAAGUUGGGAGUCAAGGAGAACGAAGGAACGACCCGGAAAGGGGAAACAAAAAGGAUGGGAGAAUGUAUAAGAAUUUCUUGGGCGCCAAGCCGCCAAGUCUUUCUGGGAACCUAAAGCCCAUUGAGAUUAUGGAUUAGAUCUCCGAAAUGAAGAUGGUAUUUGAAAGUUGCGACUGUAUCAACAAACAGAAGACUGUCUUUGCAGUUAGACAACUGAAGACCGGAGUCUUGAGCUGGUGGAAGUUGUUGGCAGAUAUUAUGUCAUGAGGAGAAGCCCUGAAAAUGUCAUGAGAGGAGUUCUUAGAACAACUAAGGGCGCAGUAGUGUUCAGAGAUAGAUCUGAUUGAUCUGAACAAUGAGUUCCAAAACUUAAAGAAGGGGAGGAUGAGCAUAAAUGACUAUGCUAUCGCAUUCACUGAUAAAAUGAGGUUAUUUCCAUACCUAGUGCGAAUGAAACUCUCCAAGAUUGAGAGGUUCGCUAAUGGACUACCUUCCGACUUUUGCCCGAUAGUCAAGAUGGCAACUACUCUAAAAAUAGUUGUUUGUGCGGCUAAGAAUGUGGAGACCCAGCAGAAGGAAAAGGGUCUGGAAAGAAUAGAGGUUGGUGAGAAAAGGAAGUUGGAUGGACCUUUAGGGUCCAACAAGAAAAUCAAGUUUUCGAAGUCUAGUUCGAGAGGAGGAGGAGGAAGAGAAGCCAAAUGGUACGACAAAUGUAAGAAGAAGCAUCAUGGAAAAUGUGAAGUAGUAGCCACAUGUUUUAAAUGUGGAAAGCCAGGGCACUAUGCCAAUGAAUGCACUCUCACCAAGAAAGUUUGUUAUGGCUAUGGUGAGGAGGGGCACAUCUCGAGAGAUUGUUCGAAGAAGAAGGAGGCAUCAAAACCCAAUAUUCCCCCAAAGCCGAAGGCGAGAGCAUUCCAGAUGACACUGGAAGCUGCAAAAUAUGAAGCUGAUGUCGCUUCAGGUACCUUUCUCGUAAACAAAUUGCAUGCCCAAAUUUUAUUUGAUUCUGGAGCCAACUACUCCUUUAUUUCGCAUGAAUUUGGUAGAAACUAGCUUCUCCUGUCGAUAGACUAGAUAAUGCUUUAUUAGUCGAAGUUGCUAGUAGCAAAUUUCUACCUAUUAGCCAUCGUAUGAAAAACAUCUUAAUUCACUUGAAUGGGAAUAAGUUCCAUGAGGAAUUAUUGCCUAUCGAACUAAACAAUUUCGACAUCGUGCUGGGAAUGGAUUGGCUUAGCGCCAAUGACGCCGAAAUAUUGUGCAAGAAGAAGAUUGUAAAGGUAAAUCCGCCAGGNGCAAGAAGAAGAUAGUAAAAGUAAACCCACCAGUGAAAGAGUCAUUUAUGGUGUAUGGGGACAAACGCAGAGUAAAUUCUAGAAUCAUUUAUCUAAUGAAAGCCAGAAAGUGUUUGGCCAAAGGAUGUACAUCAUAUUUGGCAUUUGUGAUAGAUUCUAAGAAGGAGAAAAAGGUGAUGCAAAGCAUUCCUAUCGUAUGUGAUUAUCGGGAAGUAUUUCCCAAAGAUCUUCCCGGAUUACCGCCUGAUAGAAAUUUGGAGUUCAUAAUAGACUUGUUACCAGGGACGACGCCUAUAGCAAAAGCACCUAAUCGAUUAGCACCAUCAGAGAUGAAGGAGCUAAUGAUGCAACUUCAGGAGUUAUUGGGCAAAGGUUUAAUUAGACCUAGUUUAUCACCCUGGGGAGCUCCGAUGUUAUUCGUGAAGAAGAAAGAUGGAAGUAUGAGAAUGUGCAUCGAUUAUAGAGAGCUGAACAAGGCAACAAUAAAGAAUAGAUAUCCGUUGCUGAGGAUUGAUGACUUGUUCGAUCAACUACAAGGUUCAAGUUAUUUUUCAAAGAUCGACCAAAGGUCAAGAUAUCAUCAGCUGAAGGUGAAAGAGCAGAUAUAGAGAAGACUGCAUUCAGAACACGAUAUGGACACUAAGAGUUUUUGGUUAUAUCAUUUGGACUAACCAAUGCUCCAGCAUCAUUCAUGGAUUUAAUGAUCAUGGUUUGUAAUCCGUUCCUAGAUAAAUCUGUGAUAGUGUUCAUAGAUGACAUUCUGAUUUAUUUGAAAAGCGAAGAGGAGCAUGGCAUACACUUGCGAGAAGUGUUAGAAGUCUUGAAGAAGGAGAAGUUGUAUACAAAUUUCUCCAAAUGUGAUUUCUGGAUUCGAGAAGUCCAAUUCUUGGGUCACGUGAUCAACUAAAAAGGGAUAAUGGUUGAUCCAGCAAAGAUUGAAGCUGUAAUGAAGUGGGAACAACCGAAAAGUCCCACGGAGAUCCGAAGCUUUUUAGGAUUAGCCAGAUAUUACCGAAGGUUUAUCCAAGGCUUUUCUACGAUCGCUACUCCAUUAACAGCGUUCACCCACAAAGGAGUUACUUAUGCUUGGAAUGAUAAGCAUAAAGAAGAAUUCGAGAGGCUAAAGAAGAAGCUAUAUGAGGCAGCGAUUCUUUCUCUACCCGAUGGAGUUGAAGACUUCGCUGUUUAUAGCAAUGCGUCUGGUGUUGGCUUGGGUUGUGUUUUAACCCAAAGGGAAAAGGUGAUCGCAUAUGCAUCUCGACAGUUGAAGGAGCAUGAAAAGAACUACCCGACUCAUGAUUUGGAGUUGGAAACGGUAGUUUUCGCUCUGAGAAUAUGGAGGCAUUACCUCUAUGGCACGAAGUGCAACUUUUCACUGAUCAUAAGAGUCUCCAAUAUCUCUUUAGUCAGAAAUAAUUAAAUAUGAGGCAAUGAAGUUGGCUUGAAUUACUUAAGGAUGUACGACUGCGAGAUACUUUACCACCCUGGUAAGGCUAAUGUUGUUGCUGAUGUUCUCAGUCGGGAAGUCAAUCUUGAAAGAAAAAGGCCAAGAGCGUUGAGAAUAGAAGUUGUCUCAACAAUUGUGGAGAGUAUAAAGAAAGCUAAAGAGGAAGCUUUUGUGAAGAAUGAUCGAAAAGAAGAACUUUAGGGAAAAAUGUUGGUGUUCGGUAUAAACAGUCAUGGACUGAAGGUGUUCCAAGAUCGGAUUUGGAUACCUAAGACAAGAGGAGUCAGAGAUCUUAUGAUGGAAGAAGCUCAUAAGUCCAUGUACUCAAUUCAUCCCGGUAGUACUAAAAUGUAUAGGGACCUAAAACCCUACUACUGGCGGCCGACGAUGAAGCUUGAUGUUGAAAAGUAUGUAGCCGUGUGUGUGACUUGUGUGAGAGUCAAGACACAACAUCAGAAACCGUAUGGGAGUUUAGAACCUUUGCCUGUGCCUAUGGGUAAGUGGGAAGACAUUGCUAUGGAUUUUAUCACUAAACUGCCCAGAACGAAAAGUGGUCACAACAUGAUUUGGGUGAUCGUUGAUCGAUUCACUAAGAGUGCGCAUUUCAUAGCAUCCAAUGAGAAAUGGUCUAUGGAAAAGCGUGCGAAUUCUUUUGUGAAGGAAGUUGUGAGGCUUCACGGUGUUCCGUUAACGAUUGUGUCAUAUCGUGAUAGCCAUUUCACCUCGCGAUUUUGGAGAAGUCUACAAGAGGAAUUGGGUAGCAAGUUGUGUUUGAGUACAUCUUACCAUCCACAGACUGAUGGUCAGAGCGAACGGACGAUACAAACACUUGAAGAUAUGCUGAGAGCAUCUACCCUAGAAUUCCAAGGUACUUGGGAUGAACAUUUACCUUUGAUGAAAUUUUCCUACAAUAAUAGUUUCCACUAGAGCCUAAAGAUGGCACCUUGUCAAGCUUUGUAUGGACAGAAGUUUCGUACGCCGUCUUAUUGGCUUGAGGCUGGAGAAAAGAAGUUUAUGGGACCCGAGAUGGUUCAUCAAAUUGCUGAAAACCUGAAAAUAAUUUAGGAAAGAAUGUUAGUAGCUCAGGAUCGUCAAAAGUGCUAUGCUGACAAAUAGCGAAGACCGAUGACUUUUGAAGUUGGAAAUUCGGUUUUGCUUAAAGUCUCGCCAUGGAAGGGACUUAUAAGAUUUUGUAAAUGGGCAAAGUUUAGUCCAAGGUUUAUUGGACCUUUUAAAGUUCUUGAGAGGAUUGAGAACCAAGCUUACAAGAAUGAAUUGCCAGAAGAACUGCAUGGUAUUCAUAACACUUUCCAUGUGUGUUAUUUGAGGAAGUUUACUAGAGAACUUCCCGACAUGAUUCCACUUUCGGAGUUGAGAAUCAAUGAGAACAAAAGGUUGAUUGAAGAACCAGAGGCAAUCGUUCACUGAAAGACUAAGAAGUUGGGACGCAAGAUGGUCGAGUUUGUGCUUGUCCGAUGGAAACACACGAAUAGGCCAAAUCUCACCUGGGAGACGGAGAGUGACAUGAUCAGUCACUACCCGCAUUUGUUUGUUGAUGUGUGAUUCCGAGGACGGAAUCAUUCUAAGGUGGAGAGAAAUGUAACACCUGUGUUUCUGGGCUUGUCAUUAAUAUUGAUGUAAUAGUCCAGGUUAACCAUUGUAACCCGUUUCGAAAUAAUAGAAGUGUAUUAUUUGAGUAUUAUGUGUUUUGUGCUUAAUUGUGUGUCUCAAUUGAGUUAAGUAUGAAAAUAAGCGUCAAAAUUAAAUGUUAGAUAAAGCCGAUAUUUAUGUAUAAUGCUCUAGUAGUUGAAACGAGGUUUCCGAAUAUACAUAGAAUGCCGAAAUCCGAGUUAUAAGGAAGAAGUUAUGAUAUGUCGAAGUUUCGCGACAGAAACCGGCACGACGCUGAAUGACGUAAAAAGUGAAUUUACGUUAGAGUGAUACUUAGCCCUAGUGAUCUAAACGAAUGUUGUAGAUUUCGUUAAAUUGAGAGCGUGCAUAAAAAAAUCGCCCAAAUCUGACUUCGUAUGAGGAAGUUAUGAUUUUCCGAAGUUUCAACUUAUCAGUGUGCAGCCCGAAUACUCGAUUUGAGAUCAAGCGGUUUUUAGCCGAAACAAUCUAAACGAGAAUUGAAGAUCUCGUUAAUGGUAGUGCAAUGGUAAAAAGACAGAUGAAAACGGACGUCGGAUGAAGAAGUUAUGAAUUUAUAACGGGGUUUUUCUGUCCCGGCCUACUAAAAAUAAAUAAUAAAAAAAUAAUAUCAAAAUCAGCCGACGGAGUCUAAACGAAAGUUGUAGAGCGUAGUCUCACCUACGCGUGGAUAUAAAGAAAGUCGAAACGGAGUUCAUAUGAAGAAGAUAUGAAUUUCCGAAGUUUUUAAAUGAUUAACAUUUAUUAAUUAAUCUUUAAUUCGGAUGUAUAUCCGAAGGAGACACCGAUCUAGUCCGCACUACGCCCAGCGUAGUUGAGUACGACCAGCGUACACCGAAGUGUGACCCGCCUUACACUCAAGAGCUCCGAUAACGCAUGCAGUGACGAAUCCGAAGUGUACACCCCGCGUACUGAGCAUUACGCCCAGCGUAAUGUGAGGCUUCAGCCUCUAUAAAAGGGCUUGCGAGGGCAGCCAAUGCUUUUGCUCAAUUUAUUUUCUCUCUCUCCCGUUUUGCAUCGUUUUGCAUACAAAUUAUACCCCGAAACCCCGAUAUCAUUCCCGAGCCCCGAAGCAUGUCCUGAAGCCCCGAAGAUCCCGAGGAGUAGUGUUCCCGAGCCGAAGCUCUGCCUGCAAGAAGCCAAUUUUUUUGAAGAUCUUCCAGAUCUACCGAAGAAUACUACUUCUACAAGUCGUAGUGUUGUCCGAUCAUCUUCUGAUCAAGUGAGUAUGUAGUUACUUUCAUCUAAUGCAUAAUUACGAAGUAUUUUAUACGAAAUACGUGUUAUGUGUAUAUUUGUUGUUAUAUGUGUGAAUGUAUAUUCACUUUCUUCUAUCUCGUACAUAUGACUAAUUCUCUAUGAAAUAUGUGUUAUGUGUAUCUGUCUCAUCUGUUGUUUGGAAUAUGUAUUGAAUGAGAAUGUUAUACAGGUUUUAAACUAAGUAUAAAAAUAUAUAUUUUUAUCUACUAAUAUGUUGGGUAGACCAUGGGUAGAUGGUUGAUGUGUGAUAAACAGAUGAGAGGCCUCGAUGUUGCUGUUGAUCUAGUUAUUCAGCGGACUAUGGAUAAUGACCACAGACUCUUUCGAGACAGUCAUGUGGAACGCUGUGACAUCCUCAAAAUCACGGCCAAAAAAGACCGUUUUAAUUUAUGCUUUUAAAAUAAUUUGAGAGUAAAUCCUUUGAUUUAAAAGAGUUGCGGAAUUUGUUCCCAAAACAAAAUAUGAUAAAAUAAAGUUUUUCAAAGCAUUUCAUCAAGAGAUGCAUCUUCAUUAUAUAACAAUAUUCGGGAUGUCAUGUUCCCAUAAACAGACCAAAAAUAUAAACAACAAAAGAUAGAUCAUACAACAGUUACAUAUAACAAUUGGUCUAGUAUCAAAAGAUCUUGAUAAGUCAUCCAACUUAUGCUCUCGCGCCACUACCUAUAAUACAAAUAAACUGAGUGGGUCAGGCUUGGGAGCCUGGUGAGCAUAUAGGGUUUUCAACCCGAAAUAAAUAAUUAUAUUUAAUUUCACCAACCAACAAUAACCCAAUUACCCAUUCCCGUUAUCCUCACUUUACGUCCCUAAAACAACAUCUAUCUCAAGGGAUCUAAUAUAGGAUUUUCAUCGGGACAGACACUGCACAGGGGUUACCUCAAUAGUAGAUGUCCUAAAGGCAACCAUGAGGGGGAUAGAGUACACCGGUGAACACAUCGUUCACAACACCUAGCUAGCGUUCCACAGGACUGUCUAGAAAGAGUCUGUGGUUGUUAUCCAUACUCCGCUGAAUAACUAGAUCAACAACAACAACAUCGAGGCCUCUCAUUUGUUUAUCACACAUCAACUAUCUACCCAUGUUCUACCCAACAUAUUAGUAGAUAAAAAUAUAUAUUUUUAUACAUAGUUUAAAACAUGUAUAGCAUUCUCAUUCAAUACAUAUUCCAAUCAACAGAUGAGACACAUACACAUAGCACGUAUUUCCUAGAGAAUAAAUUAUAUCUCUGAGAUAGAAGAAAGUGAAUAUACAUUCACACAUAUAACAAAAAAUAUACACAUAACACGUAUUUUGUAUAAAAUACUUCAUAAUUAUGCAUUAGAAGAAAGUAACUACACACUCACUUGAUCAGAAGAUGAUCGGACAACACUACAGCUCUAAGAGUAGUAUUCUUCGGUGAAACUGGGUUCACUUCACUCACCAGGCUUCUUGCGGGCAGAGCUUCAGCUCGGAAACUCUUUUCUUCGAGGGAUCUUCGAGCUUCAGGACUUGCUUCGGUUGUCGGGAUGAUACCGGGGCUUCGGGGGUACUUUUUCACGUAAAUCGAGGUAAUAUGAGUGAGAGAGAAGAGAUUUGGCAACCACAAACGGUUGCCCCUUCAAAUCUAUUUAUAGGGCUAUUUUCUCAUUUUCCACGUCGUGGGCACUUCUUCCACGUCGUGAGCUUGGUCGUCAUUGCAUGCGUCAUCGUCCACUUGCUCUGCCAGGCUCCAGAAGGCGUCAGAAGCCAUGCCACGUCGUGGUCUCUGACGGUUUUGGUGUUUCGCACCCCGAACUUCAGAAAUCCAUAACUUUCGCAUACUUACUCCGUUUUCGACGUUCUUUAUAUCGACGUGUAGGUAAAAACAAGAUCUACAACUUUCAUUUAGACUUUGUAUGCUAAUUUUGACUUUAUUUUUAAUAUAUUAAUAAUAUACUAUUGUUAGUAGGCCGGGACAGGAAAACCCCGUUAGAAAUUCAUAACUCCUUCAUCUGACGUCCAUUUUCGACUGUCUUUUCACCGUUGGAGUACAAUCGAUGAGAUCUUUGAUUCUCGUUUAGAUUGUUUCGUCUAAAUAUCGCUCGAUCUCGUAUUCGAACUUCGGGCUAUACACUGCUAAACAAAAACUUCGAAAAAUCAUAACUUCCUCAUACGAAGUCAGAUUUGGGCCUUCUUUUUAUGCACGCUCUCAGUUUAACGAACUCUACAACAUUACUUUAGAUCGCUAAGUCCAAAUAUUUUUCUAAUGUAAACUCACUAUUUACGUCUCGCUGUGUCGUACCGGUUCUGUCGCGAAACUUCGACAAGUCAUAACUUCUUCGUUAUAACUCGGAUUUCGGCAUUCUUUAUAUAUUCAGAAACCUCGUUUCAACUACUACAACAUUAUCCAUAGAUAUUGGGUUGAUCUAACAUUUCAUUUUGACGUUUAUUUUUAUUCUUAAUUAAAUUAAGACAUACAAUUAAGCACAAAAACACAUAAUACUCAAAUAAUACACUUCUAUUAUUUCAAAACGGGUUACAAAGGUUAACCUAGACUAUUAUAUCAACAUUAAUGACAACCCCAGAAACACCGUCAUUACAAUUCUCUCCACCUUAGAAUGAUUCCGUCCCCGGAAUCACACAUCAACAAACAAAUGUGGGUAGCGACUCAUCAUGUCACUCUCCGUCUCCCAAGUGAGAUUUGGCCCAUUCGUGUGUUUCCAUCGGACAAGCACAAACUCAACCACAUUGCGUCGCAACUUCUUAGUCUUUCGGUCAAAGAUUGCCUCUGGUUCUUCAAUCAAUCUUUUGUUCUCAUCGAUUCUCAACUCCAAAAGUGGAAUCAUGUCGGGAACUUCUCUCGUGAACUUCAUCAAAUAACACACAUGGAAAUUUUUAUGAAUUCCAUUCAGUUCUUCUGGUAGUUCGAGCUUGUAAGCUUGGUUCCCAAUCCUCUAAAGAACUUUAAACGGUCCAAUAAACCUUGGACUCAACCUUCCCCUUUUACCAAAUCUUAUAAGUCCCUUCGACGGCGAGACUUUAAGCAAAACCGAAUCUCCAACUUCAAAAGUCAUCGGUCUUCGCUUGUUGUCAGCAUAGCUCUUUUGACGAUCUUGAGCUGCUAACAUUCUCUCCCUAAUUAUUUUCAACUUUUCAGCAGUUUGAUGGACUAUCUCUAGUCCCAUAAACUGCUUUUCUCCAGCCUCAAGCCAACAAGACGGCGUACGACACUUCUUUCCAUACAAAGCUUGAUAAGGUGUCAUCUUUAUGCUCGAGUGGAAACUAUUAUUGUAGGAAAAUUCUACAAAAGGUAAAUGUUCAUUCCAAUUACCUUAGAAUUCCAGGGUACAUGCUCUCAUCAUAUCUUCAAGUGUUUGUAUUGUUCGUUCGCUCUGAGCAUCAGUCUGUGGAUGGUAAGUUGUACUCAAACACAACUUGGUACCCAAUUCCUCUUGUAGACUUCUCCAAAAUCGCGAGGUAAAGCGGCUGUCACGAUCUGACAAAAUCGUUAACGGAACACCGUGAAGCCUCACAACUUCCUUCACAUAAGAAUUCGCACGCUUUUCCAUAGACCAUUUCUCAUUGGAUGCUAUGAAAUACGCACUCUUAGUGAAUCGAUCAACGACCACCCAAAUCAUGUCGUGACCACUUUUCAUUUUGGGCAGUUUAGUGAUAAAAUCCAUAGCAAUGUCUUCCCAAAUACCCAUAGGCACAGGCAAAGGUUCUAAACUCCCGUAUGGUUUCUAAUGUUGUGUCUUGACUCUCGCACAAGUCACACACUUGGAAACAUACUUUGCAACAUUAAGCUUCAUCGUCGGCCAACAGUUGUAGGGUUUCAGGUCCCUAUACAUCUUAGUGUCGCCGGGAUGAAUUAAGUACAUGGUUUUGUAAGCUUCUUCCAUCAGAAUUUCUCUGACUCCUCUUGUCUUAGGUAUCUAAAUCCGAUCUUGGAACACCUUCAGUGCAUGACUGUUUACACCGAACACUAACGUUUUGCCCAAACAUUCUCCCUUUCGGUCAUUCUUCUCAGAAGCUUCCUCUUGAACUUUCUUUAUACUUUCCAUUAUUGUCGAGACAACUUCAAUUCUCAACGCUCUUGGCCUCUUCCUUUCAAGAUUGACUUUCCGACUGAGAGCAUUAGCAACAACAUUUGCUUUGCUGGGGUGGUAAAGUAUCUCACAGUCAUAGUCCUUAAGUAACUCUAGCCAGCGUCGUUGCCUCAUAUUCAAUUCCUUCUGAUUAAAGAGAUAUUGGAGACUCUUAUGAUCAGUGAAAAGUUGGCACUUCGUGCCAUAGAGGUAAUGUCUCCAUAUCUUUAGAGAGAAAACUACCGCCGCCAACUCCAAGUCAUGAGUCGGGUAGUUCUUUUCAUGCUCUUUCAACUGUCGAAAUGCAUAUGCGAACACCUUUUCCCUUUGGUUCAAAAUACAACCCAACCCAACACCUGACGCGUCGCUAUAAAAACAAAGUCUUCAACUCCAUCGAGUAGAGAAUGUAUCGGUGCCUCGCAUAGUUUCUUCUUUAGCUUCUCGAAUGCUUCUUUAUGCUUAUCACUCCAAGCAUAAGUAGCUCCUUUGUGGGUCAAAGCUGUUAAUGGAGUAGCGAUCAAAGAAAAGCCUUGGAUAAACCUUCGGUAAUAUCCGACUAAUCCCAAAAAGCUUCAGAUCUCCGUGGGACUUUUCAGUUGUUCCCAGUUCAUUACAGCUUCAAUCUUUGCUGGAUCAACCAUUAUUCCUUCUUGGUUGAUCACAUGACCCAAGAAUUGGACUUCUCGAAUCCAAAAAUCACAUUUGAAGAACUUAGCAUAUAGCUUCUCCUUAUUCUAGACUUCUAACACUUCUCGCAAGUAUCUACCAUGCGCCUCUUGGCUUUUCGAAUAAAUCAGAAUGUCAUCUACAAACACUAUCACUGAUUUAUCAAGGAACGGAUUAGAAACCCUGAUCGUUAAAUCUACGAAUGUUGUUGGAGAAUUGGUUAGUCCAAACGACAUAACCAAAAACUCAUAGUGUCCGUAUCGUGUUCUGAAUGCAGUCUUCUCUAUAUCCUGCUCUCUUACUUUCAGGUGAUGAUAUCCUGACCUAAGAUCGAUCUUUGAGAAAUAGCUCGAACCUUGUAGUUGAUCAAACAGGUCAUCAAUCCUCGGCAACAUAUAUCUAUUCUUUAUUGUUGCCUUUUUCAGAUCUCUGUAAACGAUGCACAUUCUCAUACUUCCAUCUUUCUUCUUUACGAAUAACACCGGAGCUCCCCAGGGUGAUGAACUAGGUCUAAUGAAACCUUUGUCCAAUAACUCCUGAAGUUGCAUCAUCAGCUCCUUCAUCUCCGUCGGUGCUAAUCGGUAAGGUGCUUUUGCNNNNNNNNNNNNNNNNNNNNNNNNNNNNNNNNNNNNNNNNNNNNNNNNNNNNNNNNNNNNNNNNNNNNNNNNNNNNNNNNNNNNNNNNNNNNNNNNNNNNNNNNNNNNNNNNNNNNNNNNNNNNNNNNNNNNNNNNNNNNNNNNNNNNNNNNNNNNNNNNNNNNNNNNNNNNNNNNNNNNNNNNNNNNNNNNNNNNNNNNNNNNNNNNNNNNNNNNNNNNNNNNNNNNNNNNNNNNNNNNNNNNNNNNNNNNNNNUCUUUCCCAGGUGGGUUUACUUUGACUAUCUUCUUCUUGCACAAUAUCUCAGCAUCAUUGGCGCUAAGCCAAUCCAUUCCAAGCACGAUGUCAAAACCUUUAAGUUCAAUAGGCAAUAAUUUCUCGUGAAACUUAUUCUCAUUCAAAUCAAUUAAGAUGUUUUUCAUACGAUGACUAACAGGUACAAACUUGCCACUAGCAACUUCGACUAAUAAAGCAUUAUCUAGUCUAUCGACAGGCAAAGCUAGUUUUCUACCAAAUUCAUGUGAAAUAAAGGAGUAGUUGGCUCAAGACUCAAAUAAAAUUUGGGCAGGCAAUUCGUUAACGAGAAAGGUACCUGAAGCGACAUCAGCUUCAUCUUUAGCAGCUUCCAGUGUCAUCUGGAAGGCUCUCGCCUUCGGCUUUGGCGGAAUGUUGGGUCUUGCUGCCUCCUUUUUGGGGCAGUCCCUAGACACGUGUCCCUCCUCACCACAACCAUAACAAACUUUCUUGGUGAGAGUGCAUUCGUUGGCAUAGUGCCCUGGCUUUCCACAUUUAAAACAUGUGGCCACUACCUCACAUUUUCCAUGAUGCUUCUUCUUACAUUUGUCGCACCAUUUUGCUUCGCCUCCUCCUCCUCUCGAACUAGACUUCGAGAACUUUUUUUUCUUGUUGGACCUGAAGGUCCUUCGAACUUCCUCUUUUCACCAACCUCUAUCCUUUCCAGACCCUUUUCCUUCUGUUGGGCCUCCACAUUCUUAGCUGCUCGAACAACUUUUUUCAGAGUGGUUGCCAUCUUGACUGUCGGACCUAAUUCGGUAGGUAGUCCAUUAGCAAACCUCUCAAUCUUGGAGAGUUCCGUUGGCACCAGGUACGAAAAUAACUUUAUUUUCUCAGUGAAUGCAGUAGGAUAGUCGUCUACGCUCAUUCUCCCCUUCUUCAAGUUUUGGAAAUCAUUGUUCAAAUCAAUCAGAUCUAUCUUUGAACAGUACUGCACCCUUAGUUGUUCCAAGAAAUCCUCCCAUGACAUUUUCAGGGCUUCUCCUCAUUGCAUAGUAUCUGCCAACAGCUUCCAAAAACUCAAGACACCAGUCUUCAGUUGUCUAAAUGCAAAGACAGUCUUCUUUUUGUUGCUACAGUCGCAACUUUCAAAUACCAUCUCCAUUUCGGAGAUCCAAUCCAUAAUCUCAACAGGCUUCAGGCUUCCAGAAAGACUUGGCGGCUUGGCGCCCAAGAAAUUCUUGUACAUUCGCCCAUCCUUGUUGUUUCUCCUUUCCGGGUCGUUCCUUCGUUCUCCUUGAGUCCCAACUUGACUCAUAAUGCGACUAUUGUUUCCGUCCUCCGAUUGUUUGGGAAUCAGUUCAGGUUCCUCAAUAGGUAUGAUUGGUUCAUCCCUAUUUUCAUGUAACAUUUGUUGCAUUUCUUCCCUUUAUUCGGCUAACAUAGCCUGAACCAUGGCUUGCACCCCAGCCAUUGUUAUUGGUUCUGGUGCUGCUGCUACAACAGGUAUUUGCUCAAUCACUGGUGGUUGAUUCCUGUUUUCAUCUGCAUUUCCAACGCCACUCCUGGUUCUUACCAUUUUUUAUCUACACACCGAAUAAGGUGAAAUUCGAUCCUCAUCCAUGAUAGAUAAUUAAAUCAUCCUUAUCACUCCGAAACAUUUACAUGUUAGUUCUAAUACCGACGUCAUACGCUUAGAAUCUUACACACAUAAGGUUUCAAGAUCCGGUCGGCAGUAUACCAUAGAUCCGAACAAAUAAUAUCAUAUAUGGCAACAUAUAACAUUUAGCACAUAAAAGCAUUUUAGGCAGCUUCCUAAAAUAUACUAGUGCUCGUGUCUAUAAUAUAAUAGACACACAUCUCACAAUCUCCACUUAGCAUUCUAAUUUUAAGUCUAGAAAUCCUACAAAUUCCUAGUUCGCUUAAACUAAUGCUCUGAUACCAACUGUGACAUCCCCAAAAUCACGGCCAGAAAAGACCGUCUUAAUUUAUGCUUUUACACUAAUUUCAGAGUAAAUCCUUUGAUUUAAAAGAGUUGCGGAAUUUGUUUCCAAAACAAAAUAUGAUAAAAUAAAGUUUAUCAAAGCAUUUCAUUAAGAGAUACAUUUUCAUUAUAUAACAAUGUUCGGGAUGUCAUGUUCAGAUAAACAGACCAAAAGCAUAAACAACAAAAGAUAGACCAUACAACAGUUACAUAUAACAAAUGGUCUAAUAUCAAAAGAUCUUGAUAUGUCAUCCAACUUAUGCUAUCACGCCAAUACCUGUAAUACAAAUAAACUGAGUGGGUCUGGCUUGGGAACCUGGUGAGCAUAUAGGGUUUUCAACCUGCAAUAAAUAAUUACAUUUAAUUUCACCAACCAACAAUAACCCGAUUACCCAUUCCCGUUAUCCUCACUUUACGUCCCUAAAACAAUAUCUAUCUCAAGGGACCUAAUCAAGGAUUUUCAGCGGGACGGACAUUACUGCAAAGGGGUUUCCUCAACAGUAGAUGUCCUAAAGGCAACCAUGAGGGGGAUAGAGUACACCGGUGAAUACAUCGUUCACAACACCUACAGGUUAUGAGCCUGCUAGCGUUCCACAGGACUGACUAGAAAGAGUCUGUGGUCGUUAUCCAUACUCCGCUGAAUAACUAGAUCAACAACAACAACAUCGAGGCCUCUCAUCUGUUUAUCACACAUCAACUAUCUACCCAUGUUCUACCCAACAUAUUAGCAUAUAAAAAUAUAUAUUUUUAUACAUAGUUUAAAAACUAUAUAGCAUUCUCAUUCAAUACAUAUUCCAAUCAAUAGAUGAGACAUAUACACAUCGCACGUAUUUCAUAGAGAAUAAAUCAUAUCUAAGAGAUAGAAGAAAGUGAAUAUACAUUCACACAUAUAACAACAAAAUAUACACAUAACACGUAUUCUGUAUAAAAUACUUCAGAAUUAUGCGUUAGAAGAAAGUAACUACACACUCACUUGAUCAGAAGAUGCUCGGACAGCACUACAGCUCUAAGAGUAGUAUUCUUCGGUGAAACUGGGUUCACUUCACUCAUCGGACUUCUUAUGGGCAGAGCUUCGGCUCGGAAACUCUUUUCUUCGCGGGAUCUUCGAGCUUCUGGACUUGCUGCGGGUGUCGGGAUGAUACCGGGGCUUCGGGGGUACUUCUUUGCAUGUAAAUUGAGGUAAGAUGAGUGAGAGAGAAGAGAUUUGGCAACCACAAACGGCUGCCCCUUCAAAUCUAUUUAUAGGGCUGUUUUCUCAUUUUCCAUGUCGUGGGCACUUCUNUUCACAUCGUUACAUCAUCGCAAGUUGGGUCUGGUAGACUCCAGGAGUCGUCAAAAGACAUGCCACGUCGUGACCACUGAUUUCACAUCGUGGUCUCUGACAGUCUUGGAGUUUCGCGCCCCGAACUUCAGAAAUUCAUAACUUUAACAUACGAACUCCGUUUUCGACGUUCUUUAUAUCGACGCGUAGGUAAAAACAAGGUCCACAACUGUUAUUUAGACUUUGUAGGCUUAUUUUGACUUUAUUUUUAAUAUAUUAAUAAUAUACUAUUUUUAGUAGGCCGGGACAGGAAAACUCCGUUAGAAAUUCAUAACUCCUUCAUCUGACGUCUGUUUUCGACUGUCUUUUCACCGUUGGACUACUAUCGAUGAGAUCUUCGAUUCUCGUUUAGGUUGUUUCGGCUAAAUAUCGCUCAAUUUCAUAUUCGAACUUCGGGCUGUACACUGCUAAACCGAAACUUCGAAAAAUCAUAACUUCCUCAUACGAAGUCAGAUUUGCACAUUCUUUUUAUGCAUGCUCUCGGUUUAACGAACUCUACAACAUUCCUUUAGAUCACUAAGUCCAAAUAUUGCUCUAAUGUAAACUCACUAUUUACGUCUCGCUGUUUCGUACCGGUUCUGUCGCGAAACUUUGACAUGUUAUAACUUCUUCUUUAUAACUUGUAUUUCGGCAUUCUUUAUAUAUUCGGAAACCUCGUUUAAACUUCUACAACAUUAUCCAUAGAUAUCGACUUUAUCUAACAUUUCAUUUUGACGCUUAUUUUUAUUCUUAAUUAAAUUAAGACACACAAUUAAGCACAAAACACAUAAUACUCAAAUAAUACACUUCUGUUAUUUCAAAACGGGUUACAAAGAUUAACCUAGACUAUUAUAUCAACAUUAAUGACAAGCCCAUAAACACAGUCAUUACAAACGCUAGCAGGCUCAUAACCUGUAGGUGUUGUGAACGAUGUGUUUACCGGUGUACUCUAUCCCCCUCAUGGUUGCUUUUAGGACAUCUACUGUUGAGGAAACCCUUAGCAGUAAUGUCCGUACCGAUGAAAAUCCUAGAUUAGGUCCCUUGAGAUAGAUGUUGUUUUAGGGACGUAAAGUGAGGAUAACGGGAAUGGGUAAUCGGGUUAUUGUUGGUUGGUAAAAGUAAAUAUAAUAAUUUAUUGCGAGUUGAAAACCCUAUAUGCUCACCAGGCUCCCAAGCCUGACCCACUCAGUUUAUUUGUAUUACUAGUAGUGUCGCGAGGGCAUAAGAUGGAUGAAUCAUCAAGUUAUUUUAUUUAUUAGACCAGUUAUUAUAUGUAACUGUUGUAUGGUCUAUCUUUUGUAGUUUAUGCUUUUGUGUCUGUAUCGGAACAUGACAUCCCGAGUUUUGAUUUUAUAAUGAAAAUACAUUUUGUUAUGAAAUGCUUUGGUAAAUAUUAUUUUAUCAUGCUUUUUUUGGAACAAAUUCUGCAACAAUUUAAAAUCAAAAGGAUUUACUCUGAAAUUAUUUAAAAAAACAUAAAUGAAACUGGUCUUUUCUGACUGUGAUUUUGGGGAUGUCACACUGCGCCUAAUCGAGAACAUCAUAAUCCUGGCAGCUACGCCCAAAGGACAAUAUUAGCACUUGCGCCUAAUAGAGAAUAUUAUAAUUCUGGUAGUUGCGUCUAAAUGAUAAUGUUGGUAGUUGUGCUUAAUAGAUAACGUUGACAACUGUGUCAUUAGGAAAACGGUGGACUGCGUGCCUAUUCCUUAGGAAAAUCCUUAGGAAUGAAUGAGUUAAUGAUAAAUGAUUCUUAGGAUACAUCCUUAAGAAAUAACGAAGAUAAUGGGGAUGGAUAAUUGGGUUAAUUUUUUAAUGAUUAAACAUAAUUAUAUUAUUGUGGGUUGAAAACCCUAUGUACUCACUAGGUUUCCCAAUAUGACCCACUCAAGUUUAUUUGGAUCACAGGUGUCUAUACGAAGCUACUUUACACUGAGAGAUUAAGGAGACGUAAAUCACUAGUGUAAAUGAAUGGAAGGUCUGUUUAUGCUUAUAUUUAUGUAUUAACGAUGACGUCCUAAAGUUUUAAAAAGAAAUGAAAUACAUUUCUUCGAAAAUGCUUUGAUAACACAUUUAUCAUGUUUUUCUGGGAACAAAUUCCGCAACAUUUUUAUAAAAAGGGUACUCUCAUUUUUAAAUAAAGCAUAAACAAAUCGGUCUUUUCUGGCUGUGAAAAUGGGGAUGUCACAAUUGGUAUCAGAGCAUUAGUUUAAGAGAACUAAGAAUAAGGGUUUAUUUCUAGACUUAAACUUAGAAUGCUAAGCGAUGAUUAUGAGUUGAGUGUGUGAUGUUGCGCAUAAAAAAACACAAAGAUAACCAAGAAUGAACCUGUUGAUUCUAAAAGAAUAGCCAGGACAAUCUCUUCAAAACCACGUUGAUUCUACGAAUACUGUGGGAUUGGCUUCAAAAACUGGGUUAACACGCACAAAAUUUGGGAGAAAACUGAAAGUUCAUAAAAUUGAUGAUCGACCAUCCAAAUUACAUAAAAAACAGUUAAAUAAAAAGCAUAAAUUAAAAUGAAACCCUAAAAGUCCAUGGGCGAAAUACAAACCCAAAAAUUAAGGAAAAAUAACAAAAUUGUUCAUAACUCCAUUUAGAAAGCGAUUUCUGGACUCAAAAUGGGUAAGUCCCUUUCGGGGACUUAUCUAGAUGUGCUCCUUGCUCCAAGCUUCGACUUGACUGGUCGUAGGCCCAAAACGGAGACUCGUAGCCAAAGUUAUGGCCAUUUCCGUGAAGCCCCUUUAAUCACACGAUCGUGGGCCUCUAGGAAUGCAAUGGCCCGAUCCUCCACACUAGGGCCCGCAUCUGUGUGUCUAAUAUAUUUUAGGUAGUACACCUGAAUAGACACAGCCACUAUCUUAUUUUGGGAGGAUGCCUAAAAUGCUUUUAUGUGCUAAAUGAUUUGUGAUACUUUAUGAUGCUAUUGUUCGAUCAGAUAUAUGGUAUGUUGCCCACCGGAUCCAGAAACUUUAUGUGUUUAGAUUUCAAAAUGUUUAAUUACAGUAUUAGAACUGGCAUGUAACUUUUCGGAGUGAUAAGAAGAUUUACAUGUGGAUCGUAAAUAAAACCUUUCCUAUCUUAAUUAUCAUCAUUACACAUCAAACGUCUGAUUUGGUGUAUAGAUCAACAUGUUGAGAACUCGAAGCGGAUUAGGAGACGCUAAUGGAAAUGUUGAUCAACGGCCUAUGAUUUAACGUGCACUAAAGGUAGCAGCUACACCAUAGCCAAUCACAAUGGCAAGAGUCCAAGCAAUGAUUCAGGCUAUGAUAGCCAAACAAAGGGAGGAGAUGAGGCAAAUGUUGCUUAAUAGGGAUGAACCUACCAUGCUCAUUGAAUAACUAGAACUAAAUGAUGAACAGUUAGAGAAGGGAAUUACAGUAGAACCGUUGGUCAAGCUGAACUGCCAGUGGUUAGGAGGAAUAACCAAGAGGAAGGGAUCAAGAGAAAUAGAUGCAAGUAUAAGGAUUUCACAACUUGCAAACCAUAGAUUUUCACUGGGAAAGAGGAUCCAAAUCGGAGUUACAGACCGGAUCUCGGAGAUGGAUUUGGCUUUCAUAACAUGUAGAUUCAAAGGAAAGCUAAAAACCAUAUAUGCAGUGCGUCAGUUGAUGGGUGGAGUUGUUCACUAGUGGAACACUUUGGGAAAGAUCAUGAGUCCUAAUGAGCUGCUGCAACUGACGUGGGCAGAGUUCCUAGUGCAUUUCAAACGAAAGUUUUGCUCGGCCCAAAAUCUGUUGGAGCUAGAGAACCAAUUCCUAACAUUGAAGAAGGGCAUCAUGCCUAUUGACGAAUACAGCAAUGCCUUCACCGACAAGAUGGAAUUUUCUUUGCGCAUCGUCCCUGGCGAACUAACUAAAGUCGAUAAGUAUACAAAGGGACUACCAUGGGAAUAUGUUGUGCUAGUACGCCAGGCACCUACCAUCGAGGCGACUAUCUGGGCUGCUAAGUCUGUUGAAGAAAUGAUCAAGAGUAGGGCCACCAACAACGUCGAAGUUGGUGAAAGAGAAAGUUUGAAGGAUCUUCAAUGUCCAAUGAGAGGAGAAAAUGCUCGAAGUCUGGUUCGAAGAAGUUUGAAGGAGGAGGAGGUGAAGCAAGAUGGUGUGAUAAGUGCAAGAAGAAACACUUUGGAAAAUAUGGCAAGAAGGUGACUUGUUUCAAGUGUGGAAAGUCUGGGCAUUAUGCCGAUGAGUGUAUAUUCAACAAAAGGGUGUAUUACGGAUGUAAUGAAGAAGGGAAUUCAAGCUGGACUGCCCAAAGAGGGAAGGAGCUACAAAGCAAAAUGCACCGCCAAAGCCGAAGGCAAAAACAUUCCAUAUGAUCCUUAAUGAAGCAGAUGAUAAUGCAAGGAAUCAAGAAUGAGGACUGAUACCCGAAGAUCAAGUUAUGAAGUAGCCAUGCAGAUAGUAUCAGGAGGUGUAGCCUAUUAGAGGCAUAUUAUAGGUUGAACUUUAACAUCCAUGUAAUCAUUUCAAGAAGUAAUAUAAGCCUUGGUUUUGUUAUCUGGUGCGUUAAGUUGUUAUGUGAUUUUCAAGUAUGGUGACUUGGAAAACUGCGAGACAAUACUUGGGACAAGUAUGAGUAUAUGUGAAUGGUAGUAGAGGCCUAUACUACCAGAAGCACAGGACUCGCACUUGGAUUAGGGAAAGUCACAAGGUUACCAAGGCACUAGUAAUUGAUUCUUUUUUGUUCAUGUUUGUCGUCACCAUCGUUUCGGUAAUGACUAAGAAGAUGAUUGUUAGUCCAACCCUAGUGGUCAUAUCAAAUCGAGUCCGACUAAGAUGAAUAUGUUGCGUGGUUCAAAAAACCAAGGUCGAUGUUGCAUCUGACUUAAGCCAGACGAUUGAAGUGAAAGAUAAUCGAACCGAUCAAUAGAAGUAUCGUAACCUUUGUUAAGGUAAGAAGCUUGUAGCUAGAAGUGCUACAUGCUAGAAUAUGAUUAUAUCACAUUAGAACAUGAAGGAAGGUAUAUUUUGUUCUAUAGUUUGACUCUAAAAGACCUAAGUCUAAGUGUUGCAUCAUACGAUAAGAGGUCAUUACAACAUGACCCAUCGGUUUAUUGUGGUAAUCAAAUAACUUCUCUUAAUAUAAGUAUGUUUAACAAGAAGUAGGAGUCUCUGAUUUGGAUCGAUUUUGUAACUCGAAGGUUACGAUUGGAAGUCCAACAUAGGAUAAAGAACGGGUGCAAGAUUGAGUACCUCCUGCGGUCAAGAAGUCCAAGAGUUUGAUACUCAUUCGAAGGAACAUAAAAGUUACGAUUAUUACCUAAUAUGAAGAGAUAACAUAAGGAUUCAUUAUACAAGCCCUAUUUUGUUGAUUAUUCUGGGACGUAAUCAUCCUAAGGAGGAGAUAACUGUAACGCCCGCAGAUUCAGGCUAGUCAAUUAGAGAUAUUGAGCGUCAAAAAUGACAUUUUUAUGGGAGUUUAUUUAGAAGAAAUAAUCUUAACCUAGUAAUAGUAUAUGUCACAAGGGUUCCGUACAUAUAAAGAACGCCGAAAUCCGAGUUAUAACGAAGAAGUUACGACCCGACGAAGUUCUACAGCAAAACCGGCACGACACCGCGUAACAUAAAAAGUGAAUUUUUGAUAAAUUACUUUUUAGCCUUAGAGAUAUAAAUGAAAGUUAUAAUAUAGGUUAAACCGAUAGCAUGCAUAAAAAGAACGUCAAUAUCUAACUUCGUAUGAGGAAGUUAUGAUUUUUCUAAGAUUUCGCAAAGUAGUAUACAACCCGGAAUUCGAAUUUCAGAUCGAGCGAUUUUUAGCCAACACAACCUAAAUGAAAAUUGAAUAUCUCAUUAAUAGGAGUUCAACGAUAAAAAGACAUUAAAAAUGGAGUUCGAAUGUACAAGUUAUGAAUUUUACACGGUCAUUAACAAUGUAAUCUUCUCAUACUAGUAAAUUUAAAAUCGGUCGAGAGUUAGCUGUUUGAGUCAAAAGGAGAGUUGUAGAUCAUGUCAAUACCUAUGCGUGGAUAUAAAUAAUGUCAAAAAUGGAGCUCGUAUGCAAAAGUUAUGAAUUUUUGAAAAUUGGUUGUUUUACCUGCGUCCAGCACCACGUGUCAGCACCAAGCGAAGCCAUGGUGCCUACGCAAGGCCACGACGUGGAUUGGCUCCAGAUAGCCUAUAAAUAGAGGCGGAAAUCAUCCGUUUUCUUCACACCUUCACCCUUCUUUCUCUCUCAACGCUCCUAAUCUCUCCCUCCCAAUCCCUAGCAACUUCUAAGUGCUCCGAGAAGAAGAUCUUUCGGCUCAGAAGUUCCACCCCCGCAUAGCCCGGUUCCUAGCCAAACCCACGGUAAGUUAGUUAUGAUUACCCUACUUUAAGUAUAACUUAUGUUUGAGUUUAUUAUCAUUAUUAUGAACUUAUAAACAAGAUUUAUCAAUGAUUCCAAGUAGUUAUAUUGAUUGAUCUACUUAUGGGGAUAAUGUCUAGGCUGUGAUUUUGUGAGGUGUUUAAAGUGGGGUUUCCAAAUAGUAUACUUCGUAUACCAAACGAACCCUACCUCUGAUAUGAUCCUACCUGGUUGCUCUUUACAUGAUAGAUCAUGAAAGUAGACUUUGAGUUAAUGAUGAAUCUAGACUAAUAAUUAGUUGCAAUAAAGAUUAGACUAAAACUUAGCGAUAAUAAUGUUAGGUUUCGUCGAAGGAAGAUAGAAUCGUUAGAAGUGAAGCGUUUCUCGACUUUGGAAUUAUCACUUUGAAAAGUGAGUGCAUAGUUACUUUCAUCUUACACAUUGAUAUGAAGUAUUUUAUAUAAAUUACGCGCUAUGUGUGCAUGUUAUCUGUUUACUUGAUAUAUAUGAUAAAUGAACGAUCUUAUACAUGUACUCUAAACAUCCUAGUAGCUGUGCUCAAAGUGUAGUAUCGGUAGCUGUGCCGUCACACCCCCAAACCAGAACGACGGAAACGUUCAGGGGCGGAGGACGUCAUGUAUAGUAUCAUAACAAUGCAUAAUAGUAAAACAAGCAACAACAUCAUCCAUUGAAUUAAUGAUAGAAUUUAUACAUGUGUGUUCUUUGUAAAGUUGUAAGACACCAAAAAUAUAUAAUCAAAAUAAAGACGAGUCUUGAAUACGCUCUGUCUCCUCAAAACCUGGUCAUCGAUACAUGUCUACUGGUGACCUAAGAAUACAAGUUAUUUUGAAAGAGUAGAUCAACAUUUAAGCUGGUGAGUUCAUAAGUAUAUUAGUGUCAAAAAUUUUCAUCUGUUUCAUGAAAAUGUUUGUAAGUAUUUAGAUGUAAAUGUUUGUAUGCUUCCAAGAAAAUCCUAUAUUUUCUACUAAAAUGAAAAGUAGUCUUCUUCCAAGACUCAACUGUUUUGUAUGUUUGUUUUCUCGUAAAAAUUGAUGUAAGAUGUAUGUUUGUACUUGUAAUAGUAUAAAUGUGGGUUUUCCAUAUUUUUUUAAAACUUUCUAUACACGAAAAAUAGUAUGCAUUUCUUACGUGAGAAUAUCACUGUGUGAAUAUGAUGGAAAAAUGACGAUAUUCAGUAGUGUUGUAUAAAAUAUCUACUGAAGCACUAACUACCUUAAAGCAAAUUGUUAAUUAAGGUAAAACGUGAUGAGGUUAUAACCAUGCUUGAUUGACUUGUAUAAAACACAACGAUCAAAAUACAUCGAAAUGGUAUGACAUUUGUCACUUGUAGACCUGUAGGUCCCAUUGUAGCUAGCAACAAGGUUUAGGAUGGUCAAUCCAGUAUAGAUCUAUACACAAACUCACGCUCUCCCUCCAAGAGACUCUGGUUACAAAGCGUGACACAACAAGUAUAUUGAUAUGCCAUGAAGUAGUGGCUCACAUUAAUGUUAUCUUGUUCUAGUUAUAGUAUGUAUGUUCCUUUCUGUUCUAGUUAUAGUAUGUAUGUUCCAAUCUGUUCUAGUUAUAGUAAGUAGUAAUACUCUAAACUAUACCUAUUAUAGUUUACUAGUAUGAUUGUUUGACUGUUACUAAUUUGCAGAAAAGUCUCAAUUACUCACAUAAGCAACUAACUUAAGUAUGUAACUUAAAAAUGGGUUUAAUAUUCAUAUAUGUAUUUAAUAAGCAUAACUAUGAUUUUGCUGACAUUCGAACUAGUGAUCCUACCCUAAGCCCACAACCAAACAAAGAAACAGGAGUUAAGGUAUCUCGCAGUAGUCCUAAGCCCGUUAAAGCAUACUUACACGUAAACAGAUAGACGAAUAUGAUUUGAUAUAAAAGAAGUUUAUAAAAGAUUUAAAAGAGUUUUAACAAGUUUUGAGUAUAAGAAAUCCCUUUGGAUGUUGUUUUCACAUGUAAAUGGUUAACAAAAUUUAAUUGUGUUCUACUUGUUAUCCCCCAUAAAAGCAUUUAAAAGGUAUUUAAAAGUGUAUUGUAGGGGUAUGAACUCAUAUGUAGUGAGUGAUUCGAAUGAAAGAUCGAUAUAGGAUGAUAAGUAUGCCAAGUGAAGUAUCGAGCACAAACGGGUCCUAUUAAGCAUAUAAUAACACAUAUAUGUAUACAAUUAGUAUAUAUAACAACUAAAAUGUAAGGGAAACAACCUUAGGAACUAGGAAACACUUUGAAUGAAGUGUUAGCAUCACAAAUGAUUGGCUGAAAGGUGUUCACGACUAAACAAGGGGUGUUCACGGCCUUAGGAGGGUACAUGUCCAUAGAACGCAUGAUGUGUUCACGGACCAAGGUUGAUCUUAUGAAGGUUUCACGGUCCUAUGAUGCAUCUAUGAAGGGUUCAUGGCCCUAUGAAGGGUUCACGGUCGUGAACUCUUGAAGAUCUUGCAAAUAAGUGUUUGUUUCAUGGGUGGAAUCAAGUGUUUCUAAGGGACAACAAGAUGAUGGAUGAGAUACUUAUGUUUUGGAAGCCUUUAGAAGUGUUCACAGUUGAAGAUAGUUGAGAGAGAAGUGGUGUUCACGGCUAGGGUUUAAAGAAAUGAAGAAAAAUGAGCCAACUCCUUAUAUAUAAGACUUGUUCACGGCCAAGGAUGGGUACACGGCCAUGAACCUAGAUGUGGCCGUGAACUCCUUUUGGUGGUGUUUCCGGCUCGAUUGCAACUCAAUGAACUCAAGCUAACACUUCCUAACUCACAAUCCUUGAGUGUACUAGGCUUAGAAAUUCUCAAACAUACCCUUAACACAACAUAAAGGUAACAGAAACAAGUCUGACUUUAGAUUGAAUUGAUUGACUUUACAAGAUAGAAAUUCCAGGUUGUCGCAUGUGCCUAAUAGAAAACAUCAUAACCCUGGCAGCUACGCCCAAAGGACAAUAUCGACUGUUGUGCCUAAUAGAAAAUAUCAUAAUUCUGGCAGCUGCUCCUAAAUGAUAAUAUUGGCAGCUAUGCUUAAUAGAUAAUGAUGAUAUAUGGUCCAUUAGCAUGGCCUAGACUGCUCUAGCGCGCCAUAUGAUGCGACAUCGGCUCCGACCACCUGCUCUAAGGAGAUGCUUCUGCACCAGAGAUAGAUCUGUGAGGUCACAACAAACAAGACCGUUAGAGCUGCCCCAAAGACUGUGCCCUGGGAGAGAGCUCCGACGGUCAAGUUAGAUCAUUUGGUAGAUCUGAGAUGGAUCUCUUUAGCUAGAGAGGAUCAUCCUUGUGUUGGUGGUGUUGUAUGGUGGUUGACGGCGGCGGGUGCCGGCUGAGCCACCCGGCCAAAGUAUAGGGCGGCGGCUGAGCCAAGGGGAAGAUCCUAAUGGUGGCAGAACCACCUAGGAAAGAGUCCUCCUUCAUGAAGGAGGCACUAUUCUAUUUAUAGGGGGACAACUAGGUCAAGGGGAAUUAGGUCAGGCCUUGGGCCAACCCAAUUCAGGCCCAGCUAGCAAGGAGCUGGGUAAGGCCGCCCGGAGGCGCCGCGCGGGACUUANUGACGGGCGCGUACCAGGAAAGGACGGCAAGGGUGCGCCAGGAAAGGGAGCGUCAGGUCGGGCCUGCAAGAGAUUCCCCAGCAAGGCUGGCAAGGGAGUCCCCAACAAGGUUGUCAAGGGAAUGCCAGGAGAGGCUGGCAGGAGCGCGCCAGGCCAAGAUGGCGCGCUAGAGCAGUGUAGGCCAUGCUAAUGGACCAUAUAUCAUUAGAUAACAUUGACAGCUGUGUCAGUAGGAAAAUGAUGGACUUUAUGCCUAUUCUUUAGGAAAAUCCUUAGGAAUGAAUGAGUGAAUGAUAAAUGAUUCUUAGGAUAGAUCCUUAAGAAAUAACGAAGAUAAUGGGGAUGGAUAAUUGGGUUGAUUGUUUAAUGACUAAACAUAAUUAUACUAUUGUGGGUUGAAAAACAUAUGUACUCACUAGGUUUCUGAACCUGACCCACUCAAGUUUAUUUGUGUGACAGGUGUCGAUACGAAGCUACUUUACACUGAGAGAUUAAGGAGAUGUAGAUCACUAGUUAAAAUGAAUGUAAGGUCUGUUUAUGCUUAUGUUUCUGUAUUGACGAUGACAUUCCAAAGUUUUAAAAGAAAUAAAAUACAUUUCUUCGGAAAUGAUUUGAUAACACAUUUAUCAUGUUUUUCUGGGAACAAAUUUCACAACAUUUUUCUGGCAUCGGGCCUCGCCCGGUAUACAAAUAACAUAUAAGCACAUGCAUAAAAAUCACUUAAACACAUGCAUAAAAAUCACAAUGAUAAAUAGCAUACAAUAUAAUCAUUACGCCCCGCCCGGUAAUCAUAUAAACACAUAACACAUGCAAGAGUAACACAUACAACUAGUAAGGAAACUCACCUCAAGCUGCAAAAUCACUCGGAUAAAAUCUCAAUCUGUUGGUCCGGAAGAUCCUCGCGCUAACCUCAUAAUAUAAAUAUCCAAUUAAUAAUUGGAUCUCGACCCAUAAUAACCAAUCUAAGUUCCUUUUCCAAUAUCCAGGGUAAAAGAUUGUUUUACCCUUUUUCUUACAUGGCCCAAAACCAAGGCCCAAUCCAUUGCUCAAAAGGGCUAAAUUCCAAAAUGGCAUCCAUAGGCCCAAUAAGGCCCAACUUCCAAAUUGGGCUGAAAAUCAUCAUGGACCUAAUCCCAUGAAAGUCCAUAGUCUAUCCAUGACCCAAAGUCAAAAUUCUAAUGACCUAACAAGGCCCAAAUCUUAAAAACCCAAAAUAUGGCCAAAACCCAGGGAAGUCAAACCAAAAGUCAACCUACUGUACGCUUAGCAUACUCCUUCCAGGGCAAGUAUGUGCAUCGUACCAACUGGGUAUGCCCAACGUACUCCCCAGAUUAUCAACCCAACCCAUUAAUAACUUAAUUGGUUAAGCCAACAUGCUAAACUCUCAGAUCUGGUUCUAAAUGGCGACUUACUAUGUAAAGUUGACAACUUUACACCCAUGCAUGAAUUAAUGGGGCCCAACACUAAAAAAGAAGCUUAAUAAGACUCUUAACACUUGCAUGGAAUAAUAUCUUACAUAAAGUUUGCAUUUUUAUGGGCAAAGGACCUCAAAUCAGCGAAGAUCUAACAUCCAUAGCUUCUGGAGUGGACCAUAACUUCAUAUAUGACUUAAAAGACCCAAAAACGCAUAAAUAUCACCAUAAAAUGGAUCUAGCACAAAGGACCAUCCAGAUGAGAGAUUUUUACCUCAAAAGGCUUGCUAAGGUGAAGAUAACUCUAGAUCUACAAGAUUAAGCUACUCCCAAGAAACCUCGAAGUGUUCCUCGUUUUCUUCUUCUUCACCACAAAACACCAACAAACUCACUUUCAAGCUCAAAUCUGACCAAAUACACUUAGGGUUUCGAUAUUGUGACAUAGGGUGAUGGAGGCUGAUCAAUAAAAUGUCCAAAGGUGGUUUAAGAUGUUUAAGUAGGCUGCAAACCCUAAAAAUUAGGGUUUGCCCCUGCUCUACGUAUGUCAUGCAUACUCUACGUACGCCCCACAUACGUGGGUGAAUCUUGCGUCCAGAAAAUAGAUAGUAUGAUAAGCGUACUCAUAGAGUAUGCCCUGUGUACUAGCUAUGGACCAAAAUGAUAAGGAUUUUGCAUUAAGGGGUUAGAAAGAAACUUACCAAAUUACGAAUGUUACAAUUCACUUUAAUCAGAAUUUGUCCUUGAAGUAUGCUGCUCCAAACAACUUUGGGUAGUGCUCUCUCAUCUCGUCCUCCGGCUCCCACGUCCAUUCUGAACCCUUUCGAUGCUGCCACUGAACUUUCACCAAUUCAACAACCUUGUACCUCAAGGCUUCGUCUUCCUGUCAAGAAUUGUUACCGGUCUCUCGAUAUAAUUCAUGCGAUCAUCCACUUAAAUAUCCUCUAAUAGAACCACCACGGAAUCAUCAAUUAAACAUUUUUGUAACUGAGAGACAUGAAAUAUGCUAUGGAUCAUACUAAGAUCCUCGGGAAGAUACAAGCGAUAAGCAACCCGAACCACCCGUGUGAUAAGUCCAUUUUAUGAAUGUACUAAAUUGUCAUAAAUCUGUUGAAUUGAUGUAUAAUUGUCCAAGAAUGGCACUACAUUGCUGAGUUAUUGAACUUCAUAUGCAGGUCAAUAUAUUGUACUAAAAGUGGGUGGAACCUACAAGUAAAACGGAUUGUUAAAGGAAUGAAGAAACGUUGCUGGGAAAAUUGACCAUUCUUCAAUGUUUUGGUCUAAUCUCAAGUUCUGGAGCUCCGAUUGACAUGAGUAUAGAAGUUCUGGAAACUAGACAAGAUUUUCUACAACUUUCGUGUUUUGUGCUUCUGCUAGUUAUGUCGUUUUGACUACCAAAACUUGCACAGAAGAUGAAGGACACCUCCAGACAUCUAAGACGUCCAGGUCAAACAGCCAACAUCUGGUCGUUAUUUCAGAGCAGAAAAGAAGGAAGAACCCCGUCAGCAUCUAACAUGGAAUCUAAGAUGUCCCCUAGGAUGUCUUGGCAUUUUAGGGACGUCCCGUGUUGGAACGGUGUGUUUAGGAAAGUUUAGAAAACAAGGCACGACGUCCUAGAACGCAUCUAAGACGUCUCCUAAGACGUUUGACGUUUUUGGCCAUUUUUUAGUAUAUUUCAAGGACGUACAAAGAUCGCUUGGGCGUUAUACACGACGUCUAAGAUGUCUCCUAGGACGUCCAACGUCCCACAUCGCCCAAUUUCAUUAUUUUUUAUCCCACACUAUAAAUAGGAGCCUAUUUCGUUGGUUAAAAUUCGGAUUCAAAGCAAGAUUCGAUUCAAUUCAUCAUCAAGCUAUAAGUGAAGAUCAUUUCAUUGGUUAAUUUUCAUCAAUUCUUUAUUUUCCAGAAUUAUUUCUUCUUCCCCAAGGUUUAUUUGUUCUACACUUCGAUAAUCAUUAGGCUACAUUUGUUUGAUGAUUCUACGUUUGUUUAUGAAUUCUAUAAUGGAUUUUAUUCAUUUUAAUCAAGUUAUUUGUCUUAUGAACUCAAUGGAAGGCUAAAUCAUUAGGGUUACUUCCGGGGAUGUUUAGGACUUUUUGAUGAACACACUUGAUUAUUACUUGAUUCUAGUUAAUUUCAAUUGUUGUUUUAUGCUUCAUGUGAUGAUCUUUUGGUAAUGAUAAUUGAAAUUGGGUUGUAUGAAUUGUUUGAUGUCAUAAUUAAGAUAGUCUAUUGUCAAUUCAUCAUUUGUUCCAAGUUCACAUAGUUUAGGAAUAAAGACAAGUGAUUGAAUCAACAUAUAUUAUUCCAACUUAUGAUAUUGAAUCUUAAUGCGGUAAUAGGUACUUGUAAGAUAUUUUAUUGCUAGUCCACUAAUUGUUCUUAAUCCAUUGAGGCAUAAAGGAGUAAGACAACUAGUUAAAUGAACAUUUAGUAUGCCCAAACUAUGUAUUACAAGUUAAUAAAUCCCAAUUGUAUCUAAGUAAUUGAAUUAGGAUUUAAGGGAAGAAAGUGUGUGAAUUUAAACUGUCCAUAACUGAACCGGGAGUACUCUAGUUUUCUCAUUGAGAUUUUCGUUGUAAUUAAUAAAUUUCCAUGCUUUUUGUUUGAUCUUUGCGUUAAAUUCUUUUUCGUGACAAUUGCUAGUAGCUUUUUUUCGUUGACUAUUUUAACACAAAGUUUGACAACAAACUCCCUGUAGAUUCGACCCUUACUUACCCUAGCUAUCUAGUGGUUUUGAGGUUAUUUUUGAUUGAUACAACGACAUCAAUCAUAAUUUGGCGCCUUUGUCGGGGAGAUUGUGCGCUUGAGCUAUUGUUUUUAAGUAGUUAUAGCCUUUUACUUUCAUUUUCAAUUCUCGUUUGUAGUUCACAUUUUGUUUUAUUUGUGUUGUGCAGGCACACUGGUGCAUGCAUACAAGACAUAGCAGACGCUCUUCACCGCUUGCAUUUGAUCCGGAAAUCGAACGAACAGCUCGCUCAAAUCGGGUCGCCAGAAGGAACAUCAACACUAUGAGUGUAGAUAAUGUUGUCGUGGAAGAUGUGGUUGAAGGGCAUGAGGAAGAAGCCAACAAUCCUCCACCACUAGUUCCACCACCAGCUCCUCAAUUCCCAAACAACAACAAUGGGAAUAACAACAAUGCCGGUGCACCAAUCAUCCAACCAGUGCAACCAUAACUGAAUAGAAACAACCGUGGCCAAAAUGGUGGAAACGGAGGAAAUUGGGCAUAGAAUAUGGGAGGCAAUGUAGGAAACCACACUGGUGGUAAUGUUAGAAAUCAUAACCAAAAUCCUAGAAAUGUUGGUCCUCAAUUCGGUAAUGGUGGUAAUGGUGGUAACGAGGAUGAUUGGGAUUUUGACGAUGGAAGUUACAACGGACUUGGUUGGAAUCAUAACCACAACGGUGGUAAUAGGCGGAAUCAAGGAAAUCGGGGUGGAAACGGGUACUAAAACAAUAACUGGAACAACCUGAAUUUCCCUAAUGGUGGCAACAAUUACUACAAUGAUGGGUUCGGAAAUCAAGGCUUUGGGAAUCAAUAUCGAAGGAAUCCAAAUGGUGGAUUCAACAAUGCGAAUGGAGGAUACUAAAAUGAAGGUAAUCAAUUCCCUCAUCUUUACUUUCUGCAGCCUAAUAGACAAUCUGUGGCGUCUCAUUUUCAGCCGAGAGAGUAUGAUGAUGCUUCACCCAUACUCUUCGCAGAAGUAAAUGAGCAUCAUGUAGAAGUAAGACCACAACUAAUUAGUGUCUUACCCGUCUUUAGAGGCCAUAAAACUAAUGAUCCAUACAAUCACCUCUAUGAGUUCCUUGCAAUUGCUAACGCGAAUACUCCGCGAGGAACUAAUAGAGAUUCAUUUAGACUUCUCUUAUUUCCGUUCACUUUAAAAGAAAAAGCUAAGUAUUGGUUCACUUCUCUUGCCCCCAUAGUAUCACUACUUGGGAGCAAUUAAAAACUAAAUUUUUGCAAGAGUUUUACCCAGCUAGUAAAACAACGGAAAUAAGAAAAGCCAUAGAAGAUUUUGCACAAAAACCCAAAGAAGAAUUUCAUGAUGCAUUUGAACGCCUCAAGGAAUUGUUCCGUUCAUGUCCCUAUCAUGAAUUUCCCCGUUGGCAACUGGUAGGUUUCUUUUAUGAUGGAGUCGAUACUGCCAAUCAAAGCAUGAUUAAUGCCUCGUCCGGCGGCAUUAUUAUGAUACAAGAUAGUGAAGACGCUUGGCGAUUCUUAGAGUAGUUGAGUCAUGGUUCAAAAACCAAUUACUCAGCUAAGAAACGGGACAAUCCAGUUUCAUCUGUUGCUUCAGUUGGACUAGACAAAAAACUGGAAAAAUGAAGUCAAAUCUGAUAUUAAUUCUUUAAAUAAAAUUUUUGACUUACUACUCUCUAGUCUAGGCAAAAAGAAAGGUGUGUUUUUUCGCAGGGACAGAAGAUAUGUGUAAGCUGUGGAGAUUCAUGACACAUUGCAGAUGAGUGCAUGAGAAUUCAAGAGGAAAUCAAUCAAGUGCAUGGUUAUGGUCAAUUCCAAAAUAAUCCACGAUCAUUCAAUCGGAACUACAUCCAAGGCGGGAACUACAACAACAUUGGGAUUUUCAACAACAACAACCGUCAAGGGAAUUACCAAAACCAAAAUCAGCCAAAACAGUUCCAGCAGUCCAACUUUAACCAAGGUGGAACAUCAAAGAAGGAGGAAAAUGAUGGCAACAAGUUGGACAAAAUCAUGGAGUUCAUAACCUAAACAUAUCAGAAAACCGACACUAACUCCAAGUCUAUAGCUGCUAUUGAGAAGCAAAUUGCUCAACUGGCGGAGCAAAUUGGGAAAAGAGAAGAUGGCAAGUUUCCAAGCACCACAACAGUGAACCCAUCUCAUACCCAGAGACCCCGAAAAGAGCAUCAAGUGAACGAGGUAAUUACCUUGUGUAGUGGAAAAAAGGUUGACAACAAGGUAAGUGCUUCUACAUUAGAUAAUGACAGUGACACUGAAGUCAUCUUUGAUGAAAAAGAAGAGUUUGAGAAAGAUUUUAAAUCCGAAAAACAAAAAGAAGAUAAGGUUAAAAAUGACUCUAAAGUUGGGGAGCAUGGUGUGGAGGUUAAUACCGCACCAUACCCUUCGGCUUUAGAGAAGCCGGCAUCCUUCCCUUUUGGGAAGCGAGGGCUAAAAAUGGAAGACAUGUGAGAUCUAUUUAGUCAAGUUAAAAUAAAUAUCCCAUUAGUCAAACUUAUUAAGGAGGUACCUUCUUAUGCUAAAUUUUUGAAGGAUUUGUGUGUUCAAAAACGCAAACUCCAAGCAUACCUCCCUAAAAAGAUUGAUUUAGUCAAGCAUGCGAGUUCGAUAAUAUCAAAUAAACUUCCACCCAAGCUUAAGGAUCAUGGAGCACCUUUAAUUUUUGUUACGCUAGGUAACAUUAAUAUAAAAAAGGCGCUCCUUGAUCUUGGAGCUAGUGUUAAUAUAAUCCCGGGAAAUUUUUUUGAUCAACAUGACUUAGGCACUUUGGAACAAACUGAUAUUAUUUUACGAUUGGCCGAUAAGUCAACAAAAAUUCCUUGGGGAAUAUUAUCAGAUGUUAUUAUUAAGGUGGGAGAUUUCUAUUACCCAGUUGAUUUUCUUAUGCUUGACACCGUGAGCACUUAUAAAGAAAGUCAACCUUCUAUUAUUUUAGGUCGUCCGUUAUUGACAGCAAUAAAUGCACAAAUUAAUUGUAGAACGGGUGCAAUGGAUAUCUCUUUUGGAAAUAGGAAACUUAGAAUUGAUAUUUUUAAUACGUUUCCUAACUCACCAUCAGAUUAUGAAUGUUAUCAUGUGGAUGUGGUUGAUGACUUAGUGCAUCAAUUCACUCUUAAAAUCUUACACCCUGAUCCAUUGGAGUUUUUUCUUUCUAAUGACAGGGACGAAGUUUUAGAGUUGGAUGACAUCAAGAUGGUUGAGGAGGCAUUUGAAAAUGUUAUUGAGCAAGAGAGGCCACCAUGGAGUUAUCAAGUUGAAAAAUUGCCAACAAGUUUUUCGGACCCACUUAAGCCAUCUUUGGAGGAGCCACCCAGUCUUGAACUCAAAACUCUUCCUUCACAUCAUAGAUACUCUUUUUUAGGAUCUAAGGAGAACUUACCAAUUACCAUAUCUUUUGAUUUGACAUGUCCACAGGAGGAAGCAUUACUGAAGGUGCUUUCGAAGUACAAGGGAGCAAUUGGAUGGACCAUAGCAGACUUGAAGGGAAUUAUUCCAGCCACAUGUAUGCAUUGAAUCAUCACUGAAGCUAGAGAAAAGCCAUCCCGAGAUGCACAACGAAGGCUCAACCCGAAUCUGCGAGAAGUUGUUAAAAAGGAGGUGUUGAAAUGGCUUGAUGCGGGUAUUAUCUACCCAAUAUUUGAUAGUGAUUGGGUGAGCCCGACACAGACAGUGCCAAAGAAGUCGGGCGUUACAGUGGUAGAUACAGAAGAUGGAGAGAAGAUCUCAACAAGAUCGGUCACCAGAUGGAGAGUUUGCAUCGACUAUCGCAAACUCAAUGCUGCAACAUCAAAUGACCAUUUCCCUCUCCCUUUUAUUGAUCAAAUAAUUGAGAAAUUGUAUGGUAAAAAGUUUUAUUGUUUUUUGGAUGGAUACUCGGGGUAUAAUCAAAUUGCCAUCCACCCCGAGUAUCAAUCCAAAAUGACAUUCACGUGUCCAUAUGGCACCUUUGCUUUCCGAAGGAUGCCAUUCGGCUUGUGUAAUGCCCCUGCCACAUUUUAAAGAUGUAUGAUGGCUAUUUUUUUAGACGUGGUGGGGGAUGCAUUAGAAAUUUUCAUGGAUGAUUUUUCUAUUUUUGGAUCAUCUUUUGAGACAUGCUUAGACCAAUUAGAAAAAGUUUUGAAACGUUGUAUUGACUCUAAUUUGGUUUUAAGUUGGGAGAAGAGUCAUUUCAUGAUAAAAUAGGGAAUUGUACUUGGCCAUGUUGUCUCCGAGCAUGGCUUUGAAGUCGACCGGGCCAUAGUACAAAUUAUUUCUACUCUUCUCCCACCAACUUCAGUAAAAGGCGCCCGUUCUUUUCUUGUACAUGCCGGCUUUUAUCGAAGAUUUAUCAAGGAUUUUAGUGCAAUGUCAAAACCUCUUUGUAAUUUACUUUUAAAAGAUGCACCAUUUUCCUUUGAUAAAGCAUGUCUUGAAUCUUUUACCACAUUAAAGAACAAACUUGUUGAAGCUCCUAUCUUGCAAUCACCCGAUUGGACUUUACAUUUUGAAAUUAUGUGUGAUCCAAGUGAUUACGCGGUAGGGGCAAUUUUGGGACAACGGGUGAAUAAAAAACCCAUUGCAAUUUGUUAUGCGAGCAAAAAAAUUUCGGAUGCACAAUUGAAUUACACUACUACCGAAAAAGAGUUGCUUGCGGUCGUGUUUGCACUUGAAAAUUUUAGAUCUUACAUAUGGGGAUCUAAAGUUGUAAUUUUUACCGACCAUAGUGCCAUUCACCACCUCUUGGAAAAGAAGGAUGCCAAACCACGUCUCAUAAGAUGGAUCCUUCUUCUUCAAGAGUUUAAUCUUGAAAUUCAGGACAAAAAGGGUUCUGAAAAUGUUGUGGUGGAUCAUUUAUAUAGAAUAACUAAUAAUGAUAACUCAACGAAAGUUAUUCAAGAAAACUUUCCAGAUGAGCAUAGUCUUGUUGUCAAAACUAUACCAUGGUUUGCUAAUUUAAUUAAUUACUUUGCGACAGGGGAAACUCCAUUGUAUUGGAAUGCUCAACAAAUGAGGUUCUUCCACUCUCAAACAAAAUACUACAUAUGGGAGGACCCAUAUAUUUUCAAAAUUGGAGCAGAUCAAGUGAAUAGGAGAUGUGUACCACAUACAGAGCAAGAAGACAUUCUUCGACACUGCCAUUCAUAUACAUGUGGAGGGCAUUUUAGUGCCAAAAGGCAGGGCAUCGGGUUCUACAAAGCGGUUUUUUCUGGCCCUCUAUUUUUAAAGAUGCACAUACAUUCGUUAAAGCUUGUAUUCGUUGCCAACAAGUUGGGGGGAUCUCAAGACGGGACAUGAUGCCAAUGACCCCAAUUUUAGUAGUUGAAAUCUUUGAUGUAUGGGGCAUUGAUUUCAUGGGUCUGUUCCCCACUUCUUUUGGCAAUCUAUACAUUCUUGUAGCCGUUGAUUAUGUAUCAAAAUGGCUCGAAACCGAGGAUACACACACGAAUGACCAUAGUGUUGUUUGUAAAUUUGUUAAAAAGAACAUAUUUUCUACACACGGAAUCCCUCGAACUAUUAUUAGUGAUGGGGGCUCCCAUUUUAAAAAUUGGCAUUUUGCAAAGUUACUUAAACACUAUAGUGUCACACAUAUGAUAGCUACUCCAUAUCACCCACAAACAAAUGGACAAGUAGAAGUGUCAAAUAGGGAAAUAAAACGAAUCUUGGAGAAGACUGUUCAUCCCGACCGAAAAGAUUGGUCAUUAAGAUUAGAUGAUGUGUUAUGGGCAUAUCGAACAACCUAUACGACGCCCAUUGGAAUGUCUCCGUAUCGGCUUGUUUAUGGAAAGCCAUGCCAUCUCCCGGUGGAGUUAGAACACCGUGCCAUGUGGGCCAUAAAAAAUGCUAACUUUGAAUUGAGUGAUGCAGGUAUAGAAAGGAAACUCCAAAUUGUUGAAUUGGAAGAGAUUCGAAAAGAAGCUUACGAAAGCUCAAGGAUCUAUAAAGAAAAGACGAAGGCAUUUCAUGACCGACAUAUUGUCCGAAAACAAUUCGUUAAAGAACAAUUGGUGUGGCUAUUCAACUCUCGUCUCAAACUCUUCCUCAGAAAGCUUCGGAGUAAAUGGAAUGGACCUUUUGUGGUGAAAAAUGUGGCGGAUCAUGGAUCUAUUGAAAUCAAGGACACGAAAGGCAGUGAACCAUUCAAGGUAAAUGGACAAAGACUCAAACCUUAUAUUCGAAUGGUAAAUGGUGAAACAACAUUCGUUGAGAAAACAACGCUCAAGGCAACACAAUAUUUAGAAACAACUUAGUCGAGGUAAACCGUCCGGCUGAAGACAUAAAACUUACCGCUUUUCGGGAGGCAACCCGUGGUUUGGUGUGUUUUUACUUCUAUUCUUCUUUUGGUGUGUUUUAAUUCUUUUCGUAUCGAGGACAAUCCAAGGUUUAAAGUUGGGGAGGGGGUAUUUAAUUUUUGUUUAAAAUUAAAUAAUAUUCGAAAAAUACUCAAAAAACAGCAAAAAAAAAUAGCCUCAGGCAUCCUAGGGGUGUCUUAGACGUUGUCUAAGACGCCGUCGGGCUGUCACUUCUUUUCCCCCCGAUGAAAACCCUUCGCGAAAAUUAAAAAAAUACCCUUAAUGUGUAUGACGUCCUAGGACGCGUCUAAGACGCCGGCUAGGACGUCGACGUGUUUUUCAACCGUUUUAUGCCGUUUUCUGCAUUAUUGUUGGUAUCUUUCUUCUCCAAACUGCCAUAGCCGAAAACCCACUUGUUCUUGCUUAUUUCCUUUGAUUUCUUGGCCAAAACUCAACCAAAAUUCGUGGUUUUUGUUGCAAUCUUCAAGAAAUCAAGUAAGAAACAUCACAUUGCAAGAUUUACACACUCUAAUCACUUAUUUGGGGCCGAUUUCAAAACCCACAAAAACUAGGGUUUCGAAAUUUUGACUUAUUUUGAGAUUUUACUUCAAGUUCUUGGUUCUUCUUCACUAGAAACACAAUUUCAACAAGGUAUAUGCUUCAAAACUCCAUCUUUUAGUUGAAUUUCAGAAUUUUUGCAUGUAUGUUCAUAUAUGUUUGAAAUUUUGAAAAAGAUGAAGAAUAUGAUAUAUAUUGGUAUGAAUUCUUGUGAAUUAGUGUUUGUAGUUGUUAGAAGUAUGUUCCAAACAAGUUGCAUGUGUUGAUUCGAGAAAUUUCUAAAAAUUGAAUUUUUGUUGUUAGUUGUUAAAAAAUAAUAAUAAUAAAUAAAAGCACAUAUAAUGUUGGAAAAUCAUUCUUAUGUUUAUAUUUGUGUUUGAAUUAAAAAUUCAAGUUUUUAGAAAAUUUCAGAAUGACACUGAAUUUUGACAUUGCAUUGUUAGUCUGAAUAUUUGCCUGUUACAGUUCUGUUCUGGUUUUAGUUAGAACUUGUCAGUUGAAGUUAACUUUUGGUUUAACUGUGUUUUUACUGAUUGGAUAAAUUUUUGAAAAAUAUUUAGUUACUAAAAACAUAACAGGACUUAAAACGGUUAUUUAUUUAGACUGGAUUUAUUUUAACUUUGUUUGGAACAACUUGCCAACUGAAUUAUUUGUUUUAUUUUUGUGACAUUUGAUAUGUUUAAUGGCAAGUUUUGUUUUGUGGUUUUGUGUAUGAAUUAUUUUGCAGAUGCCAGCAAAGAGAUCAAGGGUAGCAUCAUCAAGCAGUGCAUCUAGACAACCAGCUAGACAGUCGGAGCCAAAUGUACAUGUGGCUUUCAACCCACAGUAUCAGACAUUGCAUGAGCAUCUAGAUGACAUUCGUCCAACAGUUUAUGAGGCAACUCAUCCGAAUAUGGGUUUUAUUGUAGAGUACAUGGUGGAGCGACCGAGCUUCACUAGGUAUAAUAUUGUGGAGACGUUUGAUCGCUAUGGAUGGGGUGGAGUGCUAGACUUCAAUCCCACGCAGAUUUAUGUUGAUAUAGUGCAGGAAUGGAUGAGGAAACUUCGACGUGUCGAGGUGCCUGGUAGGCCGGAGGAGUUGCCGCUGAUUGGGACGGUCCGUACUCAUGAUAUAGUGAUAACUGUGCAGGGUAUUCGGGACAUGUUUCAUGUAGAUACUGGCUGUCAUUUUCAUUAUCUUGAGAAUCAUCUGACUGAGUAUAGAUGUAUUGACACGAGGGGGUAACCCUGGGGUUAGUAUGACUGAAGUAUACCGUAUAGUGUUCCAUGAGGGGACGAGGGCAUACGACAGAUUCCGCGAAUUGGUGCCUUUAGCAAAGGCAUUACAUAACAUUAUCACGAAAAAUGUGAACCCAAGGAAUAGUGAUCCUAGGGCGGUGAGGCCACAUGACUUAUAUGUAUUAUAUGGAUUGAUGAUAGGAUCUAUCUUUAUCUCUUAUGCAUAUAAUGCUAUGUGCAACAUAUGGUCCUGUUUUGAUAUCCAGCACAGAGUCACUACCCCCCAUGUUGCCCUGAUAUCGACAUAUGUUGCCUUGCUACUUCUUUUAGACACAUCUCAUUUCAUGUUGAAAAUGGGAGACAUAUUCUGAGGGAUUCUACCACAAAUCCGACAUACACGGCACCACUCGGAGUGGGGGAUGAGGAGCCAUUCGUUGGUGAUUUUUAGGGGGAUCAGUAGCAGCAAUAGGCAUAAGCAGCAGGUCGGGGAUAGAACAUGCAGGCAGCUUGGGAGGACUUUGUGGGGAGGCAGAACAUGCAUAACCAGGAGGUGCAGGCUUGGAUGGGGAGAACGGAUAUAUGGUUGAAGGGUGUCGAUACGACACUAGCUGAUAUUACUGAGCAGAUGCGACAGAUUGGCAUUACAUCUAGCAACACUUAUAGUGUUGCCACUCGUCAGUUGUACCAACAGGAGUACUAUGCAGAUGCUGCCUACACAUAGAGUCGUGUCCAGUAUGAACCGAUGGACAUUGAUCAACCACAGUAUCGAUACCGAGCUCCAGCUCCGUUCUUCUACCGAUCCGGGAAUCUGAGCAACUAUCCACCGCCAUCCGAGCAUGAGCAUUAUCAGCCACCACCAGCUACAGAGGACUCUACUCGCUUUGAGGAUUUAGUUGGAUCGAUCUUUGGGUAUCCUCCACCAUACCCACGUUAUCCUCCACAGUCGCCCCCACAUUGAACUUUGGUGAGAUCCUCUUUUGAUUUUUAUUUUUAUGGUUGUUUGAUGAAGACUUUUUUUAUUUUUAUUUUUAUUUUUCGUUUGCUUUUCAUGUCUUUAUUUGGGAUGAAUGUACUAUUAUUAAACUCAUUAUUAUUAUUACUCUCUCUUGGGUUGGUUCCAUUAAAUAUGUGAUGAGUUAGUAGCAUCUCUAUAUCUUGAACGUAACUCAUCAAAAUGGAAAAUGAUAGGAGUUUCGUAAAUUGAGUCAUAAUAUUUAUUUAAUAUUGAUUUUGUGGAUUGCUCAACCGAUUUGGGAAUAUUUAUAUUUAGUUAAAAAAUUGUUAUGUGAAAUACCCAAGUGUUUGAAAAAUGACGGUUUUUAGCUCGAGCCUACGAUCUUUCAAUUGAGGACCCAACCGAACAAUAUGUGUCAUCACGCUCUGAGUACUUGGUCUUACUUACUCUUGCGCCUUUGGGGUUGGGAGGGGACUAUUAUUGUUUUCACACAAUAAAAAAGCAUCAAAAGACAUUGAAGAACUUCCAAGUAUCUAUAUUCAAGCUCAAGUCAAAUACCAAAAUGAUCAAAUCCGAUGAAGCCAUCAAAGAACUUGAAGAAUGCAAAAUCAAGAUAAAUAUGAAGAAAAGUUCAAGUUGAAGACAUUGUGUGAAAUAAUGUGUGACCCCUCGAUAGCGGGAGCGUAUGGGUUGGUCCAUUAAGUGUUACCGACCGCGCUAACUAUGUUAGUGAACCUUGAAAAAAGGGACUUUGGCAAUGAGUUCAACUGAUUACUCAUGAGGGUGAUUAUUGGAAAGGGUUCAAAAAGUGGAGGGUUUCAAACAACAAAGUAAAAUAAGCAUAACAUGUGUUUUGAGUUUAAAAGUCUGGAUAAGAAAAUAAUAAUCCCCAUAAUCAAUAUAUUGUGCUAUUGGAAAUGUUGUGAUAAAAAGUACAGAAUUCAUGAUUCCAUUGAGUUUUUCUUAGGAUAAGAGAGUAAAGACUACGCUGAUUAUUUCAGGCCAAUCUCGGGACGAGUUUGGAAUAAAGUUGGGGAGGUUUGAUAAGUCCAUUUUAUGAAUGUACUAAAUUGUUAUAAAUCUGUUGAAUUGAUGUAUAAUUGUCCAAGAAUGGCACUACUUUGAUGAGUUGUUGAACUUCAUAUACAGGUCAAUAUAUUGUACUAAAAGUGGGCGGAACCUGCAAGUAAAACAGUGCUAAAGGAAUGAAGAAACGUUGCUGGGAAAACUGACCAUGCUUCAAUGUUUUGGUCAUAACUGAAGUUCCGCAGCUCUAAUUGACAUGAGUAAAGAAGUUCUGGAAACUAGACAAGAUUUUCUACAACUUUUGUGUUUUGUGUUUCUGCUAGUUAUGUCGUUUUGACCACCAAAACUUAAACGAAAGAUGAAGGAUGCCUCCAGGCGUCUAAGACAUCCCCUAGGACGUCCACAUCAAACGGUCAGCAUCUGGCCGUUAUUUCAAAGCAGAAAAGAAGGAAGAACCCCCGUCAGCGUCUUACAUGGCGUCAAAGAUGUCCCCUAGGACAUCUUGGCAUUUUGGGGAUGUCCCGUGUUGGAACGGUGUGUUUCGGAAAGUUUAGAAAACAAGGCAGGACGUCCUAGAACGUGUCUAAGACGUCUCCUAAUACGUUUGACGUUUUUGGCCAUUUUUUAGUGUAUUUCAAGGACGACAGAUGGCAUGCAAGGACGUACAAAGAACGCCUGGGCGUUAUACACGACAUCUAAGAUGUCUGCUAGGACGUCCAACAUCCCACAUCCCCCAAUUUCAUUAUUUUUUAUCUCACACUAUAAAUACGAGCCUAUGAAUUCGUUUUUAGGGUUACCACCUCCGAUUUUCAGAGUUUUUCAUGUGUUUUUGAGGCUUCUAAAACACUUGGAAACAUUUGAAAACACAAAUCCAUUCCAUUAAAAUCCGGAUUCAAAGCAAGACUCAAUUCAAUUCAUCAUCAAGCUAUAAGUGAAGAUCAUUUCAUUGGUUAAUCUUCAUCAAUUCUUUAUUUUCCAGAAUUAUUUCUUCUUCCCCAAGGUUUAUUUUUUCUAUAAUUUGAUAAUCAUUAGGCUACAUUUGUUUGAUGAUUCUACAUUUGUUUAUGAAUUCUAUUAUGCAUUUUAUUCAUUUCAAUCAAGUUAUUUGUUUUAUGAACUCAAUGGAAGGCUAAAUCAUUAGGGUUACUUCUGGGGAUGUUUAGGACUUUUUGAUGAACAUAAUUGAUUAUUACUUGAUUUUAGUUAAUUCAAUUGUUGUUUUAUGCUUCAUGUGAUGAUCUUUUAGUAAUGAUAAUUGAAAUUGGGUUGUAUGAAUUGUUUGAUGUCAUAAUUAAGAUAGUCUAUUGUCAAUUCAUCAUUUGUUCCAAGUUCACUUAGUUUAGGAAUAAAGACAAGUGACUGAAUCAACAUAUAUUAUUCCAACUUAUGAUAUUGAAUCUUAAUGCGGUAAUAGGUAGUUGUAUGAUAUUUUAUAGCUAGUCCACUAAUUGUUCUUAAUCCAUUUAGGCAUAAAGGAGUAAGACAACUAGUUAAAUGAAAAUUUAGUGUGCCCAAACUAUGUAUUACAAGUUAAUAAACCCCAAUUGUAUCUAAGUAAUUGAAUUAGGAUUUAAGGGAAGAAAGUGUGUGAAUUUAAACUAUCCAUAACUGAACCGGAAGUACUCUAGUUUUCUCAUUGAAAUUUUCGUUUUAAUUAAUAAAUUUCCAAGCUUUUUGUUUGAUCUUUGCUUUAAUUUUUUUUCGUGACAAUUUCUAGUAGUUUGUUUUUUUUCGUUGACUAUUUUAACACAAAAUUUGACGACAAACUCCUUGCGGAUUCGACCCUUACUUACCCUAGCUAUCUAGUGGUUUUGAGAUUAUUCUUGACUGAUACAACGACAUUGAUCAUCGUGCCAAAACCCUAAAGAGACCGAUGUGCCUGGGGCCCAAUUUGCUCUUCUUCCUGAAUCGGAUGACACCUUUCCAAUGUGACAAGUUCAGGGGGACCAUAUCCCUAACCUGAAACUCUAAAUCUGAUUGGUGCUUGUCGGCAUAGCUCUUCUUCCGGCUCUAAGCUGUCUGGAGCCUACUCCAAACUGCUGAAUCAACUUGGUAGUCUUGAGUACCGCUUUGGUACUCCCCAUUAGUAGCUGACCGUCCUCACCCCAACAUAUCAUGGUACUGCAUUUCUUUCUAUAGAGCAUCUCAAAAGGAGGUCGAUUAAUGUUGGCGUGAUUACUAUUGUUAUACAAAAACUAUUGGAUUAGGUGUCUAAGACCAUAACUAUUUUGGUAUGUACUUGACCCGAUUGUGAGCAUGGUCCUUUUGGGUUGCCUUCACCAUAGCAACUGAUGGGAUGAAUUAAGGAGAAAAAGGAUUAAUUAUGAUUUAUUAAUAUAUUAUAUGAAUAAUAUAUUAAAAGAGAAAUCAUAUUGUUUAAUUAAUAUUAGUCAAUAAUUCAUUUUGUGGCUAAAAGAGAUUAAUUAAAUAAAGGGGACUGAUAUUGCAAUUAUAUGAUAGUUGCAAAUUGGGCUAUGGAUUCCUAAUGGAAAUCGGAUUGGACAAAAUCUAUGGGAAGCCCAUAUGGAUUUCGUCCAAGGGCUUUCCAAGGGAACUCCAUGGGUUGCUUAAGGCGUAAGCAGUGAGAUUAGGGUUUCCUGAUUCAAAACCCUAAUAGCCUAAGUAUAAAAGGAACCCUUGGCAAGCCAAAAACGUCCCUAACCUUAUAAGAGAAACCCUAGGACGUUUUUGGUGCCUCCUCCCUCUCUCCUUGUUCAUCUUGUUACAUAUGGUGUUUGUGACUCCAUUAGAGGUGCAACAUUUGAGGCACUAGGCUUUCAGAAGUCAAUUACAAGAAGGAUUCGGAUUGUUAUUGCAACAUAACAAUCAAGGUAAGAUCUAAAAUCUAUCCUUUUGUCAAUUUUGAUUAUUGUAUACUAGAGUUAGGGUUUAUGAGCUUUGGAUGAUUAUUACGUAUAUCAGACAAACUAGAUCCAAAGCUUUAGGGUUUGCAUGUACACCAUAGGAUUGACGUAGUGCUCAAAACCCAUCAAAAACUACGCCAAAGGGAUAUAUGUAUCCCAACUCCCACCAAAAUCCAGAACACACGCCCGAAGCAUAUCCUCCAAGGUAUGAAUAGUCCUCUCGCUCUGACCAUCAGUAUGUGGGUGGAAAGUCGUACUGAAAUGCAGAUGAGUACCCAGCUCGUCGUGGAACCUCUUCCAAAAUCUGGAAGUAAACCGGACGUUCCUGUCUAAAACCACAAAACGGGCACACCAUGAAGUGCCACUACCUCCCUGAUGUAUACCUCAGCUAACUUCUCUGAGGAGAUACUAUCUUGAGUCGGAAUAAAAUGUGUGAACUUGGUCAAUCAAUCCACGAUGACCCAAAUCGAAUCCACUCUAUGUUCACUCUAAGGCAACAUCGUAAUGAAAUCCAUGGUAAUCUCCUCCCAUUUUCAAACAGUGAUAUCUAACGGUUACAUCUUGUCGUGAGGCCACUGAUGCUCGGCCUUGACUUUCCUUCAAGUCAAGCAUCUCUCCACGUACCAAGCUACAUCCCGCUUCAUACAGGGCCACCAAUAAUCAGGAUGAAGAUCAAUAUACAUCUUCGUCGUGGUGGGAUGAAUGGAGAAUCUCAAUUUGUGUGCCUCCUCCAUCAGAACUUGACGCACACCAGCCCAAUCGGAACCCACACUCUUCGAUGGAGAUUCAAUAACCCUUGGUUUUCAUAAUAAAAGGAAGCCACCUGACUCACUGUGCGCUCACUCUUCCCAUCACAACCUCAACCUGAGCCUCUCAAAUCUACUCUAAAAGUGGAGUGAUCACAGUCAUCCUGAAACAAAUAUCCUUGAACGGAGCCGCGAUCGCCUUGCUGCUAAGAGCAUCGGCCACCACAUUAUCCUUCCCCGUAUGGUAAAGGAUCUCACAAUCAUAAUCCUUCACCACAUCCAACCAUUGGCACUGCCUCAUGUUCAUAUUUGGCUGAUCCAUCAGAUACCUCAAGCUCUUGUGAUAUGUCUAUAUAGUACAGCGGGCCCCAUAGAGGUAAUGUCAUCAAAUCUUGAGGGCAAAAACCAUAGCCCCAACUCUAAAUCAUGCAUCGGAUAAUUCGUCUCAUGAUGCUUCACUUACCUUGAAGCGUAAGCGAUCACGUGACCCCUCUGCAUCAGAACUACACCUAAACCUGUGAUCGACGCAUCAUAAUAAACCAUGAAAUCUUCAACACCCUCCGGCAGGGUCAAAAUAGAUGCCUCACACAAUCUUUAUCUUAGGGUCUCAAAAGUUGCAUGUUGGUCGGGCGCCCAGCGAAAAGUGACAAUCUUCUUCGUCAACCGAUUUAGAGGAACCGCUAUCUUGGAGAAAUCCUAAAUGAACCUCCGAUAAUAGCCUUCCAACUAAGGAAACUCCAAAUCUUAGAUGGAGACCUCGGUACCUCCCACCUCAUCACGGCCUCGACCUUGGCCGGAUCGACCAGAAUACUGUUUUGGUUGACAAGGUGCCCUUGAAACUGCACCUCGUGCAACUAGAACUCGCACUUGGAGAACUUUGCAAAAAGUCUCUCCCUCCUCAAAGUUUCCAAUACCUCCCUGAAGUGCUCCUCAUGUAGCUCCUGGGUCUUGGAAUAGACCAGGAUAUCAUCAAUGAAUAGGGCAUUUUGUAUAAUCAAUUGUUGAUGUUAUUGAAAAUAAUGAUGUUAUUGAAACAUAUGCAUGGCAUGUAUUCCCAAUAAUUAUAUUUAAUUAAUUGGUUGUUGUGCAUGUUAUUAUAUUGGGAACAAAUUAGAAAGUGGUCCAUGUGGUAGUACAUGAUAUGUAUGGGGACCAUUUGUAGUUAAUAGUCAAUGGGUAUUUUUAUAAUGGAAAAAUGGGACCUUUGAACCCAUUAUAGAACCAUAUCCAUGACUAUAUAACAAAUUCACAUGCAUGCACAUUAUUCCAAAUUUUUCCAUGCAUAAAUAUUCAAACCCAUUGGUCAUGAGUUUACUUAAAAAGGCAACAUACUUUCAUAAGUGAGUAAAAUAUCAUUUCAUGUCAACAAUUUACUUACAAAGGCAACAUACAUUCAUUAGUGACCAAAAUACCCUUUUAUGUCAUGAGUUAACUUAAAAAAGCAUCACGCAUACAUAAAUGACUAAAAUACCCUUUUAUGUCAUGAGUGAACUUAAAAAGGCACCAUGCAUACAUAAAUGACCAAAAUACCCUUUUAUGUUAUGAGUGAACUUAAAAUGGCACCAUGCAUACAUAAAUGACCAAAAUACCCUUUUAUGUCAUGAGUUAACUUAAAAAGCCACCAUGCAUACAUAAAUGAUCACAUCACAUGUAUUCAAAUACACAUACUUUAAAUCCAAAUUACCAUCAUCCUAAUACACAAACUUAAAAUCCAAAUUACCAUCAUCCUAACACACAUACUUUAAAUCUAAAUAACACAAAGGAAAAAUCAACACUAAUAAAUUAGAAGAGCUUUUCCCUUAGAAUUUCCUGGAUCAUCAACACCACCAACUUUCUUGCCUAAUUUCAACUUGAAGAUUCUCUUUGACUUUCUUCUCCUUAUCCUGUUCAAAAUCUUGGAAAUUGGUCUAACCCUUACCUGUUGAACCUAGAUAAUAGGAGUAACCUCCUAAAUUUGAACAUUAUCAACAACUUGGACAUUAGGAAUAACCUCAUCAUCUUGAACAUUACCACCCUCCUCAACUUCCUCACCCAUAACACCCCCAUCACCUUCAUAACUUCUAGGUGGAAUAACUUGCAUAGACUGACUAAAAUCCCUUGCACUACUGGAUUCAACAUGAGUAGAAGUAACUUGCAUAUCAUUUUGAGUAUUAUCCAUCUCAAUUGGAGUCAUUUAACCUCUUCUUGUUGUUGUGGUUCACUUGUACUACCCUAUAUGGCAUGAUAUAAUUAUGUUAGUGGCAAAUCAUAUGUAAAUAAAUUUAAAUUUUAAAUGGUUUUACCUGUUCUGCAUUUUUCUUCACAUAAACUUUUUGUUUCUUCUGUUUCUUUACAUUUAACUUUUGGGGCCUUCUCUAUGGACAAGUGGCCUUACUGUGACACAUCUCCUUGCAUAUAAUACAUCUAAUUUUCUUUCCAUCCUUAGAAACCCUGUGUGUUCCUGUAUUCUUUGUAGUGGAUUUCUUCUUCUUAGUAGCUGGCCUACCAUGCAUCCGUCUACUAAUAAGAGGCAAUGGUGGAGUAUAAUUUGUCUCUGGCCACAUGUCACUGCCAUUCAUGGGGGAAAUUCUGUAAUUGUAUGCCUUCCGAAUUGUGGUGGUGUUAAACAUGUUGUCUACAUAGGCUUCUACAUCUCUAUUAAGAUUGGAUAUGGUAGCUACAGAAUGAGCAUAUCCAUAUCCAUUUAACCGCCACAACCUACAUGAACAUGUUUUCCUUUAUAAGUCCACCUCAUAUGCAUCUGUUUCUCCCUUACCUCGAACUGGUUUAAUCCACUAGGUAGUACCUGAUAAUGCCUCUGAAUUUUUUAAGCAAAUUCACCUUAUCCCUUAUCUCUGGACAAAUAUUAUUUCCCCAUUGUUGUCCCUUUAAUUUCAUGUUGUACAUUUUGUCCAUCAUGUAUAAUCUUAACUCCUCUAACAUGGUUAUUAUGGGCUUCUUCCUGGUAUCCACUAUUACAACAUUAAAACUUUCAGAGAAAUCAUUUUCAACUGCAUCACAACACCUUCCAGCUUGAAAGUAAGCUCUUGACCAUGUUUUAAGAUCUUUCUCCAUGAGAUAUUGAUGGGCAUCUGGGUUUAAUGUCUCAAUUUCCUUCAUCACAACUUUAAAAGCAUGCUCAUUUGUGGUUUUAGAUGCUCUCCAAAACAAGGUAUGAUAUAUGACACCAGUGAAUCUCUUCUGCAAAUUUUGAAAAAUAUGUCUAGCACACUGCCUGUGCAUAUGGAAGAAACUCUUUAACAGCCUCUAUCAAACCUUGUAUUAAUAAAAAGGUUUAAAUCAGAUAGUAUAAAAUAAAUAUAAAUGAAUUACUAUGUAAAAUACUAACCUUAUGUUGGUCUGACAUUAAACUGAAGCAAUUGCCUAAACUUAAGUUUAGAUUAUUAAUGAGAAGCUCUAAAAACCACUUUUAAUUCUACUUGUUCUCCACACUAACCAUUGCCCAAUCAAUAGGAUAUAUCUUGUUAUUUACAUCCCUCCCAAUAACACAAAGCAAUCCCCCCUUACAAACACCUUUAAGAAAACAUCCAUCAAGACCCAUUAUCCUUCUACACCCUUUAAUCCAACCUUGUUUAAUUCCUUGAAAACAAACAUAGAACUUGCUAGAAUAUUUCUUUCCAUCUGGACCAUCCUCCACAUCUAGUUUCACAGUUGACCUAGGAUUUGUCCUUAAAAUCUCAUCAACAUAUUACCAUAGCUUACCAUAAUGUUCAACAAGGCUACCUUCAACAAGAUUUAAUGCAUACUUCUUUGUUCUCCUACAUUAGCCCAUACUAACUUGGAUACUAAACUUGGUCAUUACCUUUACCCUAAGCUUCCUUACACUCAUUUUAUGACUUUGUACAAUCUCUUUGGUAUAGUGACUCCCAAUCCAUGCAUAUGUCACCAAUAAUCCAAACUUGAAGUUCCUAGCACAAUUAUGAUAAGCUUUUUGUGACUUGAUUUGGAAAGUCUCUCCAUCAUUCAUCCAAGAAGCCCAUAAUAUAAAUGUGCAAGCACCCUUGCUACAUCUCACCAAAAGUCUUUUCCUAUCAUAUUUUUUCAAAACACAAUUGAUAUCCAUUAGCCACAACAUAGUUGCACAACCUUGACUUUACUUGCCCUGGACCCUUAGAUCUCAUUCCUAGAAUUGGUUUUUGUUUUUUCCAGUGUAAUAGCUCAUUAAAUAUGGAAAUAGUUUGGAUGUUAGGUUCAACUUCUCUCCCAUUAUCAUCAUCUACAAUGUUGUUAUCCUCCUCAUCAUCAACACACAACUUACUCACGAAAGGAUCAUUUGAUGUCCUAUUCAUAUGCACUGCAUCCUUAUUAAAUUCAAAGACAACAUUCCUAAGUUCAUCUAUGUUAUCUUCAUCUAUGUUAGCGGCGCAGCUUUUUGCCCGUUUGCCUUCAAUCGAUAUGUAUUGAACAAAAAUGUUUGAAUGUCUAUCAAUACAAGGCUCAUGUUCAUCAUCAAACCACCCACCAACACCAACCCCAAUAUGAUCCACAUAAACCGAAAUUACACCAUCUGUUCCAUCAACAUCAAAAAUAAAAGCAGCAUAGUCCACAUCAUCUGAAAAUGGGAUUAAGCUCUUCCAUCAGGGAAUUGCCUGGUUUACAGUAGUAAAACUUUUUACACUCUUCAUGCAUGAAAUGUUCACAGAAGGUCACAAGCUCAGAAUAAGUCAUAGAAGAAAAGUCGACAUCAGUGAACAUGGUUUUCACACCACCAGUGUAAGAGAAAGGAUUUCGAUUAAAUACCCCUUGGUAGUUGAGUUCCACCAUCACAAACACUCCAUUAGGUUCCGAUUGUGCCAUUUUUGCGACUUCUUUGGCUCUUCAGCUCGAUCACAAAAAUGCUUCACAAAACCUAAAUCAAUUUCUUUUAAAACUAAAUAAUGAAGACGAGUGAAGUUCGAUAGCUGAAGACAAAAGGCUUAAAGCUUCGUAUAUCAUCUAUUGAUGUGGCAUAUCUCACAUGGCAUCAGAUUAGCUAAAAAAGAUAUAUUAAUUGACAUAUAUAAAAUGUCAACCAGGAAACCGUUUACAAGUAUGGAAAUGACUAAAUUAAUAAGUCAGAUACCAUUUUAAUGGUCUAAUGUACCCAAAAAACUUUAAUGACCAAAUUAGCCAAAUGUAAAAAGUUUCAUGUGCUACAGUGACAUUAUCCCUGAUGGGUUUUGAGCAUUCUAACACUCCUAUGGUGUACAUGCAACCCUAGAAACCUUGGAUCUAUGUUUGACUAAUAUACAUGCAAAUAAUUAUUUUCCAAGGUUCUUAUCCUAUCUAGCAUGGCAUGGGAACUUGAAUCAAAUAGAGCUAGUAGAAUUACUUACCUUGUAGUUGUUUAAAGCUUCGUAUAUCAUCUAUUGAUGUGGCAUAUCUCACGUGGCAUCGGAUUAGCUAAAAAAUAUAUAUUAAUUGACAUAUAUAAAAUGUCAACCAGGAAACCGUUUACAAGUAUGGAAAAUGACUAAAUUAAUAAGUCACAUACUAGUUUAAUGGUCUAAUGUACCAAAAAAACUUUAAUGACCAAAUUAGCCAAAUGUAAAAAGUUUCAUGUGCUACAGUGACAAUAUCCCUGAUGGGUUUUGAGCAUUCUAACACUCCUAUGGUGUACAUGCAACCCUAGAAACCUUGGAUCUAUGUUUGACUAAGAUACAUGCAAAUAAUUAUUUUUCCAAGGAUCUUAUCCUAUCUAGCAUGGCAUGGGGAACUUGAAUCAAAUAGAGCUAGUAGAAUUACUUACCUUGUAGUUGUAGUUGAUUGCUUGGAGUUUUAGAGCCUAGCACCAAUAGUGUGGAUGCCUCAAAUGUAAAUCACAAAUCACUACAAACUUGGAACUUUGAGAGAAUAGUAACCACCUUUCUUGAAAUCGGCCCUCUUACUUUACUCACCACAACUAGUAUGAUUUCAAGAACCAAAGCCUCCUUUAUAUAGUGUGGUGGAUUAGGGUUACAUCCAUGUAAACCCUAAUACCCAUGUCUUUUCAUUUCCAUGAGAUCCAUGGGUUAAAGCUCCAUGGAGUAUCCAUGGACUUUCCAAGCAAGCCUAGCCCAUUCCAAAUAAGCAUUAGCCCACACUAUAUAAAUAUAAGAGCCCAUAUUUAAUUAGUAAUACUUUUGAUCUCUAAAUUAAUUUUAGAUUAAUUAUAGAUCAAUACUAAUUAAAUAAUAUGGUUUUAUAUUAAUAUAUUAGAACUUAUAAUAUAUUAAUAAAUCAUAACUUAUACUAUUCUCAAAAGAUUAUCCAUAAAUUGUUCGGGUGAAGUGCAACCCAAAUGGACCAUGACGGGUCGGGUCAAGUACAUACCAAAUAUAGUUAUGGACUUAGACACUAUAUCCAACAAUCCCUACAUAAAGUCAUAUGUAGUCAAGGAUCAGAUAGAUAAUCGAACAUAUGACUCACCUAAGAGCGAACAAUCAGAAAAGAACAUCACAAUCAAGCCUUAGAUCAAGAGUUAUCAGUCUAUCCAACUUAAACUAGAUAGACCUAAGAUAUUAUUACCACCUAACCAUGUGACAUAAACAUUUAACAGAUACUAGCAUAUUUAUACACUUAGCAACUAUCCUUCCCUAGUUACCCUGUCAUUGAUCACUUCUCAAUCAAGUGAUCAUCUGGUCAGUCAUGCAUAAUCAUGAUAAUUGACCUACCCCAAUUUCCCUAACUAAACAUAACUCAUAACAAUAUCAUACAAUAAAUAGGAAAGACCUCACAAGAAUAGCAUACCCAGACACCAAGUGUUCUAAACUGCACAUGCAUAUCCUAGCCAACUAGCAUAUUUGUACUCUAACAGUAUCUCCAUCCUAUCAUGCACAGGAUAUAUAAUGAGAUAUGUGGCAUACUAUGAAACUCACCUGAACUGAAGAACCGGAGAAGCACAACAACACUCUUACACAUUUCACUACUCGAUCAUGUGAACCAAUUAACACCAAAAUAGAUAAAUCCUCAAUCAAUAAUCCAAAUCCUCCAAGUUUGACCCUAAGUCAAACUGGUCAAAAGUCAAUAGUCGAUGUAACGCCCAUGUUUCUUUCCAGACAUUAACUAAAUAAUUAGGGUCAACAAUCACCACAACGUGGUAACCUCUUGGCCACAUCCUGGGAAUUUCCAUACAAAAUAGUUACGAAGCUUAGGAUCACCAUGUCGUUGCAAGCCUAUUGCCACGUCGUGGAAAUUCACAGGAAGUCAUAUUCUUCAUUAUGAGCUUAAUGCUUACAGAUCUAAGCUCAAACUUUCAUAUUUGAUUCUUCUUGAUGAAUUAAUGGAUCUUAAACCAUAAGUCUAUUAAGUCUUUAAUAUGACCAAAACUAGAGCAUGGAGAAAAGGGAGCUAUGAAUUAACGCUUUUUCCAUCAAACAAGACCAAAAGAUGGUCACCAAACAAUUCUAAAGUUCUGGAGUUGGCCAAAACUCCAAGAAAAUGCCUUCAAGGGACUUCAAAGCAUGAUAUGAGAGAAAAGGAUGAUAAAGGUGGAAGCUUUAUACCUUCCCAAAAUCCACAAGACAUAGGAGAUGCAAGAUCUGAAGUAGAUACACCAUUCAAACUAGCAAACACACUGUCGUUUCCUUCCCAAAGUGCAACCCAAGGCUUCAAACUUCAAGAACUCCAAGAACUCAUCAAUAUCACUCAAAUAGGGCUAGGGUUUCGAAAUAGGAGGAUGGAGACUGAGGGAAAUGAGCUAACCCUAGAGUUAAGGCCAUUAAAUAUGGGAGAAAAUAUAAAAAAAAAAAUUAUGUGCUUGGGCUACAGCACUCACAACGUCGUGGCAACCCUCUAGUCAUGUCGUGGUGCUCUUCAAAAUGUGCGUUCCCGAAAAUAUGUGUCACGUCGUGGUCAUCCAUGCACCAUACCAAGGCAUAGAUUUUUCUCCUAAAACCCCAUCUUUGAUCCUAUUAGCUCUUUAGUUAAACUAUUAUAGAAAAUAGGUGUUAUAGCCACCAUUCCGAGUUCCUUCUGUGACUGCUAAAUUAGUGUUUGGCGGGUUGGGGAGCCCGACUUCUUUCUCUUAUAUCUUCACAUAUAUAUAUAUAUAUAUAUAUAUAUAUAUAUAUAUAACAUUUUUUUUUCAAAAGUGUAAUACUAUCAAGGGAAAUUGACUUAUCAGGGUAAUUACUGUUUUGUUUUGUUCACAUCGGGGUAACUCUUUUUUUAGUACACAUCUAGGUAACAAACUUUUUGUAAGUGUUCACAUGUGACCAUUAUAAUUGGUUGUAGCAAGUUACAACCGAACGUAAUUGUCAUAUAUGAACACUUCCAACAAGCUCGUUACCUCGAUGCAUACAAAAAAAUGAAGUUACACAUAUGUGAACAAAACGAAAAGGUAAUUACCCUGAUAAGCCAAUUUCCCUUUUUAUUAAGGUGGCAAAUCAUAAUGUUUGUAAUAUUAAUAUAUUCAUUUAAAUUUCUUUAAAACAACAUUUGUAACACCCGGAAUCUAGAAGAUUAAUUAUGGAAACAAAUUCCCUUACCUAAGUAAAAACACGAUGAGUUGAUGGUGGGAAACUCGAUGUGUUGGAGGUUUUUGGGACACACGUUUUUAUGAACCAACUCGGUGAGUUGGUGAAGGAAAAUCGGCGAGUUGGACACUGACUGAGAAACCCUAAUUUUUAGGGUGUUACACCCUAUUUAAAGACCUUAAGUUCUUUAGCUGGCCUCCUUACCGGCCUCCUCUAUCCAGAAACCCUAAAACUGAGCCUUGUCUUCCAUUUAUGAGUGUGAAAGCUUGGGGAGAGCCUUGAGAGUUCAUUUUUGGUGCUUUUUGAAGGAGCUAAGGAAUUAGGAGUUGCUUGGCUUGAAGAAGAAGUCUUGGAUCCAGAAUCUCUGCCUCAUUUGCCAAGUUUUUGAGGAAUCGUGUUCUUACCUUGCUUAUUUGUUGCUUAGAUCUCUUCUUGGGUUAGAGUUUAUGAUUUUUAGCCAUUUUGGGUGAAUGUUGGGGAUUAGGAGGUCCCAAGCAAUUAUUAUUUCAGAUAUAAGGGCUAGCGGCGCUGCUUGUUGCCCGUUCGCCUUCAAUCGAUAUGUAUUGAACUUUCAUUGGAGUAUAUUUUCUUAAUAUAAAUAUAUAAUAGAUAUAAGGUCUACAUGAGCUCUUUAGGCAUAAAGGUGCCAACUUUAUGGAUUUAAUGGCUUCAUGUAUUCAUUAAGUCUUUCAGUUAGCCCUUUUUGAGCUUUUGAUCACCUCCUAGUCAUGCUUAAGUGUAAAGUUGGAAACUUUACACGGCCAUCUAGCCUUAUGGGGACAGAUCUGCAUUAUGGGUUUUAUCUUUGAUGAUUAAGUGAUUAAUGAUUAAGCCUUCACUCUUUUAAGUUUAGGGUUUGGGUUUGGACCCAUUAGGUGAUUCCUAGGGGUAAAGUUGGAAAAUUUACCCUUCUUGAUCUCAUUUUGGUCGAGAGCAGAGCUUUGGAGCCUUUGGACUCGAUGAAGGUACCUUAAUGCAUUAAGAUGUUGGUUCUUGAGAGAACUCGGCGAGUUGACUUGGUUUCCCCGAUUUGUGUAGUUGAUGGAGAAACUCGACGAGUUGGGUUAACUUGGACCGUUGACUUUGACUUUCGAUUUAUGUCUUUGAACAAGUUUGUCCCAAUGGGUACUUGAGGUAAUCUGAAUUGUAAUUAAGGGAAUUAUGAGAUUAGGAUAAGGCCCAUAUGGGGUUGGUCCCAAUUUGGAAAAUUGGGCCAUUACUGGGCCUUUGCGGAUCUUUUGGUUUUGGACUUUUUGGUUAAUGGAAUUUGGGCCUCAGUUUUGGUUCAUGACGCGUUAGGGUUAAAAUGGUCAUUUUCCCCCAAGUAUGGAUGGAGGGCUUUAGAAUGGAACCCAAUUGCUAAUUAGGUGUUAUUUUGAUCUCAUAGCUCGGAGGUCUCAUCAGGGCAGCAGCUAGGGACUUCUUUCUGUGAGUUUCUGCGUUCGAGGUGAGUCUCCUUACUUUUCUAUGGUUUGAAGGCAAUAAUGACGGCCCAUUUGGUUUAUGUAUUAUAGGAAGACCUGGGGGAUAAACCUUGGCAGUUUGUAUGAAAGACCAGGAGGCGGCUCCUGGCAAACUGUAUGCAAGACCAGGGUCUGAACUCUAGCAGUUGACUAGUUAAGUAGUGUAGAUUUUAUACUAUUUGUCUUUGUGACACUUUCAUGGAAGACUCGAAGGUGGAUCCUGGCACUUGUCUGUAAGACCUAGGUUUUUGGCCCCCGGCCUGACAAGGAAGACCACAAGGCGGCUCAUGUCAUAAUGGCAAGACUAUGGAUGGCACAUAUCACCUUUACUAAUUGGGGUAUAUGUAUGCUAAGUAAGACUCAGUGAUAUUAAUGUUAUUUAUAGUUUUGAGUUGAGUUUUCUCCUGCGAUUGAGGUGCAACAGUUGGUGCGAGAGUUUCUGGAUCUCUGUCAGACUACUGAGACUGUGGCAGAUUGUGGAAGGGUGGAAGUGAUGUAAGACUGAGGGGUGGCCCGUAGCAUUCACUAGUUAGAAGUUGGUAUAAAAAUGUUGUAAGACUGUGGGGUGGCACGUAGCAUUCACUAGCGAUCAGAUAGUGUGGGAAGUGUUGUAAGACAGAGGGGUGGCCCGUAGCAUUCACCAGUCCCUAUACAGCGGUGAGAGUGUGGCAAAUUUGUGAUUUGCUCACGGUUUUCUUCGGAUGAUUUUGGCCAGGAUGGAUCAGUUCGCAAGGCUAUGGGAAGGACACAACAUGUUUGGAAUCAAGAUAUGGGAGGUCGUGGGAGACCGGGUUUGAGGUAAGACUAUAGUUGGUCUGUAACGUUCAACCUAGUAUCAGAUUAUUGACGAGACGGUUUGGGUAGUUAUUGCCAGUGAGGCUUUUUUUCAAAAGUUGCGAUGGGCGAUUGUGUGGAGUUUCAAAAGCAGCUACGAGGCAACAAGCUGUUUUGGGCAGUAUUAGUGAUUUUUGGGCAGUAUUUUCGGGUAGUACUAGUCAUUUGGAAUUUGUGUGUGAAUAUGUAAUUUUUCAAACAAUUUUUUUUUCAUUUAUAAAACUCAUAAAAACUCAUAUAUUUCAUUUCAUAAAAUCACAAGUGUCUCAAGUCAACAUAAAUCCACAAGAAAAAUCAAAUCCUAGAAUCCUCAACAUAAUCUCGAACAGGUGUGUACAAUCACGUCGGUGCCUUCCCGCGAUCCUCGGAGGUACUUGAAACACAUAUCACAUAGCACGGUAAGCAUAAAGCUUAGUGAGUUCCUCAAAAUACCAUGCACACACAUAAUUAGCCACUCGAGGCUAUCGCUCUGUAAGACCCUCCGGUUAAUGUGUCUUAGCGAGACCCACCAGUCCUACAAAUCGUCAGACCCUCCGGUCCGGUCUAAGUGAGAACCCUCCGGUCUCACUACUCGUUGGACCCUCCGGUCUAGUCUAAGUGAGGACCCUCCGGUCUCAUAGUUCGUUGGACCCUCCGGUCCGGUCUAAGUAUCUCAUAAUAUAGUACACAGUAUAUAUCACACAGAAAUACAUAACUCAAGCAAGCACAUAAGACCCUCUGGUCACACAUAAUGACCACACUAGGUAAGGUAUAAUGAGAAGACUCACCUCCUAAGAACUCGGAUAAUCUCAAACUCAAAUCACAGGUUUAGCCUCCGCCUAAUAUACACAAUAAUUAUCCCUAAUUAAUAACGGCUCUCACAAGGCUGAACUAACCCUUCCAUACACUCACAGAAGGGUAAAAGACCAUUUUACUCCUCCAUGGGCUUAAUAGACCACAUGUUGACCAAACCCUAAAAGUCAACCGAAAGCCAACAGCAAGGAGUACGCUGUGCGUACCAACUCCCUACGUUGGGCAUACUCGGCUGCCAUGCAGGCAUCGUGGAGACUCGACCUCUACGUUGUGCGUACUGGGAUUAUGCCCAGCGUACAUCCUAGUUUCACUCUCCUCACAAUUUUGGUCUUAAACAGUUAAUACAUUGGCUCAUAAUUCAGAUCUGGACUCCCUAAUGUCUCUUAAUCCAUAAAGUUGGUGACUUUAAGCCUUUGCGUGGCUAAAUAGGUCACAAACACUGAAAACUCCCAUCCCCUUUCCUCAUGAAACUCAUAACUCAUGCAUGGCUUACUCCUAAUGUCCAAGAUUAGAUUUUUAUGACUUUACUCCACAAAAUACACUGAAAAGGGAUAGAUCAAGGCCUCUAGAGUGCAUUAUCUCAUAAAGUCUCCAUCUUUUGGGAAAAAACCCUAAAGUAAUUCAUAUGAAUGCACCAAACAAACAAAUGAGAAAGCUUGAAGAUUUAUACCUUUAUGUGAAACCUUCUUCACAGCUAAGCUCAGAUCCAACUCCUGGGGCUCUCACUCCUUCUUCUCUAAAGCUUCCUCUCUACUUCAAGAACACAAGAUUACACCAACAAGCUCUCAAAUGCACUCUCCAGCUAUAAUGACGGAGAUUUAGGGUUAGGAGGGGUUGGUGUUUGGGAAUGGUGGCCAGGAAUGAGGCCAUCAUGUCCUUUAAAUAGUGAGCUCAUUAAAAUUUAGGGUUUCAUUAUGGGCCUAGCAUGCCCAGCGUACCCACUGGUACGUCGCGCGUACUAGGUGGCCUCCACAUCACUAACACGCAUUGGAGUAUGCUGAGCGUACACUCAAGUACGCCCCGAAUACUCGUUUACCACCUUUUCUCUAAUAAGGCCAAAAUGGACAAAUGCUCAAUAGAUCAAGGUUUACAAGGUAUACCUGGACUUGGGAUGUUACAUCGUGUGUGAGUCUCUUGUAGUUCGGGGAAUAUAAUAAGUUGCUUGUAGUGGAUUAAAUAAUCUCAGAGUGGUUGAUUUGAUUCUAUUGCGCAGUUCUCGUCUGAGUCUAACCAUUGCAGGGAUGAAUCUUCUACUCAAAGGAUUAUCUGAGCCUAUUGUCGAGUAUAAGUGUUCUGUAGCUGCAAAUGAUCUGUUUUUUGGUUCCUUUAAAAGCAUUAAGAUAUUGGUUUUAUAGUGGUUCAGAGAGGGGGAGGGGGUGAUCAGCCAGGAAGUCAAAUCAAAUUGAGAUUUCAGGUAUCAGGAAAGGUAAAGGUGGGUUUUUCUGCAAGGGAUUAAGGUUCGUUCUGCUAGGGUUGGUUUCAGUUGCUAUGGGAAGGUGGUAGUAUUAUGGGGUUGUGAAGAUGAGUCCUUAUGGGGACAGUGUUAUCUGGUGCUAUCUGUCAUGGAGUUCGGCAAUGUCCAGGGUUUUCCAGGUUCAAGUUUAAUGGUUAGGGAUCUUCUAUUUUGGAUUUGUCAUCGGUAUGGGUGGGCGGUUAUCUAAGCGGGGUGACUUCCUUAGUCUUUUGGGGUUCAAGGAGUUUAGUCAGGAUCAUCAGUUCGGUACACGAGAUUUUAGGGAAUGAUUUCGAGGAUGAAAUCUAAUUUAAGUGGGGGAGAGUUGUAACAUCUGGAAUUUACAAGAAUAAUUGUGGAAAUAAAUUCCCUUUCUAGGGACCAACACGGCGAGUUGAUCGUGGGAAACUCGACGUAUUGGAGGCUUUUGGGAUGAGCGUUUUUAUAAACCAAUUCAAUGAGUUGGUGAAGGGAACUCGGCGAGUUGGACGCUAAUCGAAAAACCCUAAUUUUUAGGUUGUUGUACCCUAUCUAAAGGCCUUAAGUUCUUUGGUUGGCCUCCUUACCAGCCUCCUCUGUCCAAAAACCCUAAAAUCGAGCCUUAUCUUCCAUUGUUGAGUGUGAAAGCUUGGGGAGAGCCUUGAGAGUUUAUUUUUGGUGCUAGUUGAAGGAGCUAAGGAAUUAGGAGUUCCUUUCCUUGAAGAAGAAAUCUUAGAUCCAGAAUCUCUGCCUCAUUUGCCAAGUUUUUGAGGUAUCAAGUUCUCACCUUGCCUGUUUGUUUCAUAGAUCUCUUCUUGGGUUAGAGUUAAUGCUUUUUAGCCAUGGUUGGGUGGAUUUUGGGGAUUAGGACAUCCCAAACGAUUAUUAUUUCAGAUCUAAGGUAUAUAUGAGCUCUUUUGGCAUAAAGGUGCCAACUUUAUUGAUUUAAGGGCUUCAUAGAGUCAUUAAUUCUUUCAUUUAGCCGUUUUUGAGAUUUUGUGCUCGUCCUAGUCAUGCUUAAGCGUAAAGUUGGAAACUUUACAUGGCCAUCUAGCCUUAUGGGUUCAGAUCUGCAUUAUGGGGUUUUGUCUUUGCUGAUUAAGUGCUUAAUGAUUAAGCUAUCACUCUUUUAAUUCUAAGGUUUGGGUUUGGACCCAUUUAGGUGGUUCCUAGGGGUAAAGUUGGAAACUUUAACCUUCGGGGUCUUAUUUUGGUCAAUAGCUGAGUUUGGAGCUCUUGGAUUCGAUGAAGGUAGCUUAACGCAUUAAGCUGUUGGACUUUUAGAGCUCAUAUCGUGAGUUCGAUCUUAUCCAUCCGCUGAAUCGACUUCUGACAGCCCGACUCUGGAACCCAUCCAUCACUGGCUCACGUCGUGAGCUUCAUGCUCACGUCAUGAGUCCUCUUAUAGUGUGGGGUUGAGUCUUUUACUCGAAGGAUUAUUUGAUCUUUGUUGCGUGUGGCUAUAUUAAUGAGGAAGCUAGUUGACAUUGGUGGGAUUCCUUUAGCAGUUGAGGGUUUGGUGAGGUCGGGAACCUAGGAAAGCCUAGGAUAUGCUUUAGUGGGUUAGUGGUACGGUUUAGUGAGUUUUGGUGCAUUGUGCUGAAGAAGUGACUUAGAGGAUUCGAGAGGAUUACUGAGGAAAGUAUGGAUAGGUGGGCUUUAGAAUGGAACCCAAUUGCUAGUUGGGUGUUAUUGUGAUCUGAUAGCUCGGAGGUGUCGUCAGGGCACUAAUGUCGGCCCAUUUGGUUUAUGUAUUAUAGGAAGACCCAGGGGAUAACCCUGGGCAGUUUGUAUGAAAGACCAGGAGGCGGCUCCUGGCAAACUGUAUGCAAAACCAGAAUCUGAACUGUGGUAGUUAACUAGUUAACUAGUGUAGAUUGUAUGCUAGUUGUCUUUGUGAUGCUUGCAUGGAAGACUCGGAGGUGGCUCAUGGCACUUUUUUGUAAGACCGCAGGUUUUGGCCCCCGCCCUGACAAGGAAGACCACGAGGCGGCUCGUGACAUAAUGGAAAGACUAUGGAUGACACAUAGCACCUUUACUGAUUGUAGUAUAUGUAUGCUAAGUAUGGCUUGUUGAUAUGAAUGUUAUUUAUGGUUCAAUCGGUAUGUUUGGUAUGUGGUAUUUGGGGAACUCAAGAAGCUAUGUGCUUACAUUUUGUGCUUUAUGGUUUCAUGUAAUUCCAUUUUGAAAGGAAAGGGUUCGGCUUAAUCGCAACGCAUACACCCAUGUUUUCCGCAAUGUGUGAUAUUUAGGAAUGAACUCUGAUAAUUGUUUUAUUUUGAAACUCUUCUAGAUGUCGGAUUAAAGGUUAAUGAAUGUUUUGGGCAUAAUAAAAACGAAAUUUUUACCCCUGAUUUUCGGGAUGUUACAACAUUUAUUACCAUUUAUUGACAUUUAAAUUGGCCACGACAUGUUUGAAACCAUUUGUGAUAGCAUAAUUAUCAAAUCAAAUAACUCUAUAUAUUGAGACAAGAGCAAUGUUAUCCAUGUGGAUAAAAUGUAUUUCUAUUUUUUGUAUUUUAAAUUCAUGUAAUACAUGGAACAAAAUUGAAGAUGAUAUUCUAUUUCAUGUUAUUGGUCUCAAUAUCUGACACUUUUAGUAUCUAGUAAAUUUUAAUUUUCAUAUGUAAUAUCUUAAACAAUAAAAUUCUAUAAAAUGACGAUGUAUUUUUUCCAUGUCAAAUGUGAUUUUUUUUUUGUAUCAAAGUAGUGUAUUUUAAAAAGAUAUUUACCAAGUUGGAUUGAGUGACAAGUGGAUUGAGUUAACUGAAAAAAAAAAUUAUUUUUCAUGGGUUAGAAAAGAUGAAAAAAAAAAGUUGAUAUAGAACUCACACCACAUGAAUGAUUUGACACCGUUCUACUCCUACGACCUUUACCCCCAACAUCGAAUUCAUUAUGAUUGUUAGCCUAUCUUACGAGACAGACAUGACCUCCUACUACCAUGUAUACUAAGUCCCACUAUUUAUAACUCUACCCUAUAAAACUCGACGGAGCGCUGGGGUGAAGGGUUACGGGAUCCUUUCCCGCUCACCGGAACANNNNNNNNNNNNNNNNNNNNNNNNNGGGGGGGGGGGGGGGGGAAGGCUGCUGCACUCUCUCUCUCUCUCUUCUUCCUAUUGGCUGGUUUUUUUCCCAAGCGAACUGUUUGAAAUAAAUAACAAAAUUAAUUUUUUUUUCAAUACAACUAUUGAAAAACAACAAUGAAUUUAUAUAUAUAUAAUUUUGUUUUUACCUCUAUAACAUCUAUAAAUAUACACAUACUUUAACCUUUCAAACUCACACCUCCUUCUAUGAAUUUCUCUGUACUUUCUUCAAAAAAAGGAAUCCAUACAACCAAACCCCAAACUUCGAUAGAAGGAAAAAAACCAAUGUUUCAAAUUUAAGCACCCCAACUCGAAACAUUUUUGAUAUCGAUUCAUCUCAAGGGGUUUAUCGUCCACAACUCGAUGCUCACAUUUAAUCUUCACUACAAUCACAAUACCAAAAUAUUAGACAAUUUUACCCGAUGCAAGUUCCAAAUGUUACUCCAAAUAUGCUAUUAAACUUUGUUGUUUUUCCUGAUCAACUUUCGCCAAAUCAACCCCAAACUCAAAUCCCACUCUUUCAAUCUCAAACCCAAACCCAACCUAAGCCCAAACACAAUAUCAACAACAAUACCAAAUCUUCGAUGAGUCGGAUGAAGAGAUUGUACGGGAAACUCAACCCACAACCCCCAACCCCACAAAGUAAAACAACAAGUGAGAGAGGGUUCCAUACAACCGGGACGACAGAAGCCGCAACCAUGGACUAAACGAGAAGAGAUAAUUGGGGUAAAAGCUUGGGUUGACAUUUCAGAUGAUUCAGCGACAGGAAAAUGCACAACCUGAGGAUCAUUUUUGGUUUCACAUUCUUGAGAGGUUUCAUAAGGAGAUGGGAAAAAGUGACGAGUAUCGUACCAAUCAUCAAUUGAAUUCAAAGUUUCGAGAAAUAGCGUGGGCCGUUUCAAAAAUGAGCGGGUGUACAACAACCUAAAAACCUAAUGGAAAAGCAGCCAAGGAGAUGAAGAAAUACUUCAGGAAGUUUUGCAUUUUUUCGAGAGGAAGUGGGAAAGUCAUUCAAGUGCCACGAUUGUUGGAAAAUAUUGAUUAAAAGUCGUAGGUGGAAAAAAUACGAGCAAGAGUUUAUACGUCGAGUACAACAAUCAAAACGAACAAAAAUGAGCUCUAGUGGUUACACAACUUCCUCCGAUGCUCGGGUCGGUCUAGAUUUAAAUGACGAGGACGCACUCGAGCUAGAAGAAAUUGUCCGACCGAUAGGUAGGGACAAAGCAAAAAUGAAGGGAAAUGAGACUUCUUGGGGUGAAUCGAAUUUCAGCAUGGACGCGGACCAAGUGCGAAAAAUGGUGGAGAUAUUUGAUCGAUAUAAUCUUAAUUUUGCUGAAAGUUUUGGCAUUCGACAAAGACAAAGAAGGAGAAAAAAAGAAGGAGAACGCAUAGAAACAAGAAAUGGAGGAGAUGAUGUUAUUGAUGAAAAAUACCGACCAUCUUUCGGGACUAGCUUCGGAGCUCGUUUUGAAAAAAAAAGGUGCGGAUUAUGCAAAAAUAUUUUCCCUAAGAGUGUUGUUUGUUUUUUUUUUCUAGUUAUUUAAAUCUUAGGUUUUUAUGUAAUUUUUAUUAUAAUUAACAAUGGCGGAGUUACUAUAUCAUUAUAAAUAAUAUUUUGUUUCUUAUAAUGAUAAUCUUUCCUAAUAAAUAAAGAACUUUUUGUCACAUGUCAAACUCUCAUUGAUUUGACCACAUGUCAUUUUGUGGUUAUUUUCAAUUAAUUUUUUUUUACACAUGUCAUUUUGGGGUUUUUUCAUUUUAUUAAUUUUCACAUAAUAUUUAAAUGUAAUAAUUACAAUAAAUAUAAUAAUAAAAUGCAUAUCAAUUUUAUUAAUUGACUUCCUUUUAAUUUUAAAAUUUCUAAAUUAAAGUUUCAUUAGUUUCCUUUAUUUAUUUAUCUAAAUUAUUUGUUUAAUUUAAAAGAAAAACAAACAAUUUAAUUUUAAUAAUUAAAUGUUUUUCUAUUGUUUUCUUAUAAAUUCAAACUUGUCAAAUGUUUAAAAUUUUAUAUGUUUUUCUUUAAAAUGAACUCAUGUAAUACAUGAGUGUUACACCUAGUGAUAGAUUAUAUCACGAGUACAAUUCAUUUAAUGAAACAUAUGUACGUAUAAUUAGAGAAAAUUUUUAAUAUUAGCAUGUUAAUCCUCUCUAAAAAAUAAAAAUAAUUUUGCCACAUAUCACUCUUUUAUUAAUUUGGACACAUGUCAUUUUUUGGUAUUUUUGAUUAAAUGUUUUUUCCAUUUGUCAAUUUUUUAUUUUUUAAUAUUUUCUUAAUUAACACAUCAUAUAUACACCUCAAUUAAUAAUUACCUUAAUUGAAAAUAACCAAUAAAUUACAAUAUUAAUAGUCAUAUAGUAUUUAAUAUGUUUCCUUUUAAAUUUAAAUUUUAAAAUUUUAAUUUCAAAUCUAAAAUUUCAAAUUUGAAUAAAAUUUGUUUGAACUUUUAUAUUUAAUUUUUGUUUUAUCAAACUCGUAUAACAUACGGGUCUCACACCUAAUGGAGAAUUAUAAAUCAACGUUUAUUGUCGGUCUAAACUUUUGAAAUGUCAUUUUUGCAAUGAUCGGUAUAACUUCUCCUUAAAGGAAUUUUUAUAGUCAUUUUCUCUUUCAAGAUUGUAGACUCUUUUACAUUAUUUUGAUAAAAGAUAUAUUUGAAUAUAUUUUUACGACGUCGGCUUUCCUUAUUCUUAAAUCCUGGCUCCGUUCCUUUUAAUUAAUGUAGUGGUUUUUAUUUUUAAUUAUAUAUAUAUAUAUAUAUAUUACUUAUUCAUUUAUAAAAUUAUAAAUCAUAAAAUCAAUUAUUUUUACUUAAAAAAGAGUGAUACACCUUUACAAAAUUAUAAACCAUAAAAAUCAAUUAUUUUUACUUAAAAAAUAGUGAAAAAACCUUCCCACAUACACCUUGGUUUCUAACUAAGAAAAAAAAUGUAGGAAAAAGGAUAAAAUGAUAAAGAAAAAUAAUAAAAAAAAAAAUAAAAACCUUCCCGUACCCACCCUCCGGCAUAAGAAGGUGCGUCCCUACGAGUACAAGAUACACAGGUGUAGAUACAUAUGUAAAAAGCUAGUAAUUAACCAACUAAUUAUUAAUUAUUAAAUAAAAUAGGGAUAUAAUAUUAAUGAUAAACACAUUAAAAUAUUCCAAAUGCUCAUGAAGUCAACAUGAGAAAUUAUAUUGCAAUAAAUUUCUUGUUGGGUGAGAAAUUCACAAGUAAAAUUUGUAUAGUAAAUAACAAACCGAAAGUUCCAGAAACAGGUCAAAACUUAAAACCCUAAAUGAGCUUACAAAUUUCCAUUGGCCACAUACCCCACCACAAAGGCACAAACAAUCAAUGAAACAAGUGUAGAUGUAGAGGCCUUUUUCACCACAAUCACCCUUCAUCGGCCAUUUCGAAGGCCACGUGAAAUGUCACUAACGUGGCCCUCUAAAUAUCCACUACUUUGUCUUUAACCCCUCCCCCCUCCCUUAUAAAACACUCCAUCCUCCUCCUUAAUCACCAUCACCAACAACCUUCUCUCCUUCCUCAAAAGUACCACCAUCUUUUCCGACAUGGCAGCUUCUUCAAUCUUCAUGGCAACUCCCAUCACACUCCUCAAAAAAACUCCCACCUUCUCCGUCAAAUGCAUGUCACAAACACCUCAAAGCGGUGAACCGGAGAUUUCAAAAUCAGCAACCACCCCAACACCACCACAGAUCAACAUUCCUCCUCCUCCGCCACCUGCUCCAAAGGUCAGCACGAAAUUCUCUGACGUGUUGGCGUUUAGUGGACCUGCACCGGAGAGGAUCAACGGAAGGUUGGCGAUGAUAGGGUUUGUGUCGGCGAUGGCUGUGGAAGUGAGCAGCGGUCAAGACGUGUUUACCCAGAUCGGCAACGGCGGAGUUGCGGUGUUUGUGGGGACUAGCGUCGUGUUGACGUU